This 179598-nucleotide long non-coding RNA is filed under the name Populus trichocarpa (black cottonwood). RNAcentral describes it as "long non-coding RNA (PTRI_LNC000482)". The stretch from base 58724 to 58879 matches the Rfam family "MIR2912 microRNA precursor family". The record is from RNAcentral. Lineage: Eukaryota; Viridiplantae; Streptophyta; Magnoliopsida; Malpighiales; Salicaceae.
CAUGCUAGUAAUUAAUUCUUGCAGGUAAAAUGGCUGCAACUAUUUAUCUUCUAUCCUUGUUUAAAUGGUUGGAUUAAAUCAACAAACACGAGAUGCCUGGAUGAUGUUUGUUCUUGAUGUUUGCAUUAGGUUGGUUGGUUACCUAUGUGAUGAUCAAAUCGACAUUGGUGGGAAGUAAUUCCAGCUGUUUCAUUAGCUACAACAAUUUGUCUUAUUUCAUGUGUUUGUUGUGUGAACUUCCAGAAAUAAGGGUAAUGUUACGUGUUUAGUAAUUUAUUGUGCGAAUCUCCAGAAAUAAGGGCGUAUGUUUGUUUUCCCAUUUGUGUUUCUUUUUCAAGUGUCUGAACCUUAAAAAGCGAGGGCAUAAUGUUUACUCAUUUGUGUGCUUAUGGUUUAAUGUGGGGAUUCUCAUUCUCCUCAUUUUGAUGUUCUAUUUCUAUUACGAUUCUUUAUGUGGUUAAUUUGUUAUUGUGCGUACCGUAUAGUAAUACGGUUUCUACAUGAAUAUAUAUAAAUACAUGUGAAUGAGUAUAUAUAUAAAAAAAUCAAUUUAUAAAUUUAUUGAUAGAAUAUGAAAUUCCAAGGUGUAAGUAAAAGGAUAAAUCCUCUAGCUUUGAAAAGAAUUAGUGUUUGCCUUUGAGAUUGUAAUAUAUUUUUUUUCAGGUCUAUUCAAUUUAAUAUUUUUAAUAAUACAAAUGAAAAUAAACAGCAAAUUUAAUUUAUAAAUGUAACUAUCUCAAAACAAUGUAGAGAAGGAAGAAAGAUUAGUAGAAUAAAAAUAAAAUAAAUAGACUUUUAAAAAGCAAAGAGUUUUAAAUGUUAAAUUUUUUUUUUAUUUAAUAGACCCAAUUUUGUGUUUUUUUUUUUUUUUUAUAAAGAUAACUCUAUUUUAAUUCUGAUUUUUUAGCAGCACAAUUUUUCAUUCAUCAUAACACACACAUAAUAUUUUUUUUAAAUAGUUAACAUGUCAUAUUAACAUAACGGUAAGAUUAUAUUAUAAUGAUGAACAAGAAUGAAGAAUUAUACUAAAUAUAAAAUAAUAAAUCAAAAGCAUCAAUGAAAAAGAAAUCACCUUUCUAUUUAUUUAGGCUGUCUAAAGCUAAAACUUACUAGAUUAAUUUUAUCACACACAACAAUUAAUUAGUCAUUAAAUUUGGACUAUUGUUGAAAAAACAUGCUAAAUACAACAUCAUAAGCCCGAUGGGGAUAUGAACUUAAGCAACUUCUACCCAAAAAAGUGAGGAACAAGUGCCUCAUGGGGAUUAACCUCCUAAGGGACAGAGUUAGCACAAUGAGAUUUUAUCACAUAUUAUUUGUUUAAGAUUUACCAGACUUGUAUCUAAUGAGAUUCUCGUUAUAAAAUAUAUGUGUGUGAGGAGAGUAGUUCAUGAAACUUGAUCAAAGAAAUUCUUUUUUGUAAUUUCACAGAGGCUCGUCUGAUGCAAAAAGGGUUGGAAUCUGAUAAUUGUUGUGUUCAUUGUGGAGCUGUUGGGGAGUCUCGUGAACAUGUACUGGUCCAUUGUUCUUAUAUGAAUGUUAUUGUAAAAUACUAUAUAUGUACGAAUGUGAAUGAGUAAAGGAUAAAUCCUCCAGCCUUGAAAAAAUUAGUGUUGAAAAAAUUAGUAAAGGAUAUGUACUGAUAAUUGUUGAUUUCAUAUUCCCUUUAAGAGCUUGUACGUAGUUGAUUGUAAUUUUUUUUCUCAAAUUUAUUAAAUAUUUUAUUUUUGAUAACACAACAACAACUAACUUUAUAAACGUAACUCUUUCAAAAUAACGAUGAGAAGGAACAAAAAAUUUAAUAAAAACAAAGAGUUAAUGUUAAAAACUUUUUGAAAUUGUCUAUUUUUUAUAGUUAAUUUAGAAUUAUUUUAAUUAAAAAAAUAAACCGUUAUUUAACAUAUACAUCUAUAUAUUUAAACAAAACAUAACUCUAUUUUAAAAUCAAUUUUUUAGCAAACACAUUUUUUUAGCAAACACAAUUUUUCAUUCAAUGUAACAUGUAAUUUUUUUAAGAAUCGUUAACGUGUCAAUAUUAACAUACCAGUAUGAUGCUAUUAUAAUGAUCAACAAGAAUGAAGAAUUACAACGAAUAUAAAAUAAUUAGUAUAAUUGUUUAUGUUUUGCAAUGGAUUAAUAAUAAUUUUUUAAAAAUAUAUAAAAAAAUAUUAAAAAUAUAAAGAAUAUUUUAAGUGUUUUGAGUCAGACGAAUAUACCAGACUCGAGAGUUUUGGAUCUGACAACCCUUACAUAACCUAAGUAAACAACAAACAAAUAGAAAAUAAAUAUGUAUUUUAAUUGUCAAGAGAGAGAAAAAAAAAAGCACAAAUAGUCAAAGAAAUAUUUAACAAAAAGAUAAGAUGAGAAAUUAAAAAUAAAACUAGUAUUAUAAUUUAUAAUUAAAUAUUUUUUGAUCUACAGUAAUUUUCAUAUACUUGUUAUAAUAAAUCAAAAGCAUCAAUGAAAAAUAAACUUCUAUUCUAUUUGGGCUGUGUAAACCUAAACCAACUAGAUUAAGCCCAGAAUGCAUUUUUUAUCACACUGCAACAGGUAGUCCAGUAAAUUUGGAUUAUUGCUGAAAAAACAAGCUAAAUCCAACAUCAUCAGCCAGGCCCACAAUUAAACCAAAAUAGAAACCCAAAGCAAGAGGCCUAUAACAGGAUGUAUCUACUGAAGCCACUUCUCCCUAAAAAAUGGAAGGAAAAAAAAAAAAAAAACUAGGCAACUUGUGAGCCAUCAUGCAUAGCAAAGAGGAAGUGAGGAACAAGUGCCUCAUGGGGAUUCAGCUCCUAAGGGGCUUUAUCCUUCUGGAGACAUGUCUUAUAAGCUAUGAAAAUAGGACGAGAAGGAAUAAUUAUUCCUUACCUGUUCGUUUAUCAUAUUCCAAAUAAUUCGUUGUAUUAUUCCGUUGAUUGAUAGCUUCUAAGACAUGUCUCCAGAAGGAUAAAGCUGUUCAAGCAGGUCUGAACUUUCUCUCUAGCUGGUCUGCUUCUCGGUUUACACCAGCACAUACAGCAAUUCAUCCUAAUUUGCUUAAAUGGGAGAAACCUCCUCCUGGUUUUAUCAAAUGCAAUAUAGAUGCAGCAGUUGACAAUAAUCAAGAGGCUGUGGGAGCAGUGUUUGUCUUGCAUGAUGAGGAGGUGGCUUUGAUAAUGCGUGGCUGCUGGCAUGCUAAUGAUGUUUUUUUCCCAAAGUUAGCAGAGGUAUUAGUUUUGAAAGGGUUUUCUUUCAUCAUAUAUAUAUAUAUAUUGGUAUCACCCUUGAAUAUUAACCAAAUAUAACCUAAAUAACCUAAUUUUUUUUUCAUUUAAUUUCUGAUUUUCUGAAAGCAUUUGAUUAUUACAACAUAAAAUAGGAUAAAAGUUGAAAAACAAAAAGCACCCACACCUACAUAAUAAAAUGGGCUAAUUGUAUGGUCACAAUCACAUUAGCAUUAGCAGAUGUCGGCUAUAAAUUACAAAAUCAAAAUAACCUUAACCAAAAUUGAUUACCCCAAAUUAAUUUUAAAAUUAGAUUUAUUUAACUUAUAUCUAAAAUUUAUUAAUCUGAAUUUCUCCCUAUAAAAAUAUAUGGAACCUGAUAAAAAAACAAUUUCUUCUUCAAUUUUUUUAAUCAUGAUUUGUAAAUCUUGAUAUAAAGAAAAUGAGGAAUGAAUUUCUCAUGACUCCAACAAAGUAUAUGUUCAAGCCUCAUUCUCAAUGUGGAGGGGCGAGAGUAUUAAACUUCAGGAUUAAAAUAUUAUUUGGUUAUUAUUUUGAGAUAAAAAAAUAUAAAGAUAAUGGAAAUAUAAAAGAUAUGUCUUUAUAUAUUUUUUAUUUUAAAAAUAUAAAAAAAAAUUAAAAAAAUUAUUCCCAAAAAAAAUUAUUUUAUGUAGCUAUUUUCAUCUUCACCAUCAAACACAUUUUCAUCACUCCUGUAUUUAUUUAUUUUGUUUUAAAAUAUUAACUAAAUACAGCUUAAUUUUUAAAUCUGAGUUUAUAAAAAAAAUAUGAAUAUCACAACAUAGGAUAAAAGUUUUAAGAAGAAACACUCACAACAACAACAAUAAUAAUAAUAAAAUCUUUACAAAUUUAUGCUAUAAAUGACAAAAUAAAAAUAACCUCAACAAAUCUAGUCCUAAUUUUACAUUAAUCCACAAGCAAGUUGUUAAUUGGUGGCUCAUUCCAGACUGUCAAGUCAAGCAUUGAACCUUGAACUUUUCAAAUUGCAUUUUCGUUUUCAAUAUUUUGUUCCAAAUUGCAUUUUCCCUUUCAUUUUUUUGUACAUUGAUUGAAUGGUACAGUCCUCAUUUUCAUUUACUUUUGGAAAUAAACAAAAAAUUCCUUUCAAGUUUCAAGUUACUAAACGACGUGCAGCUCAAUCAAUGCCUUCAUUGCCUACGGCCUUUAAAAAAUCAACUCAUUAGUUAGUUUCGUCCUUGGCUCGCUUAGAACGACAUCCACCCGAAUGUUUGACAUGUGGCACUUGAAGAUCAGAUUAAGAGAAUGUUAGAUGUUCAAUUAAUCUUUUAAUUAUAGAAAUUUAAAAUUUGUUUUAGAUAAAAUGAUUGGUAGGAGAUAUCUAGUAAGUUAAAAUGACUGAUGUCUAAACUGCUAUGAUGAUAAGUAGUUGUUACUUGCAAAUUUGAUGUGAGUAUUCUUACAUGUUUAAGAAAGAAUUCAUAUAAAAAGAAAAAAUAUAAUAAUAUUUUAAAGAGAUAGACUCUAAAAUUAUUAAAAAUAAAGAUAUUAUUAACCUUAAACUUUGAAGAUUCAUUUAGUAUUUAUAACUCACAAAUCUUGUCUUUUAUGAAGAGAAGAAGUUGAAAAAUAAUUUUAUCCUUGUGGUAUUUUGAGUUUUAUUUCACUCAAAAUAAAAUAUUGUAAAACUCGUAUGGGAUCUUGAAAAAAUUAAUUUGAUUGUGGUAUUUUGAGUUAUAUUUUACUUAAAAUAAUAGUAUUGAAUCAAUAUAAAAUAUUGAGACAUUUAUGUGGGAUCUUGAAAAUAUUAAUUUUAUUUUUAUGAUAUUUUAAAUUAUAUUUUACUCAAAAUAAUAUAUAUUAAUUUAAUAUAAAAUAUUAAAAAACCUGUGUGGGAUCUUAAAAAAAUUUGAACGGAGAGGUAGUUCCGACGAGUUACUUAAGUUUGUUACAAGUGAAAAAUAGAUCAACACGUGCUACAUAUCCACACGUAUUGUCUAAACCCACACAUAUUGGAUUCAAAAUAUACGCUAAAGCCCAUAAAGAAGCUGGGAUGUAUGCGGAAAGGUAUAUGGGUCAAGGCAGCGUCUGGAUUCAAGGGCAGUUAAGCUUUGGGAGGUUUUUUUAUCCCAUUAAAUUUUGGUCUAAAGCAGAUAGAAAGUUAUUGUUUUGUUGAUAGUUAGUCCUUUUCUUUUAUUGACUUGGUUUCUUUGGGUGUUGACUAGUUAUUUAUGGUGAAGUGAUAAUCUCUUUUUUUGUUCUGCAUAUGGUAAUGUGGUGUGAAAUGUUUUUAUAAAAAUAUUUUUUAAUUAAAAAUGUAUUAAAAUAAUUUUUUUCCAUUAAAAACAAACUUUAAAAUCAUUAAAAAAAAUACUUAAAAAAUUAAAUUAACAACAUUAAUUUAAUAUUUUUUAAAAUUAAAUAAAAUUUCAAAAGUAAUUAAUUUAAAUCACCUAUUAAAGCAGAAGGAACAUUUGUGCUUGAAUCCUGAGAUAAUUAAGUAGGAAAAUUUUGCAUUUUAUGAAGUUGUUUUUUUCUUAGUUAUGAUGAUUUAUUUUCUUGGAGGUCCCUAAAGUGGAAUAUUAAUGGUCCCAAAAUUUACAAAGUUUUCCUGCAAUCAAACAGUGCCCUUUUGAAAUUGCUCAAUUAUUAAUCGCUUGGUGUUUUCUUGACAACACAUUACUUUAAUUUUGUGGUUGAUUAGAGCUCUAUCUUCAAAAGUUUAAUCUUCAAAUCUUCUUCUAAAUUCUUUAAUUUUGCUCUCAUAUUGAAUUUAUGAAAAUGUUAUCUUUUUUUAUAUAUUGUUAAAAUGAUGUCAAGUCUUAAAGACUGUUAGCCAUGUGUUCCUAAUUAACUUCUGAUAUUUUGUAUUAUACCUCAUACAUAAUUGCUGGAAGAUAAAAUAAUUUAUUUUUUAUUCAUGUUUAUUAGCUUUCUAUCUAUUAUACAUGCAAAAGUUUAUCUUAUAAUACUUUUAACCAAACGUAUUUUUAAAAAAAACCCAACUAAAAGUGUUUUUGUUAAACCUAUUUUUUUAAAUCGCAACUAUAAAUGCUAUCGUUAUUGUAUGUUUGGUAAUGUGGUGUAGAAUGCUUUUACAAAAAUAUUUUUCAAUUGAAAAUGCAUUAAAAUAAUUUUUUUCAAUUAAAAAAACACUUCAAAAUCAUUAAAAAUACUUCAAAAAUUAAAUUAAUAACAUUAAUUUAAUAUUUUUUUAAAAAAUCAAAUACAAUUUAAAAGGUAAUUAAUUUAAAUCAAAAAAUUAAAUUAACGAGUUUUUCCUUUAUUUGAAAGGGAAGGGCUAAACGAUAUUUGUGUAUUUUCUUUGCACAAUGUGAUUAUUUAAUUACCCUUGGAAAACAAAGAAAAUCACUUGGGUCUAGGGGCUUAUUAGUCUUUGACUUGAUUUUUCAACAAGUAUGUUACUUCAUUGUCCUUAAAAAUUUAAAACAAUUAUAUGACUCUGAGGCUCUUUUAUCAUUUAGAUGUGGUCAUUUAGUAGUUAUUAGGUGUCAUUGGAGACAAUAAGAUAAUUUAGUAAAUAAGAAAAUUAAAUUAAAAAAAUAGAAUCAAGUGAACAAUGUUUGCCACCUCCGAAUGAUGUGUGCGGCAUCAUCCAAUACCCAAAAUGGUGAUUCCAGGGAGGCUUCUGAAGGAUCUCAAUGUCCCCCUACAAAUCAACGACGCGUGUAGCACUAUAGCGGUUGGUGGGACGUGUGUGGCCUUCUGUUUUUUUUCUUUUCCCGUCUCUCCUACUCGAUUUUCGUGUUGGGAUUAAAAAAUCAAAUCAGUCCCUAAAGUUUAUUGUACUUAUGAUUUCAUCCCUUUUCUCUUUAUUAUAAUUUUUUAAAUUUAGAAUACUUUAUGAAAUUAUGUGGUUUUUUCAAUUUCAUAAUUGUUCUCUUUGUUGCCUUUUUUUUUUUAGAAUAGUCUACUAAAUUAAGAAAUGUUUUUAAUUUUAGAUGGUUUUCACAAUAUUUUUUUUACCUUGCAAGAUUUUUUUAUUAUGUCAUCCUCCAACAUUUAAAUAGCCUGGUCUUUAGCUUUUUAGUUGAGUCCGGGUCUAAAAUUUAACGGUUUGUUGGUUUAAGAAAUUGACCCCGGUUUCUUUGUUUUUUUUCCAUCCUCCAACAUUUUGUUAUUUUUUAGUCUUUUUUAAAAUAAUGCAGGUUGCCUUGGUUUUUUUUUUUUUUUUUGUCUUUGUUGAAUUUAGUUUUAUGAAGGAAUUUUAUUUUUAAAUUGAAUUAAAUUGAUUGAUUUCAUCUUCUAACAUUUAUUUUUUUAGGUGUUAAGCUCCUACAUUGAGCCUGAGUCAAAAAUUUAAUGGAUUACGGGUUUAAGAGUUUAACCCGAGUUUAUAGGAUUCACGCUCAAGCUUCUUUGGUGUUUUAUUUCUUUUUUAAGCUGUUUUCUUUUUUCAUAUUUCAAUCUCUAACAUUCUUUUUAUGUUUUUUUUUAUUGGUAUCUCCCUUGAAUAUUAAAAAAAUAUAACCUAAAUAACCUAAUUUUUUUCAUUUAAUUUCUGAUUCUCUUAAAGCAUUUGAUUAUUACAAGGAUAAAAGUUAAAAAAACAAAAGGCACCCACACACCUACAUGAUAAAUCGGCUAUAAAUUACAAAAUCAAAAUAACCUCAGCCAACAUUGAUUACUCCAAAUUAAUUUUAAAAUUAGAUUUAUUUGACAUAUAUCUAAAAAAAAUUAAUCUGAAUUUCUUCCUAUAAAAAAUAUGUGAGCAGAGUAUUUCAUGAAACCUAAUAAAAAUAAGAUUCUUCUUCAAUUUUAUUUUUUUAUCAUCAUUUGUAAAUCUUGAUAGAAAAAAUGAGGAAUGUAUUUCUCAUGCCUCCAAACCUCAUCACUCCUAUAUUUGUUUAUUAUCUCCUAAAUACUAACUAAGCACAACCUAAUUUUUAAAUCUGAAUUUUUUAAAAGCAUUUAAUUAUCAUAACAUGUGAAUAAAAAUUUGUGCUCCAAAUGACAAAAUAAAAAUAACCUCAACAAACAUGAUUAGUACUAAUUAAUUUUUACAUUAAUCCACAAGCAAUUUUUAUUAUUGUUCGUGUUAUUUUUGACCUGUCAAGUUAAUCGAGUCAUAUUGUGUCAACUUUCAUGUUUUUAUUUGUAUUUAAAAUUUGAAUGAAAUAAUUCCAGGUUAAUUUAUUUUUAAAUUUAAAUUUAAAUUAUAUUUAUUAAAUUAUAUAUAUAACCCCAAAAAAACAUGCCAAAAUACCCCAAUAAAAAUCAAUGCAGAGCCUUAAUAUACGUACGGGACUUGUUAUAGAUUUCUUUAAAUUGCUUGAAAACGACUCCGAAGUCCAUGCCAUGUACGCGAAGAAAAAGUGACUCUAGAGACAAGGCCAUCUAAUUAAUUAGGAAACAUUUAUUAUCUUUUACGGCAUUAAAAAUGAGCAGAAGGAGGACUCACUGUAACCCUUCUUAUAAUUUUUUUAUCCACCGUAAUAAUUAUUUUGUUAUUCUUAUAAAAUAUAAAGAUAUUUGUUGUUAAUUGUAAAUUUGGUUGAGAGUAGUUACUGUUAUCUAUUUUUUUUAAUUUUCUAAACUAAAUAAAAAAAUAAACACCAUAAACAAAAAUAAUUUUCUAAAUUAAAUAAAAAUAACUAAAAAAUAAAUAAUUUCCCCUAACAAUCCUCGUGUACUUAUCCUGAGUUAUUUAAUUGUUUGUCUCUAGCUACUGGGGAGCACCGCCAUGAAAAGUUGUGUGAGUGCCUUUGCGCUUCAUGGAUUUCUAACAUAUAAUCAUCCGACUCAGAUAAAAUAUGCCAAGAAUCAGUCCCACUCUCCACUACCAAAUCAUUCUUUAUUGAUGAUGUUUGGACAGUACUGCGGAAGAAGAUGAAGUUCUAGAAUCUAAAUUAUAUUUCUAUCGCAAAACCAUAUAUCAAAUCGAUGUAUGGACAAGUGAAUUCGCAUCAGAAUCCCAUGCAACUUUUCAAACGAGCAGCUAACUCUUUAGAAAUAUUAUAUUGAUAAUUGGCAUAUUCAAAAGUGUACGAGGAUCGAUGACCAAUCUUCAGGUUACUUUGAAAUUCAACAGUUAUAGAAAACAAUAUAGCCCUGAAGUCCAGCUUUAGGUGCAUGUUUUCUGCCUUCUGCACAUAUUUAAAACAAUCGCAUUAUCAGUAUGAACAAAAAGUCGCAUUAUCUUCGCUCUUUUCUCCAAAUAUUUGACACACGGGAAAAAUAAACCUAGUUGUUAAUCUAUAGCAUACCUAAAACCAUCUUCUUUGCGUAAAAAUACAUCAGUCAUGCUAAAACGUCCUGAUACUUUAUCAAAUAGAUAAUAAAUUUAUAUUUUACCAAGUAUAAGAUAUCAGUAAGCCACCUUUUAUUCAUAAAAAAAGUCUACCAGCCACCUUAGUGUUGGUAAAGGCGAAUCGAGAGUCAACAUUCAACACUACAAAGUACAAACUACUCAAUUUAAUGGAAAGAAAAAACAAAUAAAAAGUACACAUAUAAGAUUUAAUGUGGGUCAUUAAGCAAAAUUCUAUCUACUCGGCAGACCUAGAGUAACCAUUCUUUACUUGAGAGGAAAUAUAAGAAUAUCAACGUGAUUUUUAUACUUGAAUAUAAAUUCCAAAACUUCUUUGGUAAACCUACUCACUCACUCAAAAGAAAAAAAUUUGAUGAACAAGAAAGAAAACAGCUUGGUGACUAUUCUCAUAGGCAAAGCCAUGAUGAUUCGUAGAUAAGGGGGAUACAAAUAAAAAUACUAUCCCUUCACACAAAUUUAUGUAUAACUUUUUUAUACAUUUCUAAGAAUUAUCUUUAUAAUUAAUUGCUUAUUAUUAUUUUUAUUUAAAAUAGUUUUAAAAAUAAAAGAAAAUUGAAACUUAAGAAACAUGUUUAAUAAAAAUAAAAAAGGUUAACGGACGCAUGUUAUGUGAUUCGAAGAGUUAUUAUUCUGUCUUAUAUAACAAUGCUAUAACAAAAGGCUGAUAUUAAAUAUAUUACCAUCGAUAGUAGUUUAAGAUUUACCAGACUUGAAUCUAAUGAGAUUCUCGUUAUAAAAUAUAUGUUCUUAUUCAUAGAGUUUAUAAAGGUUAUUACCCUUUUUUAUAUUGUUGAAAUGAUGUCAAAGUCUUAAAGACUGUUAGCCAUGUGUUACUAAUUAACUUCUGAUUUUUUGCAUUGUACGUCGUACAUAAUUGCUGGAAGAUAAAACAAUUUAUUUUUUAUUCGUUUUUUUUUUAUCUAUUUUACAUGCAAAAGUUAUCUUAGAAUACUUUUAACCAGAUAUAUUUUAAAAAAAAACCGCAACUAAAAGUGUUUUUGUUACAUUUAUUUUUUCAAAUCAUAACUAUAAAAGCUAUCAUUAUUGUAUGUUUGGUAAUGUGAUGUAGAAUGAUUUUACAAAAAUAUUUUUCAAUUAAAAAUAUAUUAAAAUAAUUUUUUUCAAUUUAAAAAACACUUCAAAAUCAUUAAAAAAUACUUAAAAAUUAAUUAACAACAUUAAUUUAAUAUUUUUUAAAAUUAAAUACAGUUUCCAAAGUUAUUAAUUUAAAUCAAAAAAUUAAAUGAACAAGUUUUUCCUUUAUAUUAUACUAUAUACUAAAAGAUAGCAGCCUUUCAUUGUGGAUUCGUAUAGUGAAAGACUAAAGGCUGAUUUUAUCCUUUAGUGAGCAAAGUAGCAUGCCUUGAAUUUAGAGAUAUAAUGGUUUUUUUCAUGGGAUACAUUGGUCAUUGUUUCAAAGGGAAGGGCUAAAUGAUAUUCUUGCAUUUUCUUUGCACAAUGUGAUGAUUUAAUUACCCUUGUAAAAAAAUCUUGGGUCUAGGGGGCUUAUUAAUCCUUGACUUGAUUUUUCAACAAGUAUGUUACUUCUUUGCCCUUGAAAAUUUAAAACAAUUAUCUUUGACUCUAACGCUUUUUUGUCAUUUAGAUGUGGUCAUUUAGUAGUUAUUGGGUGUCGUUGGAGAUAAUAAAAUAAUUUGGUAAAUUAAAAAAAAAACAGAAUCAUGUGAACAAUGUUUGCCACCUCCGAACGGUGUGUGUAGCGUCAUUCAAUAGCCAAAAUGGUGAUUCCAGGGAGGCUUCUGAAGAAUCUCAACCCCCCCCCCCCAAUGAAUCAAUGACGCGUGUAGCACUAUAGUGGUUGGUGUGACGCGUGUGACCUUUUGUUUUUUUCCCCUCUCUCCUACUCGAUUUUCAUGUUGGGAUUAGAAAAUCAAAUUAGUCCCUAAAGUUUAUUGUACUUAUGAUUUCAUCCCUAUUCUCUUUAUUAUAAUUUUUAAAUUUAGAAUACUUUAUGAAAUUAUGUGAAAUUAUGUGGUUUUUUCAAUUUCAUCUUUAUUCUCUUUGUUGCAUUUUUUUAAUUUAGAAUAGUCUACUAAAUUAAUAAUUGUUUUCAAUUUCAGAUGGUUUUCACAAUUGUUUUUUUUUUUCAAUUUCAUUAUUUUUUAGUUUUUUUCCUAUUAAAUCUAAUCUUUUUUUAUUAUUGUAUUUUUUUUGACCUUGCAAGAUUUUUUUAGAUUGAUUUUUUUUUAUUAUGUCAUCCUCCAACAUUUAAUUAGCCGAGUCUUUAGCUUCUUAGUGGAGUCUGAGUCUAAAAUUUAAUGGUUUAUUGGUUUAAGAGAUUGACCCCAGUUUCUUUGUUUUUUUUUUCCUUUUUUUUUCCAUCCUCUAGCAUUUUGUUAUUUUUUAAUUCACUUUAUAUUGUAUUUUUUAGUCUUUUUAAAAAUAACGCAGAUUGCCUUGGUUUUUUUUUUUUUUUGUCUUUGUUGAAUUUAGUUUUUAUGAAGGAAUUUUAUUUUUAAAUUGAAUUAAAUUGAUUGAUUUUAUCUUUCAACUUUUAAUUUUUUAGGUGUUGAGCUCUUGCGUUGAGCUUGGGUCAAGAAUUUAAUGGAUUGCGGGUUUGAGAGUUUAACCCGAGUUUAUAGGGUUCACUCGGGCUUCUUUGGUGUUUUGUUUCUUUUUUUAAUCUCUUUUCUUUUUCAUAUUUCAACCUAUAACAUUCUUUUUUUACUCUCUUUUUAUAGGAUUUAUCUUUCUUUUUUAAAAUAACAAGGGUUGCCUCAAAGUUUUUUCUUUCAAUCUUUGUUAAAUUUUGCUUCUUUAAAAGGAUUUUUUAAUUAAAUUAAUUUUUUUAAUUUCAUCCUCGUGUAUUUAAAUUGAGGCAAUACAUGAGAGAAUUUUUUUUUAAUUAAGUUUUUUGAAAAUUGGUAUUUGUUUUUCCAUUUUUUUCUAUAAAGUUAUCCUGAUAUUAUGUCUCAAGUCAUCGAUUCAAUAGAUUUACCAAGUUUGACUUAGGUAUUUUUUUCAUUUCUUUUUAUUUGUUUUAUCUUGAGUCAAUGAUCAAAAUCUUAAUUUUUUUUAAAAAAAAUGCAUCGUCAUAGUGUUUUUUUUACUUGGUUUUUUUUUUCUAAAUCUAUAUUUCUUUCUCUAUUUUCAUACUUCAACAUUUAGUUUAUUAGAGACCGGGUUUAAUAAUUUAUUGUAGUUUGCUUUAUAUAUGGUUAGUUCAGUUUCUUUAUACGCUAUAAACUAAAAGAGGUGGUGAAUUUACUAUUUACCGCCUCACAAAACACUAUUCAUUCCAAUAAUAUUUUUUUAAUUUUGUUUUUUGUUUUCUAAAUCUAUAUAUUAUUUCUCUAAUUUCAUAUUUCAACAUUUAGUUUAUUGGAGACUGAGCUUACUAAUUUAUAAUAGUUUGCUUUAUAUAUGGUUAGCUAAGUCUAAUAACUCGUAUUACGGGUUUGACGAGUUAGCUCAAUUUUUUUUUUUGUCUUUUUAUAAUUGGUAUUUUUUAAUUUUAUCAUUCAAUAUUGGGUUAAUUAUGAAUUAAGCUUCAUGAUUUAUUUUGAUUUGUUUUUUAUGAGGUUAUCCUGGUUUUAUGACUCAGGUCACGUGUUUUACGAAUUAAGUCGUGUAGACUCAGGUCUUUUAUUAUAUAAUAUUUUUAGAUUGAUUUUUUUUUUCAAUUUCAACCUUAAACAAUAAGUUUAUUGAAAAUUAAGAUUUAUAAUUUGUUUUGAUUUACUUUUUAUAAAGUUAUCACAAUCUCAUGACCUUGGUUGCGGGUUUGGCAAGUUAAUCUAGGUUGAGACUCACGCUAUUUUUUUUGUUUACUUUCUAUGAAAAAUUAAAAUAGUUUAGUAAUAAAAUUAAUAUAAAAAAUAAAUUGGGUGCAAAAUUGAUAACACCCAUGUAGUUUAAUGGUAUAUUUUUUUUUUAAACAAAAGGCUAUCAUUUUGAAAGUUUUAUUAAAAAGUCAUGUUUUUAACAAUCAUUAAGAUUGUAUUUUGAUCCAUAAAAUCAAUUAAUUUAAUUUAAGUUAAAUUUUACAUGAUUUAAUUAAAAACUUGAGUUAGAUAAAAAAAAACUAAAUUAUAAAAUUAACUUAUUAAAUCAAUAAUAUAAUUAAAAGAUCUUCAUGCUUUUAAUAUUUUUUUACAUUUAAAAAAAAUUAUCCAAUGAAUAACAGUUCAAUAAACUAGUAGAAGUUAGAUCAUGAGACACUCACAUCAGCUGAACUACUUCAUGAUUGAUAUGUUUUAAAUUAGCAAUUAAAAUAUCAAAGGAUUUCUGGGACACUCCCAAUGAUAUUAAUUUGUAAAAUACUUAAUUUUUUUAGGUAAUUGUAACAUAAAUCCUUAAUUGAAAAAUAAAAAUAGUUUACUAAUAAAAUUAAUAUAAAAAAUAAAUUGGGUGCAAAAUUGAUAACACCCAUGUAGUUUAAUGGUAUUUUUUUUUAAAAAAAGCUAUCAUUUUAAAAGUUUUAUUAAAAAUUAAGUCAUGUUUUUAUCAGUUAUUAAAAUUAUAUUUUAAUCCAUAAAAUCAAUCAAUUUAAUUUAAGCUAACUUUUACAUGAUUUAAUUAGAAAGUUAGAUAAAAAAAACUAAAUUGCAUGAUUUUAUAAUUAACUUAUUAAACCAGAUUUAAUAAUAUAAUUAAAAGAUUCUUCAUGAUUCUUCAAAAUUUACAUGAUUUAAUUAGAAAGUUAGAUAGAAACUAGAUCAUAAGACACUAACGUCAGAUGAACUACUUCAUGAUUGAUAUGCUUUAAAUGAGCAAUUAAAAUAUCAAAGGAUUUCUAGGAUACUCCCAAGAUGUUUAAUUAUUAGAGGGUUAAUUUUAGUUCCCUGAUAUCUUCUGAUUGUUGCUGGUUGUAGAUUUCCUCCUUCUUCCAUCUUGAUGACUGCUACUCAUAUCAAAGGAUUUGCAAACUAAAUUCAUGUUUUUUUUUUUUUUUUUUUUUUUUUUUUUUUUAAGUUGAAAAUUCAGUUGAAUCAACCAGAUCAGAUCAGAUCAGAUCAGAUCUAGAUUUAAUCAACUUAAUUUUAUUUGAAAAUGACAGGGAAUUGACAUUCUUAACUUUAUUUGUUUGUCAUUAUCUUUAUAUUAUGCUUUUUAUCUUAAUUAUUUCAUAAAAUUGCAUUUUUAUGGGAAUUGCUGCUUUAAACUCAUAAGUGUAAACUAUUUUGUUUCAAUGUAUUCGUUAGAUCGGUGGUAUGCUAUCUUUCACUAAUGAAAUUCUGUUUAUUGGUUUUGAGAAGAAAAAAAAAAGUAUUUCUAUCUUUGUUUUAUGGAAAAAGCACAUAGAUCCAAGAACUAGAUAUAACAAAAGAUAUUCGAGGAAAUGAGUGUUUAAAAUUAGAUAAAGCUGUUGUGUAAAUAAGCGUAUGAUGCAGAGAUAGUCAUUACAGAUUUUAGUUGGCUAAGAUUGAUCCUUUGUUGAGUUCGUUCCAUUAAUUAUACUUCCUUGCAAGUCUUUUUUGUCUCCUUAUUCAUAACUUUUUUUUUUAAAAAAAAACAUUGACCUAUCAUAGCUUUAGAUUGAUUAGAUGAGUUGUUGGAAGCGAUGAGCAGCUCGUAUCAUUCGUGCAGGUGUCAAAGUGAUCAUCAUCAACCUUCCAUACAGAGAGACUGGUGGAAAAUGGCUAUCGAAAGUGUUGGUGGGUCCGUUGUAUCUAAGAUAGCAGAGCUCUUGGUGGAACCAGCAAUCAAGCAGUUCCGUUACAUGUUCUGUUUCAACAAUUUUGUUCAAGAAUUCGAUGAACAAAUGAUGAACCUGGCUUUGGCAUUUUAUCGUCUGCAAGAUGCUGUCAACGUAGCUGAAAGGAAUGCUGAAGAAAUUGAGAUUGAUGUCAACACAUGGCUGGAAAAUGCAAAAAACGAAAUUGAAGGUGUGAAUCGUUUGCAAAAUGAAAAAGGAAAAAUCAUCAAAUGCUUUACUUGGUGUCCAAAUUCGAUGCGACAAUUCAAGUUAAGCAAGGCACUGGCAAAGAAGACGGAGACUUUGAGAAAACUUGAAGAAAAUAGCAGAAAGUUUCCAAAAGUGUCCCACAAAGCACCUCUUCAAGAGAUAAAAUUUCUUCCAUCAAAGGAAUUCACACUCUCAGGAUCGUCAAAAGAAGCUUUCAAACAGAUUAUGAAAGCUCUCAAAGAUGACAAGGUCAAUAUGAUCGGACUGUACGGCAUGGGAGGGGUGGGUAAAACCACCCUGGUGAAAGAAGUAGGCAGGAGAGCCAAAGAGUUGCACCUUUUUGAUGAAGUUUUGAUAGCUACGGUGUCCCAGAAUCCAAAUGCCACAGGCAUCCAGGAUCAAAUGGCAGAUAGUUUAGAUCUGCAAUUUGACAAGAAGAGUAAAGAAGGGAGAGCAAAAGAACUAUGGCAGAGACUGCAGGGAAAGAAGAUGCUUAUAGUCCUGGAUGAUGUUUGGAAAGAUAUUGACUUCCAAGAGAUAGGGAUCCCAUUUGGUGAUGAUCACAGGGGUUGUAAAAUUCUUCUAACAACACGUCUUGAAGACAUGUGUUCUUAUAUGAAGUGCAAGGAAAAAGUUUUUUUAUGUCUCUUUUCUAAAGAGGAAGCAUGGGCUUUAUUCAGAAUCAAUGCAGCUUUACGUGACGAGGACUCUACCUUGAACAGGGUGGCAAAGAAGGUUGCGAGAGAAUGUAAUGGAUUGCCUGUAGCACUUGUGACAGUGGGAAGGGCUCUAAGAGAUAAAUCUGUUGUUGAGUGGGAAGUAGCGUCUGAAGAGCUCAAAAACUCUCAAUUUCGGCAUUUGGAACAAAUUGACGGACAAAAAAAUGCAUAUGCAUGUCUUAAGUUGAGCUAUGAUUAUUUGACGUCCGAUGAAACCAAGUCAUGUUUCUUGCUAUGCUGUUUAUUUCCAGAAGAUUACGACAUUCCGAUUGAGGACUUGACGAGAUACGCAGUUGGCUAUGGGUUACAUAAAGAUGCGGAGUCCAUUGAAGAUGCAAGGAAACGAGUUUAUGUGGCAAUCAAAAACCUCAAAGCUUGUUGUAUGCUGUUAGGAACUUUUAGUGAAGAAUAUGUCAAAAUGCAUGACUUGGUUCGUGAUGUUGCUAUUCGGAUAGCAUCAUCAGAAAAAUACGGAUUCAUGGUAAAGGCUGGCAUUGGGUUGCUAGAGUGGCCAACGAGCAAUAAAAGCUUUGAAGGUUGUACAACAAUUUCGUUAAUGGGCAAUAAACUAGCAGAACUUCCUGAAGGAUUGGUGUGUCCACAGCUCAAAGUUCUAUUGUUAGGACUGGAUCGUGGUUUGAAUGUUCCAGAGAGGUUUUUUGAAGGGAUGAAAGCAAUAGAAGUUUUGUCUCUAAAGGGAGGGUGUUUGUCAUUGCAAUCACUUCAAUUCUCAACGAACCUUCAAUCGUUGCUGUUGAUCGAGUGUGAAUGCAAGGACCUCAUUUGGUUGAGAAAGCUGCAAAGACUUAAUAUUCUUGUUUUCAGGCGGUGCGGCUCCAUUGAAGAAUUACCUGAUGAAAUUGGGGAGCUCAAGGAGUUGAGGUUGUUGGAUUUGACAGGUUGUGAAAAUCUAAGAAGGAUUCCUGUGAAUUUGAUAGGAAGGUUGAAGAAGUUAGAAGAACUGCUGAUCGGGGAUCGGAGCUUCAAGGGAUGGGAUGUUGUUGGAUGUGACAGCACAGAAGGAAUGAAUGCAAGCCUAACAGAACUAAACUCGUUGUCUCAUUUAGCUGUAUUAUCAUUGAAGAUACCGAAGGUUGAAUGCAUUCCCAGAGAUUUUGUUUUUCCCAGGUUGCUCAAAUAUGAUAUAGUGUUAGGGGAUUGGUAUUCAGGACCCCAUAAAGAAUACCCAACCUCGACAAGAUUAUAUUUGGGUGAUAUAAGCGCCACAUCCUUAAAUGCAAAGACAUUUGAGCAGUUGUUUCCUACCGUGUCUCAUAUUUGGUUUUGGAGAGUGGAGGGUUUAAGAAAUAUAGUAUUGUCCUCUGAUCAGAUGACCUCCCAUGGCCAUGGGUCGCAAAAGGACUUCUUUCAAAGAUUAGAAUAUGUAGCAGUGAGAGAAUGUGAUGAUAUUCGCACUCUGUUUCCAGCAAAAUGGCGGCAAGCUUUGAAAAAUCUAAGGAGAGUGGAAAUUGAAGACUGCCAAUCAUUGGAUGAAGGAAUUAACGAGGAGAAGGAGCUGCCAUUUUUAACGGAGUUACAGCUGUCCUGGUUACCUGAGCUCAAAUGUAUAUGGAAGGGGCCCACUAGACAUGUCAGCCUCCAAAGUCUUACUCGUCUGGAGCUCAGAUGUCUUAACAAACUGACAUUUAUCUUUACUCCGUCCCUCGCUCAAAGUUUUAUUCAUCUGGAAACGCUACGGAUAGAAAAUUGCCAUGGAUUGAAGCGUCUUAUCAGAGAACAGGAUGACGAAAUCAGGACAGAGUCUCUUGGCUUCCCAAAAUUAAAAAAUCUCUCUAUAAUAUUCUGUGAUAAACUUGAAUAUGUCUUCCCUGUCUCCGUGUCUCCAAGUCUUCAGAACCUGGAAGAGAUGCAGAUUGUUUUUGCUGACAAUUUAAAGUCUCUUGUAUUUUACAGUGGAGAAGGAGAUGACAUCAUCGUCAAGUCUAAAAUUAAAGAUGGCAUCAUCGACUUCCCUCAGCUAAGAGAAUUGUCUCUUUCAAAGUGCAGCUUUUUUGGUCCAAAGGAUUUUGCUGCCCUAUUGCCUUCUUUGCAAUGUCUAAGGAUCUCUGGCCUUGAAGAAUGGGGUAAUUUGUUGGCACAGCUUCGAGUACGUCCUUUAAAUUGUCAACUUCAAUACAUUGUGAUAAUUUGUUCUAUCUUCCUCCAAAUUUCUAAAACUAAACUAAACUAAACUUCCACUGAAUUUAAUUGAUGAUUUAAAUUGGCUUAGGAAGUUAGACAUCAAUUACUGUAAUAUAAUUUCUUAUCUCAUCCUUCAGAUUCUAAAACUAAAGUAGUGGAUAAAUCCUUUAGCCAUCCACUGAAUUUAAAAGGAGUGAAAUUGAGGCUCUUCCGCCAAUUAAUGGAAAGUAUUUGGACAGAACGAUAAAGCUCCGUCUGAGAAUAUUGAGUUUUUUGUUUCAGUGCUGCAACUUAUGAUGUCAUGGUUCAAAAAAUUAAUAAAAAUUGGUUUUUUUAUCCAAUUUUUUAAGCAAUUAGAUUCAAAAAGCAAAAAUUGAAACUUUCUUUUUAAAUGCAAUAUUUUUCUCAUUCAAAGAACUUCAAAAGCACCAAAUUUGUAUUGAGUUCCAAAAACAUAUUUUUUUAAUAUUUUUUUCAUUUUUUUUACGAUUUGUUUUCACUUUUUUUUAUGAAAAAAAUAAUUUAAAUGAUCAAUAAUCAAGCAUUUUUAUUAAAAAAAUUUACUAAUAUGUAAAAUUCAAAUUAUUUUCUUUUAUAUUUUUAUUUUUGAAAAAUGUCAUAAUUGUUUUUUUUUAUUAUAAAUCGAAUAUAAAAAAAUAAUUUUUUUGAGUUUAAGUAUAAUUUUUCAUGAUUGCUUUUAAUUUAACUACUAUAAAAUAAUAGUUUGUAUUCAGAUUAUCAUAAAUAUGAAAAAAUAUGAUUUUAUAUUCCCAUGACCCGUUGCCUUGUCUAUCUAUAUCUUCUUGUUGAUAAGUAUUUCGGUAUUGGGAAUAAUUGGUUCAUCUAUUUAACAAAAUUAUAUAAUAGUUUCAAAGUGCACAAAAAUUACUAGGAAUUAUAUCUAAUAAAUUGGUACCCUUAUUUUCUUUUGAUGCAGGGGUUUACAAGUUUGGAAACAUUGAAGUUGUCCUCCCUGCUUGUGCCUGACUUGAGGUGUAUAUGGAAGGGUCUCGUGCCAUGCAAUUUGACUACUUUGGAGGUGAAAGAGUGUAAGAGGCUGACACAUGUAUUCACAGACAGCAUGAUUGCUAGUCUUGUUCAACUGAAAGUUCUAGAGAUAUCAAAUUGUGAGGAAUUGGAGCAAAUCAUUGCUAAGGAUAAUGAUGAUGAAAAGGAUCAGAUAUUUUCAGGAAGUGAUCUCCAAUCUGCAUGCUUUCCUAAUUUGUGUCGACUUGAGAUUAGAGGAUGCAACAAGUUGAAGAAGUUGGAGGUGGAUGGAUGCCCAAAGCUGACCAUAGAAUCUGCUACUACAUCAAAUGACUCAAUGAGUGGUCAAUCAGAGGUGCUGCUGAUUUGACUUGAUUUCUUGCCUCUCAUUUAGUUUUAAAAGUGCGCAAUAAUUACUAUGAAUUACAUCUAACAACUUGGUACCCUUGUUUUCUUUUGAUGCAGGGGUUUAUGAAUUUGAAAGAAAUAUCUAUUGGAAACUUGGAAGGAGUACAAGAUUUAAUGCAAUUUGAACGUUUGGUAACUAAUAGAAGAGGUGGGCAUGAACUUUCACUCGUGAGUUUGGAAACAUUACAGUUGAACUUAUUGCCUGACUUGAGGUGUAUAUGGAAGGGCCUAGUGCCGAGCAAUUUGACUACUUUGAAGGUGAAAAGGUGUAACAGACUGACACAUGUAUUCACAGACAGCAUGAUUGCUAGUCUAGUUCAACUGAAAGUUCUAGAGAUAUCAAACUGUGAGGAAUUGGAGCAAAUCAUUGCUAAGGAUAAUGAUGAUGAAAAGGAUCAGAUAUUUUCAGGAAGUGAUCUCCAAUCUGCAUGCUUUCCUAAUUUGUGUCGACUUGAGAUCAGAGGAUGCAACAAGUUGAAGAGUCUCUUCCCAGAAGCCAUGGCUUCAGGUCUCAAAAAGCUCCAAAUACUUAAAGUAAGAGAAUCCUCUCAAUUAUUGGGAGUAUUUGGGCAGGAUGAUCAUGCUUCACCUGUCAAUGUUGAGAAGGAGAUGAUGCUCCCUGAUCUGCAGGAGUUGUUGCUUGUACAAUUACCAAGUAUUUCCUGCUUUAGUCUCGGAUGUUAUGAUUUCUUGUUCCCUCAUUUGAAGAAGUUGGAGGUGGAUGGAUGCCCAAAGCUGACCACAGAAUCUGCUACUACAUCAAAUGACUCAAUGAGUGCUCAAUCAGAGGUGCUGCUGAUUUGACUUGAUUUCGUGCCUCUUAUUUAGUUUUAAAAGUGCGCAAUAAUUACUAUGAAUUACAUCUAACAAAUUGGUACCCUUGUUUUCUUUUGAUGCAGGGGUUUAUGAAUUUGAAAGAAAUAUCUAUUGGAAACUUGGAAGGAGUACAAGAUUUAAUGCAAGUUGGACGUUUGGUAACUAAUAGAAGAGGUGGGCGUGAACUUUCACUCGUUAGUUUGGAAACAUUACGCUUGAACUUAUUGCCAGACUUGAGGUGUAUAUGGAAGGGUAUCCUGCCGAGCAAUUUGACUACUUUGAAGGUGAACGACUGUAAGAGACUGACACAUGUAUUCACAGACAGCAUGAUUGCUAGUCUAGUUCAACUGAAAGUUCUAGAGAUAUCAGCUUGUGAGGAAUUGGAGCAAAUCGUUGCUAAGGAUAAUGAUGAUGAAAAGGAUCAGAUAUUUUCAGGAAGUGAUCUCCAAUCUGCAUGCUUUCCUAAUUUGUGUCGACUUGAGAUUAGAGGAUGCAACAAGUUGAAGAAGUUGGAGGUGGAUGGAUGCCCAAAGCUGACCAUAGAAUCUGCUACUACAUCAAAUGACUCAAUGAGUGGUCAAUCAGAGGUGCUGCUGAUUUGACUUGAUUUCUUGCCUCUCAUUUAGUUUUAAAAGUGCGCAAUAAUUACUAUGAAUUACAUCUAACAACUUGGUACCCUUGUUUUCUUUUGAUGCAGGGGUUUAUGAAUUUGAAAGAAAUAUCUAUUGGAAACUUGGAAGGAGUACAAGAUGUUAGCGUGAGCUGUACAGUUUAGGAAUUAAUGUUGGCGUGAGCUGUAGAAUCCAAUAUAGGAAUUAUAUUUUUAAUAUUCUGUAAUUGUAUAUAUCCCAAUAUAUAUGGGAUUAAUGUUACUUACCUAGAUAGUUAUCUUGGGAAGGGUUUCUCUAUAUAAGAGAACCACUCUGUAACGUUUGAAGAAUAAGAAAAAGAAGGGAAUACACAGGGCGGCUGCUCUCUGAUUUAUCAUGGUAUCAGAGCUACGUUCCAUUAUUUGUUUCUUGAAGAUCUAGCAAACAACCUAAGGAAAAUAAAGCAUGGCCACACCAAUUGACUUGAUUGAACAAGAACAACCGAAUACAGCUACAACUCUUGAUGAUCUCACGACGAGAAUGGCUCAAAUUGUAACCCAAAACCAGACCCAGACCCCAUCAGUAAUCUAUGAUACUGUUGCUGUACCGAUUGGUAUCAAACUUGAUGGUACCAACUAUGCUUUAUGGUCCCAAAUUGUGGAGAUGUAUAUCUCAGGAAAAGACAAGUUGGGAUACAUAAAUGGUGACCUUCCACAACCAGAACCGAAUGAUCCCCACUUCAGGAGAUGGAGAACAGAAAACUCUAUUGUUAAGGGAUGGCUUAUUAACUCAAUGGAGCCGUCUCUCAUAGGAAACUUUAUCCGAUUUUCCACGGCCAAACAGGUAUGGGACUCGAUCGCCACUACUUACUUUGAUGGAUCCGAUACUUCUCAGGUGUAUGAUUUGAAGCGACGAGUAACACGAAUGAAACAAUCAGGAGAGUCCAUUGAAACAUACUACAAUUGCCUCCAAGGCUUAUGGAGGGAAAUUGAUUUCCGUAGACCAAAUCCUAUGGAAUGUGCUGUUGAUAUUCAAAAGUAUAAUGCUUUGCUUCAAGAGGAUCGAGUGUAUACUUUUUUGGAUGGACUAGAUGAUAGGCUGGACAAUAUACGUAGUGAUGUGCUCCAACUGAAACCUUUCCCAACGGUUGAACAAGCUUAUGCCUAUGUUCGAAGGGAAGCUAUUAGACAGACGGUUAUGCUCACUAAUAAUGGAAAUUCUCCUGCUGCAGCAAUGGUUUCUAGGGGAGGGAAAGCCUACUUACCUCGACAGCAAGCACUCCAAAUAACCAGAUCAGGGACGUCUUCAUCAAGAGGGCGUAACAAUUAUCACCUAGCAAAGACUAAAGGACAGGUGGAGAGUGAAAGCAGUGGCUGUUCUCAUUGUGGAAACAUGAAGCAUACACGGGACACUUGCUUCAAACUGCAUGGCUAUCCAGAAUGGUGGAAUGAAUUAAAAACACGGAAGCAGAGGGUUGUUGCUGGGGACACAGGACAAGCAUCUUUGGCAGACACUAAGCCACAAUUAUCGUUAGCUCCACUUGUAGAAUCUGGAGACGAUGCCAUAAUUCUGCCUAAGGAUCAAGGUAAUACAGGAACUAAAACCGACUGGAUAGUGGACUCUGGUGCAACGGAUCACAUGACUUUUUGUUCAGGAGACUUUGCUAAUACUACAGAACCAAGGCGAACUGGUAUAACCAAUGCCAAUGGGGUUGUCUACCCUGUCACAGGAGCUGGAACAGUGCACAUAUCACCCUCCAUAUCAUUAACCAAUACUUUAUUAGUGCCUUCUCUAUCAAAUAAAUUGUUAUCUGUGAGCCAAGUUACCGAAGACCUAAACUGUGUAGCACUAAUGUAUCCAAAAUUUUGCCUUUUUCAGGAUAUUCUCACGGAGGAGAUCAUUGGGCGUCGUACUAAGAGAGAGGGGUUAUACUACAUGGAUGACUUUAAUUCCGGCAGAGUCAACACCGUGAGUCGAUCUUUACUGACAAAAGAAAACCAGAUUUGGCUAUGGCAUUAUCGGUUGGGACAUCCAUCUUUUAGCUACAUGAAGUAUUUAUUUCCGAAAUUGUUUUUGAAUUUGAAUUAUUCAGACUUUAAAUGUGAAACUUGCAUCCUUGCCAAGAGUCAUCGUGUAUCCUUUCCGAUUAGCUUGAAUAAAAGUGAUACUCCUUUUGCCUUGGUUCACUCUGAUGUUUGGGGACCAUCUCCCAUUACCACUGUCUCUGGCAUACGUUGGUUUGUUACCUUCGUGGAUGAUUGUACUAGGAUGACAUGGCUCUAUUUACUGAAGCGCAAAAAUGAAGUUUUUGAUGUGUUUCGUAUGUUUCACGCUAUGGUUCAUAAUCAAUUUUCAGCAAACAUACGGAUUUUUCGAUCGGAUAAUGGGGGAGAAUAUGUGAAUAAUAACUUUUCAGCAUUUUUUCACAGGAACGGUAUUCUCCAUGAAUUAUCCUGUAGUCAAACUCCACAACAAAAUGGAGUGGCAGAACGGAAAAACCGACAUAUUCUAGAAACUGCACGGGCAUUAUUAUUUGGAGCACAGGUGCCUAGUAGACAUUGGGAUGAUAGUGUUACUACUGCUGUCUAUUUAUUGAAUCGAAUGCCUUCAAAAACCUUGGACUUCAAGACUCCUCUACAGGUUUUGUCACGACAUGUUACUCUACCAUCUAUACUGUUACUUCCACCGCGUGUGUUCGGCUGCGUGACAUUUGUUCAUAUACAUAAACAUCAACGAACAAAACUUGAACCGUGUGCUGUUCGUUGUAUGUUUCUUGGGUAUGGCUCGAAUAAGAAGGGAUUCCGCUGCUAUGAUCCUAAAACCAAACGACUCUAUACUACAAUGGAUGUUACUUUCCUAGAGUCAGAAUAUUUUUACUCAUCCACGACAUCAACUUCUCCUCUCUAGGGGGAGACGUGGGAUGAAGAGAAGAAGUGGUGGAACACUGAAGCUGCUGAGAAUAUGGUAACGGUUUCAACCCCAGCUGAGACUGAAGCUGCUGAGAGUAUAUCCACGGGUCCAACUGAGGCUGCUGAUAUAGCCACGGUUCCAAACAUGGUAGCUGAAGGUGUUGCAGAGACAGAGUGCAUUAAUAACAGUAAGACAGUUGAUGAGGAGGACCAACAAACUGCACCCGACAGAAUGAGUAAAACCCCCUCUCUUGAAGUACCCGACAAUGAAACUCCUUUGCAUGAGGAUAUUCCUGAGGUAAUUUCUCCUACACCAUCCACCAGUAAUAUUUUGAAUUCUUCUGCUAGCUAUCACUUACCUUUCAGGCAGAACAGAGGCAAGCCUCCAGCCCGGUACUCACCAGAUAUGGCAGGAAAGAAAUCAAAGUACCCCGUCUCCAAUUAUGUAUCCACACAAAGACUGCCUAUGCUUCUCAAGGCCUUUGCAUACAAGUUGUCCUCCUGCCAUAUCCCUUAUGGAAUUCAUGAAGCAUUAGCAGAUCCCAAAUGGUCCCAAGCAAUCCAAGAAGAAAUGGCAGCCCUAGAAAAGAACAAAACAUGGGACAUUGUCACAUUACCACAAGGGAAGAAAACCGUUGGGUGUAAGUGGGUAUUCUCCACCAAAUAUAAAGCAGAUGGAUCCAUUGAGCGACACAAGGCAAGAUUGGUAGCGAAGGGGUAGACACAGACUUAUGGGAUAGAUUAUCAGGAGACGUUUUCUCCAGUAGCAAAACUGAACACAGUCAGAGUUUUGUUAUCCUUGACUGCAAAUUUAGAUUGGCCACUACACCAAUUUGAUGUGAAAAAUGCCUUCCUUCAUGGAGACCAUGAGGAGGAAGUGUAUAUGGAUAUCCCACCAGGAUAUACUUCAACCAAACCCGGAACUGUCUGCAGAUUACAACGAGCUUUAUAUGGAUUAAAGCAGUCACCACGCGCAUGGUUUGGUCGAUUUAGCAUGGCUAUGAGAAAGUAUGGUUUUCAACAGAGCAACUCAGAUCAUACCCUCUUCCUGAAGAAGCAACAAGGAAAGGUAAUUGUCCUGAUAAUUUAUGUAGAUGAUAUGAUCAUUACAGGAGAUGAUGAAGAAGAAAUUAAAAGAUUGCAAGAGCAGCUAUUUACCGAAUUUGAAAUGAAGAACUUAGGUGGACUUAAGUACUUCUUAGGGAUUGAAGUGGCUAGAUCAAAGCGGGGAAUUUUUCUCUCACAAAGAAAGUAUGUAUUGGACCUACUGACUGAAGUAGGAAUGCUUGACUGCAAACCGGCAGACACUCCAACCGUUCAGAAUCAAAAACUUGGAUUGUAUCCUGAUCAGGAACCAGCUGAUAAAGACAGGUAUCAACGAUUGGUAGGUAAACUGAUUUACUUAUCUCAUACUCGUCCAGAUAUUUCUUACGCUGCCAGCCUAGUUAGUCAAUUCAUGCAUUGUCCUAGCAAGGAUCACAUGGAUGCAGUUGGUCGAAUACUUCAGUACCUAAAAUCCGCUCCAGGAAGAGGACUUAUGUUCUUGAAGAAUGGUCAUUUGGAUAUUGAAGGUUACACGGAUGCUGACUGGGCAGGAAAUUUGUUUGAUAGAAAAUCUACAUCUGGCUACUUCACUUUCGUCGGUGGUAACUUGGUUACAUGGAGGAGUAAAAAACAGAAAGUGGUAGCUUUGUCGAGUGCCGAGGCUGAGUUCAGAGGAAUGGCUAAAGGCCUUUGCGAACUUCUUUGGAUUAGAAGACUACUCUCUGAAAUUGGUUUCACUCCUAAGUCAGGAAUGAACCUGUACUGCGAUAAUAAAGCUGCAAUUGCAAUUUCUCAAAAUCCAAUUCAGCAUGACCGGACGAAACAUAUCGAGAUAGACCGACAUUUCAUUAAACAGAAUCUUGAAGAAGGAGUGAUUUGCUUUCCUUUUGUUAGAUCAGAAGACCAACUUGCUGAUAUGCUCACAAAGGCUGUCUCCAACAAAAACUUUCGUGACUCACUUAACAAGUUGGGCAUAGAAGAUAUCUUUGCACCAACUUGAGGGGGAGUGUUAGCGUGAGCUGUACAGUUUAGGAAUUAAUGUUGGUGUGAGCUGUAGAAUCCAAUAUAGGAAUUAUAUUUUUAAUAUUCUGUAAUUGUAUAUAUCCCAAUAUAUAUGGGAUUAAUGUUACUUACCUAGAUAGUUAUCUUGGGAAGGGUUUCUCUAUAUAAGAGAACCACUCUGUAACGUUUGAAGAAUAAGAAAAAGAAGGGAAUACACAGGGCGGCUGCUCUCUGAUUUAUCACAAGAUUUAAUGCAAUUUGAACGUUUGGUAACUAAUAGAAGAGGUGGGCAUGAACUUUCACUCGUGAGUUUGGAAACAUUACAGUUGAACUUAUUGCCUGACUUGAGGUGUAUAUGGAAGGGCCUAGUGCCGAGCAAUUUGACUACUUUGAAGGUGAAAAGGUGUAACAGACUGACACAUGUAUUCACAGACAGCAUGAUUGCUAGUCUAGUUCAACUGAAAUUUCUAGAGAUAUCAAAUUGUGAGGAAUUGGAGCAAAUCAUUGCUAAGGAUAAUGAUGAUGAAAAGAAUCAGAUAUUUUCAGGAAGUGACCUCCAAUCUCCAUGCUUCCCUAAUUUGUGUCGACUUGAGAUCACAGGAUGCAACAAGUUGAAGAGUCUCUUCCCGGUAGCCAUGGCUUCAGGUCUCAAAAAGCUCCAGAUACUUAAAGUAAGAGAAUCCUCUCAAUUAUUGGGAGUAUUUGGGCAGGGUGAUCAUGCUUCACCUGUCAAUGUUGAGAAGGAGGUGGUGCUCCCUCAUCUGUUGCAGCUGAUUCUAGAAGAAUUACCAAGCAUUGUCUACUUCAGUCAUGGAUGUUAUGAUUUCAUAUUCCCUCGUUUGUGGAACUUGGAGGUGCGUCAAUGUCCAAAGCUGACCACAAGAUUUGCUACUACAUCAAAUGGUUCAAUGAGUGCUCAAUCAGAGGUGUUGCAUAUUUGACAUGAUUUCUUGCCUCUCUUUAAGUGUUUUUAUUUCUUGUUUCCCUCAAUAAUAAGACUUACAAGUUAGAAUAUGUAUGCCAUGCUUGAAUUGGCUUUGCAGGUAUCUCAAGUAGCUGAGGGUUCCAGCACUGGUUGCUCCGUGCCAACCAGCAGUUGUAGAACGUGGACCUCAUAUAAUGGGUGGGAAGAGGAAAAAGAGGAAGAGGAUGGAGUCAGAUGAUUAGUUUGGCAUUGGAAUUUGAAAAGCAUGCUAGUAAUUCAUUCUUGCAGGUAAAAUGGCUGCAACUAUUUAUCUUGUAUCCUUGUUUAAAUGGUUGGAUUAAAUCAACAAAUACGAGAUGCCUGGAUGAUCUUUGUUCUUGAUGUUUGCAUUAGGUUGGGUUGGUUGGUUACCUAUGUGAUGAUCAACUCGACAUUGGUGGGAAGUAAUUCCAGCUGUUUCAUUAGCUACAACAAUUUGUCUUAUUUCAUGUGUUUGUUGUGUGAACUUCCAGAAAUAUUGUGUGUUUAAUAAUUUAUUGUGCGAACCUUCAAAAAAGGGCUUUUGUUUGUUUGCCCAUUUGUGUUUCUUUUUCAAGUGUCUGAACCUUUGGAAGUUUCCACAGUUCCUGACAGCUUAGGUUAAGGCUACAAUAGGGAGUAGUGUUGUAAUCUUUCAACACCUACUAUGAGACAGAUUGUACUUUAUAACAAAACUCUGUGAAGACAUGGAAGGGGGUCCUGUCAAUUAAUGAAUAAAACUUUGUCAAAAUGAUUGCCAACUUUGCUUUCACGGCAGAUACAAUUAAUUAAUACUUUGAUGGGUAAUGUCAUGUGUUUUUAUACAAUAUUUAUUUUAAUUAAAAAUAUAUUAAAAUAAUAUUUUUUAAAUAUUGAUAUAUUAAAAUUAUUAAAAAAACAUAUAAAAACAUUGAUUUAAUGUUUUUUUUUAAAUUAAAUCAAUUUUAAAAACAUUUUAAGAAAAUAAAUUGAAUAGUAAAAACAAUUGAGAUUGUGGUAAUUAUUGUUUUUCAAGUGUUUUUUAUUAAAAAAUAAAUCAAGAUAAUAUAUUAAUUUAAUUUUUUUAAAAAUUCAUCUACUUUGCCUUCACCAAAAUACAAUUCUUUUGUAUUCUUGUGUCAUUAAACAUUUCAUAGUGAUAGUGCAAUGGAAUCUCGAGAUUUUAAUUUUUUUUUCAUCUUAUUUCUAAAUUUGGAACAAUUACUCAACAUUCUUGCUCUUAUUUUUGAACAAAAUAGACGUGCUAUUUUUAAUAGUUGAUACUAUAUGUCAUAUCAAAUUGAUUAUAUAUAUAUAUAUAUAAUCAAUUUACAAAUUUAUUGACAGAAUAUGAAAUUCCAAUAUAUAAGUAAAAGGAUAAAUCCUCUAGCUUUGAAAAGAAUUAGUGUUUGCCUUUGAGAUUGUAAUAUUUUUUUUCAGCGUAUAUUCAAUUUAAUAUUUUUAAUAAUACAAAUGAAAAUAAACAGCAAAUUUAAUUUAUAAAUGUAACUAUCUCAAAACAAUGUUGAGAAGGAAGAAAGAUUAGUAGAAUAAAAAUAAAAUUAAUAGACUUUUAAAAAGCAAAGAGUUUUUAAUGUUAAAAAUAAUUUUUUUAUUUAAUAGACCCAAUUUUGUAUUUUUUUUUUAAAAGAUAACUCUAUUUUAAUUCUGAUUCUUUAGCAACACAGUUUUUCAUUCACCAUAACACACAUUUUUUUUUUUAAAUAGUUAACAUGUCAUAUUAAUGAGGAGAGGUAUUUGAAUUGGGUGAGGCUGAUGAAGGAACUAACGAGGAGAAGGAGCUGCCGCUGCUGUCAUCUUUAACAGAGUUACGGCUGUACUGGUUACCUGAGCUCAAAUAUAUAUGGAAGGGGCCCACUAGAUAUGCUGAAAUUGUGGUAUCUUACCAAACUGACAUUUAUCUUCACACCGUCCUUGGCUUAGAGUCUUAUUAUUCAUCUGGAAACACUACAGAUAGAACAUUGCGGUGGAUUGAAGCGUCUUAUCAGAGUCUCUUGGAUUUCCAGGAUUAAAAAAUCUCUAUACAAGAGGCUGUGUUAAACUGGAACAUGUCUUCCCUGUCUCCGUGUCUCCAAGUCUUCUGAACAGAUAACGAUUAAAUUUGCUGACAAUUUAAAGCAAAUAUUUUACAGUGGAGAAGGAGAUGCACUCACCAGAGAUGGCAUCAUCAACUUCCCUCGGCUAAGACAAUUGAUUCUUUCAAAGUGCAGCUUUUUUGGCCCAAAGAAUUUUGCUGCCCAAUUGCCUUCUUUGCAAGUGUUAGCCAUUGAAGGCCACGAACAAUUGGGUAAUUUGCGGGCACAGCUACAAGUACGUCUUUUAUAUUUCUCCCCUGAUUUUUUACUUUUAAAUUUAAAUUGUCAAAUUCAAUACAUUGUGAUAAUUUCUUAUUUCUUCCUUCAGAUUUCUAAAACUAAAGUAAUGGAUAAAUGGUAGCAAAUCCUUUAGCCAUCCACUGAAUUUAAAAGGAGUGAAAUUGAGGCCUUUCCGCCAAUUAAUAAAAAAUGGUUUUUUUUAUCCAAUUUUCUAAACAAUUAGAGUCAAAAAGUAAAAAUUGAAACUUUCUUUUUAAAUACAAUAUUUUCACAUUAAAAGACCUUCAAAAGCAACAAAUUUGUAAUUAAACAAAUAUAUUUUUGUCUCUUAUGUAUUUGUUUAUUCUAACUUUAAAUACUAAUUAAACACAGUCUAAUUUUUUUUAAUUUGAUUUAUGAUUUUAAAAAAAAAAACAUUUGAUUAUCACAACAUAGAAUAAAAGUUUAAAAAAGAAACAUUCACGGGCCUACACAAUACAUGAGCUGAUUAAAUGGCGACAAUCCCAUUAGCAAAUUUGUGCUACAAAUGACAAAAUAAAAAUAAACUCAGCAAACAAGAUCAGUCCUAAUUAAUUUUGUCAACUAUUGGCAUAUUCCAAACUAUCAAGCAUUGAACCUUUCCAAAUUAAUUGUUUUUUUUUUUUUCAAUUUGUUUUGGUCUAAUUGCAUUGAUUGGUUGGUUGAUUGAAUGAAUGGUGCAGUCCCCAUUUUCAUUUACUUUUGGCAUUACACAAAAACAUCCCUUUCAAGUUACAAAACGACGUGCAGCUCAGUCAAUGCCUUCAUUGCCUAGCGCCUUCAAAAAAUCAACUGCUUAGUUAGAUUCGUCCUUGGCUUGCUUAGAGCGACAGCCACAUUAAAUGACAGCCACCGAAAUGUUUGACAUGUGGCCUACAAUGUGAAUUAUGUGUUAACAAUUAGCUAAUUUUUUAAUUCUCUUAAUUUAAUUAAUUUAAUUAGUUACGGGGGUGGCUGAUAGGUAGUAUCUAAUAAGUAAAAAAUGCUUAAAUAUUUAUGUAGUGAGAGAAAGUAUAAUGAUACAGAGAUAAAUUUUAAAAAUACAUAUUUUAAAAAUGUUAAAAAUAAAAAAAUUAUAUAUUUAUAACUUAUAAGUCUUGUUUUUUUUUUUAAAGAAGAGAGAUUAAAAAGUAAUUUUAUUUUGUGAUAUUUUAAGUUAUAUUUUAUUUAAAAUAAUAUGGGUUUGAUUAAUAUAAAAUAUUAAAAGAUUUGUACAUGAUAUUAAAAAAAAUUUAAACAAAAUAUUGGGCCUAAGCCUAGUAGAAGUAAAAAAUAAACUUACGAACAAGGUAUAUGGAUCCAGGCAGUGCUUGUAAAAACCUAGAGCAGUUAGGCUUUUGGGAGUUUUUUUAAGCCAAUUAAAUUUUGGUCUAAAGCAAAUAGAAGUGAUAAUCUCUUAUUUUCUUCCUGAAAUUCUUGACGUUUAGGCUGGGAAUAAAUUUAGCCUAGAAAAUUGAGGGAAAGUAGCUGAAAUAAUUUAAAACCAUUUAAGAUUUUUGUCAGUUUAGCUAGUUUAGUCGUUCCCUUUUGACUUAUUAAAGCCAGUUAUUGUGCUCAAUUAAAGCUCGAUCUUCAAAAGCUCGAUCUUCGAAUCUUCUUCUAAAAUCUUUAAUUUUGCUCUGAUAUUUAUGAAAAUGUAAUUCAUUAUUAAACCCUAAAAACUUCUAUAACUCCAUUCUCAAUCCCAAAAUUUUGACUUGAUUUUGUCAUAAGUUUUGAUUUAAAUCAAAAGUUAAUUCUAGUCAAAACUCUUACCAAAUAUAAUUUAAAUUUUGACUUAAAUCAAGAUUUGUUAUAAAAUUGAGUCAAAGCUUUACUUUAAUAAAAAAAUAAAAUUUUAAAAUUUUAACUUAUGAUAUAUUUUUUUCUUGAGUAAAAAGUAAAAAAAAAACAACUUAAAUUAAUUUACAAAACUGAACCAUAUACAAUCAAAAUUUGGACUUAUAUCGAAAGUUUGUUAUUUCACAGUUAAUAAUCGAAAGUUACUUUAAAUUAUGACUUGAAGUCAGAAGUUACUUUUCAUAAAUGAUGCCUAGAGAAAAGGGGGGAAAUAAUGCAAUCUGGGUCAUUGUGGAUCGACUAACUAAGUCUGCCCUUUUCCUACCAGUAAAGAUGAUAGAUCCAGUUGAUAAGUUGGCUAAGAUUUAUGUGAACAAAGUUGUAAGGUUUCAUGGAGUCCCAACAUCAAUUGUUUCAAACCGAGACCCAAGAUUUACUUCACGUCUCUGGCCGAGCAUACAACAUGCCUUGGGAACAAAUUUGAGUAUCAGUACUGCCUUUCAUCCGUAGACUGAUGGCCAAUCUGAGAGAGUUAUUCAGAUCUUAGAAGAUUUACUAAGGGCAUGUGCUUUGGAAUUUGGUGGAAACUAGGAGGAGCACCUGUCACUAGUAGAAUUCACGUAUAACAACAGUUAUUAGACAACAAUUGAAAUGGCCCCAUUUGAAGCUCUUUAUGGCAGAAAGUGUAGGACACCCUUGUGUUGGGAAGAAGUUGGGGACAAAAAGCUGUAUAGGGCAGAAUUAGUACAAAUCACUACUAAAAAAGUGAGGAUUAUUAAGGAUCGAAUAAAGGCGGCUCAGGAUAGACAGAAGAAGUAUGCAGAUAUUCGAAGAAGACCACUUGAAUUUUGUCCUGGAGAUAAAGUAUUUCUGAAGGUAGGUCCAUGGAAGCACAUGCUGAGAUUCGGCAUGAAGGGAAAGUUAGCCCCGAGGUUCAUUGGACCAUUUGAAAUCCGAAAAUGUAUCGGACCUGUAGCAUAUGAAAUAAACUUGCCCUCACAGUUGGCCAAGGUUCACAAUGUAUUCCAUGUUUCUUUGCUGCGAAAAGCCGAUGUAGACCCUUCGAGAGUGUUACCUCAAGUGCCAGUGGAGGUAAAAGAAGACUUAACACUUGAGGUAAGACCGAUAAAGAUACUCGAUUGGGGCGAGAAAGAACUUCGUAAUAAGAAAGUUCCCAUCAUCAUAGUCUUAUGGCGAAGCUCACAAAUCGAGGAAGAAACAUGGGAGAGAGAAUCAGAAAUGAGACUAAAAUUCCCCGACUUGUUUAUAAAUUCAAGUACAUCACUCAAAUUUCGAGGACAAAAUUUCUAUUAGGAGGGGAGAAUGUAAACCCCAAGAAAAAUAAAUAAAUAAAAGUGAAGAAAUUCAUGUAUAUGGUUAAAUAAAAAACAGGAAUUCAAAAAAAUUUUAAUAUGAAUUUCCGGGUGAAAUAAUUCGAGAUAUUAUAAUGAACCCGGUACUGCUAAGGGUUGGAUUUAAUUGAAGAGAAAAAAAAAUACACUUAAAGGAAAAAGGGGGCCUAAAUGCAAAUAAGGGAAAAUAUAGAGUAUAAAUACUCUCUCCUCACCAAAACAAAAUCUGUAUAAACCAUAAGGAGAGAAGAUAAGGAGUUUUAUACCCAUUCUUGAGAAAUCAAGAGAGAAACACUAACAUUUCAAGAACCCAUCCAAGAUUUAGAGCUUAUAGAUGGAAUAAACACUUGAGAGCGAAUGAUUACCAAGAAAUUGAACAAGAAGAAAAGAAAGGAGGGAGUUGAAAAUCUUCAACUGGUUGAAGAUCAAGAUCUUAAUUUGUAGCAGGUAAGGUAUUCUAAACAUGAGCUUAAAAAAAAUUCAUUUUUAAAUUCGAUAAAGAAUUGAUGCCUUGAUAUUGAAUCAUAGGUUAGGGUUCUUAGACAUAAAUUGGGGAAAAAGUACUUAUUGUUGAGAUUAAGUUAAUUUAUGUGUGUGGUAUGUAGUUUAUGAAAGUAUUGUGUGAAGGGGAGGGGGAGACAACUCUGGACAGACUUGUCUCCUGACUUUCGGUGAGAUUUUUGGAUAGGAGGAUGAGGGAAUUAGGAUUGGAUUCCUCAUAGAAAUUAUAGAUUUGAAUGUUAGCUAACUAAGGAAACUAGUCUUGCUCAAUUUGAAGAUGUAGAACUCCAGUUAUGGGUUACCAACCGAAACUGAGUCGUGACUGAUUAUGUAGGGCAGUAGGACUGAUUAGUUGAUGAGCAAUUUUGACUAUCUUGGAGGCAGAACUAGGUUAUCCUUCAUUAGAGAACUGAUAGCCUUGUGUCUUAGCUUUCUAACGAGAUCAAUCUCACUUAAAAUGGAGUUUUAGAACUUUAGAUAUAGUUAAAAAUCUGAUGAGUGUUCAGAUAGUAACAGUUCAAAGUCAGACAAUAACGGUUCAAAGUCAGACAGUAACAGUUGGAAUUGGACAGUAACAGUUGGAAUUGGACAGUAACAGUUCAAAGUCAGACAGUAAUGGUUCAAAGUCAGACAGUAACAGUUGGAAAAUUGGACAGUAACAGUAGACUUUCACGUGAAUACUAUAAAUAAGAAUAUUAAAGAAUUGAGUCAUAUGAACGCUUACACAUUGAGAUACUAACUCUGAUAAUAUAUAUGAUAUAUGUAUGUAUGUUAUUAUGAGGAAAUGAACAUGCAUAGAAAGUAACAUAUGAGUAAUGGAUGAAUAUGAAUUCUCUAUAAUAUCGGCUUGAAGGAAUCAUAACCAAAAAACUUCCUUGUGAUUCAGGAGGAGCAACCAAGAUUGGAUCUUCUGUUAGGGGAGGUCGUGAGACAGGCGAAGCAGGUGCGUGAUUUUCCUCCUAUUUGCACUUAUAUAAUUUAAAAUUCGUCUGGUGAAUGCAAUUACAAUAAGUGUCGUGUUCAAUGUAAAUAAAAUCUAGCGUAAAUACAAGAUUAGCUUCGGCUAAUGGCAUCCAUGAUAGGAUUGCCGGGAUAUGAAUUACAAGAUUAGCUUCGGCUAAUGGCAUCCACGAAAGGAUUGUCGGGAGAUGAUUUACACAAUUAGCUUAGGCUAAUGGCAUCCAUGAUAGGAACGCCGGGAAAUGGAUUAUAGGAUUAGACCUUGCAAGGUCACCCAGUUCAUGCAAGUAAAUAAGAUUAUUCAAUUAAGAAUAUACAAAUGAGUGUUAAUUGGGUUGUAAAGAUUUACAAGCAAAAUAUAAGUUCUCUGUUAGAAUUCUUAUGGUUCGAUAAAAAGUUAAUACUUCAUUCGUAUUUAUUACAUGAUCAUACAUAUAUUCUUUAUCAACAUAAUGAUAUAUUUAUUUAUGUAACAGGUCCAUCAAACAUCUAGGAAGAUCAUUAGUUUAGGACUCUACUUUGUGAAACUUAUGUAAAUAUUUAACUUAAACAAAAGGAAAUUAACGUGUUUAUGUAGUAUAUUUUUGUGUAAACCUUGAUGUAUUUAUAAAAUUUCAGCUUAGCAUUUAGUAUUUUAGUUAUCUUGUAAUUAACCCUUUUGAAAUAGUUAGGAACACUUAUUAUGUUGUAAAUACUUUCUUUGCAUGUUAGUAUUCCUUUUCUCUUAAAUUUUAUGAUAUGAUGUUUGGACUAUGUUCAUAUUGAUCUUACUCGUAGGAUAUAUAUAUAUAUAUAUAUUGUGUGGAAUUAUGAGGUUUGAUAUAAGGUCCGGAAUUAUGGGACCUUGUGAUGAUGGGUUGAUUGAGUAAAUUGACAGUAGUCGAUAACUUGGGAUGUCCUAAAUGCAAAAGAAACUCUGCCGAAUUUUUGAGAAAAAAAAAUCCACACUCAAAUAAAAAGGAUAUGUUGUGAUCUUUUAACAUUGAUUGAGUCGUACAGUCGGACUGUUACAUAUAUAAUCUAUGUUCUCAUGAAAAAAGUUAUGUUUUUUCAAUGUGGGAUUUGAAACCCAUUAGUAUAUAUACUCUACGUUCCUAAGAAAAAAAUCAUGUUUUUUCAAUGUGGGAUAAAAAUCUUUUUGGUUUAAAUACUUCAACUUAAAAGGAUAACAUAUUAUCUUUUCAAUGUGGUAUUUGAAGCCCUUUCAUAUAUAUACUCUAUAUUCCCAUGAAAAAAGUUAUGUUCUUUCAAUGUGGGAUUUGAAACUCAUUAGUAUAUAUACUCUAUGUUUCCAAGAAAAAAAUCAUGUUUUUUCAAUAUGGGAUAAAAAAACCUUUUGGUUUAAAUACUUCAACUUAAAGGAUAAUUAUUUUUUUAAAUAUUAUUUUAAACUUCAUUGUUUACAAUAUGUAUAACCUAUAUUUACAUGGAUUUUUUUCAUAUGAAAUAUUAAAAUUUUAAUUUUUUUUAAAAUUUUUCCGGGUUGAUCCAAGUUGACCCGGGUUGACCCAUAAAACUCGGGACCCGGUCCCUUGGCCGGGUCAACUCUCAGGCCGGGUUUAAUAACUAUGGUUCAAAUACUAUGAGAUAUUUAGUUGUUGCAAAUUCGUAAACUAAGGUUCUAUUUGGUAUGACAUUUACAAAUUAAUUUAAGUUGUUUUUUAAUUAAAAAAAUUCAUAAGUAUAUAUUUGCAAGAAAUAAGAAUAUGUUUGGCAUAUUUUUUCAAUUAUGAGUUUUGACUUUCAAAUAUAUUUCAAAAGUUAUUUUUUCAUAGAUAAUUACUGUUGUUACCCAUUUUUGGGUUCACAUAAAAAUGAGAAAAUACAAAAACAAUAUAUCAAAAGAAAUCCAAAAAAUAAUAGGAGCGAGAAAAGGAUUGCUGGAAUGCUGAAAAAAUGCCAAAAUUGGUUGAGAUUCAAAAAUGCAAAAGGUUGAAAUUUGACAGUGAGAGCCCUGUUGAUGAGGAAAAUUCAAUUUGAGGAAGAAAAGUCCAAAAUCAGAUGUUUAUGGACUCAAUUAAAUUUUAUCCAAGGUUUAAUUGAAUUUAUAGAGCGUUUGAUUGCAAGAAAAUUGAUUUUUGUAAGUCAAUUUAGGCUUUUAUCGGAAGAAAUUAAAGUUCUGGGGUCCAAUUGUAAUUUUAAAGAGUUAAUUUGGUCAAAUCAGGGGCUUAAUUGCAUAAUAAGGGUUUAAAAUAUAAAAAAGACUGCAAGUCUACAAGAGCUGACAAUAAGAGCAAGGCUGCUACAAAGGAUUUACAAUGGAAUUAGAAAUAAAAUUUAAGUCCACAUUGGCAUUGGCUUAAUCUACAAAAAUAUAGAAAAUCUACACUUGUUGACCUGCUUGCCCAUCCUUUUUUUCUACUUCUUCCUGACCUCCUAUUUGACUCUCAUUCUCACUCAUACAGUACUUCUUGAAGAAAUAACCAAAACACCUCAUCACAAAAGGCACUGAAGCUGCAAUCAAAAGAUAGCGAAAACGCACAGAUUCAUUAGGAGUAACAGCAAAAACCGCAGAUGCAUAGGUUAUCAUAAUUGAAGCUGUAGCAGCCCAUAUUUCAAGAUGGAAAGGGAACCUGUAAGUGAGAGAUGUAAUGACAAGUAUACAAGUGGAGAGAGCCAAAGUGUUUGAUAUCAAGAAAACAUAGAAAGCACGCUUUUGAGAUGCAUAAAUUGCUCUUCCUACACGAUCUCCUUCUUGCCAGACCCCUCCAGGAGGGUUCACCCCGGCCUGGAAAGUCACUGCUGCAAUCAAGGCCACAACUACUAGCAAAACAUUUCUAGCAUCGCUUGGUGAGUCUCUCACUUCAUCAUACUGAAAUUUCUUGAACCCGCUAGCACUUCUUUUAGUAUUGUUUUUUUUAGGCUGAGACAUUUUUACUUGGGCAAAGAUAUGUGGGAGAUACCAGCACUCUGGCUCUCAAGAAGUUACUUAUAUAGAGCCUCCGUUCUAAAGGAUGGGGCCCGCCCUAAUUAUCACAUGUUUCUUGUUGUAACCCAUUUUUAACUCCCAUAUAAAAAAGAAAAAAAUACAAAGAAAAAAAAGUCAGAAGAAAAAUAAAAAAAUAGUAGUAGUGAAAAGAAGAUGUCGGAGCGCCCAAAAAAUAGCUAAAAAAAAUGGUUAAGAAGGUUCAAAAAUACAAAGAUUAAAAUUUGACAGUAGUUUAUUGACUGAUGAGAGCCCUGUUGACUGAUGAGAGCCCUGUUGACAAAGAAAAUUCAAUUUAAGGAAAAAGUCUAAAAUCAGAUAUUUAUGGACUCAAUUAUAUUUUAUUGAAGGUUUAAUUGAAUUUAUAAAGGGUUUGAUUGCAAGAAAAAUUGAUUUUGAAGUCAAUUUGGGCUUUAAUUGAAAGAAAUUAAAAUUCUGGGGUCAAAUUAUAAUUUUUGAGAGUUAAUUUGAUCAAAUCAGGGGCUUGAUUGCAUAAAUAUUGAAGUUUGAAGGCCAAUUAGAGAUUUAAUUGAAGAAAUCCAAAACCAAGAACCAAACUAGAAAUCUCAGUGUUGAUUUUUAAGUUUAUAUAAAAUAUUUCAUUCUCAUCUAAAAAUAUUAAAAAGUAAGAAAGAAAAUCCAAAUUAAUAAAUAUAAAAACCUAAAAUAUGACAAAAUUUGAGAUAAUUAAUUUUUCUAAAAAUCCUAAAAUUCUGUCCACUUAAAUUCCCAUACAUUAACAAUAUCGUAUAUUCAAAGAAGUGAUCAGUGGUGUUAAGAAAAAGAAAUACUUAUCAUGUUUCUUUUAAGGUAAAAAAUACUUAAUGAGCUUUCAUCAUCAAAUAAAGACAUUUGAUAUAAAUAUCAUCCAUUUUGAUGGUCUCAAUCGAUAUCAAUAACACUUUUCUCUCUCUACCGCUUGAAUUUAUUGACCUCUAUCUCCCUUCUCUUAAUUAGGGAUUAAAAAAUAACAAAAAUAAACUUUUGAAUCAAAAUUUAAUUCGAAAAAUGUUGAGGUACUAAAAUUAUAUGAUUUAUGUGAUUUUCAAAUUUUAAGAACCAAAAUACAUCAUUUGCGAAACUUAUGGCAUGAGAUCCAUGUUUGGUGUCUUUUUCAUUUCGGUCCCUCUUCAUUCAAUCCUAUCUUUUCAUAAUAAAUCAAAAUUAAUUGGUCUUUAAUUAGAACUAAAUUAUCAAAAACAAAUUGAGGAACAAAUUAAAAAAAAAACUAUAGUUUUAAGAGCGUGCGAGAAAUAUCACUAGUUUUAACUAUUCCUAAUUUGUGACAAUAUUAUAGGUAAAACUAUACACAAAGUGAAGAGUGGGAGAUUCUCAAUUUUUUGAAAUGCUAAUAUUGUACUAUUUAUCUUGGAAAUCCCUUGAAUUUAUUCACACCAAAUUUAAAAUUCAGAGAAAUUAAAUCUAUGGUUUGUUUAUAAAUAAAUUUUAUUGUUAAUAUUUUUAUUAUUCCAUAGUUACUUUAUGUAAACCUUACAUUUAUUAGAGAAAUCAAAGUAAACAAAUUUAAUGGACAAAUACUAGUUUAUCAAGUACUUAACUUGAAUAAAAGAAGAUACAAAAAUAUAAAUAUUUUUUAUAUAUCUUUAUUGUUUAGAAAUUAAAAAUAAAAUAAAAUAAAUCCAAACUCAUCUAAAAAAAAAGUUAAUUUUGAUGUCAUCAUUCUAAUAAUAGAACUAAUGAAGAUAUUUUAUUAAUAAGAUUUUGUGAAAAUAAGUAUUCAAAUUGAAAAAAAAAAAUUGUUCAUGUUUUUUGCACUGAUGUCUCCAUCCAUUUACAGCCGGAAUGAAGAACGUCACCUAUUUUUAUGGUCUCUUCUUACUUGGAAGAUAAGAUAUAUGAAUAUUCAGAGUUAUUUGAGUCCACUCAUUUUAGUAGAUUUUUAUUUUUUUAUAUUAGUAUUCCAACUUUUCUUUAUUAUAUCAAUUAAAGAGACCAGUUCAAAAGAACAAUAGUGAAUAAGUUUUUUAAAAUAAAGAACAAUAGUGAAUAAUUUUUUUGUAUUUUUUAUGUGUUAUGUCAAAAUAUUUUUUUUAAAUAAAAAAUAUUAUUUUAAUAUAUUUUAAAAUAAAAAUAUUUUUAAAAAUAAUCAUUAUCGAACUUUAAAUAUCAUUAAGAUGAGGCAACCCUCCUUUUGACUCGGCUAGCCUACUGUUCUGUGGGUAUAUUUUAUUGCUGCAUUAUUUUCACUAUAAUUUUCAUUAUAGUGAAAAUUCAGAAUUAUUUUAAUGGAUUCAAAUUCAACAUGGUGAUUUUUUACAGUGGAUUCAAAUUCAACAACAAGGGCUAUUUCCUGCAGCAAGGAGAGUUUCUGAAUUUUCAUUACUCAUACAUCGCGAAAAAUAGUAAAGUUUCUGAGAAUUUUCAAAUCAAACUUGAGUUCAGCUUGUCGUUGCUAACUAUUUUAUUUUCACUAUAAUUAAUUGCUUUAUCACGUUGACGCCAGCAGUCAACAACUAUCUUAUAUUCUCUUGAGUCUUGGCAUCGAAUUCCAUGCCUUUGCAAAAUAUCAAAGGCUCCAGUGCCUCUCUAGCAAUAAUUAAUUUUAUUUUCCCCCAAAUAUUUAUCGAAAUAAUUAAUUUAACCACAAAAAAAAACAAAUAGAUCCAACUACCAUACCAUUCCACAAUUAAAUGUUUUUUGAAUAAAUAACUUUUUUUUUUAGUUUAACGUUGGUGUUCGGGCUAGCUUGCGCGCACCUCGACUAAUCCCACGGGCCCUGAAGUUAACGACCAUGUAAGCCUCCAGUGGCCAUCAUAUGAGCAAUCACAGGGCUCGAACCUAAGACCACAGAGAAAGCAAACCUCUUAAUUCCAAACUCUUACCACUGAACCACCAUCUAGAUAGUUUGAAUAAAUAACUUUUAAAUCAUAAAAAAAGUGAAGAAAGUGAAGAAUAAUCAAAGUGGUGGAUACGAAUGUAAUCAACCACAUUUAGCGAAAUAAUUAAUUUAAUCACAUCCUUUCUAGCUAAUCUAGAUUUUAGUAACUGGUUGGUGCUGCGUUCCAAAUAAAAAUAGAAUAAAAUUUGAUUUUUUUAUUUAAAAUUAUUUUUUUAUUUUUUAAUGUGAUAAUAUUAAAAAUAAUUUUAUAUUAAAAUUAAUUUUAAUAAAAUUUAUUGAAUCCACAAUUAAAGAAGUAAGAUGGAUAGGAAUGUGCAGUUUGAGAUGGAUCCGUGAGACCAUUGCUAUCAAGAGUUUUUUCUACGGGAUAAGAUGAGUCCGUGAGACCCGUAAGCUUUAGAAGAGAUAAUAUGUUUUAAUUUCAAAAAAUAAAUCUCAAUUCAGUGUGUUAGAAUGCAACCACCGACUAAUUAAUGGACAAUGGACCUUAGAUUAAUAUACUAUCAUUUUUUAUUGUAUUUUUUUUUCUAGUCAUAUUUAAUUUUUCAUCAAGUGAUUAAUAUGUAUAAUUCAAUGGAUAUAAUUCUUAACGUUAAAUGCUAUGUAUUUAGAAUUUUGUUGGAUUGAGAAAUGGAAGAUAGAAAGAGAGACAGAGCAGCUCAAAAGAAAAAGAAAAAGAAAAAGAUGGAACAAAAGUGGAACAGUUUUUAUUAACUAAAUAAACUUAUUUUAGGAAGCUAUAAUUAUUAAUAUUAAAUUUAAAAUUCAUAUUGCAAAUCCUGAAACAUAUCAUGUGGUUUAAUAGAAAUUAUUUUUAUAAACAUAUGUGGCUUAACAUCAUUAAUCAAAAGCUUAUAAUUUCUUUCAUUUUAUAUAUAUUAAAAGUAAAUAUUAAAACCUAUUAUAUUAUUAAUUCAGAUGUGAAUUAUAAUUCUAAAAUGUUUUUUAAAAAUUCUCUAUAUACUACAACUAGCUGAAGAAAGUCGUCUUCAUCGGACCAUCCAGUACCCAAAAAAUAAAAAAAAGAAUUGCAUGAAAGUAAUUAACCGGAACUUAUAAUCCUUCUUCAAACGUUGACCCGGAGUCAAAGUCUUAUUUUAAGGGAAAAAAAACAUGAAUAAAAUGUUAAUGUUAUGAGCUCACUUUCCAUGAUGAUGAUGAAUAUAAAGACUUGCAACUGUUUUUUUUUUUUUUUGUUUAUUAUUAUUCAAAUUGCGUGUGGAAAAUUAUGCCUUUUGAAUUUGAUGGAAAUUACAUGUGAAAAAUCACGCCUUUCGAGAUAAUUUAAAUUACGGUAGUUAUUAUUUUUGUUGUUAUAAUUAUAUAAAAAGAAAAGGAUAGCUUAAUUAUUCUUUUUUUAAUCAAAAACAGUUCACUUCAAGCAAUAUUUAUUAGCAUUCUAAUCAUUUAUUAUUGUUGCCAUACCCCUUUAAAUAUUCUAUUUGCUCAUUGUUACUGAAAUGCUCACGUAGGAGUUAACUUUGUUAAUGUGCCAAUGUUAUUAUUAUUUCAAUUUUGAAAAAGAAUAAUGACUUUGUAAUAAGCUUUGAUUUAAAUCAAAAGUUAAUUCUAGUCAAAACUCGUACCAAUUAUAAUUUAAAUUUUGACUUAAAUCAAGAUUUGUUAUAAAAUUGAGUAAAAACUUUACUUUAAUAAAAAAUAAAAUUUUAACUUAUGAUAUAAUUUUUUCUUGAGUAAAAAGUAAAAAAAAAACAACUUAAAUUAAUUUGCAAAACUAAACCAAAUACAAUCAAAAUUUGGACUUAAAUCAAAAGUUUGUUAUUACACAGUUAAUAAUCGAAAGUUAUUUUAAAUCCUCUAGCUUUGAAAAGAAUUAGUGUUUGCCUUUGAGAUUGUAAUUUUUUUUCAGCGUAUAUUCAAUUUAAUAUUUUUAAUAAUACAAAUGAAAAUAAACAGCAAAUUUAAUUUAUAAAUGUAACUAUCUCAAAACAAUGUUGAGAAGGAAGAAAGAUUAGUAGAAUAAAAAUAAAAUUAAUAGACUUUUAAAAAUCAAAGAGUUUUUAAUGUUAAAAAUAUUUUUUUUAUUUAAUAUAUAGACCCAAUUUUGUAUUUCUUUUUAAAAAAGAUAACUCUAUUUUAAUUCUGAUUCUUUAGCAACACAGUUUUUCAUUCACUAUAACACACACAAAUUGUAAUAUUAAUGAGGAGAGGUAUUUGAAUUGGGUGAGGCUGACGAAGGAACUAACGAGGAGAAGGAGCUGCCGCUGCUGUCAUCUUUAACAGAGUUACGGCUGUACUGGUUACCUGAGCUCAAAUAUAUAUGGAAGGGGCCCACUAGAUAUGCUGAACUUGUGGUAUCUUGACAAACUAACAUUUACAAAACGACGUGCAGCUCAGUCAAUGCCUUCAUUGCCUAGCGCCUUCAAAAAAUCAACUGCUUAGUUAGAUUCGUCCUUGGCUUGCUUAGAGCGACAGCCACAUUAAAUGACAGCCACCGAAAUGUUUGACAUGUGGCCUACAAUGUGAAUUAUGUGUUAACAAUUAGCUAAUUUUUUAAUUCUCUUAAAUUUGAUUAAUUUAAUUAGUUACGGUGGCUGUUAGGUAGUAUUUAAUAAGUUAAGUUGCUUGAUGUUUGAUAAUUAAAGGUGACUAUUAAAUGAUAUCUAUAAAAAAAUUUAUUUAAUAAAUAUGAGAAUUUUUAAAUGUUUAAAUCAUUUAAGAUUUUUGUUGAUUUAGUUUAUUCGUUUGCUUUCCCAUAAUUUCUCAGAUACCAAACACUUUGUUAUGUGUUGAAUAAAUAAUUAACCACCAAUUAAAAGCAGAAGGAACAAUAUUUGUGUUUGAAUCCUGAGAAAAUUGAGUAGGAAAAUAAAGGGAAAUUUUUGCAUUUUAUGAAGUUUAUUUUUCUUAGUUAUGAUGAUUUAUUGUUUUGGAGGUCCCUAAAAGUAGAAUAAUGGUCCCCAAAUUUACAAUGUUUUCCUGCAAUCAAACAGUGCCUUUUUUGAAACUGCUCAAUUAUUAAUCGCUUGGUGUCUACUUGUCCAUUCCAUUGACCUCUUACAACCACAUGAUGAGCUUGUUAUUGUGAUUGAUCUUCAAAAGCUCUAUCUUCGAAUCUUCUUCUAAAAUUAUUUUAAAAACAGAUUUAUUUUACGUAACUAUCUUCAUUUCCUUCAACAAAUAUAUUUUUGUCUCUUAUGUAUUUGUUUAUUCUAACUUAAAAUACUAAUUAAACACAGUCUAAUUUUUUUAAUUUGAUUUAUAAUUUUUUUAAAAAAUAUUUGAUUAUCACAACAUAAAAUAAAAGUUUAAAAAAGAAACACUCACAGGCCUACACAACACAUGUUGGCCUAUUCCAAACUAUCAAGUCAAGCAUUGAACCUUUCCAAAUUGCAUUUUUUUUUUUGGUCUAAUUACAGUCCCCAUUUUCAUUUACCGUUGGCCUUACACAAAAACAUCCCUUUCAAGUUACAAAACGACGUGCAGCUCAAUCAAUGCCUUCAUUGCCUACAGCCUUCAAAAAAUCAACUCAUUAGUUAGUUUCGUCCUUGGCUCGCGUAGAACGACAUCCACUUUAAAUGACAGCCACCGUGAUGUUUGACUUGUGGUUUAGAAUAAGAAUUAUGUGUCCUUAAUUUUUUAAUUUUAGUAAUUGAAUUUUUUUUUAAUUAUAGUGGUUGAUUGGUAGUGGUAAUUGGUGUUUCAUAAACAAAGAUAAUAAAUAGCUGGUACUUAUAAAAAAUCGUAUACCAAUUUGAUCCAAAAUCUCUUAUUGAAUUAAAAGACCUUUACUUUUAGUCGGGGGAUAAAGCAAUUAUUUUUUUUGUUUUUUUUGAAGAAGUUUUUUCUUAAAAACAAUAAAGAUAUAUAUCUAUUUACUAUUUAUGUUUGUUGUUUGCGAAGAUGACGUUUCCAUCUUUUUUUUUAUAUCUAUACCGGCUAAAAUCAUGGGUGAGGACUUUUAAAUCCUUAAGAAUUUAUGUAAGGAGAGAAAAUAUAAUGAAAUUUUGAAGAAAUAAAGUUUAAAAAUAUACAUGCUAUAAAAGUUAAAAAUAAAAAGAUUAUAAAUCUUGAACUUUGAGGAUUGAUGUGGUAUUUAUAUCUUACAUGUUUUGUACUUUUGAAGAGAUGAAGGAUUGAAAAGUAAUUUUAUUAUGUAGUAUUUUAAGUUAUAUUUCACUCAAAAUAAUAUAUAUUAAAUUAAUAUAUAAUAUUGAGAAAUCUGUGUGAGAUCUUGAAAUUUUUUUUGAAUGGAAUGUUGGGUUAAAACCCACUAAAAGUAAAACAUAAAUUCACGUAUAUUGUCUAGAUCCAAUCACAUUAGACUUGAGACGCACCCUCGAGCCCAUUAAAAGUAUAUGGUUCAAGGCAGUGCUUGGACUCAGAGCAGUUAGGCUUUUGGGAGUAUAUUUUAGCCAAUUAAAUUUUGGUCAAAAGCAAAUAGAAAGCUAUUGUUCUGUUGAUUGAUUUCUAUUCAUUAGUCUUUUUCUUUCAUUGACUCGGUUUCUCUGGGUGCUGACAAGUUAUUCAUGGUGAAGUGAUAAUCUCUUCUUUUCUUCUACUAAAAUUCUUGAUGUUUAGGCCGGGAAUAAAUUUAGCUCCUCUUGUUUACCUAGAAAAUUGAGGGAAAGCUGUAGCUGAAAUAAUUUAAAACCAUUUAAGAUUUUUGUCAGUUUAGUUUAUUCGUUCACUUUCUGUAGUUUCUCCGAUGCCAAACACUUUGUUAUGUGUUGAAUAAAUAAUUAACCACCAAUUAAAGCAGAAGGAACAAUAUUUGUGUUAGAAAAUUGAGUGGGGAAAUAAAGGGAAAGUUUUGCGUUUUACGAAGUUUUUUUUUCUUAGUUAUGAUGAUUUAUUUUCUUGGAGGUCCCUAAAAGUGGAAUAAGGGUCCCAAAAUUUACAAAGUUUUCCUGCAAUCAAACAGUGCCUUUUUGAAACUGCUCACUUACUUGUUGUCUGCUUGUCCAUUCAAUUGACUCCCUGCAACCACAUGCUGUAUUGGAGGUUUCUCUACCAGUGAAGAUAGCAUCAAAUGAUGAGCUUGUUAUUGUUCAAAAGUUCAAUCUUCAAAUCUUCUUCUAAAAUCUUUAAUUUUACUCUCAUAUUGAAUUUAUGAAAAUGUUAUUAUUCAUAGAGUUCAUAAAGAAAGAUGAUUACCCUUUUUUAAAUAGUUUUAAAAACUGUUAGCCAUGUGUUACUAAAUAACUUCUGUAUUUUGUAUUAUACUUUAUAUAUAAUUGCUAGAAGAUAAAAUAAUCUGUUUUUUAUUUAUGUAUAUCACAAUACUUUUAUCCUAACAUUAUUUUUUAAAAACCAUAACUAAAAGUAUUUUUUUUAAUUUAUUUUUUAAAAUCGUAAUCACAAAAGCUACCUUAGUGUAUGUUUGGUAAUGUGGUGUAGGAUACUUUUACAAAGUAUUUUUAAAUUGAAAAUGUAUUAAAAUAAUUUUUUUUAAUUUAAAAAAAAAGCACUUUAAAAUCAUCAAAAAAUAAUUAAAAAAUUAAAUUAAUAUUUUUUUAAAAUCAAAUACAUUUUAAAAGUAAUUUGAAAUGGACACCCUUAGCAUUCAUUUGUUGCAGGAAAAUGCUACACAGAGAUUUAUUUAUUUUUCACGUUGUUUUGUUGGAUGUAAAGCUGUUUCUAUUUUCUUAGAGCAGCGCCAACCUCCUCUUGCUGAUCUCUCUUCAUGCUAUUGGCUUUUUUGUAAGCAUUUUGUUCUGUGUCGGAAAUUAAAAGUCUGUUUGGUAAGUUUUUAAAUUAUGAUUUUUUUUUUGUUUUAUGUCAUAAUCCAAAAAUUAUUUUUCAUAAAUAACUUACGAAAAAAAAUAAAUAACUUCAAGUUAUAAAGAUGUUUGGUAAAAAUGAUUUAAAUUAACUUUUUUUAAUGAAAAAUGUAACAUGAGUUAUAGCUCAUAGGUUAAAAGUUAAAAAAUAUUAACUUUUUUUAUUCAAAUUUGGAAUAAACUUCUGAUUUAUUUAAGUCAAAAAUUGAAAAAUAACUUAAAUCAAAUUAUAAAAGUAAUACCCAAUAUAACUUAAAUUUAACUUAUAGUAUGCUUCAUAAAAUUGGCAAUUUCCUGUACAGCAUAAGCUUCUUAUUAAUAAACACAAAUGAUCCAACAACUGUGUAUAUGUUAUUAAAUGAAUUGAAACUCCUUUUGAUAUUUAGACAACAAAGAAUUCGGACCUAUACUUGAUUAGGAUUUAGAUUAUGUCAUUGAUACUCAAACAGGUGUAUUCAUAAAUAAAAAAAUUCAUACAAUUUUUUUUAUUUUAAUCCCAAAUUGAUAUAGUAAAAAAAAAUAAUCUCCUGAGUCGAUGAGUUAUCUAAUUGACCCAUCAAGCCAUGUCAUAUUUUAUAAUACUGCUAUUUAUUUAUAUAUAAAAAAUAUUUUUAUUGAUAUUAUCAUCAAUCUUCCUAUGAUAGAAUAGAAAUAUCUAAAACUCUAUACGGUAAUAUAGAAAAUUGAAGGCUUUAUGGCAUUACAUGCCUUGAAUUGGUUUUGUACAUGCAGCAGUAAUGUUUUCGCGUACACCCAUGAAACCAUUGGCCUGCCUGCAACCGAAAAAAAAUUGAAAUGAGAAAGGAAUGCCUUUGGCUUUCUUCAUAAGUAAACCAAACAUGAAGCAAGGAAUGCCUUUUCUAUUCUUUAUAUAUAUAUAUAUAUGUGGGCAAAUCAUAUUCCUUGAGUGGGAUUAGGGACAAUCAUAUAGCUCGAGUUUCAUUCUUGGAAGUGGCAGAGAGUAUUCCUUAUUUAAUUAAUUAUUGUCUUCUUUUCAGGUCCUUUCGUUUUUUUUACCCCAAUCAUCAUAAUUAUAGGAACACUACAUCCAUUAAGGAUUAUAUUUGUGGUUGCAAUCUAUUGAUAGAGAGGCUGUGGGUGUCUAAGUGAUCGUGAACCUUUCAUUCGUUCCGGUCUCUGCUAUAUAAGGUGUGUGUAUUUUAACUAAUUCUUGUAUUAUUAAUUUGUUUUUGUCUUUAUAUUAUAUUGUUAUGCAUAUAUUAUGUGUUCAUACAUGUUUGCAAGUAUGAUCCAUGAAGAAAGAAAGUGAAAUACUUGUUCAAUUUAAUCCUUAUUCUCUCCUACUAGACUCAAUCAAUCUCUAUAUAUACAAGUUUAUAUGGAAGUCUAUAUAUCUCGUUGUAGGGUUGAAUAAUUGUAAAUACAGAUCAAACACCCAUUAUUAAAAAGAUUAUGGUGUUUUAAUUUAUUAGUCAAUUAGAAAACUAAUUAGUUUUAAAAUCUUCUUAAUAAUACAUAUAUAAAAUUAAAUUAAGACUUUAAUCUUGAUAGCUAACAUUUUGAACUUUUACCUUAAAUUUGAUAUGGAUGUAAAAUCUACAAAUUCACAAGACUAAUAAAAUUUCUCUGUGUUUGGUGAAUUAAAGUAGGGUAAUGGUCUAAAUAAUAUUACUCUUGUAAAAGUUGGAUCUCCUUCAAUUUUCAACCUCAUCUUUCUAUUAUAGUGAAAAUAAAAAUGAUGAACAUUCUAACUAACUAUAAUGUUUGGAUUUAAUAGUGCAUGGCUAGCUUUCACCACCAUAAUUUGAUCUUGACACCAUCAUUCGUUUUUUUUUUUUUUUUUUAUUAUAUCACUCAUUUUGUUUUAUAUUGGAAAGCCCAAAAAUCCACGAAGUAAGAGCAGACCUUCCCAUUACUUAAUAAUUGAGGAAAUUAGAUUCAUUUUAAUCAAAUCAUCUUCAAUAGAUAAAGCUAUCAUGUAAUUAUUUGCUAGGCUAAGCAUAUUUGUAUAUUCACAGUCCCUCUUAAACUCUAAAUACUAUAAAUCUACAAGGAUUUGUAUGAUGUUAAGAGAAAUAUAUAUCCCCUUUUAGCCAACACUAGAUACUUUUCUACGCUACCAUAUGAGGUGAAUCAAUUUUUUUAAAGUAAAAAAGAAUAUAUAAGUGUACUUAACAUGUUUUGUAGCAGGAAAAAAUAAUCUAUGGAGGGGUUGAGCAAAGUGAUUUAAUCAACUUUAUAGGUUCAAAAACAACCCAAACGAGUGGUUAGCAUAUAGUUUGACUAAAAAAAUCAAGAUAAUAUAUUUUUUAAAAAUAAUAUUAAGACGACAACAUAUUAGAUUGACUUGGAUUUACUAGAAUCAACUUAGGUUAACCUAUCAAGUUCCUGACCUGAGUUAUAAGACCUUAAUAACCUUACAAAAGAUAACUAAGAAAAAAUAUUAAGCCUAAUUUCUAAGCAACACAAUAUUGCAAAAUAAAAUUGAAAAAAAAUUAAUUAAAAAAAUGACAUAAAAAACCAUCAUAAUCAACCCAAGUUAACCAACCAAACUCGUAACCUAUGUCAUGAGGUUAGGAUAAUCUCAAAGAAAACAAAAUGAAAUAAAUUAUGAAGCCUAAUAAUGAACUCCACAUUGAAAAAAAAUUGAAAAAAAAAAUAUUCAAUUAAAAAAGGAUAAAAAAAAACUAAGACAACUAGGCUAACCUGCGAUAGAAUCAUGAGACUGUGAUAUGCCCAUAGAAAGUAAAUAAAAAAAAUUAUGAAAUUCAAUUCUUAAUUAAUACAAUAUUGAAUGAAUAAAUUAAAUAAAAUCAAUUAAAAAAUAUCUCAGGUCAACUCGGAUUAACCUGUCAAACUCGGGUCUUAAUACCAAAAUAUAUCUAUAAAACAAAAAACAAUUAUAAAGUGAAAGUCUUGAUAGCUAACAUUUUGAACUUUCACCUUAAAUUGAAGUUUUAUAUGUGAAUUUCUCAUUUGUUUAUCUCUUUACUAUCAAGUUCUUAUACAGAUUCUUAAAUCAUGGUUGGUUGAUGUUUAACUAAGAGAAAUGCACAUAUCAAACUACAUUCUUAUUAUGAGAGAUUCACUAAAUUGAGAACUAUUAUGGUCUUAUGCCUCUACCUAGUACUUUUUAUGAAUAUCUACAAAAUCUAUCCAUACUUUUGUUUAAAGCGACACCCCUCCUUAUGUUCUUAUAGAUGAAUGGCUAAGUUUCAUAAAAAAACAUGAACAUAAUCAAAAUGGAUUAUUCCCUAUACUCUUUUUAUUUAUUUAUACAAAAAAUCAAGAUAAGGUUUUUAGUAACCAUACUUUUUUUGGUCUAAAUCAAAUGACCUAUAUCUUUACAAUAAUUUCAUUUAUGGUUAGGGUCAUAGGAUUGUUUGGCUUUAACAGAGUAAUUUUUCCAAUACUUUUGGUUCCUUUUAAGUUGAUAAACUUAACAUCUUUUGUUAAAAACACAUCUUUGGCUUCAAAGCACAUUUUCUAAUUCUUAGAGCCUUUUGUAAAUUUAGCUAGUAUUGUAUUCAACUUGUCAAACUUUUCUUGUAAGGAUUUAUUUUCUUCUUCAAGUUGAUUUACCUUUUUAUUUUCAUCAAUCACAAUGCAAUCUUUAUUUUCUAGAGUUUCUUUUUCUAGCAAACAAGCAUGCAUAAUUCUCUUUCAAUAAACUAUAUUUUAAACCUAAAUUUUUAAAUGUAUCAUAUAAAUAUUCAAGAGCAUCAUGCAACUCAUCAGAGGUAGGGUCAGAUUCAUCAUCCAAAUAUUGUAUCUCAUUUUCACUUUUGAUAGAAAACUUCUUAAUCACCUUGUAAUUAAGGCAAUGUCUUCUUCAAUGCUUUCUUGAUCAUCAUCAUCAUCCUCAAUGUGGUGAACGGCUUCAAAUGCCAAAGAGUGUACAUUUUCAUUCCCUCACUAAUAUCAUGAGUUUUUACUUAACUCUCGUAGGUUCACAAGUAUGGUUUUGUUUACAACAAACUCUUUCAUAGAGUGGAUGAUAUGAAUGAAGUUCUAGUAUCUCCAUAACUCACUAAAUAGUACUUAUAGGAUUUAAAAGUGUUUAAGUAUAGUGAUAAUGAAAAUGUAUACUCUUUGUUCUAGAAUAUAAAGGUUUAAACCCACUACUUAGAGUAUAAUCAAUAAUAUUUUAUUGUUAUUUUGAUCUUAGAGUAUGUUGUUCAUCAUAUUUGUUCAGAAUCCCUUGCUAAUUUUACAAUUAGACAAGCUAUAUAAUUGUUUCUAAGAAAAACUAGUCGUUGGAACCCCACUAAUGACUAAAACGAUCGAUUGGUUCAAAUUGAUCAAACCAAUCAAUCAACCGAUUCCUGCAAAAUUCCCAAGUGUUUAUCACUGAUAAACAAGUGAUCGUCUGAUUCAUACAUAAUUCUCAAAUGUUUUCAUCAUUGAUGAACAAAUGGUGGUUCAUUUCAUGUAGAAUUCUAUAUUUAACAGUUUUAAUCUAGGUGAAUUCUUAGAGCCAUCUAUCUUAGAUCAUCUUUUAUAUCAAUCCUAAAUGUAUAUAGAGUAAUGUGUGUGAGUUUAAUUUAAUUAUACCAUCAAGUAAGAUGUAAAGAUUUAUAAAUUAAACACUAAAAUGAAUGCUUGAACUUUUUGAUUAAUUUUUUAUGAAAUCCUUCAUGUUUAUUAAUGUGAUCUUAAUAUGAAACAUGUUUAAAGCUUAUUCUCAACCAGACAUAUUAUUAGUCUAUGUUUUUUUUUUUGUUAUAAUCAAAAUAUAAAAAAAUAUGAAUGUCUGACUCUAAAGGUCAAUAAAAUCAUCACCAUUUAGAGUAAAAAUAUAUCUAGACUAGGAUUUGCUAUCAUUAAUAUCUAAUUUAAAUCUAGCAUUUGAAUAUCCAUAACUACUGGUUUAUCUCAUUUAUAGAUCAUAAAGAAAUUCUUAUUUCUUUUUAACUACUUCUUAGACUCAAAACCUUUAGGUAGUGUAAUAUACAUAUCUUUAUGAAUUUUCCUAUAUAGAAAAGCAUUUUUUACAUCUAUUUGCUAAAAUUCAUAAUAUUAGCAUGUAGCUAUAGCAAGAAGGUUUUUACAUAACUAUUAGCAAGAAGGUUUCAUCAAAGUCAAUUCUUUGCUUGUAACCAUUUUCAACUAUUCUGGCAUUGUACAUCUAUACGUUGCCAUUAAUAUUAAUUUGUUUCUUAAAGAUCUAUUUACAUUUAGUGAGUUUUACCCUUUAGGUUGAUAGCCAAGUUAUAUUUUUCUUACACAUGAAUUUUACAUCCUUGAUUCAUUUUAUGGAAUCAAUAUUAAAUAUUGCUUUCAUGUAAUUGGUAGGCUUAUUAAGUAUAAGCAACUCAUCAUUUUUAGCUUAUAUAAAAAAUCCAUAUCUCAUUAGUGUGUGACAUCUUCUAUUAGAUCUAUGAAGUUAUUGUGUUUCUUGAGCUUUAAGUUGAGCAUCCAAUGUUAUAUAUUCUAGCUCAUGUUUUAAUUAGAUGUCAGUUUAUGGUUCUUGAAUUUCUUCAAAUUUUAUUUUUCUUUCACUACUCCUUUCAAGAAUAAAUUCUUUUUAAAAAUAUAGCAUGUUUGGAGACAAAUAACUUUUGCUCAAUGGAAUGGUAGAAAUAUUAUCCAAUAGUUUUUUUUCAAGAUAUCCUAUAAACUUAAAUUUAUUUGAUUUAGCUCCUAACUUUCAUAUAUGAUAUGCUUUACAUAAAUAUCACAUCCCCAAAUCUUCAAGUAUAAUAAGUUAAGUCUCCUACCUUUUCAUAUCUUAUCUGAAGUCAUAUUACUAGAUUUUGUUGGAACUUUAUUUUAAAACUAAGCAACAAUUUUUUAGGCUAUAUACCUAAAAAAAAAUAAAAGAUUUGUAUAGCUCAUAAUAGAUCAUCCCAUACCCAAUAGGGUACGAUUUGUCCAAUUUGGAAACUUUAUUAUAUUAUGGUAAAUGUCAUAAUUAUUGAUUCUUUGGAUGAGAUUCGAAACUCAUCUUACACAUGAAUUUUAUAAUUAAUACUAUUUAAAAAUAAAUAAAAUAUUUUUUUUCUAAAUUCACCUAUAAUGAUGAUACAUUUCUUAAUCAUAUAGGUUCUAUUAUACCCAAUAUAUAUCCACUUAUUACUUUUGAUUAAAGCAACAUAUUGUUAGGAUUGAAACAUAACAGUUACAAUAUGAACCAACUAUUUCAACUACUAUCUCCUUCUCACCACCACUAUUAACAUCUUCUCUUUAUCCACCACAAUCACCUCACCACCAUCUCUUCUUUUAUCACCAUUACCACCACUACUGUCAUCAUUUCACUACCACUAUCACUACCACUUCACCACAAUCUCUUUCACCACCAUUGUCAUCUCACCACCAUCACCAUCUCAUCACCACCUCUUUCAUAAUCAUUGUCAUCUCACCACCUUCAUCACCAACAUUAUUAAAAAACAUUUUACAUGUAAAACAUUGAAUGGUAAAGUAUUUUUCAAGCCAAACAUUAAAUUUAAAAUAAACUAUUUUUUAUUUGCAAAACAAACAUACUCUUAACAUAUAAUUUUAUCUCUUCUAGAAAAUUCAAUAAAAAAAUUCAUUUUUUCAUGUUUACCUAAGGUUAGCCUUCACAAUUAUAAUUCCGUUCUCUAUCUCUUUUGGGAUAUUUUCAGUUAGAAAUAAUUUCCAUUCUAUAAUUCUCUUUUAGGAUAUCUCAUUUAGGAUGUUAAUUUUUAUAGUGUUACAUAUUUUUUUAAAAACUUUCUUUGUAUUGAACCGUUAUUGCUUUAAAUUCCCUCAUGUAUACAUAACAUGAUUAAUGAGCUGUACCAAAUUUUUAUUUUGAGCUUCUAAGAACAUUCCAAAAGUGUCAUUUGAAAAUGAAUUUAAUCAAACUUCUAUACAUUUUAUCCUUGUUGAAUAUGUCAUCUUUUUCUUCAUCUUUUAAAUAUUUUUUAUUUUAUUUUGAAAUCAUCCUCACCAUGUUAUUUCAUACAUUUUCUAUUUUUCUUAUAUAAUCUUUUUAAUUUGAAGUUGUCUUUAAUUUUUUUAUUCUCUACUUAGUAACAAUAUAAUCUUCAUCGUCUUCAAUUCUGUAAAAAAAAUUAAAAAUUGUUAUAGAAAUCUGUCUUUCUUAUAUAGCUGGGAAAGUUAAAUUUUAUUCUAAUAAAUGAAUUUUAAUGCAAUUGUAUAUAAGAAAAUACACUCUUAGAAAUGUAUAAAGAUAUCAAAGGAAGAAAAAAUCUUAAAGAACUAAGAAGGGAAAGAUAUUAAUAAUCUAUAUCUUUUUUUUUUUAUUAACGUGGGUGUCCGGGUCAGCUUGUGCGCACCUCGACUAAUCCCAAAGGCCCUCAAGUUAACGACAAUAUAAGCCUCCAAUGACCCUGAGGUUUGUGAGACUCAAACUGGUGACUUUUAGAAAGCAAACCUAAAGUAUGACCAGUUGAGCUACGCUUCUUGUGGUUCUAUAUCUUAAAUUUUAAUGUAUAGAGUUUUUUUAUUAACAAUACAACCAUAUCAAUAUUCUAUAUUUUAUUAACAACACUGUGACAAUUUAAAAUUAAUAACAAAUUAAUUUAAAGAUAUUAUAGUCUUCAACAAAAGAUAACACCCUAACUUUUGUAGAUGGCACAGAUAGAUAUAGAUAAGGGGACAAGGAAUUAAUUGUUCAUUGGUAUACUUAUACCUUGCCUUGUUGCUUUUGAAGCUUGAAAAGGCCUUCUCGUUUUGUUCCUCGCUGAGCAAUCAACACCAGUGCUUUUCGCGCAUAUUUUCACAAAUUAAGGUAAUAAAAUUCCUAUUCUCAUUCUCUCAAUGCCUAUUUUACUUGUAGUGAACUCCUCUCACAGUCGGCAUCCUUAUUUCUCUGAUUUUCAGACUGGUGGAAAAUGGCUAUCGAAAGUGUUGGUGGAUCCAUUUUAUCUAAGAUAGCAGAACUCUUGGUGGAACCAACAAUAAGGCAGUUCCGUUACAUGUUCUGUUUCAACAAUUUUGUUCAAGAAUUCAAUGAACAAAAGAAGAACCUGGCUUUGACUCUUGAUCGUUUGCAAAACGCUGUCGAAGUUGCUGAAAGAAAUGCUGAAGAAAUUGAGAAGGAUGUCAACAAAUGGUUGGAAGAUGCAAAAAACGAAAUUGAAGGUGUUAAUCGUUUGGAAAAUGAAAAGGGAAAAAAUAGCAAAUGCUUUAAUUGGUGUCCAAAUUGGAUACCACAAUUCAAGUUAAGCAAGGCCCUGGCAAAAAAGAUAGAGACUUUGAAAAAACUUGAAGAAAAUAGACCAUAGAUAUAGUUACAUGCAUAACUUAUUAGAUUAAUUAUAUUUGUGUCAUUUAUGUAGGUGUUUAACUAAUCAUCAUGAAUUUCUCCUUCGUUUAUCACUACAACAUUUAACAGUUUUAUUGACGGACCAAAUCUGUCGGUGUAAGAUUGCCACUUCAUCAUUAAAUUUUUUACCGACUAAAUUCCCGACGGAAAGCGUCCAUCGACAUAGCAUUCGUCAGUAAUUCGACAUUCUGUCGGUAAAAAAAAAUACAGAUGGUUUUACAGACGGAAAAUGCGUGCCAAAAAAAAAUUCCCACUAAACAUAUACCGACAUAAAUAUUCCAUCGAUGAUCGCGGCAUAUGCAGUAAAUAUUUUUCAACUCUCUGUAAAAUACCGGCGGAAAAAUUCCGUCUGGAAAUCCGUCGGUGGUGUUUUUUUAAAAUUAAAAAAAAAACUCAUUUAUAAUAAAUAAUAUAAAAUUAUAUAAAUUAAUAGUAAAAAAACCAAUUAUGCAAAUAAAAUUGUAUUAAACAUCAAAAAUAGAAAAAUAAAGUUAAAUAAUACUCAUCCAAAUAUUCAUUACAAAUUUAAUGUGUUUCCAAAAAAAUAAAUUAAACUAGAACAAUGGUGGAGCUGGAGGGUGAGGAGGAGGUGGUGGAGGCUGGUCAUUUCCGGGACCAAACAACAAAUAUGUAUCACCCAUAUGUGAUCUAAUGUUCAUGACCAUUUGGCGGAGUUGUUCAUAAUUCACCGACGGUUGCUUGUAUUUUUCGAUGAGAUGAGUCGUGUGUUGCUGCAAGGCCACGAACUCCUUAGAUUGGGUGCUCGAUAUUGAUUAGGAGCUCCCAACGGUUGAGACAUUACGGGUCGCCUGCAAGUUCUCGGCCAUAGUAUUGGAGAGCCCGUACACCCGAUUUUUAUCGAGUCCACCAGACAAUCCUACCUUCAUCCACAAAUCCAGAUCGAAAUUCGGAUGGGACGAAGAAUCGUCCCCAUAUAUCUCCCUCAACCGGCUAUUAUAGGUCUCUUGAAAAUGAAAAUAGAAAUCAUCAUAUUCAAUUCAAGAAAAAUAAUAACUUACGAAAUAAAAUGGUUGAACGAACAUACCACGAAGUGUUGAACGCGGUUGUCAACGAACUGUUGCACCCCUUUUUGGUGGUUUUCACUCUGUACGUGCGUCUCUACAAACAGCUCCAUUGGACUCGGCUCACGUCCAAGAGACGUAGCCUAUAAGAAGAAAAAUUAAUUAAGUAACAACAAAUUUAUUAACGAUAUAUUUCAUUUAAAUUAAUCUUACCAUCCGUUUCGCAUGUGUAGCAAACGGAACGAAGCUAUCGGUGUGCGUGGUCACCGAACCAUGAAUUUGCCGGUUCCGAUUGUCAGCACCAGACUGUGAGCGUCGUGUGAAUUGUUCAAACAUCACGUGCUCAAUAUAUUGCAGCCAUAUAUCCCCCGGGAUGUAUUGCGGUUUGAAAUCCCUCCAAACCACCACGCAUUCCAACCUUGUAGACCGUUAUUUUCUGGCGUAUUUUUUUGCUUUUUUUUGUUCCCUCCAAACCGCCACGUCAUUCCAACCUUGUAGACCGUUAUUUUCUCGCGUAUUUUUUUGCUUUUUUUGGUGCUUCAUACUAAAAAUCACACAACCUACUUCUAUAGUGACAAAUUAGAUUUUAAAACAUAAUUUUUUUUAAAAAAAUAUUGUAUUGUUUUCGAUGUUACCUAGUUGCCACGUGAUUUUCGUACACCCUCCUCGCAACAUUGUCAUGCGCACUAUCCCACUUGAAUUUGUGUUGUGUAUAAAUAAUUUAUUUAAAAUAAAAAUAAUAAUUUAUUUAUAAUUAUAAUAAUAAUUUAUUAAAGAUAAGCUGGAAAUUAGAAAUUAACACCAAUUUGAAAUCUUCGAAAUCAUGCAUCGAUAUAAGGUCUCCAUUCAGGAUGUCUGGAAACCUGACUCCAUUGAAAUAAUAGAAUCUCCAUCGACGAUUUAAACACCAAUGAUAUUAAUCGGGCGACCUCAAAGUUUCUGACCCUGAAAAUAAAUUAAAAAAAUAAAAAUUUGAUUAGUUGUUCAUAAAUUAUGUUAUAAUUAAAAAAAAACUAAAACCAAAAAAAACUUAGAAAUUGUAGAUUUGAAUGUUAACUAACCAAGGAAACUGGUCUUGCUCAAUUUGGAAAUGUAGAACUCCAGUUAUGGGUUACCAACUGAGACUGAGUCGUGAUUGAUUAUGUAGGGCAGUAGGACUAAUUAGUAAAUGAACAAUUUUGACUAUCUUGGAGGCAAAACUGGGUUCUCCUCCCUCAAAGAACUAGUAGCCUCGUGUCUUAACUUUCUAACGAGAUCAAUCUCCGUUAAAAUGGAGUUUUAGAACUUUAGAUAUAGUUAAAAAUCUGAUGAGUGUUCAGACAGUAACAGUUGGAAAUUGGACAGUAACAGAUCAAAGUCAAACAGUAAUAGUUCAAAGUCAGACAGUAACGGUUGGAAAAGUCAAACAGUAACAGUUCAAAGUCAGACAGUAACCGUUGGAAAUUGGACAGUAACAGUUUAAAGUUAGACAGUAACAGUUGGAAAUUAGACAGUAACAGUUGGAAAUUAGACAGUAACAAUAGACUUUCAUGUGAAUACUAUAAAUAAAAAUAUAAAAGAAUUGAGUCAUACGAACACUUAUAUAUUGAGAUAUUAACUCUGAAAAUAUACAUGAUAUAUGUAUGUAUGUUAUUAUGAGGAAAUGAACAUGCAUAGAAAGUAACAUAUGAGUAAUGGAUGAAUAUGAAUUCUCUAUAAUAUCGGCUUGAAAGAAUCAUAACAAAAAAAAAGAAAACUUCCUUGUGAUUCAGGAGGAGCAACCAGGAUUGGAUCUUCUGUUAGGGGAGGUCGUGAGACAGGCGAAGCAGGUGCGUGAUUUUCCCUCCUAUUUACACUUAUACAAUUUAGAAUCCUUCUGGUGAAUGCAAUUAUAAUAAAUAUCGUGUUCAAUAUAAAUAAAUCCUAGUGUAUUUACAAGAUUAGCUUCGGCUAAUGGCAUCCGUGAUAGGAUUGCCAGGAAAAUUUACAUGAUUAGCUUCGGCUAAUGGCAUCCGUGAUAGGAUUGCCGGGAAAAUGAUUCACACGAUUAGCUUCAGCUAAUGGCAUUCGUGAUAGGAUUGCCGAGAUAUGAUUGAUAUGAUUAGCUUCGGCUAAUGGCAUCCGUGAUAGGACUGCCGGGAAAUGAUUUACACAAUUAGCUUCGGCUAAUGGCAUCCGUGAUAGGAUUGCCGGGAAAUGAAUUACAGGAUUAAACCUUACAAGGUCACCCAGUUUAUGCAAGUAAAUAAGAUUAUUCAAUUAAGAAUAUACAAAUGAGUGUUAAUUGGGUUUAAAAGAUUUACAAGCAAAAUAUAAGUUCUUUGUUAGAAUUCUCAUGGAUUUGAUAAAAAGUUAAUACUUCAUUCGUAUUCAUUACAUGAGCAUACAUAUAUUCUUUAUCGACAUAAUGGUAUGUUUAUUUAGGUAACAGGUCCAUCAAACAUUCAGGAAGAUCAUUAGUUAGGACUCAACUUUGUGAAGCUUAUGUAAAUAUUUAACUUAAAACAAAAGGGAAUUAACGUGUUUAUGUAGUAUACUUUUGUGCAAACCUUGAUGUAUUUAUAAAGGUUUAGCUUAGCAUGUAGUAUUUUUAGUUAUCUAGUAAUUAACCAUCUUGAAAUAUUUAAGAACACUUCUUAUAUUGUAAAUACUUUCUUUGCAUGUUAGUAUUCCUUUUCCUUUAAAUUUUAUGAUAUGAUGUGUUGGACUAUGUUCAUAUUGAACUUACUUAUAGGAUAUAUAUAUAUAUUGUGUGGAUUGUAUGAGGUGUGGAAUUAUGAGGUUUGAUAUAAGGUCCGGAAUUAAGGGACUUUGUGAUGAUGGGUUGAUUGAGUAAACUGAUAGUAGUCGAUAACUUGGGAUGUCCUAACUGCAAACGAAACUCUGCCGAUUUUUGGAAAAAAAAAAAUUACCCUCAAAUAAAGAGGAUAUGUUGGAAUCUUUUAACAUUGAUCGAGUCAUACAGUCGGACUAUUACAGAGGAGGUCAUUGCAGACCCCCCUAUUUGUUUGGAUUUUCCGGCGGCGACAUGUUAACCCACUCGCCGCUAGUGGCGUGGCGCGUGGAGGAGACGCGCCGCCACUGUUCCAGCGCCCAGAAACCUUCCGCCACUGUUCCGGCGGAUCUUAGAGGAUGUUCCCAGCAAUUCCUGGAGUUUUGGGGUUUUAUUGUGUAAUUUUUGAAUUGUAUUUGAUUUAUUAUGAGUUUUGUUUUUUUUACAUGUAAAAGAUGGUGUAUGAGAAAAUCAUAAUAAAAAGAGAUGUGUGUGUGUGUUUGUAUUUUUAUUUAUGUUAUUGAAUUGUAAAAAUAAAAAAGAUUAAAAGAAUUAAGUGUUUAAUUUGAUUAUAGUUAAAUAUCUCAAGGACAAAUAAAAUCAUGUUAUAUUUUCCAUGAAAGUGUAAGAACAUGUUUCUACACAUAUUCGAGGAUUUAAUAACUGAUUUAUUAAAACCUUAGAAUUUAAUGAGUAUUUUAAAUUUUCAAAUCACAUCAAAUCGCAAAGCAACUUACCUCAGGUAGGGUGCGCUAGGGGUGCUAAUACCUUCCCUAGCCACAAUCAGUCCCUUACCCUAGAAUUUCUGACAACGACUAGUAAAUCUGGGUUUCCUAGUAACCUUCAAUGAAAUACUAGGUGGCGACUCCAAAGAACCAAUCAAGCAAACAUAACGAAAAAUCGUCGAAUCGUCGCGCGGGGGACGUGCGACAAUCCUAACACCAUUAGUGAAACCUUUUCUCCUUGACAUAAUAAACUUAGCUAAACAUAAUGAAGAAGAGAAACAUAAAUAAACAAGAGAAGAACAUGAUUAUAUAAGUAUAGUAAAGGAAAUGAAAGGUAUAAACAAGAUAUUAAUGAAAGCAAAACUUAAGCAUUUCAAAAAUAUAAAGAAAGAGAGCAAGAACAUGAUCUUGAUCUUGAUUUGAAAACUAAGAUGCCUAAAUACAUGGCAAAUGCCUCCUUUUACAGGCCAAAAUUUAGAAUUAUUGAUUUGAUAACUAAUUGUUAAGUGGGUGGCCACCUCUUGACUUUGUGACAAUUCUUAUCUUCUUGUCUGCCAAAAACGUUAUUGCUAACAUCAGAAUUUGAAUAAAUAGUCUUCAUGAAAGUUUUGGGAAAUUGUCUUAUUUUUCCAACAAAAUAAAAUUGAGGUCAUUUAGACUUCUAGAACUCGAGAUAUGGGCUGAACACUGAAUAGUGUCUAGGCUGCAGGACAGAUUCAGACUUCUCUUUUGAUGCUAAGAUUUGGACUUCCAAACGGCAGAAUAGAGUCUUGGACUCCGCAUGAAUGUUUUAGGCCUAUGUCUUAGCUUUCUAGCCAUAUAAACCAAACUGAAAUCCAAGAUCUACAGCUCCAGAUAUGACCUAAUGACUGAAUAGUGUUCCAGUUUGAAUUAAAUCACCAUCUCUUUUCUAAGCUUAGCCUUUUCUUUAUCCUUUCACUUUCAAUAGUUAAUCACAUCAAUCAAUCAUUUGAAUUGUGAGAUAUGUCUGCAUUUAAAUGAGCAUUUACCAUAAAUUAAAGCUAUCUUAUAGUAUUAGAUAUGUUAUUAUAAAACAUGCUCUAGUUAAGGAGUUAUUGAUACUUCAAGUGCAAAAUGAUGAUAUAAAACCUUGAUAAAAAUGCAGUUUUAAGUACUAAUCACUCCAUGAGUCGAAUAGAAUGGUCAAAUAAGGAAAGCCGUAAAAAGGUGAGAUUGGAUUUGAGCCUUAGUUUGUAAAAACUUGUGUCUUUUGGUUUUAUUAAUAGCAUGUUAUUUUGUUUUGUUAUUUCUUAUAUUUGUUUAAGUGUGUUUCAGGUUUGUCAUUGUUCUUUAUUUCAAGUGAUGUCUUCUAUAUUUUAUCUUUUUACCUUAGGAUAUUAAGGACAAUGUCUCGUUUUGGUUGAGAAGAGAUGGUAGUAGUUGAUAUUAAAAAAAAAUUAACUAUGUUUUCUAUUUCAUAAACCAUUUGCAAACCUGUUGUUACUAGGAUGACAGAGUAAAGAAGUUCUUUUGUUAAAGUGACUAUUGAGACGCAUCUUAGUAAACAUUCUUAAUAAGGUCUAUCAGAAUACUUCUUGAAAUAUUCAGGUUUACAAACUCUCGCAUUGUUGUCACUUGAUUCUGCUCAUAUACUCGUUUACAAGUAUUUUUAAACCUUGAUUUUUACACACACACUUUAACAUUUGAUUGUAGGUUGCAUAUUUGAUUAUUACAUUAUUUAUGUUCUUUUGUUAAAGGUAACAACUAAGGGAAAGAGAUAGUAUAUAAUUUGCAAAAAACAAAAAACCAAAAAAAAACCAAAAAACUAAAAACUAAAAGAAAUUAAUUAUAUUGAUGAUAAUAAAAACGUAGAUAAGUUUGGUUUCGUAGCCUCCCUAACCUAAGCAAUUAAGCCCGAAGGGGUGUUUUAACACCUAAUACCCUAAAGUCAACUGACUUGGGAGCUAUUAGCCCAAUGCUUGUUACAUGGGUUAAGGAGAAAAGCUUAAGAGAAUCAAACAUUGCACUAUCUAUGUAUCAGUAUCUACAACCCGAGUUACUAAGCUCGUAGGGGUGUCUCAACACCUAAUGCCCUAAGACCAACUGGUCUGGGAGUCAUUAGUUGAAAGCUCGUUACAUAGGUUAAAGAUGCAUUGUAUUUUAAGUUAUCUAUAUAUAUAUAUAUAUAUAUAUAUAUAUAUAUAUAUAUUAAAAAAAAGAGAAAAAAAAAAGAUAAUAAUCCCAACCCAAGGAAGUUAACCUUAGAAAAACAUUAGAACAAAAUUGUGUUUUCAUCCAAGCAAAGCCCCAUAACUAUGUGUUGAUAUAUUGAGCACAAAAGGAAGGUUUAUCAAUAUCUUGUUUAAGAAGUAUGGAGUAGAUAUAUAAAUUUAAUAAGAGUUUGUUUAUUUAGAUAGAUUAAUGGAAGUUGAAUGAUGAAUGCCUUGCUUUGUGGAACUUGCAAAUUGUUUUUCUAUUUUAACACUUUGAUUACUAGGGACUAGUAAUAAGCUAGUUGGGGGGUGUGAUUAGUACUUAAAAGUGCAUUUUUAUCAAGGUUUUAUAUCAUCAUUUUGCACUUGAAGUAUCAAUAACUCCUUAACUAAAACAUGUUUUAUAAUAACAAGUCUAAUAAUAUAAGAUACCUUGAAUUUAUGGUAAAUGUUCAUCUUAAAUGCAGGCCUAUCACAUAAAUAAAAAGAUUGAUUGAUGAGUUUAACUACUGAAAUUGAGAAGACAAAGAGAGAGCUAAGCUUAGAAAAGAGAUACUGAUUCAAUUCAAACUGGAAUACUGUUCAGUCAUUGGGUCAUAUCUAGAGCUGUAGAUCUUGGAUUUCAGUUUGGUUUAUAUGGCUAAAAAGCUAAGACAUAGGCCUAAAACAUUUAAGAAGAGUCCAAAACUCAAUUUUGCCGUUUGAAAGUCCAAAUCUUAGCAUCAAAAGAGAAGUCUGAAUCUGUCCUGUAGCCUACACAUUGUUCAGUGUUCAGCCAUAUCUCGAGUUCUAGAAGUCAAAAUACACCGAUUUAUUUUUUCUUGGAAAGCUAGGACAAUUUUCUAGAACUUUCAUGAAGACUAUCUGUUCAAAUUCUGAUGUUAGCAAUGACGUUUUGUUCAGACAAGAAGAUAAGAAUGUAAAUGUAAUUAGAAUAUUUUGCAAUAAAAUAAAUUAUAAUUAAAUCUUUGAAUAAAUUCAUUAAUCAACGUUAAUGUUACUGAAACAACAUUAAAUUAAUCACUGAACAAGUUGAUUAAUUCAAACAACACGCAUUCAAUCAAUAUAAUGGUCUUGAAGAUAAGUGAUUAAUGAACGUUAAACAAUUCAACAAGUUGAGAUUAGAAACAAGUUGAUUCAAACAGCACGCAUUCAAUCACCAUAUCAUGGUGUGUAUCUUGGACAAGCGGAAAGCACUUGUCCCCGUUUUGUCUUUUAAAAACCCUAAUGCUCCUACUUUCGGUGGAGUUUAGCUUCUUUUUUUUUUACUUAACCUUUCUUAUUAAUAUCACAUGCAAAGUUUUUAAAACAACAUUAUUGUACACAUAAGGUGAAAAUGACAGGGAAUUGACCUCUCCUCACUAUUAUUUUCCUGCUUUCGUAAAGUUUUUUAUAGCUCUAUAUUCUAUCUCGUGCUGAGAGUGUUUCCAAAAGCACUGAAACGUGUGGUGCUAAACGACAAGGCAGAAUAAGGUUAAAGGGAUCUAUUUUAAAAUUUUACUCUUAAGGUGUACAGUGGAAAUCGACUCUCCCUUGUUAAUUUCUAAAUUAACCAUCUGAAGAGGUUUUUUUCUUCUUGUAUAUUAUUGUUUUAAUAAAAACAAUAUAAAAGAAGAAAAGGAUAAAAGUAAAACCAGAGAAAGAUUAAGAAUACCAAGAGAGUGUGGGAUUGGUAAUGCAAUAUAAGAUUUUUUUAAAAAAAAAUUAUUUUUUUGUUAAAAAUAUAUUUAAAUAAUUUUUUUAAUAUUUUACAUCAUAUAUUAGAAUGAUAAAAAAAAAAACACCAUGUAAACUAUUAUCAUUAUAUUUGUUUAUCAUUAUCUUUAUAUUGUAUUAUGCAUGCUAUCUUAAUUAUGUCAUCAAAUUGCAUUUUUUUUAUGGGAAUUGCUGCUCUAACUCGGAAGUUAGAAUCCAUGUAAACUAUUUUGUUUUAAUACUUCUCCUCUUUUCAACAUAAAGUCGUUCUUUUAUAAAUAUAUUCAUUAGAUUGAUGAUAUGCUAUCUUUUCUUUUUAUUGGUUUUGAGAAAGAAAAAAAAAAGUAUUUCUAUCCUUUUAUGGAAAAGCACAGAGAUCUAAGAACUAUUGUGUAAAUAACUGUUAGGGUAAGUGUGAAUUUUAACACAUGGCAUGGAUAGCUAUUGAUGAGGGGAGAAAGGGAUUACAAGUCUGGUUUGGAUAUAAAUUAUACAAAAUCUGACCAUAGUUUCCAUUGCCAUCUCUGUUGAAUAUUCUUGGCACAAACAGCUCAUUUCAAACCAGUUGUCCCUGUUUUGUAUUUUAAAAACUCUAAUUAAAUAUUAAAUUAACACACAAAAAAAAAAAAAACUAAAUGAGAAGGGUUUUUUUUAUUAUACCCUUCCUCACAAACACAACCUUCAACUCUACUAUAGUUGAUGUGAUGGGUCAAUUAUUUCUAACUACGGCAUAACAUUAUACUUCAUGUUUUAAUAUUAUAUUAGUAAUAACAACUCCUUUUAAUUUAUUAGUUCAGAUAUAUAUUUACUUUGUUUUAUAAAAUAUAAAUAGUAUAUUUUCAUGUCUCAAUUAAAAAAAACAUUAAUUAUUGGACUUCAUAAUUUAUUUUGGUGUGUUUUUCAUAAAGUUAUUGUGGUCUUAAACAAACAUCUCGAUAUUUGUUUGAGCGUUAAUUUUUUAAUCAUAUCAUUAAAUAAAAAUAUUUUUUAAAACAAUUACUAAAUUUAGUGAAGUCUAUAACUCGAAUCACGAAUUUAACGGGUUAAAAUUAUUGUUGGAAAAGCUAAUAUUAAAAUUAUUAUUUUAGUAUUAUCAUCAAAUAAUUUUUUUAUAUUUUAAAAAAUUUAUUUAACUCGGCGGAGUAUAGUUAAAUGGAAUGGUAUAAUUUAGAUCUUGAGACACUAACGUCAGCUGAACUACUUCUAGUUUGGAUCUUGAGACACUAACGUUAGCUAAACUUAUUUCCAGUUUGAGAGUAUGGUUGUGGUUGCUUUUUAAAGUGUUUUUCAUGUUGAAAUGCAUCAAAAUGAUAUUUUUUUUAUUUUUAAAAAAUUAGUUUUAAGAUCGGUGCAUCAAAACGAUCCAAAACAUAAAAAAUAUAUUAAUUUUUAACCAAAAAACAAUUUAAAUUUUUUAAAAACACGAAUUGAUCCACGUUUCCAAACUCUCUGGAUUGAUAUGCUUUAAAUGAGCAAUUAAAAUAUCAAAGGAUUUCCGGGACACUCCCAAGACGUUUAAUGGUAUAUUUAAUGUUUGUCCCUAUUGAGAUUACGACAAGACCAAAUAGAAAAGUACUAGUUACAUGCCCCGCGCGAUGUUGCGGGUCAAUUAUUUUUUGCAUUUCAAAAAAAGUUAAGAUCUAAAAGUGUUAGAUUUUUUUGCAAAGUUAUACCCAAGAGUCUUAGGUUUGGUUGCAACGCCUGAUCCAAGAGUAAUAUUUAUAAAAGUGUUAGGUUUUUUUGCAAAGUUAUACCUAAGAGUCUUAGGUUUGGUUGCAACGUCUGACCCAAGAGUAAUAUUUAUAAUUUUAAUAAUAACAUUAAACUUGCAUGACCCAAAUUUAAGUGGGUUUGACUGCAAUACCAGACCCAAUAGCAUUGGACGUGGGUCUGGCUGCAAAGUCGUGUCAUAAAAGUGUGAUAAUUAAAUAGAUUAGUUAAAAAGAAAAAAAACAACAGGAAGAAAAAAACUAAUGAAGAAAAAGAAAAAAUAUAUGAAUUAAUUGGGUUAACCCUUCAAACCAGGUUAACCCGUCAUACCUUGAAUUCGCAUCGUGAAAGUUUGAUAAUUAAAAAGGAAAAAAAAAUUAAUGGGUUAACCAAGAAUUAACUCGGCUAACUCGUCAAACCAGGUUAACCCGUCAAACUCAGAAUCCGUGUCAUGAAAGUUUGAUAACUAAAUAGAAAAAAAAAAUUAACAUUAACAAUUUAAAUUAAACAAAAAAAUUAAUUAAAAAAAAAAGCAUUAGCCUUUUCACUGUGGACUGCAUUGUCCAGUCCACAGUCAAAGGCAUAAAAACAACAAAAAAAGAAAAAGAAAAACUAAAGGCAUCAGCCGAUAACUACUUAGAAAAAAAUUUAAUAUUAAUAAACUAAAUUAAUUAAAUAAAAUUAAUUAAAAAUAAAAAAGAAAAGAAAAAAACUCUAAAAACAAAAAAAAAACUAAAUAGAAAGAAAUUUAACAUUAACAACUAAACUAAACGAAAAAAAUAAUUAAAAAGAAAAAAAAAAGCAAAAAAAAAUAUUCCAGGUUAACUCGUCAAACCAGGUUAACCCGUUAAACCCAGGAUUUGUGUCAUGAAUGUCUGGUAACUAAAUAAAAAAAAAAAGUGAACAUUAACAAACUGAACUAAACGAAAAAAAUUAAUUAAAAAGAAAAAAAUAAAAAAGAAAUGUUGGUUAACUCGUCAAACCAUGUUACCCCUUAAACCCAGGAUCUGUGUCAUGAAAGUCUGAUAACUAAAUAAAAAAAAUUAUGAAAAUAAAAAAACAAAAAACAAUUGACGGGUCAACCCAGAAUUAACUGGGUUCGCCCGUGAAACCAGGUUAACCCGUGAAACUCGGGAUAUGUGUCAUGAAAGUGCAAAAAAAAAAAUUCUAGGUUAACUUAUCAAAUCAGGUUAACCCGUUAAAUUCAGAAAACGUGUCAUGAAAGUCUGAUAACUAAAUAAAAAAAAUUUAACAUUAAUAAACUAAAUUAAACAAAAAAUUUUGUUAGAAGAAAAAAAACAAAGAAAGAAGCUAAAAAAUAAUCCCAAAAGGCAUAAAAAAACAGCUAAAAAAACAAUUUAAAAAAAAAACCUAAAGCAUCAGUGUUUUAGUGUGGACUGCAUUGUGCUGUCCACGGUAAAACACUGAUUCGUUUUAGUAUAUGUUACAAUUUAUAAAAUAUUUUAGUUUUUAAGUUUGAUUUUAUUCCUUUUUAUUUUCGGUUGGGAUCAUAUUAAACCAAUCAAAUUUUGUUUUUCAAAUUUUUCAUAUUAAAAUUAUCUAAUAAACUCAAAAUAAAUCAAACUAUCAAAAGAUGAGCUUACUUUCUCUUUUUUUCUUGUCUCGCACUUGUCUCUGUUUUCUCUUUUAAAAACCUUUGUUAUUUAAUAUCACAUGCAAGGUUUUUAAAACGAACAUUAUUGUACACAUAAGGUGAAAAUGACAGGGAAUUGACCUCUCCUCACUAUUAUUUUCCUGCUUUCGUAAAGUUUUUUAUAGCUCUAUAUUCUAUCUCGUGCUGAGAGUGUUUCCAAAAGCACUGAAACGUGUGGUGCUAAACGACAAGGCAGAAUAAGGUUAAAGGGAUCUAUUUUAAAAUUUUACUCUUAAGGUGUACAGUGGAAAUCGACUCUCCCUUGUUAAUUUCUAAAUUAACCAUCUGAAGAGGUUUUUUUCUUCUUGUAUAUUAUUGUUUUAAUAAAAACAAUAUAAAAGAAGAAAAGGAUAAAAGUAAAACCAGAGAAAGAUUAAGAAUACCAAGAGAGUGUGGGAUUGGUAAUGCAAUAUAAGAUUUUUUAAAAAAAAAAUUAUUUUUUUGUUAAAAAUAUAUUUAAAUAAUUUUGCAAACUAACUUCAUCAAGUUUUAAAAAGAAAAGGCAAAGAAAAACCAGCGAAUUGACCAUAUCAAAUAAAGUCGCGUACGAGAGAACCUUUAUUAUUAAUAUCACAUGCAAAGUUUUUAAAACAACAUUAUUGUACUCUUAAGGUGAAAAUGACAGGGAAUUGACCUCUCCUCACUAUUAUUUUCCUGCUUUCGUAAAGUUUUUUUUAGCUCUAUAUUCUAUCUCGUGCUGGGAGUGUUUCCAAAAGCACUGAAAUGUGUGGUGCUAAAAGACAAGGCAGAAUAAGGUUAAAGGGACCUAUUUAAAAAUUUUACUCUUAAGGUGUACAGUGGAAAUCGACUCUCCCUUGUUAAUUUCUAAAAUUAACCAUCUGAAGAGGUUUUUUUCUUCUUGUAUAUUAUUGUUUUAAUAAAAAUAAUACAAAAGAAGAAACGGAUAAAAGUAAAACCAGAGAAAGAUUAAGAAUACCAAGAGAGUGUGGGAUUGGUAAUGUAAUAUAAGAUGUUUUUUAAAAUUAUUUUUUUGUUUAAGAAUAUAUUUAAAUAGUUUUUUUAAUAUUUUACAUCAUAUAUUAGAAUCAUAAAAAAAAAUCACUAUGUAAACUAUUAUCAUUAUAUUUGUUUAUCAUUAUUUUUAUAUUAUAUUAUGCGCGUGCUAUCUUAAUUAUGUCAUCAAAUUGCAUUUUUUUUUAUGAGAAUUGCUGCUCUGACUCGUAAGUUAGAAUCCAUGUAAACUAUUUUGUUUUAACACUUCUCCUCUUUUCAACAUAAAGUCCUUUUUAUAAAUAUAUUCAUUAGAUUUGCCAUCUCUGUUGAAUAUUCUUGGCACAAACAGCUCAUAGCUAAGGGAAGCUCGGAUUUCAAACCAGUUUCCAUCCCAUUUUAUAGACCGAAUUCUUACAAUAUCUUCUUCAUCGAUCGAUAAACCGAUUCUGGAGGACCACAAUAUGAUGGUGUAUCUUAGAGCACCACAUCAAAAGAUAAGAAAUUCCUCGAAGAUCACCAUAAUAUCAUGGUGUGUAUCUUAGACAAGCGAAAAGCACUUGUCCCCGUUUUGCCUUUUAAACCUUCAAAGAUUUGUGUCCAGGGGGGCAUCAAGUUUUAAAAAGAAAAGGCAAAGAAAAACUGGCCCGACCACCAUUUCAAAAGAUAAGCUUACUUUCUUUCUUUUUCCCAUCUCUCACUUGUCCUUGUUUUGUAUUUUAAAAACUCUAAUUAAAUAUUAAAUUAACCAAAAAAAACUAAAUGAGAAGGGUUUUUUUAAUUAUACCCUUCCUCACAAAACACAACCUUCAACUCUAGUACUAUAGUUGAUGUGGUGGGUCAAUUAUUUCUAACCAAGGCAUAACAUUAUCAAAAUAAAUUAAUAAACCGUGAGGUGGUGAGGUGAUUUUAUGAUGGCACCAUUCACUAUGAAUCCUCUUACAUUUUAUUAUGAACGGUAGUAGUGAUUUUUUUCUUUUAAUGCUCAAACAUUUUUUUUCUUCUUAAUUUUAUUAUUUUGUGGUCAAAUUGAUGGCCAAUUGUUUUUGAUUUGUUAUGAAAGGGUAAGAUUAAAAGAUAGGGGACCAAAGAGAAAAGAACAAAAAAAAUAGGUGGCAGUUUCAAAAUUAACAUAAAAAGUUCACUUUGUUUGAAUUAACAUAAAAUAGGUGGCAGCUAUAUCUGCUGACUAGUUAUUCAUGGUGAAGUGAUAAUCUCUUCUUUUGUUCUACUGAAAUUCUUGAUGUUUAGGCUGGGAAUAAAUUUAGCUCCUCUUGUUUACCUAGAAAACUGAGGGAAAGUAGCUGAAAUAAUUUGAAACCAUUUAAGAUUUUUGUCAGUUUAGUUUAUUCGUUCACUUUCCUGUAGUUUCUGAGAUAGUACCAAACACAUUGUUAUGUGUUGAAUAAAUAAUUAACCACCGAUUAAAGCAGAAGGAACAUUUGUGUUUGAAUCCUGAGAAAAUUGAGUCGGAAAAUAAAGGGAAAUUUUUGCAUUUUAUGAAGUUUUUUUUCUUAGUUAUGAUGAUUUAUUUUUUUGGAGGCCCCUAAAAGUGGAAUAAUGGUCCCAAAAUUUACAAUGUUUUCCUGCAAUCAAACAGUGCUUUGGAAGAUAAUUGUUAGAAGAUAAAAUAAUUUGUUUUUUUAUUAAUGUAAAUCUGCUUUUCUCUAUAUCACAAUACUUUUAACGAAGUUUUUUGUUUUUUUGUUUAAGCCUUUUUUUUUUUAAUAUUUCAAUCUCUAAUAUUCUUUUGUACUUUCUUUCUAUGGGAUUUAUCUUUCUUUUUUAAAUAAUAAGGAUUGCCUCAAAGUUUUUUUUUUCUGUCUUUGUUAAAUUUUGCUUCUUUAAAAGGGAUUUUUUUUAAUUAAAUUAAUUUUUUUGAUUUCAUUCUCUUGCAUUUAAUUUGAGGCAAUACCUGAAAGAAUUUUGUUUCUCUAAUUAAUUUUUUUAAAAAAAUUAUAUUCUUUGUUUUUUUAUUUUUUUCUAUAGAGUUAUCCUGAUAUUAUAUCUUGGGUCAUAGAUUCAAUAGGUUUACCAAGGUUGAUUUAAGUUUUUUUUUUAAUUUCUUUUUAAUAUUUUUUUAUCUCAAGUCAAUGACUAAAAUCUUAAAUUUCAAAAAAUUGCAUUGUCAAUAGUGUUUUUUUUUACUUGGUUUUUUUUAAUCUAUAUUUUUUUUUUUAAUUUCAAACUUCAACAUUUAGUUUAUUGAAGACUGGGCUUCAUAAUUUAUUAUUGCUUGCUUUAUAUAUUGUUAGCUCAAUCUCUUUACACUAUAAACUAAAAGAGGUGAUAGAUUUACUAUUCACCACCUCACAAGACACAAUUCAUUUCAAUAGUUUUUUUUUAAAAAAAUCUAUAUUUCUUUAUUCCUUGAUUUCAUACUUCAACAUUUAGUUUAUUAUAGACUAGGCUUAAUAAUUUAUCAUGGUUUGUCUUAGUCUCAUAACUCGUAUUACGGGUUUAAUUGGUUAACUCAGUUUUUUUGUCUUUUUUAAUUGCUAUUUUUUCAAUUUCACCAUUCAACAUUGGAUUGAUUAUGAAUUAGACUUCAUUAUUUAUUUUGGUUUACUUUUUAUGAGGUUAUCUUGGUUUUAUGACUUAGGUUACGUGUUUUGUGAGUUAAGCCGUGUAGACUUGGGUCGUUUUAUUGUAUAAUGUUUUUAGAUUGAUUUUUUUUUAUUUCAACCUUUAACAAUAAAUUUAUUGAAAAUUGAGUUUCAUAAUUUAUUUUGAUUAACUUUCUACAGAAUUAUCAUAAUUUCAUGACCUUGGUCGCGGGUUUGGCAGGUUAACUUAGGUUGACUCAAGCUAUUUUUUGUUUACUUUUUAUGAGGUUAUCUGAGUUUCAUUACCCAGAUCAUAGGUUUGACGAAUUAACCUGAGUUGAAUAUGAUCCUUUUUUUUAAUUUUAUCCUUCAACAUUGAGUUUGCUUAUCCCGGGUCACGAGUUAACUCAGCUUUGUUUUGUCCAUUUUUUAGUUGGUUUUUUUUUUUCUCAAUUUCAUCCUUCAAUAUUUGGUUGGUUUGAAAUUAGACUUCAUAUUUUAUCUUAUUUUAUUUCUUUCUAUGAGAUUAUUCUAGUCUCAUUACUUGGGUCACGGGUUUGCUAAGUUAACUUGGGUUGUCGCAGGUCUUUUUUUUUUUAUCUUUUUUUAAUUAAUAUUUUUUUUCAAUUUCAUCCUUCAAUAUUUGAUUAAUUAGGGAUUAAGUUUCAUAAUUUGUUUUGAUUGCUUUUUAUGGGGUUAUAUUAGUCAUAUAACCCGGGUUGCAGUUUUGACAAGUGAACCCUAGGUGACUCGAGUUCUUUGUUUUUUUUUCUCUUUUUUAAUUGUUUUUUUUUUCAAUUUCAUCUUUCAAUAUUGGUUUAAUUGGGAAUUGGGUUUCAUAUUUGGUUUUUUUUUCAAUUUUGUUUUUAUUAGAAAGCACACUUAACAAAUAAUAAUUUAGUCUUGAUAAAACUAAUGAAUCAUUCCAUAGUUUCAAUAACAAUAUGUUUAAUUCUUAUAUUUUUAGUUAUAUAUAGUUUAGUACUAUCAAUUUCAAGUUCUUUCCCAUGUAUUUUUUCUUCUUCCUUCUUGAAAAAUAGAAAAGGAAAAGAGAAGCAGGCAGUUGGGGAAAUUUCAUUAGGAAGGAAGGUAUUUUAUAUAUAUAGUAAAUUGAGGGUGGUUAACACUAGUUAAUGGGAUGUUUCAUUAUUUAUGAUACUACAAGGACUAGAUAAUUAAUUUUAAUAAAUUACAGCGCUAAUUAGUUAUAAUUAAAUCUUCAUUGACAAAUAGGAUUUUAUUAUUUGUUUUUUGAAGGAGAAUAUGUACAUGCAACAAUCUUUACUGUUCCUUCAUUUAGGAAUAUAGAAUUCAAAUAUGGUUUUAAGAGUAUAUAUUUAUAGGGUACAAAUCUGUUUGUAUAAGCAAUAUUUUCAUAAAUUUAUCAAUUCUGCAGCUGGAAAAAAGAAAUAGACUCAAUAUUCCACCUGAGAAAACCGAUAAAAUGAAAGAAAAGAGAAUUCUUUCUUUAUCCAUUAGACCACAAAAAUUUACAUAUAACACAAUUUUAGUUAGAGCACUACAACUCAACUGUUAUAUUAUCUUAAUUAACAAAAAAUUCCAUCAUAUAAUAAGCUAUAGACUUAGCUGGGUUUUAAAAAACUCCUCUUUUACGUUUCUAUGUUUUCAUGAACAUUGAAAAAGGAGCCAUGGUUGACUUUCUAUCUGUUUCUUUCUUUUCUUGGAGGAGAAAGAGAGGAUUGCGCUACUUGUUUCUUUUCAUUUUCUUGAAAACCAAAUAGAAAGUUCUUGGUUGAUUUCUAGCCAAUAGUCUUUUUUCUCUUAUUAACUCGGUUUCUUUGGGUGCUGAUCGACUAGUUAUUUUUGUGAAGUAAUAAUCUAUUCUUUUAUUCUACUUAAAUUCUUGAUGUUUUUGGCAGGGAAUAAAUUUAGCUACUCUUAUUUACCAAGAAAAUUGAGGGAAAGUAAAAAAAAUAAUUUAAAACCAUUUAAGAUUUUUGUCAGAUUAGUUUAGUCUUUCCUGAAGUUUUUAAGGUCAAGGGAGUAGCCAAUCAAAAAGGAAGGAUUGCAAUGAAAAAUUCGGUACAGCUCUUUCAUUUCGCACUUGAGAGACAAUCUAUUGGUUGUAAUGAGGAGAUAUGGUUGAACAAGUGGCUACGAUCUAUUGGCUCAUCGGACUACCUUAUCUCCAAGUCACAGAUCCUUUCUCUUAAUUGGUUUUUUUUUUAAUUUGAAACUGUAAUUUGUUUCAAAGCUACAAAUACCUGGAUUUUUUUCUUCCUUUUCUUUCUUAUUUUCUUUCUUUCUUUUCUUUCCAUGGAGAAAGAGGAUUGUGCUACUUUUAUUUUCUUCAUUUUCAAAGCUACAAAUCAUGUUUGAGAGAAAGAAACAAGGUUUGUAAUAAAAUUACGUAGACUUACAUUUAUUAUAUACUAAGGAAAAAAAAUAUAUUUUUGUCUAAUUUGCUUUUUCCUGUUGAACAAGGAGGCAGAUCAUAAUUUCCCAAACUAUAGAUUGAAAAAAAAAAAAAAAAACAGACGAAAAGUAUAGGAGAUUUUUUUUUAUUAUACCUAAAAGUUAUUAAGGAAAGAAUAAAAAUUCAACAAUAGUGUACCAAAGUAUAAAAUAAAAAGAAAUCCAAUAAUCAAUCUUAAAUUUGUUAAAAAAUGUUAUGUUUAGUUCACGUAUUUUUUUUUAUUCUACAGUUCCUUUAGUUUUUACAAUUUUAAUUUUAGUUCAAAAUUUUAUUUUUUUAACAUUUUAAAUCCUUGAGUUUAAAAAAUAAGAGAGAAAGUCGUUUGAAAACAAUGAAAAAAAAGGUGAAGUUUGUGAAUAAGAACUUUUUCAAAAUAAAACUCAUCGUUUUUUGUAUCAACGAGUUUUAUUAUACGAGAGAAGCUUGAUAGUGGUAGUUUAUUUCUAUAAACAAGCCUGAAAAAUAUAUUGAGUUUCAUUUAGAUUUUUUUAUUUGGUUUUUUUUUUAUUUUUUGAAUGAUUUUGGGAUUUUAUUUUUAAUAUAUAAAAUCCCAUUAUUUCCUUGCUUUCGUCAGGACCGCUGAAAUAAGGUAAAGUUUUUUUUAGCAAGAACAUGAUUUUAUGGCCUCAAUCAGAGAGGUAAUGUGUGGUGCUAAAAGACAAGGCAGAAUAAGGUGUAUAGUGGAAAUAGACUCUCCCUAGUCCCUAGUUAAUUUCUAUAUUUCCAUCAAACCUAUUUUAGGGUUUGAACUUGAACCAUCUGAAGAGGUUUUUUUUUCUUGUAUAUUAUUGCUUUAAUAAAGAUAACAAAAAAGAAAAGAAAAGGAUAAAAGUAAAACCAGAGAAAGAUUAAGAAUGCCAAAUGAGUGUGGGAUUGAUAUUGUAAUAUAAGAUGUUUUUUUAAAAAUAUUAAUUUAAAAUAAAUAAAUAAAUAAAUAAAAUUUAAUUUUUUAAAAAAAUACUUGUAAAAUAUCUAAGUAAUCAUUCAAAUUAUUUUAUUUUCUUAAAAGAAAAAAAAAGUCGCGUACGAGAGAACCUUUGUUAUUAAUAUCACGUGCAAACUUCUUAAAACAUUAUUGAAAUCAUUAUAUAUUGACCAUUAUAUUAUUGUCCUCGUGAAAAUGACAUCUUCUCACCAUUAUUAGAAGAACAGGAGAGUGUUUUGAAAAGCGGGGACAGAGUGAGAAACAAGAACAUGAUUUUAAGGCACGUGGUCAGUUAUUGAUAUAUUAAAAUCAUAAAAAAAAUAUUAAUUUAAUAUAUUUUCAAACAAAACUCAUUCAAAUUCAAUUAAAAAAACAUUAGAAAAAAAAAAUGUAAGGAGGAGAUAAGGUUGAACAAGUGACGAUAAUCUAUUGAAUUCUCGGAUUACCUUAUUUUCAUGUCACAGGUCCUUUCUCUUAAUUGUUUUCUAAAUUUGAAACUGUAAUUUGUAAUUGUAAUAUGCGAGGGUAAUCACAGCAACUCAAGAGAAAAACAACACCCUAUUAAAUCAAAUUAAAAAAAAAAAACAAUUUGAAACAUCGAAGGGUGAAAUAGAAAAAAUAAAAGGACUGAAAUGAAAUAAAACCUUGGUGGAUGCUAUCAAUAGCCUUGUUCUUUUAGCUUUCUGUAUGAUGUAAUGGGCAGGUCUUAUUACUUGAGUGUGUGAUGCAAGAGAUAGUCAUUGCAGAUUUUAGUUGCCUAAGUUUGAUCCUUUGUGGAGUUCCUUGUAAGUCUCUUUUUUUUUCUCUCCUUAUUCAUAAUUUUCGAGAAAAAAAAACAUUUACCGAUCAUAGCUUUAGAUUAAUGUGUUAUUGGAAGCAAAGAGGAGCUAGUAUCAUGCGUGCAGGUGUCAAAGUGAUCUUCAUCAGCCUUCCAUUCCUUUCUCUCUUUGCUAGGUGAGUACUUGUACAUAUUAUUCUUUUAUUUGUUUGUCAUUAUCUUUAUAUUAUGCUUUUUAUCUUAAUUAUGUCAUAAAUUUGCAUUUUUGUGGGAAUUGCUGCUUUAAACUCUUAAGUGUAAACUAUUUUGUUUCAAUGUAUUCUUUAGAUCGGUGGUAUGCUAUCUUUCACUAAUGAAAUUCUGUUUAUUGGUUUUGAGAAGGAAAAAAAAAAGUAUUUCUAUCUUUGUUUUAUGGAAAAAGCACAUAGAUCUAUGAAAUAGAUAUAUAUUAAAAAAAAGGAUAGAUUAGAUAUUCCCAUUACUCAUGGCAUAGAUAGAGAUAGUCAUUACAGAUUUUAGUUGCCUAAGAUUGAUCCUUUGUUGAGUUCGUUCCUUGCAAGUCUUUUUUUCUCCUCAUGCAGACUAUCUUAAUUAUGUCAUCAAAUUGCAUUUUUUUUAUGGGAAUUGCUGCUCUAACUCGCAAGUUAGAAUCCAUGUAUACUAUUUUGUUUUAAUACUUCUCCUCUUUUCAACAUAAAGUCCUUCUUUUAUAAAUAUAUUCAUUAGAUUGAUGAUAUGCUAUCUUUUCUUUUUAUUUGUUUUGAGAAAGAAAAAAAAAAGUAUUUCUAUCUUUUUUAUGGAAAAGCACAGAGAUCUAAGAACUAUUGUGUAAAUAAUUGUUAGGGUAAGUGUGAAUUUUAACACGUGGCAUGGAUAGCUAUUGAUGAGGGGACAAAGGGAUUACAAUGAUCUAUGAACUAUUGUGUAAAUAAUUGUUAUGUUAGGACAAGGAAUUAAAUGUUUAUCGUUCUGCUUAUACCUUGCCUUGUUGCUCUUGAAGCUGGCUUCCAUACAGAGCUAAAGGCCUUCUCCUUUUGUUCCUCUCGCUAUAUUUUAUUAUUGAGCAGUCAGUACCAGUGCUUUCCGCAUAUAUUUUCACAAAUUAAGGUAAUAAAAUUACUAUUCUUAUUCUCUCAAUGCCUAUUUUACUUGUAAUGACUCACUCUCACGUUCUGUAUCCUUAUUUCUUUGUUUUUCAGACCGGUGGAAAAUGGCUAUCGAAAGUGUUGGUGGAUCCGUUGUAUCCAAGAUAGCAGAGCUCUUGGUGGAACCAGCAAUAAGGCAGUUCCGUUACAUGUUCUGUUUCAACAAUUUUGUUCAAGAAUUCAAUGAACACAAGAAGAACCUGGCUUUGACACUAGAUCGUCUACAAAAUGAUGUCCGAGAUGCUGAAAGGAAUGCUGAAGAAAUUUACAAAUAUGUCAGUAAAUGGCUGGAAGAUGCAAACAACGAAAUUGAAGGUGUGAAUCCUUUGGAAAAUGAAAUAGAAAAAAAUGGCAAAUGCUUCACUUGGUGUCCAAAUUGGACGCGACAAUUCAAGUUAAGCAAGGCACUGGCAAAGAAAACGGAGACUUUGAGAAAACUUGAAGAAAAUGGCAGAAAGUUUCCAAAAGUGUCCUACAAACCACCUCUUCAAGGCAUAGAAUUUCUUCCAUCAGAGGAAGUCACGCCUUCAGAAUCGUCAAAAGCAGCUUUCGAACAGAUUAUGAAAGCUCUCAAAGAUGACAAUGUCAAUAUGAUCGGACUGUACGGCAUGGGAGGGGUGGGUAAAACCACUCUAGUGAAAGAAGUAGGAAGGAGAGCCAAAGAGUCGCAGCUGUUUGAUGAAGUUGUGAUGGCUACACUGUCCCAGAAUCCAAAGGUCACAGGCAUCCAGGAUCAAAUGGCAGAUAGUUUAGGUCUGAAAUUUGACGAGAACAGUGAAGGAGGGAGAGCAGGUCGGUUAUGGCAGAGACUGCAGGGAAAGAAGAUGCUUAUAGUCCUGGAUGAUGUUUGGAAAGAUAUUGACUUCCAAGAGAUAGGGAUCCCAUUUGGUGAUGAUCACAGGGGUUGUAAAAUUCUUCUAACAACACGUCUUCAAGACAUAUGUUCUUAUAUGGAGUGCCAGCCACAAGUGUUCUUAAAUAUCUUAACAGAAAAUGAAGCAUGGGCUUUAUUCAAAAUCCAUGCAGGUUUACGUGAUGAGGACUCUGACUUGAACAGAGUGGCAAAGGACGUUGCGAGAGAAUGCCAAGGCUUGCCUAUAGCACUUGUGGCAGUGGGAAAGGCUCUAAAAGAUAAAUCUGAACAUGAGUGGGAAGUAGCAUCUGAAGAGCUCAAAAAAUCUCAAUCUCGGCACGUGGAAAAUUUUGAUGACCGAAGAAAUGCAUAUGCAUGUCUUAAAUUGAGCUAUGAUUAUUUGAAGCACGAGAAAACCAAGUUAUGUUUCUUGCUAUGCUGUUUAUUUCCAGAAGAUUACAACAUUCCAAUCGAGGAGUUGACGAGAUGUGCAGUUGGCUACGGGUAUCAAGAUGUGAAGUCCAUUGAAGGUGCAAGGAAACGAGUUUAUAUGGAAAUCGAAAACCUCAAAGCUUGUUGUAUGCUGUUAGGAACUGAAACUGAAGAAUAUGUGAAAAUGCAUGACUUGGUUCGUGAUGUUGCUAUUCAGAUAGCAUCAUCAGAAAAAUACGGAUUCAUGGUAGAGGCUGGCUUUGGGUUGAAGGAGUGGCCAAUGAGGAAUAAAAGCUUUGAAGGUUGUAAAGUAAUCUCGUUAAUGGGCAAUAAACUAACAGAUCUUCCUGAAGGAUUGGUGUGUCCACAGCUCAAAGUUCUAUUAUUAGAACUGGAUCGUGGUUUGAAUGUUCCAGAGAGGUUUUUUGAAGGGAUGAAAGCAAUAGAAGUUUUGUCUCUAAAAGGAGGGUGUUUGUCAUUGCAAUCACUUCAAUUCUCAACGAACCUUCAGUCGUUGCUGUUGAGAUGGUGUGAAUGCAAGGACCUCAUUUGGUUGAGAAAGCUGCAAAGACUUGAGAUUCUUGGUUUCAUUUGGUGCGGCUCCGUUGAAGAAUUACCUAAUGAAAUUGGGGAGCUCAAGGAGUUAAGGUUGUUGGAUGUGACAGGUUGUGGAUUGCUAAGAAGGAUUCCUGUGAAUUUGAUUGGAAGGUUGAAGAAGUUAGAAGAGCUGUUGAUCGGGGCUACGAGCUUCAACAGAUGGGAUGUUGUUGGAUGUGACAGCGCAGAAGGAAUGAAUGCAAGCCUAACAGAACUAAGUUCGCUGUCUCAUUUAGCUGUAUUAUCAUUGAAGAUACCGAAGGUUGAAUGCAUUCCCAGAGAUUUUGUUUUUCCCAGGUUGCUCAAAUAUGAUAUAGUGUUAGGGGAUGGGUAUUCGGAAGGAGUAUACCCAACAAAAUUAUAUUUGGGUAAUAUCAGCACCGCAUCCUUAAAUGCAAAGACAUUUGAGCAAUUGUUUCCUACUGUGUCUCUAAUUGAUUUUAGAAACAUUGAGGGUUUAGAAAAUAUAGUAGAGUCGCAAAAGGACUUCUUUCAAAGAUUAGAACAUGUAGAAGUGACAGGAUGUGGGGAUAUUCGCACUCUGUUUCCAGCAAAAUGGCGGCAAGCUUUGAAAAAACUAAGGAGCGUGGAAAUUAAAAGAUGCGAUUCAUUGGAAGAAGUAUUUGAAUUGGAUGAGGAGAAAGAGCUGCUGUCAUCUUUAACAACGUUACGGUUGUCAGAUUUACCUGAGCUCAAAUGUAUAUGGAAGGGGCCCACCAGACAUGUCAGCCUCCACAGUCUUGUUCAUCUGAAGUUGUUGUGUCUUGACAAACUGACAUUUAUAUUCACACCGUCCCUUGCUCAAAGUCUUAUUCAUAUGGAAACACUUGAGAUAGGAUUUUGCCGUGGAUUGAAGCGUCUUAUCAGAGAGAAGGAUGACGAAGGGGAAAUAAUUCCAGAGUCUCUUGGCUUCCCAAAAUUAAAAAAACUCUAUAUAUUUGUUUGUGAUAAACUGGAAUAUGUUUUCCCUGUCUCCGUGUCUCCAAGUCUUCAGAACCUGGAAGAGAUGAAGAUUGUUUUUGCUGACAAUUUAAAGCAAGUAUUUUACAGUGGAGAAGGAGAUGACAUCAUCGUCAAGUCUAAAAUUAAAGAUGGCAUCAUCGACUUCCCUCAGCUAAGAAAAUUGUCUCUUUCAAAGUGCAGCUUUUUUGGUCCAAAGGAUUUUGCUGCCCAAUUGCCUUCUUUGCAAGAGUUAACCAUUUAUGGCCACGAAGAAGGGGGUAAUUUGUUGGCACAGCUUCGAGUACGUCCAUUCUAUUUCUCCAUUUUUUUUUCUUUUUCUAAUUGAAAUUGUCAACUUCAAUACAUUGUGAUAAUUUGUUCUAUCUUCCUCCAAAUUUCUAAAACUAAAGUAAUUGAUAAGUUCUUUAACCAUCCACUGAAUUUAAUUGAUGAUUUAAAUUGGCUUAGGAAGUUCUUUAAUUUUUUUGAGUUAAAGUAUAAUUUUUCGUGAUUGCUUUUAAUUUAACUAAUAUAAAGUAAUAGUUUGUAUUCAGAUUAUCAUAAAUAUGAAAAAAUAUGAUUUUAUAUUCCCAUGACCCGGUGCCUUGUCUAUCUAUAUUUUCUUAAAAAAUAUGAAAAUUUUUUUUACUAAUCUGUAAAAUUCAAAAUAUUUUCUUUUAUAUUUUUAUUUUUGGACAAUGUCAUAAUUUUUUUUUAUUAUAAAUCGAAUAUAAUUUUUUUUUUUUUAGUUAAUAAGUAUAAUUUUUUCAUGAUUGCUUUUAAUUUAACUAAUAUAAAAUAAUAGUUUAUAUUUAGAUUAUCAUAAAUAUGAAAAAAAAAAUAUCAUUUUAUAUUCCCAUGACCUGUUGCCCUGUCUAUUUAUAUCUUCUUGUUGAUAAUUGGUUGAUCUAUUUAACAAAAUUAUAUAAUAGUUCCAAAGUGCACAAAAAUUACUAGGAAUUAUAUCUAACAAAUUGGUACCUUUUGAUGCAGGGGUUUACAAGUUUGGAAACAUUAACUUUGUCCUACGUGCUUGUGCCUGACUUGAGGUGUAUAUGGAAGGACCUCAUGCCGAGCCAUUUGACUUCUUUGACGGUGUAUAGCUGUAAGAGACUGACACGUGUAUUCACACAUAGCAUGAUUGCUAGUCUUGUUCAACUGCAAGUUCUAGAGAUAUCAAAUUGUGAGGAAUUGGAGCAAAUCAUUGCUAAGGAUAAUGAUGAUGAAAAUGAUCAGAUAUUGUCAGGAAGUGAUCUCCAAUCUUCAUGCUUCCCUAAUCUGUGGCGACUUGAGAUCAGAGGAUGCAACAAGUUGAAGAGUCUCUUCCCAGUAGCCAUGGCUUCAGGUCUCAAAAAGCUCCGAAUACUUAGAGUAAGAAAAUCCUCUCAAUUAUUGGGAGUAUUUGGACAGGAUGAUCAUGCUUCACCUGCCAAUAUUGAGAAGGAGAUGGUGCUCCCUGAUCUGCAGGAGUUGUUGCUUGUACAAUUACCAAGUAUUUCCUCCUUUAGUCUCGGAUGUUCUAAUUUCUUGUUCCCUCAUUUGAAGAAGUUGGAGGUGGAUGGAUGCCCGAAGCUGACCACAAAAUCUGCUACUACAUCAAAUGACUCAAUGAGUGCUCAAUCAAAGGUACUCCUGAUUUGACUUGAUUUCUUGCCUCUCGUUUAGUUUUAAAAGUGCACAAUAAUUACUAGGAAUUACAUCUAACAAAUCGGUACCCUUGUUUUCUUUUGAUGCAGGCGUUUAUGAAUUUGAAAGAAAUAUCUAUUGGAAACUUGGAAGGAGUACAAGAUUUAAUGCAAGUUGGACGUUUGGUAACUAAUAGAAGAGGUGGGCAUGAACUUUCACUCGUGAGUUUGGAAACAUUAUGCUUGAACUUAUUGCCAGACUUGAGGUGUAUAUGGAAGGGUCUCGUUCCGAGCAAUUUGACUACUUUGAAGGUGAAAGAGUGCAAGAGACUGACACAUGUAUUCACAGACAGCAUGAUUGCUAGUCUAAUUCAACUUCAAGUUCUAGAGAUAUCAAAUUGUGAGGAAUUGGAGCAAAUCAUUGCUAAGGAUAAUGAUGAUGAAAAUGAUCAGAUAUUGUCAGGAAGUGAUCUCCAAUCUUCAUGCUUCCCUAAUCUGUGGCGACUUGAGAUCAGAGGAUGCAACAAGUUGAAGAGUCUCUUCCCAGUAGCCAUGGCUUCAGGUCUCAAAAAGCUCCGAAUACUUAGAGUAAGAAAAUCCUCUCAAUUAUUGGGAGUAUUUGGACAGGAUGAUCAUGCUUCACCUGCCAAUAUUGAGAAGGAGAUGGUGCUCCCUGAUCUGCAGGAGUUGUUGCUUGUACAAUUACCAAGUAUUUCCUCCUUUAGUCUCGGAUGUUCUAAUUUCUUGUUCCCUCAUUUGAAGAAGUUGGAGGUGGAUGGAUGCCCGAAGCUGACCACAAAAUCUGCUACUACAUCAAAUGACUCAAUGAGUGCUCAAUCAAAGGUACUCCUGAUUUGACUUGAUUUCUUGCCUCUCGUUUAGUUUUAAAAGUGCACAAUAAUUACUAGGAAUUACAUCUAACAAAUCGGUACCCUUGUUUUCUUUUGAUGCAGGCGUUUAUGAAUUUGAAAGAAAUAUCUAUUGGAAACUUGGAAGGAGUACAAGAUUUAAUGCAAGUUGGACGUUUGGUAACUAAUAGAAGAGGUGGGCAUGAACUUUCACUCGUGAGUUUGGAAACAUUAUGCUUGAACUUAUUGCCAGACUUGAGGUGUAUAUGGAAGGGUCUCGUUCCGAGCAAUUUGACUACUUUGAAGGUGAAAGACUGCAAGAGACUGACACAUGUAUUCACAGACAGCAUGAUUGCUAGUCUAAUUCAACUUCAAGUUCUAGAGAUAUCAAAUUGUGAGGAUUGGNNNNNNNNNNNNNNNNNNNNNNNNNNNNNNNNNNNNNNNNNNNNNNNNNNNNNNNNNNNNNNNNNNNNNNNNNNNNNNNNNNNNNNNNNNNNNNNNNNNNNNNNNNNNNNNNNNNNNNNNNNNNNNNNNNNNNNNNNNNNNNNNNNNNNNNNNNNNNNNNNNNNNNNNNNNNNNNNNNNNNNNNNNNNNNNNNNNNNNNNNNNNNNNNNNNNNNNNNNNNNNNNNNNNNNNNNNNNNNNNNNNNNNNNNNNNNNNNNNNNNNNNNNNNNNNNNNNNNNNNNNNNNNNNNNNNNNNNNNNNNNNNNNNNNNNNNNNNNNNNNNNNNNNNNNNNNNNNNNNNNNNNNNNNNNNNNNNNNNNNNNNNNNNNNNNNNNNNNNNNNNNNNNNNNNNNNNNNNNNNNNNNNNNNNNNNNNNNNNNNNNNNNNNNNNNNNNNNNNNNNNNNNNNNNNNNNNNNNNNNNNNNNNNNNNNNNNNNNNNNNNNNNNNNNNNNNNNNNNNNNNNNNNNNNNNNNNNNNNNNNNNNNNNNNNNNNNNNNNNNNNNNNNNNNNNNNNNNNNNNNNNNNNNNNNNNNNNNNNNNNNNNNNNNNNNNNNNNNNNNNNNNNNNNNNNNNNNNNNNNNNNNNNNNNNNNNNNNNNNNNNNNNNNNNNNNNNNNNNNNNNNNNNNNNNNNNNNNNNNNNNNNNNNNNNNNNNNNNNNNNNNNNNNNNNNNNNNNNNNNNNNNNNNNNNNNNNNNNNNNNNNNNNNNNNNNNNNNNNNNNNNNNNNNNNNNNNNNNNNNNNNNNNNNNNNNNNNNNNNNNNNNNNNNNNNNNNNNNNNNNNNNNNNNNNNNNNNNNNNNNNNNNNNNNNNNNNNNNNNNNNNNNNNNNNNNNNNNNNNNNNNNNNNNNNNNNNNNNNNNNNNNNNNNNNNNNNNNNNNNNNNNNNNNNNNNNNNNNNNNNNNNNNNNNNNNNNNNNNNNNNNNNNNNNNNNNNNNNNNNNNNNNNNNNNNNNNNNNNNNNNNNNNNNNNNNNNNNNNNNNNNNNNNNNNNNNNNNNNNNNNNNNNNNNNNNNNNNNNNNNNNNNNNNNNNNNNNNNNNNNNNNNNNNNNNNNNNNNNNNNNNNNNNNNNGUGUCGUUGGGCAUUAUCAGAUUCAUGAGUGGCUCAAUCAGAGGUGCUGUAUAUUUGACAUGAUUUCUUGCCUCUCUUUCAGUGUUUUUAUUUCUUGUUUCCCUCACUAAUAAGACUUACAAGUUAGAAUGUGUAUGCCAUGCUUGAAUUGGUUUUGCAGGUAUCUCAAGUAGCUGAGGGUUCCAGCACUGGUUGCUCCGUGCCAACCAGCACUGCUAGAAGUUGGACCCGAAGAAAUGGGUGGAAAGAGGAAAAAGAGGAAGAGGAUGGAGUCAGAUGAUUAGUUUGGCAUUGGAAUUUGAAAAACAUGGUAGUAAUUCAUUCUUGCAGGUAAAAUGGCUGCAACUAUUUAUCUUCUAUCCUUGUUUAAAUGGUUGGAUUAAAUCAACAAAUACGAGAUGCCUGGAUGAUCUUUGUUCUUGAUGUUUGCAUUAGGUUGGUUGGUUACCUAUGUGAUGAUCAACUCGACAUUGGUGGGAAGUAAUUCCAGCUGUUUCAUUAGCUACAACAAUUUGUCUUAUUUCAUGUGUUUGUUGUGUGAACUUCCAGAAAUAAGGGUAAUGUUAUGUGUUUAGUAAUUUAUUGUACGAACCUUCAAAAACGAAAGGCAUAAUGUUUACUCAUUUGUGUGCUUAUUGUUUAAUGUGUGGAUUCUUAUUCUCCUCAUUUUGAUGUUCUAUUUCUAUUACGGAUUCUUUAUGUGGUAAGAUUAUAUAAAAUAAUAAAUCAAAAAGCAUCAAUGAAAAAUAAAUCACCUCAUGGUGAUUAACCUCCUAAGGGACAAAGUUAGCACAAUGGUGAACUACAUGGAAGAUUAUUCAAGGGCUUCAUCCUUGUGGUGAACUACAUGAUAAAUCGGCUAUAAAUUACAAAAUCAAAAUAACCUCAGCCAACAUUGAUUACUCCAAAUUAAUUUUAAAAUUCGAUUUAUUUGACUUAAUAAAAAAUAUUAAUCUGAAUUGCUUCCUAUAAAAAAUAUGUGAGCAGAGUAUUUCAUGAAACCUAAUAAAAAUAAGAUUCUUCUUCAAUUUUUUAUUUAUCAUCAUUUGUAAAUCUUGAUAGAAAAAAUGAGGAAUGUAUUUCUCAUGCCUCCAAACCUCAUCACUCCUAUAUUUGUUUAUUAUAUUCUAAAAUACUAAAUAAGCACAACCUAAUUUUUAAAUCUGAAUUUCUUAAAAGCAUUUAAUUAUCACAACAUAGGAAUAAAAGUUUUUAAAAAAACACUGAACAGGCCUACCCAACACAUAAGCAAAUUUGUGCUCCAAAUGACAAAAUAAAAGCGCAUUCCAAACUAUCAAGUCAAGUACUGAACCUUUUUAAAAUUGCUUUUUUUUUCAAAUAUUUCUUUUUGUCUAAUUAUAUUUAUUUUUUAUUUUUUUAUUAACAUGAGUGUCCAGACCAGCUUGCAUGCAUUUCGACUAAUCCCAUAAAUUUUAAAAUUAACGAUCAUGUAAGUCUCUAGUGAUUCUAAAAUUUUUAAAAUUUAAAUUAAUAAUUUUUAAAAAAUAAAUUCAAAAUCUGAUAAUUUUAUCCCAUUAUUACAUUCAAUGAUUGGUUGAUUGGAUUAUUAAAUUCAUUGAUCGGAUGAUUGGAUGUUCGAAUUUCAUUUACUUUUGGCAUUACACAAAAACAUCCCUUUCAAGUUACAAAACGACGUGCAGCUCAAUCAAUGCCUUCAUUGCCUACAGCCUUCAAAAAAUCAACUCCUUGGUUAGUUUCGUCCUUGGCUCGCUUGGAGCGACAGCCACAUUAAAUGAUAGCCACCGAAAUGUUUGACAUGUGGCACUUGAGUUUAAGAAACCAUUAAUGCCUGGUCUUGUUUUAGAUUGACACGUGUACGCCAGGGCCGUUGCCAUAGUUAAUUGUCCAAGGUUGAGUUAAGAUUUCCUCGCCGUAAUUGCUUGAUGUUGACGUGGCUCAUUAAAUGAAGACAUUGUCGUCAGCAUUGGACCGCCUCUUUUAUGCGAGUCAGCUUGGUUAUAGCAAAAAAAUAUAAAUAUGCUUAGUUAAGAUAAUUUUAUAAUGAAUUUUUAUUAUUUAAAAACAAGAAAGGUAACGGAGCAUGUUCUCUCUGUUUUAAUUAACAAAUGUUAUCUAAAAAAUUAAGAUGUGAAUUUAUUAAUAUUCUCGUACCUUUUAAGAACUAUAUGAAUUUAUAUUUAUUUUCUUAAAUUAAAGUUUAUGAAAAAAAAUUGAGUUAUGGAUAUCUAAAUUAUUAUGGUAUACCUUCCCUGCAGACUGUAAGGAAACUCCAAUUCAUCAACAAUAUUAUUCGACUACAGCCAAAAAACAAGAACACUCAGUCUUCUAAACUAAAAAAUAAAAGAUUUAUGUUUCGUGACUACUGAAAAAUAUGUAUUUAAUCGAAAUGAUUACCAGAAGCAUAAAUUCUGUACAAAAACUGAAUUGCCACUGCUGUUGGGUAUCAAUAUAUACUAUAUAGAAAAAAAUAGAUAUGUAAAAAAGAAGAAAAAUACUCUACUUAUUAAAAGUGAUAAAUUAUUUUUGUCUUUUUGAAAAAAAAACAUUUUCUUCCUAAUUUAUUGAUAAAAUUAUAAUGAGGUUGUUUUUUAUAAUGUUUUUUUAUAUAAUUAUAUCAAAAUAAUACAUAUUUUUUAUUUUUUAAAAUUUAUUUUUGGUAUCAUUAUAUUAAAAAAAUAAAAAAUAAAAUAAUAAUUUUCACCUACUAACUAGACGGUGUUUUUUUUUUUAUUAAUAUUGCUAAUCAGGUCAGCUUGCUAGUACUUUAAUUAAUCUCACGAAUUCUAAAGUUAAUAACUAUAUAAGCCUCUAAUGAUCCUGAUGUUUAUAAAACUUGAAUUAAUAACUUUUAAAAAACUAACUUAAAAUCUGAAUAGUUGAAUUAUACCCAUCAAGAUUCCAGUCUCUAAGUUAAACUAAGAAGCUAGCUUGGCCAACACUUGAAAAUGUUAAAUAAAUAAGGAUAAAAUAGACUUUUCAGUAUAUUAUAUCAGUAAUUUACUGGCUGGUCGUGGUGACUCACAAGGUCUUUGGUGAUGAGAGAGAUGAAUAAAGAAGAAGCAGAGGUCUCAUUGGGGACCCAGUGGGGGAAUUAAGUUUCACUCUCAUGAUAUGCGCGUGCGUCGAACGCACAAUUCUUUGUCUUAUUUUAAAAGAUCUAUACGCGUGAAACACACGAGUAGGUAGAUGGUUGAAGAUUAUUACGAAAGUAGACACAUCUCUGUCAUAAAAGAUUGUAGUCAUAGUACAAAUAUUUCGGGAAUUUCAUCAUUGCCGGCAUUAAUGAUCUCAUUUACUCAUAAGUUCCAGACUUGAUGAGAGUUCUGACCGGUCAAUGAUUAUUCGUCGUGUUAAUCUUUUAAAUUGAUAUCGGAAUAAUUUUUUUAAUUUUAUAUUUAUGGAAAAAGAGUAAAAAAAUUUUAAAUUGAAUUUUUUUAUAGUUUUAUAAAAAAAUAAACUGAAAUAUAACUUAUUAAUAUUUUUAAAAAUUUAUUAAAAAAAACCAUAACUGAAAAAUAAAAAAAAUAAAAAAUGAUAAAAUUUAAAAAAUAUUAUAAUUUUAUAAAUUAUUUAAAAUAAAAUAAAUAACUAUUAAAGGAAUAAAAAUCAAAUAUAGUAGAUAAAAAAUUUAAUUAAAAAAAUAAUAAGAUAAAAAUAAAUAACAAUAAAAAAAUAAGAAUCCAAGUUGAUAUAAAAAUUAAACCAAAUCAAAAUUUAAAGGAUAAAAUUUAAAAAUAAAAAAAAUUUAAAAGAUUAAAUAUUAGAUUUAAUAUAAUCUACAAAUAACAUGAUUUCUUUUUAAUUUCUUAAAAUUUUUAAAAGUAUAAUAUGUAAAAAUUAAAAGAAAAAUACUAUUCUAAAAACAAAUCAAAUUUUUUGUGUGAAAAGUAUUUUUUAUCAAUUUUUUAAUAAUAAAUAAGCAUGAAAAAAUUUAAAAUAUAUAUUGUUUUUAAUUACUAACCUAUCCCAGAUAGGUUUUAAAAAAAUCACAUGAAAGUUAACUCUACGAAACAAAAUCUGUUUGAUUUUAAUUAUUUUAAUUAACCUAAGUUAAUUUAUCAGAUCCAUGUACUGAAUUCACUCAAUCGAGUUUAAUAACAUUUAUUGAAAUUUGUUUCUUCUAAGUUAGGGAAUCAAUCAACCUAAGCACACAAUUCUGCAAGGAGAGAGGCCCAUUUCCUCAAGAGUAAUGAAAGUUGGAAAUAUAAUAAAGGCUCAAAGUGAAAAAGUCCCACUUGAACUGAACCUAGUCGUAUGCUUUGGAUUCCUUGAAAACCCAUAUGAUUUAGGUGUCAAGAUAAAUGAAAAUUUCUUGCUUUUUUUUCUUCUCUCUCUCUCUUAUGAAUAUGGAUUCCUCGAAACCCCAUAUUUAUGUUAUUAUUGGAAAUUCGAACUCUACGAAAAAAAAACUAUAAGAUAUGAUCGGUUUGGACGAGGAUGACUUGAUUUGAAAAAGAAUUAAUUAUGAUAAGUGAAAGAUGUCUUAAGAGUACUCUAAUCCAUACUUUUUUUUUAUUGGGGCCCCUUGUGUUUUUUUAUUUAUAAUUGAUUGAGAGUCCCUCUACUCUUUAUUUUGUUUUGUAAUAGUCCUUCCAUCAUAAAUAAAGACCCAUAUUUUUUGCUCAAGGAGUGACUUGUCUAUGAAUUUUAAAAUUAUAGCAUAGUUAUUAAACAUGAUUUAAUGCGUUGAACUUUUAAAUUAAAAUUUAUUCAUAGUCAUUAAUUUAAACAUGAUUUAAAAUUAUAGCAUAGUCACUGCCUAGAAGAUGCAUAUUUAACAAUUAUCAACUGAUAGAGGAAGCCUAUAUCCAAACCAAUCGCACAUCCUUUCGUCCUCCAAUUUCCUUCUAUUUUUUUUUAUGUACACAAUUAACAUAUCCUCAAUUACCCUUUUGAUUUUUAUAUUUUUUGUUGUGAACAAAAUUAAACAGUCAGAAGAAAAUCCAGACCCCUUUUUUUUAAUGAAUUAAUUAUGUGAAUAAAAUUUAUAAAAGAGGUUGAGGAGGGCAUGAACAGCACUAGCUAGAAGUCAAUGUAUCAAUGUUGAUACUCCUCAAAAAGUCAAUGCUGGUGGAGUUGGCAGCAAAAAUAAAUAAUAAUAAUAAUAAUAAUAACAACAAAAUAAUUGAGGAGCUACAAGCUAGAGAGCCAAACGAAAUUGCCAAAGACGAGUAGCUAGUAUGCGGUGUCGUGAUGAUCGUUUAUUCUGGUAUGUAUUUGAAAAAUAGGUAAGAUAAAAAAAUUUUAUUUUUUAUCAGUGAAAAGAAAGAAUGAUAAUUGUCACUUAAUAUUUUGAUUACUAGAAAUCUUAACUGGUCUUAGAGAUCGGGCAUGGAAACUGGUUGCAUAAAGACAAUGUAUUAGCACCCCAAAUACGUCAUACUAAGGUAAGAUGCAUUAUUUAAUUGUCUGAUAUAAACUAAGAUAUUGUCGUGUUUUCUAAUGAUUGGUCCGUUUAAGGUUUAAAAAAAGUCAUUCUCGGUAAGACGAUUCUUAUCUUAUCGAGUAAAAUCUAACCAUUCUAAUAUCAACAAAAAGAAAAACUAACUCUUAUUUAAUAUUAGAAAUACGUCUUACGUAUAAGUUUGUAAUCUCAAAUAUUAAAAGAAAACACAAUAAUUUUUUUGUAUUUUUGAAAUAUUGGCUUAAUUCUCAUGACUUUAAUAAACUGGCUAUUAAAACUCAAAAUGCAUGCUAAUACAUAUUUUUUGAAUUUUUAAAAUUCUCAGUUUUCUCCAAAAUGUUGCAAAAAAAUAUAUAUAUAUCUUGUUUUCAUGCAUACGACUAAAAAAGAUAAGAAAUUUCAUAUUGUAUUUUCAUACUAAAAAAAAUAUCAAAUUUGUAUUUUUACAAUAUAAAAAUACAAACUAAUAUUAAUCAAAAUUGGUAGAAAAAUAUACGAGAAAACCACAAAUUAUUUUAGAAAAGAUUUUGAAAUUUUUCAGAAUUGCAUAAAGGUAAUGUAUUAGCACCCCAAAUACGUCAUAUCUAAGGUCAGAUGCAUUCUUUAAUUGUCUGAUAUAAUUAACUAAGGGAUUGUCGUGUUUUACAAUGGUUGGUCUGUCUAAGGUUUAAAAAAAGUCAUUCUCAGUAAGGCGAUUCUUAUCUUAUCGGAUAAAAUCUAACUGUUCUAAUAUCGACAAAAAGAAAAACUAACUUUUAUUUAAUAUUAGAAAUACAUCUUACGUAUAAGUUUGUAACCUCAUAUAUUAAAAGAAAAAAAAAUAUUUUUUUCGUAUUUUUAAAAUAUUGACCUAGUUCUCAUGGUUUUAAUAAACUGGCUAUUAAAGCUCAAAAUGCAUGCUAAUACAUAUUUUUUGAAUUUUUUGAAAUUCUCAGUUGUCUCCAAAAUGUUGCAAAAAAAUAUAUAUGGAAAAAAUAUAUAUAUCUUGUUUUCAUGCAUACGACUAAAAAAUAUAAGAAAUUUCAUAUCGUAUUUUCAUACUAAAACAAAUACCAAAUUUGUAUUUUUACAAUAUAAAAAUACAAGUUAAUAUUAAUCAAAAUUGGUAGAAAAAUAUACGAGAAAACCACAAAUUAUUUUGAAAUUUUUCAGAAUUGCAUAAAGGCAAUGUAUUAGCACCUCAAAUACGUCAUAUCUAAGAUAAGAUGCAUUGUUUAAUUGUCUGAUAUAAACUAAGGCAUUGUCGUGUUUUUUAAUGGUUGGUCCGUCUAAGGUUUUAAAAAAAUCAUUCUGGGUAAGACGAUUCUUAUCUUAUCGGGUAAAAUCUAAACGUUCUAAUAUCUACAAAAAGAAAAAUUAACACUUAUUUAAUAUUGAAAAUACAUCUUACGUAUAAGUUUGUAAUCUCAUAUAUUAAAAGAAAACAAAAUAAUUUUUUUUUAUAUUUUUCAAAUAUUGACCUAGUUCUCAAGACUUUAAUAAACUGGUUAUUAAAACUCAAAAUGCAUGCUAAUAUAUAUUUUUUGAAUUUUUGAAAUUCUUAGUUUUCUCCAAAAUGUUGCAAAAAAAUAUAUAUGGAAAAACAACAAAAAAAAUCUUGUUUUCAUGCAUACGACUAAAAAAUAUAAGAAAUUUCAUAUCGUAUUUUCAUACCAAAACAAAUAUCUAAUUUGUAUUUUUACAAUAUAAAAAUACAAACUAAUAUUAAUCAAAAUUGAUAAAAAAAAAUAUACGAGAAAACCACAAAUUGUUUUAGAAAAGAUUUUGAAAUUUUUCAGAAUUUUGUCUCCUCUUUUUAAUAUAUAAUAUUAUAUUAUAUAUUAUUAUAAAUAUAUAAUAAAAAACAUUGGGAUGGGCUGGCCCAAAUAUAUGGGUUGAGCCCAUCCUUGUUAGGUUAAAAUUGGCCUAGGUUGGCCCAAAGGAGUUGGGCCAACAUCGGCCCAAGAAGUAGGCAGGAGAGCCGAAGAGUUGCACCUUUUUGAUGAAGUUUUGAUAGCUACGGUGUCCCAGAAUCCAAAUGUCACAGGCAUCCAGGAUCAAAUGGCAGAUAGUUUAGAUCUGAAAUUUGACAAGAAGAGUAAAGAAGGGAGAGCAAAUGAACUAUGGCAGAGACUGCAGGGAAAGAAGAUGCUUAUAGUCCUGGAUGAUGUUUGGAAAGAUAUUGACUUCCAAGAGAUAGGGAUCCCAUUUGGUGAUGAUCACAGGUGUUGUAAAAUUCUUCUAACAACACGUCUUGAAGACAGGUGUUCUUAUAUGAAGUGCAAGGAAAAAGUGUUUUUAGGUCUCUUUUCUGAAGAGGAAGCAUGGGCUUUAUUCAGAAUCAAUGCAGAUUUACGUGACGAGGACUCUACCUUGAACACGGUGGCAAAGAAGGUUGCGAGAGAAUGUAAAGGAUUGCAUACAGCACUUGUGACAGUGGGAAGGGCUCUAAGAGAUAAAUCUGUUGUUGAGUGGGAAGUAGCGUCUGAAGAGCUCAAAAACUCUCAAUUUCGGCAUUUGGAACAAAUUGACGGACAAAAAAAAUGCAUAUGCAUGUCUUAAGUUGAGCUAUGAUUCUUUGAUGUCCAAUGAAACCAAGUCAUGUUUCUUGCUAUGCUGUUUAUUUCCAGAAGAUUACAACAUUCCAAUUGAGGACUUGACGAGAUACGCAGUUGGCUAUGGGUUACAUAAAGAUGCGGAGUCCAUUGAAGAUGCAAGGAAACGAGUUUAUUUGGCAAUCAAAAACCUCAAAGCUUCUUGUAUGCUGUUAGGAAAUGAAAGUGAAGAAUAUGUGAAAAUGCAUGCUUGGUUCGUGAUGUUGCUAUUCAGAUAGCAUCUACAGAACAUGGAGUCAUGGUAAAGGCUGGCUUUGGGUUGAAGGAGUGGCCAUUAAGGGAUAAAUAAACUAGCAGAACUUCCUGAAGUAUUGGUGUGUCCACAGCUCAAAGUUACUUUUUAUUUUUUUUAUUGGGGCCUCUUAUGUUUUUUCAUAAUUGAUUGAGUCCCUCUACUCUUUAUGUUGUUUUGUAAUAGUCCUUCCAUCAUAAAUAAAGAAAAAAAUGUUAACUAGCUAGCUCCAUUAGAAGAUGCAUAUUUAACAAUUAUCAACUGAUAGAGGAAGCCUAUAUCCAAACCAAUCGCACAACCUUUCGUCUUCCAAUUUUUAACUUAGAAUCGGAUUGAGCAGGUGUUAUAUUAACAUUUCAAACCAAAUCAAGUUUAAUUUCCAUUAUAUAUCGUAAUAGUAUUCUUGAUUCAAUUUAUACAUAACAAGACUAACAAGGUUUAAGAAUAGUUGUAAUCCCUCUAUAAUACAGAAGUAAUUGAUUCUCUUUAUAUAUGUAUAUAUAGUAGUUAGCAAAUCCUAUAUAAUAGGAAACAAAUAAAACCUAACAAAAUAUGUAUCUUACAAGAUAUAAUAACAAACGACAUGUUCUUUAAUUCUAUUACCUUCGUAUAAAAAUUUUCGAACAUUCAGACAAUUAUCAGGGUUUCACCUAUCCUACAUUGGCCUAAGACAUAUAAAAGGAAAAACCUAUUUUUCAUACACAGAAUUAUAAUUUUUCAUACAAAAGGAAAAACCUAUCCUACAUUGGCCUAAGACAUAUAAAAGGAAAAACCUAUUUUUCAUACACAGAAUUAUAAUUUUCAUAUUGGAAGAAGGCUAAAUAUUAGCCGAUUCUUUAGCAACAGUUAUUUGAUACGUAAAGGAUUAAUUAUGCCAAUGCUUUUAGGAGAAAGAUAUGCAGCCCUUAUAAGAUAAAGAUUGUCUGUUAGAUUCAACUUCUACUCAUGCCUCUGCUGCGUUGUAUAUAUAUAUAUGAUACAUUACAUAAUAAAGAUUACAUUGCAUUCCAAAGCAGCAGCUCUGUUCUCAAUAUUGUUGAUUCUCUGUUCUUUCUUUUCUUCAUGGUAUCAGAGCUGGUUUCGAUUGACUUGCGUUUUACUUAAAGUUUUCUAUGAAAGACUCUUCUAAAUAUGUUGGUGCUGAUGACAUCAACAGAUCUUCUAAUACAUCAGAAGGAGAACAAAAUAAUCCAAACCAACAUCUAGGUUCAGUUUUGUUGAAUGAACUCAACUAUCUUUCUUGGUCAAGAGCUGUGACGAUUGCUCUUGGGGGAAGGUCCAAACUUGGCUAUGUUAAUGGCCAUAUCAAGGCCCCUAACCCUUCCUCGUAGAACUAUGAAGCAUGGCAAUACAAGGAUCAACUUGUCAUGUCUUGGUUACUCAAUUCUAUAGAGAACAAUAUUGCUGAAAUAUUUAGUUAUUCAGAAUCUUCAAUGGACCUCUGGGAGGCUGUGAAGGAAAUGUAUGGAAAUCAAAACAAUGCAGCUCGCAUUUUUCAAAUCAAAAGAGAUCUUGCUAAUUUGUAGCAAGAUGGCAAGACUUAUGUGCAACUACUUGGAAUUCUGAAAGGUAUGUGGAGUGAACUUGCUUUAUAUCGAACUCACACUGUUGAUGUUGCAGCAUUGAAAAAACAAGAUGAGGAAGAUAAGAUAUUCCAAUUACUAUCCAGUCUUGGUAUAUAUUAUGAAGACCUUCGAAGUCAAGUUCUGAUGAACUCUGAUCUUCCAUCCCUUGCGAAUGUAUGUGCUGCAAUACAGCGAGAAGAAGCUCGCAGAAAAAUCAUGAAUCUAGAGCCAAGAAUCACCUUUCCAGAAACCCGUGUAUACACUGUUACCAGACAGAUGAAAAGUAAUAAAUCUUACAAAGGAAAGCGACCAAAUUUGAAGUGCACUCAUUGUCAUAAUCUUGGACACACAAUCGGGUGGUGUUGGAUCCUUCAUCCGGAAUUAAAGCCUAACUUUGGAAAGGAAAAGGGACUUCAAAAGGGUUAUGGAUAUAAAGCUCACAUUGCUGCUCGCUCUACUGAUAAUUCUUCUCCAAGUAAUGUAGUAAACUUUUCUACCAACCCAUCUACUCUUAAUGAUUUUGCCAAUUAUCUUAAGGAAAAGGGUGAUGCCAGCUUGACAGCCUCAAGCAAUUCUGAUUCUACGGCUAUUCUUGGUAAGUUUGCUGGUUUCAUGGCAAACUCUGAUCAUCUAUCACAAGAGAAUUUGGAAGGUAUUUUGACUGCUUUUAAAACUGUUUUAGUUCCUAGUACUGUGCAUAAUUUUUGGGUCAAUGAUUCGGGUGCUUCUGAUCACAUAACAAAUAAAAGGACUAGCUUACAUCAUUUCGAAAAAAUCACUACUCCAACUCAUAUUUCUGUUGCAAAUGGAAAACAUGUCCCUGUCGAAGGUAAAGGGAAAAUUAAAUUGCUCUGAAAAUAUUGAGUCUUUGGUUUUAUAUGUUCCAUCUUUUCCAUUCCAAUUGAUUUCCGUUGGCAAGGUCACCAAAACACUAAAUUGUCGUGUUAUAUUUGACUCUCACCGAGUUCUUUUUCAAGAUCGCGCCACCGAGAGGAUGAUUGGUGAAAGUUUCUUUUUUCAAGGGCUUUAUUAUUUUUCAAAUAAUUCUAAGCAUCCUCAAAUUUCUGCUCUUUCUUCCCUUAGUCAGGAUCAAGUUUUAUGGCAUCAACGUUUAGCCCAUCCUUCCAAGAAUGUUCUUACAAAAUUAAUGCCCAGUCUAGAUGCCAGAAAGAUCACUUGUGAUACAUGUCAUCUAUCAAAAUCCACCAGACUGCCCUUUUCACCCUCUAUGUCUAGAGCUAAUGAGAUGUUUGAACUUAUACACUCUGAUGUUUGGGGACCAACUAUUGAAUCCUUUGAUGGCUACAAGUAUUUUGUUACUUUUGUUGAUGAUUUUUCUCUUGUAACGUGGAUAUAUCUUUUAAAAUUCAAAAGUGAGGUUGUUGAUGUUUUUAAGGAUUUUCAUACGCUAGUCAUUACUUUUUAAAAUUCAAAAGUGAGCUAAUGAGAUGUUUUAAAGACCUUCUUCUAGCACAAGGGUUGUUAGUCCUAUUAUGGCUAAUCCUAAGGGUGAUUCCCUAAAUGAGCAAUCUGAAUUGGAGACUCAUGUUAUUCCUUUGCCACAUACUUGCAAAAAUCCAGUUCGUAAUCGUGCUCCUCCAAUUAAAAUGCAAGAUUUUGUCACCUUUGCAGCAAGACAUCCUAUUUCAAAUUCCCUUACAUACCAACAACUCUCACCUGAUCAUACAUCAUUUCUUUCUGCUAUAUCUAAUGUUCGAGAGCCACGAAAUUUUUAGGAAGGUAAUACUCAAGAUGAAUGGAAACGUGCCAUGGAUGAUGAACUCCUAGCUCUUGCUCAGAAUCAAACCUGGAGUAUUGUCAAACUUCCCAAAGGAAAACAUGUUGUUGGCGGCCGGUGGGUGUAUAAAACAAAGUUUAAUUCCAAUGGCACCAUUGACAGACACAAGGCACGUCUUAUAGCUCAGGGAUUUACUCAAACCUUUGGAGUGGAUUACAAGGAAACCUUUGCUCCUGUUGCAAAGAUGAACACUGUUCGUGUUUUAUUAUCAGUUGCCAUAAACAAAGGAUGGUUAAUGUGUCAGAUGGACGUAAAAAAUGCCUUCUUGCAUGGGAACCUUGAGGAAGAAGUCUACAUGAAAUUGCCUCCUGGUCAUCCUUAAGCUUCAGAUCCUACCUUAGUGUGCCGACUUCACAAAUCACUUCAUGGUUUGAAUCAGUCUUCACGUGCUUGGCAUGCUCAAUUAAGUUCUGUUCUUGAAGAGCUUGCUUUCAAAAGAAGUAAUGCAGAUUCAUCUUUAUUUGUUCAUCUUGGACCUAAAGAAACAUUGGUGGUUCUUAUGUACGUUGAUGAUCUUAAUUAUUUCAGGAAAUAAUAGUGAGGCUAUAUCACGUCUCAAAGCCACCUUACAACAUCAUUUUCCAAUUACAGAUCUUGGCAGAUUGAAGUAUUUUCUUGGAAUAGAAAUGGAAGCUUCUCAUAAAGGGUUAUUUCUUAAUCAACGCAAGUAUGUUCUUGAUUUACUCAAAGAUGCUGAGAUGAUGGAUGCCAAGCCUGCCCCUACUCCAUUGGACAAUAAAUUGCAGCUUCCCAAAAAUAGUGAGCCCCUUCAGUCUAUCAAUCACUACCAGCAUCUUGUAGGUAAGCUUAUUUACCUUACCAUUACGCGACCUGAUAUAGCCUAUGUAGUUAGUCUUGUUAGCCAAUUGAUGCAUGCACCUACUAUUUUCCAUCUGAGUAUUGUCAAGGGCAUCCUACGCUAUCUAAAGGGUUCUAUUGGACAUGGAAUUGUGAUUAGUACUUAAAAGUGUAUUUUUAUCAAGGUUUUAUAUCAUCAUUUUGCACUUGAAGUAUCAAUAACUCCUUAACUAGAGCAUGUUUUAUAAUAACAAGUCUGAUAAUAUAAGAUACCUUUAAUUUAUGGUAAAUGCUCAUUUUAAAUCCAGGCAUAUCUCACAAUUCAAAGGAUUGAUUGUUGUGAUUAACUAUUGGAAGUGAAAGGACAAAGAAAAGGCUAAGCUUAGAAAGGAGAUGCCGAUUCAAUUCAAAUUUGAACACUAUUCAGUCAUUGAGUCAUAUCUAGAGCUAUAGAUCUUGGAUUUCAGUUUGGUUUAUAUGUCUGGAAAGAUAAGAAAUAGGCCUACAACUUUCAUGAAUAGGAAAAGACCCAAAUCUGCCAUUUUCAAAUUCAAAGUUUGGCCACAAAAAAGAAAUCAGAAUCUGUCCUGCAAUCCAGCCCAAACACUGCUCAGAAUUUUACCCAUAGCUAGAGUUCUAGAAGGCCAAAUGAAGUGAAAUUCGGUGGGUAUAAGGACAAGACAAUUUCAAACAACUUUCAUGAGGAAGACAUGCUCAAAUGCUGAUGGUAAAAAUGACAUUUCAUCCAGACAAGAGCUUGAGGGCUAUCUACCACGUCCACCAGCAGCACUACUCAGUAUUGUAGACAUAUCUCGAGCUGUAGUGAUCCAAAUGCUUUGAUAUUUGAUGGGUGGAAGGAUAAGAUGAUUUCCAACAACUUUCAUAGCACUUUGCCAAAUUCUGAUUGCAUCAAUGUCAUUUCAUCCAGCCAAAAUACUUGAGUGCUGCUAUCCACCAAGUCCACUAAAUCAAUAGUUGGCCACUACAUCAAUAAUCAAUUACCAAAUGAAUAGUUCUGAAUUUUAGCCUAUAAAAGGAGGCAUUUGCCAUUCAUUUAGGAAUCUUGGUUUUCAGAUCAAGAUCAUGUUCUUGCUCUCUUUGUAUUUUGUAGUGUUCAAGUUUUAUUCCAUGUUAUAUUUUCCUUAAUCUCUUGUUUAUGCUUUUCAUUUCCUUUACUAUACUUAUAUAAUUAUGUUCUUAUUUUGUUUAUUUAUGUUCUUCUUCUUCAUAAUGUCUAGCUAAGUUAAUUAUGUCAAUGUGAAAAGGUUUCACUAAUGGUGUUAGGAUAAGUAUAAUAUAAACUCAAUAUGGACUUUAAUGCUUAUGUCCUAAACAAUUUGCAAUUAACAUGUCUUAUCAUUUUUAUCUUAUUAAUUAUUAAUACAUUGCUUGUUAAAUGGUUAAUCUAGAUUUGUGUUGUAUAACACCUGAUACAUCAAAUGCUUGAUCCUUCAUAGUCUUCGGCCGACAUCGUUGUUAUGAGAGGAACUUGAUUUGUUAUCAACAUAAGUUAGCAUCAUAAAUAUCUGAUAAAAUUUAUAAGUAUGGUAUUACGUAAAUAAGAUGAUUAAUAUGAUCAUGUUGAUAAUUUAUAAAGAGUUUAUACUUUACUUAUCUCUAAUACUAUUAGUGGAUCCUCUAACCUUAACAUUUGUUUUUAUCAUUAUUUAAACCUCACAUUAAUCUUACAUCUCAAAGUCCUCUUUAACUCAUCAUCACCAUCAUCACCAUCAUUGUUCUUAUUAUUAUUAUUAUUAUUAUUAUUAUUAUUAUUAUUAUUAUUUAUAAUUUAUAUAAUUAAACUCCAUGUGGUUCGACCCCGGUCUUGCCGGGUUAUUUAUUACGUUGACACUCCUACACUUAGGAUAAGACAUCAACUCUUUGAUUGUGUCAAGUUUUUGGCGUCGUUGCCGGGGAGGUAAAUUCUUGUAUAAAUUAUAAUAUUUAUAUUUAACUUUUCACUUUUCUUGUAUCUAACUUUUGUUUCUUUUGCUUUGUUUCUUUUUCUUUUGUUUCCUUCUUCCUUUUAUUCUCUUCCUACACGUACAUGAGAGUUUGGUCACGUACAUUAAGUGGUAGACUUUGUAGGGUAUCCUCAUCAUUUUUAGAAAAAUAUGGCCGAAGAAGAUAACCAGUCGCUUCAUAAUGAGAAUAAUGAGAAUAACCGAGUUAGAACACUUAGAGACCACAUGAAUCCUACAAGAACAAGUGCACCCUCAUGUAUAGUUUUCCCUCCUGAUGCAUCUCACUUUAAUUUUAAGCUAGGCAUUAUUCAACUUUUACCUUCUUUUCAUGGCUUAGAUCUAGAAAAUCCAUACUUGCAUUUGAGAGAAUUUGAAGAAGUCUGUAACACCUAUAAUGACUUAAAUUGUAGCAUGAACACCAUCAGAUUAAAGCUUUUUCCUUUUUCAUUAAAAGAUAAAGCUAAAACAUGACUACAAAAUCUUAGGUCAGGAUCUAUUCAUGCUUGGGAUGAAAUGAAAAAAUAAUUUUUAAAGAAGUUUUUUCCAUCUCACAGAACAAACUCUUUCAAAAGACAAAUCACCACUUUCACUCAAAAACCAGGAGAAACAUUUUACCAAUGUUGGGAUAGGUAUCGAGACUUGCUUAAUACUUGUCCUCAUCAUGGUUUUGAAACAUGGAGAUUGGUUUCACAUUUUUAUGAAGGGUUAACACCUAAAGAUAGACAAAUGGUGGAAUUGAUGUGCAAUGAAACUUUUGAAAAUAAAGACCCUGAUGAAGCAAUGAAGUACCUAGACUUGUUAGCUAAAAAUGCUCAAAAUUGGGACACUACAGGUAUUUAUGAGGCACCAGGUAAAACUCAACCUCAUACAUCUAGUGGAGGUAUGUACAACCUUAGAGAAGAUCAUGACCUCCAAACUAAAUUUGCAUUUUUAGCUAGAAAAGUUGAGGCACUAGAAUUAAAAAAGAGUGGUCAAUUAAAAUCUGUUUAAGACAUUGUGUGUCAAAUCUGUGAAACCAAUGAACACUCAACCAAUGACUGUCCAAUUUUUCCUUCUUUCAAAGAAUGCCUCCAUGAACAAGCUCAUGCUUUAAAUAGUUUUCAAAGGCCCAAUCAUAACCCAUACUCGCAAACAUACAACCCUGGUUGGAGAAAUCACCUAAAUUUCAGUUGGAAGAGUGGUAACAAUAAUGCACAAACUUCACAGCCACCGUUUCAAGCACACCAUAAUUUCAAAAAUUCUCAUGGAUAUACACCUCUUUAUGCUCUACCUCCUAGAAGAAAUCUUGAGGAAACAUUACAUGCAUUCAUUGAAAAGCAGGAGACAAUCAACACUCAUAAUGCUUAAACCAUGGUAGAUCUAAAAGAUGCUCUUGCAAAAUUCACAUAUACUCUCAAUUUUCAAGAGAAAGGUAAGUUUCCAUCUCAACCACAACAAAAUCCCAAGGGGCAAUACAAUGCAAAUGCAAGUAGUUCCGGAAGCCAACACAUGGAUCAAGUCAAAUCAGUCAUCACUCUUCGCAGUGGUAAGGUUAUUGAAAAACCCACUCUUGAACCUUGUGAGAAAGAUGAUGAGUUAAGCAUUUUCAAGAGCAGGCAGUAAAGUAUGAUAAGUGAACUUCAACUAUUUAUCCUGUUAUUUUUAUGUAGUGGUCAUCCAUUUUCAAAAGUUAUUUGUUGAUAACAUGACAACAGUUGUCGCGGGUGGGCGGCGUCGCGACGAGUAUUCCACUUUUUUUAAAAAUAGGAAGUGUAUAUGGUAUCUAUCUUUAUUUAUUUGGCCAAUAUGAGGGAUAAGAAAAUCCAAUCUUUUAUUGGUGGGAAAUGGAAUGGGAGUCGCCACCUAGUAUUUUGGUCACUAGGAACCCUAACUGGUCUCAGAGAUUGGGUACGGAGACUGGUUGCGUAGAGGGAAGGUAUUAGCACCCCAAAUACGCCCUACCUAAGGUAAGCUGUAUGGUUUAUUUGUCUGAUAAAAUUCAAGGUUUCGUUGUGUUUCCUAAUUGUUGGUCCGUCUAUGGUUCAAGAAAAGUCCUCCUCAAUAAGGAGGUCCUUAUCUUAUCGGGUAAAGCCUAACCGUUCUAAUGUCUAAAAAAAUCAUAUUUUUAAUAUCAAGAAUACGUUUUACAUAUAAAUUCGUAAUCCCAAAUACUAACAGAGGACAAAAAUAUUUUUUAGAAUUUUUGAAAUAUUGGCCUAGUUCUCAUGGCUUGAAUAAACUGGUUAUUAAAGCCAAAAUGCAUGUUAAUACAUAUAUUGUUUUGAAAUUUUCUUUGUUAUAUGAAAAAGAUGAUGUUAUAAUAUUUAUAUAUAUAUAUUGGAGAGACUAGACCGUAUUUUAAAACAAAAUAUUUUUUAAAUAUGUAUUUUUGUACGUUUUGACGCAAAUCGGGUAUUUUAAUACUGGGUUUGUAUCCUUACGGUAUAAAAAUACAACCAAAUAUUAAUCCACUUUAAUAAAACAAAUGCAGAAAAAUCAACAAUAUUUUCAAAGAUAUUUUUAGAAAAUUUUUGAAAGCAAAAGACAUUUUUUAUUUUGAAAAUCUUUGAUGUUUUGAUGAAAAUCGGGUAUUUUAAUACCGGAUUUGUAUCUUUACAGUAUAAAAAUACCAACCGAUAUUAAUCAAAAUAUAGUAAUAAAAUUACAACAAAAUCACAUAUAUUUUUUAUAAUUUUUUGCAAAAUUUUUAUAAUUUGUUUUCAUAUAUAUAUAUAUAUAUAAAUAAUACAAAAUAUAAUAUAUAUAUAAUAUUAAAUGGGCUGGGCUGGUCCGGCCCAACCGACUGGGCCGGACUCAGCCCAAAAAGUGUUGGGCCGAUCUCGGCCCACAAACUGGUAUUCUCCUCUGGGCCAGACCCGGCCCAGAAGGCAGGACUGGGCCAGGAUCAGCCUGGCCCAUCAACUAGACUAGCUGGGCCAGAACAAGUCUGGCCCAGCACAAGAAAUCAACGGGGGGAAUUAUUCCCCCCCAUCCUCCUGCAUGCAGAACUAAUGUUCUGCAUGCAGAAGGAAACGCCGGUCACGGAAAUAAUAUGAGGGGGAAGGAACGUUUACCUGGCGCGGAGGAGGCGGUGGCGCUGGUGCUACUGCUGCUGCCGGAGGCGGUGCUGUGGCGGAGGCCGGUGGCGGUGUCAAGCGGCGCUGCGGUUCCAACGACAGCUCCAAGCGGUGCUACUGUCUCCCACGGUGCAGCGACAUUCUUCCCGGCUGUUCUUGCGUUUUCUCACGUUCCCUCGCGGUUUCUGGCUUUCCUUCCUCUCGGUCUUGGGUUUUUGGUGGUUAUCUCCCUCUUUUUCUCUGUUUUUUUUUCUUUUUUUUCUCCUCUCGGUUUCUCUCUUCUUUUCAGUCCUCCCUCCUCUGUUUUUUUCGUUUUCUCCUUCUUCCCCCUCCGUUCUCCCUCCUCAGCGUUCUUGGGGUUCUAUUUAUAGAGCCCAGGGCGUGGCUUUGCUGUGGAGCAUGGGGAGCAACCGGCCGGUCGGCUAUUGGGCACGACUGCCAAGGUCCGCCCCCCCCUCUCGGCUUUCUGGUAGGUGCGCGGUGGGUGGUCGGCCAUUGUGUCCGGUCGGUGGGCUCCAGGCGAGAGAGUGGCCGGCAAAAAUUCAAAAAAAAGCUUCCCUUUUUCCUUCUUCCCCGCUGCAUGAUCGGGGGAAGAAGAUGAACAGUGUCGUUCAAAACGACACCGUUCUGCUCUUUCCCUUUUUUUUUUUUUUUUGAAUGCAUGAAACGACGUCGUUUUGGAGAAAAUGCGCCGUUUCAUUUAAAUGUGGCGCCAAAACGCGCCAAAUUUCAACUCAGCCCUCAAUCCUCUUUUUUUCUUUAAUUGCAUCCCUGCCAAUUUCGGUCUUCGCCCCUCUUGUUGGCCGCGUUUUUCACUUUAGUCCUUGGCCUCUGAUUUAUGCAAUUGAGCCCUUAAUUGAUCAAAAAACUUCUAAUUUCUUCAAUUAGGCCCCUGAAUCAAUUAAUUCCAGCCCCUCCAUUUACGCGCCUCUUCCAAUUUGGUCCCUGGUUUCGAAUUUUCUUAAUUAAGUCCCCAAUUGGCCCUUAAACUUCAAUAUUUAUGCAAUUAGGCCCCUGAUUUGACCUAAUAAAUUCCUAAAAAAUAUAUUUUGGCCCCAGAACUUAAAUUUCUUCUAAUUAAAACCCAAAUUGACUUAAAAAUCAAUUUUUCUUACAAUCAAAUCUCCUAUAAAUUCAUUUAAAAAUCCAAUUAAGUCCAUAAACAUCCAAAUUUAGGCUUUUCUCCUCAAAUUUCAAAUUUUCCUUCUCAACAGGGCUCUCCUCCUUCAAGAAUAUACUGUCAAAAAACCAAUCUUUGUAUUUUUAACCUCAUUGACCAAUUUUCCAACCACUUUCUGAGCGCUUCUGCCUCUUGUUAUUUUUCUAACCUCCUUUGGCUAUAUAUUUUUAUAUAUAUUUUGUGGGGACCCAAAAAUGGGUUACAACAGAUGCCCCCUCUUUAUAAUGCUUACGGAGCAGAGGUUUUGCACAGUAAGUUUUAUAAAGAUAACCCAAAAUGGAACUCCCGAAACUGAUCUGGUUGAAGCUUGAUUGAUCUGAAACUUGUCUUUUAUAGUAAUCCUCCUCAACUGGGAAUCCCAUCUGGCGAUUCCCUUUUAACCAACAUGAAAAACGAGGUCCCAUCUGACGACCUCCAAAUAACGAAACAUGAGAUCCCUUCUAGCGAUCUCCUUUAACCAACUUGGAAUCCCAUCUGGCGAUUCCUUUUAUUCAAUGAAAAACGAGGUCCCAUCUGGCGACCUCCAAAUAAUGAAACACGAGAUCCCUUCUGGCGAUCUCCUUUAAUCAACUUGGAAUCCCAUCUGGCGAUUCCUUUUUUUUCAACAGGUAAUACGAGGUCCCAUCUGGCGACCUCCAAAUAGCGAAACACGAGAUCCGUUCUGGCGAUCUCCUUUAGUCAACUUGGAAUCCCAUCUGGCGAUUCCUUUUAUUCAAUGAAAAACGAGGUCCCAUCUGGCGACCUCCAAAUAGCGAAACAUGAGAUCCCUUCUGGCGAUCUCCUUUAGUCAACUUGGAAUCCCAUCUGGCGAUUCCUUUUAUUCAAUGAAAAACGAGGUCCCAUCUGGCGACCUCCAAAUAGUGAAGUAUGAGAUCCCUUCUGGCGAUCUCCAUCAACUUGGAAUCCCAUCUGGCGAUUCCUUUUAUUCAAAGCGAUAUGCGAGGUCCCUUCUGGCGACCUUCUUUGACCAAUAUCGAAAUACAAGAUCCCCUCUGGCGAUCUAAGACAACUUGGAAUCCCAUCUGGCGAUUUCCUUUUAUUCGAAGCUGAAAUAAUGAGAUCCCUUCUAGCGAUCUCCUUUAAUCAAAAACCAAAAAAUCUUUCUUGUAAAUCGGUUAACCUGGAGUCCCCUCUGGCAAUUCCCUUUUACUGAUUGCUCGAUGUCGUUCUUCCUGAUGGCAAGGUUCGAAAAUUAUUAUCUUCUCUUCUCGUUGUUCUAGAAUCAACUCAAUGAUUCUUUCUUCGUCUCCAAUUUUGUUGGAAUGUAUUAAGGUCUCCUCCUGUAACGAUCCAAAAAACAUAUAUGCAAUGAUUUAUGAUUAGAUGCCAUGCAUGCAUUCGUACCUGGUUUUGAAACAUAGGCCCCAUCAUCUUCUUCGAGUUCAUGAGAUUCCCUCUUAACAUGAGCUUGCUUUUGAAGUCGUAUGCUGGAUUCAUCUCUCGUGUUGCCUCCUAUCAUAUUCUUGGAGAAGAAAUCUCUGACUUUCUUCAAAUAGUCCUUUUUCCAAAAUGUAUGACUUGUCAUUGCCUCUUUGUCAUGCUUUUGUCAAAUGUUUUAGCUUGGUUUUUAAAUCUAUAGGCUUUCGUACAUGAAAAUAUCUCUUAUUGCCCCCAGUGUAGGGGUGUGAUUCUAGUCUAGGCUUUUAUAGAGAGAAGAAAUUCGUUCAGCCGAUGCUAAACUUUUUAAAUGAGAUAACACAAGACAUGCACUGUUGGGAUUAAUGCAAAAAUGACUGUUGUGAGAUCAAUGCAAAAGAGAAAGAAGUCAAUGGCCAAACUUUGCUUUAUUGAUUUAGGAGCCUACAUCAAGCAUAAUAUCUUUUUACAGAGUCAGAAUUCACAGGUCGAGCUAGGUCUUCUCCAUCCAUUCUAGCCAACUUCAGCGCUCCUCCUGAGAAUGCCUUCUUUACUACGUAAGGACCUUCGUAAUUCGGUGCCCAUUUGCUUUGAUCGUCUCCAGGUAGUGACAAUAUUUUCUUCAAUACUAGAUCCCCUUCUUGAAACAACCGCGGUCUAACCUUCUUAUCAUAUGCCUUGGCCAUUCGUUUCUGGUAAAGUUGGUGAUGACAUAUUGCGGCCAUCCUCUUUUCACUGAUCAGGUUCAGUUGCUCAUAUCUCACUUUGGCCCACUCGGCCUCUUCUAAUUCGGAGUCCAUCAAUACUCUUAACGACGAGAUUUCUACUUCCAAAGGCAUCACUGCUUCCAUACCGUACACUAGAGAAUAUGGGGUAGUUCCUGUCGAGGUCCUGACUGUAGUGCGGUAUGCGUGAAGAGCAAACGGCAACAUCUCAUGCCAAUCUUUAUACGUGACUACCAUUUUUUGAAUAAUCGUUUUGAUGUUCUUGUUGGCGGCUUCUACUGCGCCAUUCAUUUUCGGCCGGUAUGGCGAGGAGUUCGAAUGCUUAAUCUUCCACUUGGUACACAACUCCACUAUCAUUUUACCAUUGAAAUUCUGUGCAUUAUCGGUCACUAUCUUUUCCGGAGGACCAUAUCGACAAAUCAGAUCCUUUUCUAUAAACCUCUUCACUACCUUCUGUGUUACAUGGGCAUACGAAUUAGCUUCCACCCAUUUGGUGAAGUAGUCAAUAGCCACGAGGAUGAAUCUAUGCCCAUUGCUAGCUUUUGGGUUAACCGGACCGAUUACAUCAAUUCCCCACAUUGCAAAUGGCCAAUGAGAUAUUAGAUUAAACAGAGGAGCUGGUGGCAUAUUGACCUUGUCACUAUAAACUUGACAUUUAUGACAUUUCCUGACAUAGUCGAUACAGUCUUUCUCUAGUGUCAUCCAAAAAUAACCAGCCCUUUGGAUUUUCCUUGCUAUCAUAUGCCCGCUAGCAUGGGUUGAGCAAAUCCCCUCAUGGACCUCCCGUAAUGCCUUUCUAGCAUCUGCCUCAUUCAAACACCUUAGCAAGGUUCCAUCAAAUGAUCUUUUGUACAAAAUCUCUCCAUCUAAAUAGAAGUCUGUAGCCAACCUUCUCAAGGUUUUCUUAUCCGUUUUGGAGGCUCCCACCGGAUAUUCCUGAUUUUGCACAAGGUUCUUGAUAUCAUAAUACCAAGGCUGUCCGUCUAUCUCUCCUUCAACUAAGCAACAGUGAGCUGGGUCAUUUCUAAUGUCAAUGUGUACCGGUUGUACUUUGCACUUGAGAUCAAUGGUAGUCAUAACAGCUAGUGUGGCCAAAGCAUCUGCAAAAUGGUUCCUCUCUCUUCCCAGAUGGGUGAAUCUAAUUUCUUCAAAUUCCUUUGCUAGCGUGGACAGGUAUUCCUGGUACGGCCUCAACUUUUCCUCUUUGGUCUGCCAUUCCCCCUUAACCUGACAGAUAAUCAACAUUGAAUCUCCGUACACAUCUAACUUCUUUAUCUUCAGCUCUAAUGCCGCUUCUAGACCAAGGAUACAAGCUUCAUACUCAGCUGUAUUGUUGGUGCACUCGAAAUGUAGUUUAACCGAGACUGGAUACUGUUUCUUAUCGGGAGAGAUUAUUACCGCACCGGCCCCGUUACCAUAUACAUUCACUGCACCGUCAAAAAACAUCGUCCACCAAUCUGUCUUCUCUUCUUCUUUCUCUAUUGACAAUAGAUCUUCAUCAGGGAAGUCAAAAUCCAAAGGUUCGUAAUCUUCAACAGCAUGAUCGGCCAGAUGGUCCGCGAUUGCACUUCCUUUUACGGCUUUCCUUGUCAUGUAUACUAUGUCAUAUUCUGCUAAUAGAACUUGCCACCUUGCAAUUCGACUUGAGAGAAAGGGCUUGUUACAAAUGUACCUUAGAGGAUCCACUUUUGAAAUCAACCAAGUGGUAUAGUAUAACAUAUAAUGUCGCAACCUCUUUGCCGCCCAUACCAACGCACAACAAAGCCUUUCUAUCUCCGUGUAUCUAGACUCACAUUCAGUGAAUUUCUUACUUAAGUAAUAAAUAGCUCUUUCCUUCCUUCCGGUUUCAUCAUGCUGACCCAAUACACAUCCCAUGGCUGCUUCAGUUACUGUUAGAUAUAGUACUAGAGGUUUUCCUGAUACCGGAGGAACCAGUAAAGGUGGAUUUUGUAAAUAAUGCUUGAUUUUAUUGAAUGCCUCCUCACACUCCUCAUUCCAGGUUCCAGGAUUCUUUUUCCUUAGUAGUCGGAAUAUAGGUUCACACGUCGUUGUUAACUGAGCUAUGAACCGAGCAAUGUAGUUUAACCUUCCCAAGAAUCCUCUUACUUCUUUCUCCGUCUUAGGGGAUGACAUAGCUUGGAUGGCCCUUACUUUAUCUGGAUCCACCUCUAUACCUCUAUCACUUACUACAAAUCCUAACAGCUUGCCCGAUUUAACUCCGAAUGAACAUUUUGCAGGAUUAAGCCUUAGUUCAUACUUCCUCAACCGCUCAAACAACUUCCUCAAAACUUCAACAUGAUCCUCUCCCCUUUUAGACUUGGCAAUCAUGUCGUCUACAUACACCUCAAUUUCCUUGUGCAUCAUGUCGUGGAACAAAGUCACCAUUGCUCUUUGAUAGGUUGCUCCUGCAUUCUUCAAUCCAAAUGGUAUGACCUUGUAGCAGAACGUCCCCUAAGGUGUGACAAAGGUUGUUUUCGCCUUAUCCUCCGGAGCCAUUUUUAUCUGGUUGUAUCCUGAAAAACCAUCCAUAAAGGAAUAAGUGGAACUCCGGGCAGCGUUAUCCACUAAAACAUCUAUGUGUGGUAGGGGAAAAUCAUCCUUAGGGCUAGCUCUAUUCAAAUUCCGAAAAUCCACACAAACUCUAAUCUUCCCCUCCUUCUUAGGCACCACAACAACGUUAGAUACCCAUUGUGGAUAUCUAACUACUUCUAGGAAGCCAGUAUCCCAUUGCUUCUCAAGUUCUGCCUUGACCUUGAUCCAGACAUCCGGGUGGGCCCUCCUCAGCUUCUGCUUGACUGGCUUACAACCUUCUUCCAACGGUAUCUUGUGUACUACAAUAUUUGUAUCCAAACCAGGCAUAUCUUCAUAGGACCAAGCAAAGACAUCUGAAUAUUCUUGUAAUAGGGUGAUCAUUUUUAUCCUUUGUUCAGAAGUAAUUAAGGUACCUAUUUUCAACUCUUUCUUGAGUUGAUCACUACCCACAUUGAUGGUUUCGAGUUCUUCGGCGAUAGGCUUCCAAGUCUGUUCCUGUUGUUCUACUAGCCUGGUGAAUUCACUAAUAUUGCUUUCAUCCCAUUCUUCUUCCAUAGCUAUCACAUGCUCGUUCAAGUUUGGCCAUUUAUUCUUGAUGCUAAAUAUAUGUGAUGUUGUAGGAGAUCCGCUUUCAGGAUUCCUGAAAGCGGGAAGUGUUUGGUGUAAAUGCAUAAAAAAAAGAAGGCAAUUUGUGGAAAGUGCAUGAUCUCACAAUUUAUUUAAAGAAAAAGUGGGCUCCAUGACAAACAUAAAAUCUAGCUGACAUCAUGAGCCUUGAUUGUCAACUAGAGGAAAUAAAAGCAAACAUAAGCAAUGACGAAAGCAUGCUAAGGCAAAUAAAGUUGGUUUACAUUUUGAAAACCACUGGAGCUUCUUGGGUCACCCAGUUCUGAAACUUCUCGUCCUGAGCCAACUUGCGCACAAAGGUCUUGGCGGAGACUUCUUCUAUGGUGUAGACCGUCAGUUGUGGGAGUGCUUCAUCUCCCUUUCUUGCUACUGUCUUCCUGUCAUCUCCUUCCAUCUUGUUCUCCCCCAAGGUAUUUACGCUCAUGUUUGACAGCUCUUGAUCAAGGCUUUCGGCCUCUUUAUCAUGUUGCAUUAUGUAUGCAGUUUUGGGGAAUGACACGCUAAGGGGAGGGAUUUCUAGCUUUUCUUCAUCAGGCUCUCUUCCUUUAAUUCUAGCCAUCCUUCUUGCCCUUCUCCGACCAGCAGCCCACCGAUAAUCCUCUUGGUUAGGUUGGUACCCUAACCCAAAUCUUUGAGCAGCACUUUUCAUCCUUGCCAGAUUAACCCCUUCUGGUAUCCCGAUAAUAAGGUUAUACUGAAAUGGGAUCCCGCGGUUCAAGAAGCAUAGACUUGUCAUCCUUGCUGCUUCUGAGAUCCUUGGCCUUCUUAGCACUGUAUUCUCUGGCACCCAGUCGGUGUUCACAAUCUCAAAGGCAUGGAUAUUGUUAUCCUUGCAAUCAUUCGCUUCGAUAAAAGGCACAACCACAUUCUUUAUCAUGGAUACUGUCUCCUCAGCCUUGACAGUUACCAACAUCCCAUUCAUGAUAUACUUCAGGCAUUGAUGCAAUGACGAAGCUACUGCCCCCACUGCAUGAAUCCAAGGUCUUCCUAACAACAGACUAUAGGAAGGGUGGAUAUCCAUAACCUGAAGUGUUACUAAGAACAUUUGUGGUCCCACAUAUAGCUCCACUUCUAAAGUCCCAAUUAUUGGCCUAGGCGAGCCAUCAUACGCUCUAGCCAUCAUAGUACUGGGCUUUAUAUGGGAUUCAUCGAUCGGCAUUUCUUCCAGCAUGUGCUUUGGCAACACAUUAAGGGCCGAGCCGUUAUCAAUGAGUACUUUUCCUAUGAGGCAGUCCUUGCACCUAACCGUAAUGUAUAAGGGCUUGUUAUGUCCGGUACCUUCAGCAUAUCAGCCGUGAAGUACAGGUAAUUAGUUGCAUGGAUCCUUCCUACUAGAUGCUCCAUGGUUUUAUGUUCAAUGUCUUGGGGUACAUAUGCCUCAUUCAAUACCUUCUGCAAGGCGUUUCGAUGCAGCUCAGAGCUGAGUAUCAGGGACAUAAGGGAGAUCCUAGCUGGAGUCUUCUUUAGUUGAUCUACUAUGCAAUAUUCACUAUGCUUGAUCAACUUCAGGAAUUCAUUCGACUCUUCUUCUGUUACUGGCUUAUUAACUUCUAGUGCUUUGUCAAGAUCUACCACUUCUUUACCCUUUUCCUUCCUCAACUCCUCAGAAGUAAAGCAACGACCACUCCUGGUCAAACCACUUAUCUCAGUCUGGAACAAAGGAAGAGGAGCUUGAACGUUGGAGGCAUAACCAUAAUUAUAAGGCAUGGCAUUGUGAUUCCCUUUUGUGUAGGACGGUUUAACCAAGAUUAGCCUUGGGGGACCAUUAGCUGUUUGUUGGACCCUGCAUACUCCUGUCAUCUCCAUCUGACCUUCCAUCAUACUCACCUCACCCCUGUUCUCCAUGGGUUCAAUUCUCAAUUGCCCCAUUUUUAACAUUUUUGCAAUCUUUUCGUAAAACUCGAUGCAAUCCUCAAUAUGGUGUCCAUCUCUUCCAUGGAACUUACAAUAACUACCUCCCUCCGAAUGGCCUUCCAUAUUUGCCUCUAGAAAUCCUGAUCGUACUAACAAGUAGUACAUCUUUUCCAUAGACACCUUCAACACCUUGCAUUGAUUUCCAACUUCUAUCAUGCCUAUUCCACUACUACUUGAGGCAUGUUUAGGCAACGGGUUUGAAUUAACAUUGGGCUUGUCUUCAAAGGAUACCCAUCCUAUCUUAAUAAGCUCCAGCAAUCUUUUCUUGAAAGCGUAACAGGUUUCAAUCCCAUGCCCAGGAUUACCCGCAUAGUACUCACAAGUUAACUCGGGCUUGUACCAAAUUGGGAAUGGUGGUUGUAAUGGUAGUGUAGGGAUAGAAGAUAUGUGCCCAAUGCUCAAUAGUUUGGCGUACAUGUCCUUCAAAGGCAUGGGUAAUGGUGGCAGUUGUUCUGAAGUGUAUCUUGUAUGGGGUCUUUGGUAGUGAUUUUGGUAGUUUGACUGGUUAUUUGUUCGAUUAGGGGAAAAGUUUAUGCGUGAGAAUUGAGAGGUAGAUACUUGAGGAUUGUGAAAAUCUACUCUUUUGCCCUUGUACCCACCUUCCAGAUUGUUAACAUCACCUUCUCUCUUUCUUCCAAUAAAACCCUUCUUUUCCACUGGCAUCGCUAUUCGCCCAGCUUUAAUCCCUUGUUCUAUUCUUUCAGCUAUGCGUACCGCAUCAUAGAAAUGUUGAGAGGAACUACCCAUUAGGUGCUCAUAAUAAGGUGCCUUGAAGGUAUUAGCGAACAAGCUCACCAUCUCUGUUUCUAUCAAAGGGGGUUGGACAUGCAUUGCCUCAUCCCUCCAUCUUUGCGCAUAAGCCCUUACUGACUCCUGGCUCCUUUUCUCCAUUGCCAUUAGACUUGUUCGAUCAGGAGCGAUUUCCAUGUUAAACUUGUACUGCUUGAGGAAAGCCUCCACCAAGUCUCUCCAGCUUCUGAUCUUGACACUAUCUAACCUCAUGUACCAACUCAAAGCGGACCCUGAGAGGCUAUCCUGAAAGAAAUAGAUUAGCAGCUUAUCAUCGCGGAUUACUUCUGCCAUUUUAUUGCAGUAGGAACGAAGGUGAGUGUUUGGGCAUUCCAAACCAGUGUACUUAAUGAACUCUGGUAUCCUGAAAUCUUUUGGUACCACGAUGUUUGGUACCAGACAUACUUCAGCUGCUCGCAUAGGGUCAAACCAGUCAUUACCCUCAACUGCCCUUAAUCUUUCUUCCAAGGCAAACAACUUGUCCUGGUCCAUCAGAUUGGGAAACCUAUUAUCCGGGGUUCCUUCCGUUGUUAAGUCAACAGUGACUGGCGUAUGAGUUGGUAGGAUAGGAGUAAUAGGCACAAACUGCUGUCCAUUGGCCGAGUUUGCCCCCUGGCUUUGAGAUGCUUGAGGGAUGUGAGCUGCUGGCGCUCCUUCAAGUUGUUGUGUUGAUGUUCCCUCCCCAUUCUUAGCUCUUAGAAGCUGCCCAAGUAAGUCGGUUAGCCGAGAAACUUCAUUCUUUAUGGACUCCAACUCGGUCUGAUAAUGUGACUCUAAGUGAGCUCUCUCUUCGUUCUCCAUUCUCGCUCUGGACCGGGUGUUGUGGAUUUUGGAUGUGGGACCUAUGUUUCACGAUCUGGCAUGCAUAUGAUGAAUUAAAAACAAAAUGUGAUGAAAAUAUGAUGCUCAUGCAAUGUAUAUUUUAGAGCCGACUCAUGACUUUCGUAAUCCUUUAGGCAAGAUUUCUGAGUUGACCCGAUUACUGUAAAGGAGGGUUUGCCAAGUUCUUUAUCAUAGUAGCUUACCAAAACAUAUUUAGAAAGAAAGAUAGGUCAUGCCUUCUUAUAAAUAGAAGAAGCUCAUACAUUGAUAACAGAACAAGGCGUUAUACAUUGCUACCCUUUAAAAGGCAUUUCCUCUAUUAGCUAAAUCCCCAAUAAAACAGGUGAUGGCCGCCAUAUAUUCUCGAUACUUUGAAGCAUCAUUUCCCACUUGAGUAGCUUGUCGUUGCAACCUUUCCGCAUAGCGGGCUGCUUGCUCGACCUGCUUCGUUAUAUGCCUUAUCUUAUCAUGGAACACAGUGUUAUCUGCAAUUAUCACUUCGUUGCUGGCUCCUAGGGCUUCAUUACUUCUUUCCAACACUCGAACCAUAUCAUCCGACCGGGCCAACUUAUCCCUUACCCUCUGCAGUUCCUCCUUUUCGAUAUCCAGCUCGGCUAUUUUGGAGUUAAUUUGGACUGUAAAGCUGUCCAUGUAGCCUUGACAUUCUUGAUGCUCUUGCUUAGCCUUACUGAGAUCCUCCUCCAUCUCGAAGUAAUGGCUUCUCAACUCCCUCAACUCUUCUACUUGUAUCUCGAUCUCAGAUUGUAAAGUCAUCAUUCUUCCUUUCGAAGACUCAGCUCUUUUCUGGUAAUCUCUCAUAUCAGACUCGGCGGCCUUUCUUGCACUCCUCUCUUCCUCAAGCUGCACCAUAUAUUGAGCUCUAAUCCUUCUUUCCUCUUCUAUGUCGAGCUGGGCCAGCCGAUUCUUCUCCUUUUCAACUUCUAUUUUCUUUGAAAGAAUGCUCUUUCCCUUCUUCAAGGAAUCCAUCACCUUUUUGUCAACAUUCAUCUUGCCUUUUGUUGAUCUUUUAACCUUUGCCAACUCUUUUUCUGCGAGCCCAUUCUUCUUAACCAGCUCAUCAUAUUCGGUCAUUCGUUUCUUUAGCUCAGCCUGGACCCCUUUUGCUAUUUCUUCCGCUACCUCGACCCUUUUCUGCCAUUCCUUUAAAGAUGUCAAUUGUUUAUCUUGUUUUUCCAACUGCUGGUUCAAGUAAACCCUCAUCGUGUUUUCUUCCUCUAAUUGAUUUUCCAACAGUCGCAGCUGCCCUUUGCUCUUGCUGAGAUCAAUUCUACAUUGUUCUAGCUGCUUUCUCAGCUCUUCCUCAAUAUCAGUCCUUUUCCUUUUUGGUUGUUCUAUUGCGGAUUCUGGAUGUUUUGGUAUGGAGAAACCCCUUUCUUCAAAAAGCUCUUCAUUCCUCCAAACUACAUAAUUCUGGCUGAAUGAUGUUUCAAAUGUGCUCCCUUCUUCCCUUUUUACCAUCAGGGGUCUUUCCCAAUCCUGUCGGAUAAGCUCCAUCUCUUCGAGGAAGGGUUGGUGCUUGAAUAAACCGAUGAAAUCAGCUAAACCCAGAGUUCUUGGCGCGUACUGCAUUCCACCCAACUGUCUUGUUACUAGGGCGGGCGCGUAACUGAUGUACCCGGUUAUACCAAUCAAAGGAACCCAUAUCUUAUUUCCACAACUCAUUGUGCAGAUGGCAUUGUUCAUCCAUGGUGCUUUCCAUUUGAAGUUGCUCCUUGGCAAUGCUGCAUACUUAUCUAUCCAUGCUUUCUCAUCCCAAUUCUUCCAAGUCUCAUCCAUGGUAACCUUUAAUGGUCGUAGGUCAAACCACCAAAAGUUGUUAAAAAUGUCCCUUGGUGUUUCGAUAUGACUGAUAAUCCAUAAAUACAACAUAGGGGUGCAACAUCUCAUGGCUCCUUUUCCAUGCAUUCUGCAGUGAUUGAGUGAUAACAUGGUUUCUCCCAAAAUAGCUGAUGAAGGAUUGAUCUGGUCACGCUCGUAUUCGAUGAAGACACUUGCUGCUUCCAAACUGAUGACUCCGAUUUCUGAAGGGAACAAUACUAGCCCAAAAAUGGCGAAGGCCACCAACCUGUAUCGUUCCUCUCCUAACUUGCCUUCCUCAGCAUUUUUCUUCAUUCGAGCUUCUAUGACCUUCCAUUUGAAACCCCCCUCGGCGACUCUACAUUGACUGAUCUUUCCCAAGCCUAAUAAACUGACUACCUCCGAAGCUGUGUCUUCAAAUCUUCGCCUUAGAUAGAUCCUGUGACUGUUGUUUGGAAAAUCUAGAAUCCUUUCAUAUUCCUCCAAAGUCGGUGUCAUAUCAAUGUUCCCAAAGGUAAAACUCCGAUAACUAGGAUCCCAAAAAUUCAGUAGGGCUUUGAUUGUUGCUGCUUGUACGGGUAACCUCAUUAGUUGUGCAAUUCUCCCGUAUCGCCUUUCAAAAAUAGUCUCAUCAAUAUAUUCCAUAAUAGACACUAACUUCCCCAAGUCAUUUACCAUGUGAUUUAUCUUGGUAAUGCCAGGCAACCUACUAGCAUCGAUUCUUGGGCAUUUUCCUUCAGCUACUUGAGUCAACUCAGAUUCUUGUCCAAACUCUUGGAAAGAUAGGUACUUAGUCAUGAUUUCAGCUCAAAAACCUGGAUUGAUGAUUUUAACAUUAUUAAUCAUGAUGAAGAUGAACGUAAGAUAGAUAUCCUAAGGACAAGUUCUAUUUAUUAGGUGAGAAUGGGUAGGUUUUCUAUUUGGUCUUUAAAAUGGUCUCAUAUCUGCCCAGUGACGUUCUUCGUAAAGACAGUAUGGGGGCGUUGCAAGGAACAGUUAAGGUAAGUAUACCCACCAUUACCAAGCAGGCACUCAGAUAUGAGUUGGGUGUUUCACGCAUCUGAACCCUGACCAAUAGUCAUAGGGCAGAUCGCUAAUCCCACUCCUAGCUUAAAGCUUGUGUGUGCUUCUCAAAAUCAAAGUAUGUGAUGCAUGUGACAGUUCUAUAAGAUGCAUGAGACAAUUCUAUACAAAUGCAUGAACAAUAUGCGUAAAAAAAUUUAAAGCAUAUAAGCAGAUAACAAAAGGAAAAAAAAACACACGAAAACAAAAACAAUUCAGACAAAAACAAAGCUUAGUCCACAAGGUCCCCAGUGGAGUCGCCAUUCUGUCGCGGGUGCGCGGCGAGUAUUCCACUUUUUAAAAAAAUAGGAAGUGUAUAUGGUAUCUAUCUUUAUUUAUUUGGCCAAUAUGAGGGAUAAGAAAAUCCAGUCUUUUAUUGGUGGGAAAUGGAAUGGGAGUCGCCACCUAGUAUUUUGGUCACUAGGAACCCUAACUGGUCUCAGAGAUUGGGUACGGGGACUGGUUGCGUAGAGGGAAGGUAUUAGCACCCCAAAUACGCCCUACCUAAGGUAAGCUGCAUGGUUUAUUUGUCUGAUAAAAUUCAAGGUUUCGUUGUGUUUCCUAAUUGUUGGUCCGUCUAUGGUUCAAGAAAAAUCCUCCUCAAUAAGGAGGUCCUUAUCUUAUCGGGUAAAGCCUAACCGUUCUAAUGUCUAAAAAAAUCAUAUUUUUAAUAUCAAGAAUACGUUUUACAUAUAAAUUCGUAAUCCCAAAUACUAACAGAGGACAAAAAUAUUUUUUAGAAUUUUUGAAAUAUUGGCCUAGUUCUCAUGGCUUGAAUAAACUGGUUAUUAAAGCCAAAAUGCAUGUUAAUACAUAUAUUGUUUUGAAAUUUUCUUUGUUAUAUGAAAAAGAUGAUGUUAUAAUAUUUAUAUAUAUAUAUUGGAGAGACUAGGCCGUAUUUUGAAACAAAAUAUUUUUUAAAUAUGUAUUUUUGUACGUUUUGACGCAAAUCGGGUAUUUUAAUACUGGGUUUGUAUCCUUACGGUAUAAAAAUACAACCAAAUAUUAAUCCACUUUAAUAAAACAAAUGCAGAAAAAUCAACAAUAUUUUCAAAGAUAUUUUUGAAAGCAAAAGACAUUUUUUAUUUUGAAAAUCUUUGAUGUUUUGAUGAAAAUCGGGUAUUUUAAUACCGGAUUUGUAUCUUUACAGUAUAAAAAUACCAACCGAUAUUAAUCAAAAUAUAGUAAUAAAAUUACAACAAAAUCACAUAUAUUUUUUAUAAUUUUUUGCAAAAUUUUUAUAAUUUUUUUUCAUAUAUAUAUAUAUAUAUAUAUAUAAAUAAUACAAAAUAUAAUAUAUAUAAUAUUAAAUGGGCUGGGCUGGUCCGGCCCAACCGACUGGGCCGAACUCAGCCCAAAAAGUGUUGGGCCGACUUCGGCCCAAGAAUGGAUUGGGCCGAUCUCGGCCCACAAACUGGUAUUCUCCUCUGGGCCAGACCCGGCCCAGAAGGCAGGACUGGGCCAGGAUCAGCCUGGCCCAUUAACUAGACUAGCUGGGCCAGAACAAGUCUGGCCCAGCACAAGAAAUCAACGGGGGGAAUUAUUCCCCCCCAUCCUCCUGCAUGCAGAACUAAUGUUCUGCAUGCAGAAGGAAACGCCGGUCACGGAAAUAAUAUGAGGGGGAAGGAACGUUUACCUGGCGCGGAGGAGGCGGUGGCGCUGGUGCUACUGCUGCUGCCGGAGGCGGUGCUGUGGCGGAGGCCGGUGGCGGUGUCAAGCGGCGCUGCGGUUCCAACGACAGCUCCAAGCGGUGCUACUGUCUCCCACGGUGCAGCGACAUUCUUCCCGGCUGUUCUUGCGUUUUCUCACGUUCCCUCGCGGUUUCUGGCUUUCCUUCCUCUCGGUCUUGGGUUUUUGGUGGUUAUCUCCCUCUUUUUCUCUGUUUUUUUUUUCGUUUUUUUCUCCUCUCGGUUUCUCUCUUCUUUUCAGUCCUCCCUCCUCUGUUUUUUUCGUUUUCUCCUUCUUCCCCCUCCGUUCUCCCUCCUCAGCGUUCUUGGGGUUCUAUUUAUAGAGCCUAGGGCGUGGCUUUGCUGUGGAGCAUGGGGAGCAACCGGCCGGUCGGCUAUUGGGCACGACUGCCAAGGUCCGCCCCCCCUCUCGGCUUUCUGGUAGGUGCGCGGUGGGUGGUCGGCCAUUGUGUCCGGUCGGUGGGCUCCAGGCGAGAGAGUGGCCGGCAAAAAUUCAAAAAAAAGCUUCCCUUUUUCCUUCUUCCCCGCUGCGUGAUCGGGGGAAGAAGAUGAACAGUGUCGUUCAAAACGACACCGUUCUGCUCUUUCCCUUUUUUUUUUUUUUUGAAUGCAUGAAACGGCGUCGUUUUGGAGAAAACGCGCCGUUUCAUUUAAAUGUGGCGCCAAAACGCGCCAAAUUUCAACUCAGCCCUCAAUCCUCUUUUUUUCUUUAAUUGCAUCCCUGCCAAUUUCGGUCUUCGCCCCUCUUGUUGGCCGCGUUUUUCACUUUAGUCCUUGGCCUCUGAUUUAUGCAAUUGAGCCCUUAAUUGAUCAAAAAACUUCUAAUUUCUUCAAUUAGGCCCCUGAAUCAAUUAAUUCCAGCCCCUCCAUUUACGCGCCUCUUCCAAUUUGGUCCCUGGUUUCGAAUUUUCUUAAUUAAGUCCCCAAUUGGCCCUUAAACUUCAAUAUUUAUGCAAUUAGGCCCCUGAUUUGACCUAAUAAAUUCCUAAAAAAUAUAUUUUGGCCCCAGAACUUAAAUUUCUUCUAAUUAAAACCCAAAUUGACUUAAAAAUCAAUUUUUCUUACAAUCAAAUCUCCUAUAAAUUCAUUUAAAAAUCCAAUUAAGUCCAUAAACAUCCAAAUUUAGGCUUUUCUCCUCAAAUUUCAAAUUUUCCUUCUCAACAGGGCUCUCUUCCUUCAAGAAUAUACUGUCAAAAAACCAAUCUUUGUAUUUUUAACCUCAUUGACCAAUUUUCCAACCACUUUCGGAGCGCUUCUGCCUCCUGUUAUUUUUCUAACCUCCUUUGGCUAUAUAUUUUUAUAUAUAUUUUGUGGAGACCCAAAAAUGGGUUACAACAACAGUUUCCACAGUUGGGAAGAAAGUGUGUUUGACCUACUUUUGGGUAUACAUUUAAUAAAUUUGGAAGUGCCGCCUUCAUAAAGCAUAAAAUUUAGCCCACGGUUGUCCUCUUAAUAUCUGCUGCUAGAAUACUAUUUGUGCUUAAAAUGUUGGAAGUAAAAUAAACAGGAGCAGAAUAUGAGUAUCUAUUGGAGCUUAAUGCUGCAGAACCUAUAAAAAUUCUACGUGUCACUUCCUCAAUUAAAAUAAUGCUGCAGAAUUCACUCGCAUGGUUGUAUAGAAUGCUCCAUUCAAAGGACAGCUUGCUAUUGGGUUUUCUUGGUGUACUAAUAUACAACUUGUUGGGAACAACUGAUAAUAACAUGAUAGCAAAGGCUUAUUAGAUAUCUUUUGUUUUUUUAGCUGCUUUUGUUUUUUAGUUGUUCUUAAAGAGGGUGUUUUCCUAUUUUAGAUGAAUGAUUUUGAAACCUACAAAAACUUUGAAUCAGGUAAUGUUUCUUAAAAACUUACACCUUUUAUUUUAUGAUUUAUUAAUUAACACAUUUUUAUUCUAACAUGUUUAAUUUUUUAUUUUAUAGAAUUUGGUGGAAAGUUGCAUCUAGCAACAGAUGAUAAUUAGUUCACAAAUUGUGAUGCAUUUAUUGAAAACAUAUGGUAAAAAUACAAUUUUUUUAUUUUUAUAUCUUCUAAUUUAAUUUAUCAUGUUAUAAUUCUAGAUUAUAAAUUUCAAGAAUCAAAGUGCAAUGUUCUUGAAGAGUUUUUUUUAUUAAGAUGAUGUGCACAUGAGGAUUUUUUUUUGUUUGGAGUGUUUUAUGAUAAUGUUAUUUGUUGUUUUUUCUUUAAGCCCUUUGAAGGCAAUGGUUUGUAAUUUGGAUUUUAAGUUAUUGGUGUGUGAUUGUGAGUAUGUGUUAUUUAAACUUUUUGGAAGCAGAAAAAUAUUAAGAAGGUAAAAAAUAUAUUGAACACAAGAUUGACAUUAAUAAUUUCAUAUAAAUGAAUACUCAGUGGCUAAAAAACAUAAUAAACAUAAGAUUGACAAUACCAAUUUAAUACAAAUGAAUAUUUAGGGGUAAAAAAAUUAAAUGUACUUUGGAAUCUUCAAAGAAAAUGAGACAAUAUCAACAUUAAUUGCAAACCCAUUAGAAAUCCAUUAAAAGCUCGUUACAAAUCCCAUUAUAAAGCCAAAAAAGCCCAAAAAAAUGCAUAUAGGUUUUUUCGGUUUUUUGCAUAAAAAACCAAACUGAAACCGGACCGAAACAGGUUAGUUUGGGCUGGUUUCGGUUCGGUUUCGGGUCUUUUUUUUGGGUUUGGUUGUUUGUUUUGGGUAAAAACCAAAUCGAACCGAAAAUGAUCACCUGUAAGUUUAAUACCCUCACUUGAACAUAUACUUAUUGGAGGCAUGAGAAAUUCAUUCCUUAUUUUUUUUAUAUCACGAUUUACAUGUUAUGAUAAAACAACAUUGAAGAUUUUUUUUUUAUCAGGUUUCAUGAAAUAAUUUUUCAUAGGGAGAAAUUCAUAUUAAUAUCUUUAAGAUAUAAGUCAAAUAAAUUUAAUUUUAAAAUUAAUUUGGGGUAAUCAAUAUUGGUUGAGGUUAUUUUGAUUUUGUAAUUUGCAGCCAAAAUCUGCUAAUGUAAUUGUGACGAUUUAAUUAGCCCACAUUUAUUAUGUAGGUGUGUGGCCUUUGUGUUUUUCAACUUUUAUCCUAUUUUAUGUUGUAACAAUCAAAUUCUUUUAAAAAAAGAAAUCAAAUGAAAAAAAUUAGUUAUUUAGGUUACGUUUAGGUAAUAUUUGAUUAUAGAAAAAUAUAAAAUAAAUCAAUAUUUAUAACAGUUUUACAGUAAAUUUACAUACUUCAAAAAAAUAAUAAAUACAAGGAGACACGUCUUUUUUAUUUCUACCGUCUCUCUUCUUCUUUUUUUUCUUUUUUCUUUUGGUGAUAGUAACCAAACACAAAUUUAGUAAUGAAUCUUAAUACUCUCUCCCCCUCCACACGUAGCAUGAAGGCUGGAACCAUUACGUAUUAGGUGGAGGAGAAAUAUAUUCCUCGUUUUUUCCAUGAAGACUCAUGAAUCUUAAUGAAAUUAUGAAGAAGAAUUUAUUUGAUCAAGCUUCACACACACAUUUUAUAACAAGAAUCUCAUUAGAUAUAAGUGUCCAUUUUACACAACUAUUAUUAAAAUGGUACUUAUCAUCAAGCCAUGGGGCAUAUGAGUUGUAUUAUUUCGUUGAUUUAUAGUUUCUAAGAUAUGUCUCCACAAGAUAAAGCCCUUAAAUAAUUCUCUAUGGAGUUCACCAUGGGGAGAAGUUGCUUGAGUUCAUAAGUCUUAUAGUGGGCCUCUUGUCUUGGGUUCCUAUUUUGGUUCCAUCGUGGGGUGACUGAUGAUGUUGAAUUUAGUCCAAAUAGAAAAAUAUUUUUUUUUCAUUGAUCCUUUUGAUUUUUUAUUUUAUAUUUGGCAUAAUUUUUAAUUCUUGUUGAUCAUUAUAAUAGAAUAAUAUGUUAAUAUUGACAUGUUAACAAUUCUCCAAAAAGUUAUAUAUGUGUGUGUUAUGGUAAAUGAAAAAUUUUGUCUGCUAAAAAAAUCAGUUUUAAAAUAGAGCUAUGUUUUAUUUUAAAUACAAAUUUGUGUCUAUUAAAUAACACAGAUACCCUUUUUUCUGGAAGUUCACACAACAAAUACAGAAGAUAGAUAAGUCAAUAUUGUUCUUUUGAGAGUUCUAUAAAAUUACAUUUGCAGCACCAUAGCUCAAAGACAUGAAUCUCUGUGAAACCAAUUAUGUCGAGGUGAACAUGUAAUAGGUAACCAACCUUGCCUGAUGCAAACAUGAAGAACAAAGACCAUCCAGGAAUACCGCAUAUGUUGAUUUAAUUCAACCAUUUAAAGUUAAAGGAGAAGGAGAAAACAUAAAUAACCACCUCAAUCAUAAUGACCACAUUUAAAUUAUUACCUGAAAGAAUUAAUUAUUAGCCCUCCAUCAUCUCCCUUUUCCUCUUCCUCUUUCUCUUCCCACCCAUUAUUUCGGGUCCACAUUCUACAAGUGUUGGUUGGCAAGGAGCAACCAGUGCUUGAAUCCUCAGCUACUUGAGAUACCUGCAAAACCAAUUCAAGCAUGGCAUACGCAUUCUAACUUGUAAGUCUUAUUAUUGAGAAGAAACAAAAACACUAUGAAAUCAAGUCCAGUAAGCAGCACCUCUGAUUGAGCACUCAUUGAACCAUUUGAUGUAGUAGCAAAUUUUGUCGUCAACUUUGGGCAUUGACGCACCUCCAACAUCCACAAAUGAGGGAAUAAGAAAUCAUAACAUCCAUGACUGAAGCAUACAAUACUUGGUAAUUUUUCUAGAAACAGCCAUUGCAGAUUAUGGAGCACCAUCUCCUUCUCAACAUCGACUGGUGAGGCAUGACUCUUUAACUUGUUGUCUUCUAUGAUUUCAUUUGAACAUGAAUUGGGGAAGCAUAAAGAUUGGUGACAUCUUCCUAACAAUAUCUUAUUCUUUUCAUCAUCAAUAUCCUUAGCGAUGAUUUGCUCCAAUUCCUCACAGUUUGAUAUCUUUAGAUAAUUCAGUUGAACAAGAGUAGCAAUCAUACUGUCUGUAAAUAUAUGUGUCAGUCUCUUACACUCAUUCACAACCAAAGUGGUCAAAUUGCUCGGCACGAGACCCUUCCAUAUACACCUCAUGUCAGGCAAUAAGUUCAAGUGUAAUUUUUCCAAACUCAAGAGUGAAAGUUCAUGCCCACCUCUUAUAUUAGUUACCAAACUCCCAACCUGCAUUAAAUCCUGUACUCCUUCGCAGUUUCUAAUAUAUAUUUCUUUUGAAUUUAUAAAUACCUGCAUCAAAAGAAAACAAGGGUACCAAUUUGUUAGAAGUAAUUCUUAGUAAUUAUUGUGAACCUUUGGAACUAAAUGUUGAAGUUUGGUACCUAAGCUAGAACAGGAUUACUUAACAGUAAUCUACUGCAUGAUUAUCUAGUUGUUAGCUGAGAUUACUAUCUAGAUUAGGAUAUGUUUUUGAAUUCUUUUGUUGAGUUUAUCUAGGAUUAAACUAACUUGUAAACAUCUCCUUAAACAAAGGAGAAGUUGGCUGGUACGUUUCUAGAGUUUAUUUUUCUUUGUAAUUCUGUUUUCUUUUCCUAUAAAUAAAAGGGCAUGGGAUGGCAGUAACCAAUAACUCAAUUCUGCUCUUUGUUCUUUAUACUUAAAUACUAAGUUCUGUGUUCUUUCUUUUGUUCUUUCUAUCGUGGACUUAGUUCUUUGUUCUUUUCUCUUUUAUCAGCAAACAUAAGGUUGUUCUUUAUAUUUCUACAAUUGGUAUCAGAGCAUCCUUAGGAUCUUUGAAGGGCUUUCUUGUGAGUGAGAAAGACGAGAGUACAAAGAGGAUAAAUCAAAUUUUUUACUUUGAGGGUUGGUGAGUGAAAAACACGAGAGAAUAAAGUGAGUUUUUUUUAAUGGAUUCUGCAAGUUUUUCACCAAAAACACCAUUGUUUACGGGACAAAAUUUUGGUGUGUGGGCUGUAAAAAUGGAAACCUAUCUCAAAGCUCUUGAUUUAUGGGAGAUAGUGGAAAGUGAUAGGCAACCUACUCCUUUAGGUAACAAUCCCACAAUUGCACAGAUGAAGUUCUUUAAUGAAGAAAAGGCAAAGAGAUUCAAAGCUCUUUCUUGUCUUCAUAAUGCUGUAAGUGAAGACAUCUUCACAAGGAUCAUGGCAUGCAAAUCUGCCAAGGAAACAUGGGAUAAAUUAAAAGCAGAGUUCCAUGGUGAUGAGAAGUCAAGAAGGAUGCAGAUUCUGAAUCUGAGAAGACAAUUCGAAGGUCUGAAGAUGAAAGAAAAUGAGAGCAUCAAAGAUUUCUCUUCUCAAAUUUUGAAACUUGUGAAUCAAGUAAGACUUUUGGGAGAAGAUUUUCCAGACUCUAGAAUUGUAGAGAAAGUCCUGGUGAGUCUGCCAGAAAAGUUUGAACAUAAAAUCUGUUCUUUAGAAGAUUCAAAAGAUUUUUCUGAAAUGAGCUUGCAAGAACUAGUAAAUGCAUUGCAAGCUGUGGAGCAAAGGCAAGCAUAUAGACAAGAAGGAUCAAGUGAAGGAGCUCUUGUAGCAGUUUACAAAGAUAAGAGUCGGGCUAAGAACAUCUUCAGAAAUAAUCAAGAUGGAAAAAGAGAAAAAGGGAGAAGCUGGAAAUCUGCUAACUGGCAACAGAACAUCAAUAACAGCUUCAUGAGGGGGAAAGAGAAGAAAGAGCAUUUUCCUGCUUGCAAAUACUGUCAGAAAACUAAUCAUCUUGAAGCCUGGUGUUGGCUCAAGAAUGCUCAAUGCCGAAACUGCAAGCAAUUUGGGCACAUCCAAAGAUUUUGCAAAAAUAAAACAGAAACUGAACAACAAGCUCAAGUAGCCGAUUGUUCAGAAGUCAAAGAAGAUCUUUUAUUCAUGGUCACAAUUCAGGACAUGUGUAAUUCAGCAGAGCCAAAGGACUCAUCAUGGCUCAUUGAUAGCGGCUGCACUAACCAUAUGACAGCAGACUUAAACUUAUUCAGAGACUUGGAUAAAAGCUACCUAUCUAAAAUCAGAAUUGGCAAUGGAGACUUUGUGAAGGUUGAAGGAAAAGGAGCAAUUGCAGUAGAAACACUGUCAGGUACAAAAAUUCUUAAAAAUGUUCUUUAUAUGCCUAAGAUCAACCAAAAUCUAGUUAGUGUGGGUCAAUUGAUUGAAUCUGGCUAUUCAAUAGUCUUUAAUGAUGGAGUGUGUGACAUUAAAGAUAAAAAUGGAGUACUUUUACUUUCUGCAAAAAUGAUGAACCGAAGUUUUAAUGUUAACUGGAAGGAAGUUUGUUUGAGUGCCAAUACCUAUGAGAACAAUGAAUCUGUUCUUUGGCACAAAAGGUUGGGACACUUCAAUUAUGCAACUCUAAAAAGAAUGGCUGACUAGCAGAUGACUCACGGGUUACCAGAUAUUCAAGAACAACAAAUUAUGUGUGAAGCUUGUCAGCUGGGAAAACAAACCAGAACUGUUUUUCCUGACAAUGCAUAUAGGGCAGUGUCUAAACUCCAGCUUGUACACACAGAUGUGUGUGGACCUAUGCACAAUGAAUCAUUAAAUGGUUCAAAAUACUUUCUUCUAUUUAUUGAUGAUUUUAGUAGGUACUGCUGGGUUUACUUUCUAAAAUCCAAAGCUGAUGUGUUUGCUGAGUUUGUUAAGUUCAAGGCAGCAGUUGAACUAGAAACAUGAAACAAAUUGAAGAUAUUGAGAUCUGACAAUGGAGGAGAGUAUACCUCUCGACAAUUUGAAGAAUACCUUGCUAAAGAAGUGAUUAAACACCAGCUGACUGUUCCCUACACACCACAGCAGAAUGGUGUCAGUGAAAGAAGAAACCGAACAUUGAUGGAGAUGGCAAGAUGCUUGCUAUAUGAGAAGAAGCUGCCAUUGAAUUUCUGGGCAGAAGCAGUAAACACAACAUCAUAUCUUAUAAACCGAAUGGCUUCAAGAGUUUUAGCAGAUAAAACUCCUUAUGAACUCUGGUAUGGUUUUAAACCUAGUAUUGAUCAUUUAAAGGUGUUUGGUAGUAUUUGUUAUGUUUUGAAACCUGAAGUUAGAAGAAGAAAACUUGAUCAAAAGGCUGAUAUAGGGAUCUUUAUAGGCUAUAGUACAACAUCUAAGGCUUAUAAAGUUUAUGAUGGCUAUAGAAAUGUCAAAGUUGUAGAAAAUGCUACUUGGGAUUGGAAAAAUUCAUCAGGUGAAGGAUCAAAACAGAUACAACAAGAUGAUUUGGAUGUUGCAAACAUGAUUGAUCAACAAACAGAUGUUGCUGGGAAUAUUGAGCAACAAACUGAGUGGGAUGCUGCAGAGAAUAUUGAUGAUCAACCAGUAAAGGGGACAAGAUCUCUAUCAGAUAUCUAUAGCAGGUGCAAUGUAGCUGAGGCAGAACCUGUAGAUGUUGAAGAAGCUAUGAAUUCUCAAGUUUGGAUAGCAGCAAUGAAGGAGGAGCUUGCAAUGAUAGACAAAAAUCAAACAUUGAUGCUAGUUGACAGACCAACUCAUAAGAAGGUAAUUGGAGUGAAAUGGAUUUUCAAAACAAAAUUAAAUGCAGAUGGUAAGAUCAACAAGCAUAAAGCCAGACUUGUAGUGAAAGGAUAUUCACAAGAGGCAGGGAUCGACUUCACAGAAACUUUUGCUCCAGUUUCCAGACAUGAAACAAUGAAGCUCCUACUUGCUCUAGCAGCACAAAACGGUUGGUAUAUACUUCAAUUGGAUGUUAAAUCUGCAUUUUUGAAUGGUGUGCUAAAUGAAGAGAUUUAUGUUGAGCAACCUGCUGGUUUUGAAAAAUCAAAUUCAACAAACAAAGUUUAUUUACUGAAGAAGGCAUUGUAUGGAUUGAAACAAGCUCCUAGAGCUUGGUAUAGCAGGUUGGAUAAUCAUCUUUUAAGCUUGGGAUUUAACAGGAGCAUGAAUGAGGUAACUUUAUAUGUGAAGCAUGCUGAAGGACAUAAACUCAUUGUAUCAGUUUAUGUUGAUGAUUUGCUAAUCACAGGGGACAAGGAGCAGCUUGUAGAGGAAUUCAAAACCAAUAUGAAAGACGUGUUUGAGAUGAAAGAACUUGGUUUGUUGACAUAUUUUUUAGGAAUGGAAGUAACUCAGUCUGAUCAAGGUUACUUUCUUUGUCAAAAACGUUUUUCCUUGAAAAUACUGGACAAUUUUGCAAUGAGCAAAUGCAAGCCAGUAAGCACACCUAUGAUACAGGGGCUGAAGCUAAUGAAAGAAGAUGGAUCUCCAAAAGCUGAUGGGAAAGUUUACAGGAGUCUAAUUGGGAGUUUGCUAUAUUUAACAGCCACACGUCCUGACAUUCAAUUUGCUGUGAAUUAUCUUUCCAGGUUCAUGCAAGAGCCAAGUCAAAACCACUUUGUGGUAGCUAAGAGAGUAUUAAGAUAUUUGAGAGGGACUGCAGGUUUUGGCAUACAUUUUGUGAAGUUCAGCUCAAUCAAUCUUGUUGGAUUUUCAGACAGUGACUGGGGAGGAAGUGAUGAAGGAAUGAUGAGUACUUCAGGUUACUGUUUUGCUGUGGGAAAGAGUGUGUUUUGCUGGAAUUCAAAGAAACAAUCGGUGGUGGCACAUUCUACAGCAGAGGCUGAAUAUAUAGCUGCUUAUGUAGCAGCAAAACAACUUAUAUGACUGAGGAAAAUGCUAAGUGACUUAGAUUGCAAUCAACAAAAUCCCACAACAUUGUUUUGUGACAACACAUCAGCUAUAGCUAUUUCUAAAAAUUCUGUUUUUCAUGAUAGAACCAAGCACAUGAAGAUCAAAUUUCAUGCAAUCAGGCAGUUUCAGCAAGAAGGAGAAUUGGAACUAUGCUACUGCACUUCUGAAGAUCAACUAGCAUAUUUUUUCACCAAACCGUUGGCUAAAACCAGGUUUGAAGAUCUGAGGGCAAGAAUUGGAAUGACUAGCUUUGGAACCAAGGAGGAGUGUUGAAGUUUGGUACCUAAGCUAGAACAGGAUUACUUAGCAGUAAUCUACUGCAUGAUUAUCUAGUUGUUAGCUGAGAUUACUAUCUAGAUUAGGAUAUGUUUUUGAAUUCUUUUGUUGAGUUUAUCUAGGAUUAAACUAACUUAUAAACAUCUCCUUAAACAAAAGAGAAGUUGGCUGGUACGUUUCUAGAGUUUGUUUUUCUUUGUAAUUCUGUUUUCUUUUCCUAUAAAUAAAAGGGCAUGGGAUGGAAGUAACCAAUAACUCAAUUCUGCUCUUUGUUCUUUAUACUUAAAUACUAAGUUCUGUGUUCUUUCUUUUGUUCUUUCUAUCGUGGACUUAGUUCUUUGUUCUUUUCUCUUUUAUCAGCAAACAUAAGGUUGUUCUUUAUAUUUCUACACUAAAAGAGAGGCAAGAAAUCAAGUCAAAUCAGCAGCACCUCUGAUUCAGCACCCAUUGAACCAUUUGAUGUAGUAGCAUGUUUUGUGAUCAGCUUUGGGCAUUGACGCAUCUCCAACUUCUCCAAACGAGGGAAUAAGAAAUCAUAACAUCCAGGAAUGAAGCAUGCAAUACUUGGUAAUUGUUGAAGCGACAACUCCUGCAGAUUAGGGAGCACCAUCUCCUUCUCAACAUUGACAGGCGAAGCAUGAUCAUCCUGCCCAAAUACUCCCAAUAAUUGAGAGGAUUCUCUUAUUUCAAGUAUUUGGAGCUUUGGGAGACCUGAAGCCAUGGCUAUUGGGAAGAGACUCUUCAACUUGUUGCAUCUUUUGAUUUUAAGUUGACACAAAUUAGGGAAGCAUAAAGAUUGGAGAUCACUUCUUGACAAUAUCCGGUCCUUUUCAUCAUCAUUAUCCUUUGCAAUGAUUUGCUCCAAUUCCUCACACUUUGAUAUCUUUAGAACUUUCAGUUGAACUAGACUAGCAGUCAUGUUGUCUGUGAAUGCAUAUGUCAGUCUCCUACACUCUUUUACCUUCAAAGUAGUCAAAUUGCUCGGCACGAGACCCUCCCAUAUACACCUCAUGUCAGGCAAUAAGCUCAAGUGUAAUGUUUCCAAACUCACGAGUGAAAGUUCAUGCCCACCUCUUCUAUUAGUUACCAAACGUCCAACUUGCAUUAAAUCUUGUACUCUUUCCAUGUUUCCAAUAUAUAAUUCUCUCAAAUUCAUAAACCCCUGCAUCAAAAGAAAACAAGGGUACCAAUAUGUUAGAUUUAAUUCCUAGUAAUUAUUAUUGUGCACUUUUGAAACUAAACAAGAGGCAAGAAAUCAAGUCAAAUCAGCAGCACCUCUGAUUGAGCACUCAUUGAACCAUUUGUUGUAGUAGUAAAUUUUGUAGUCAGCUUUGGACAUUCAUACACCUUCAACGUCUCCAGACGAGGGAAUAAGAAAUCAUGACAUCCAAGACUAAAGCAGGCAAUACUUGGUAAUUGUAUAAGCAACAGCUCCUGCAGAUCAGGGAGCACCAUCUCCUUCUCAACAUUGACAGGUGAAACAUGAUCAUCCUGUCCAAAUACUCCCAAUAAUUGAGAGGAUUCUCUUACUUCAAGUAGUUGGAGCUUUUUGAGACCUAAAGCCAUGGCUAUUGGGAAGAGACUCUUCAACUUGUUGCAUUCUUUGAUUUCAAUUCGACACAAGUUGGGGAAGCAUGAAGAUUGAAGAUCACUUCCUGCCAAUAUCUGAUCCUUUUCAUCAUCAUUAUCCUUAGCAAUGAUUUGCUCCAAUUCAUCACAAGUUGAUAUCUCUAGAACUUCUAGUUGAACUAGACUAGCAAUCACGUUGUCUAUGAAUACAUAUGUCAGUCUCUUACACUUAUACACCACCAAAGAAGUCAAAUGGCUCAGCACCAGACCCUUCCAUAUACACCUCAUGUUAGGCAAAGGCAUGUAGACCAACUCUAAUGUUUCCAAACUUGUUAACCCCUGCAUCAAAAGAAAAUAAGAGUACCAAUUUGUUAGAUAUAAUGCCUAGUAAUUUUUGUGCACUUUGGAACUGUUAAUUUUGGUAAAUAGAAGAACCAAUUGUCCCCAAUACUUUAGCCAAAUACUUAUCAGCAAAAAGACAUAAAUAGAUAGGGCACUAGAAAUAGACAACUGAAACAGACAACUUAAUAUUCUAAUGUGGAGCUUUAUCGUCCUGUCCAGAUACUUCCAUUAAUUGGCGGAAAAGCCUCAAUUUCACUCAAAUUGGGAAAGCAUAAUGAUUGAAAUUAAAGGUCUCAUUUCAUUACAAUAAUUAUUUUCUAACUUUUUAAGCCCUGCAUCAAGAGACAGAGAAUGAUAUACUGAGACGACUACUUUUAAAUUCAAUGAAUAGCUAAAGUAUUUAAUAGCAUUUAUCAAUUACUUUAGUUUUAGAAAUUUGGUGGAAGAAAGAAGAAAUUAUCACAAUGUGUUGAAGUUGACAAUUUAAAUUAGAAAAGGAAAAAAAUUAGUGUAGAAAUAUAAAGGACGUACUUGGAGCUGUGCCAACAAAUUAUCCAAUUCUUCGUGGCCAUAGAUUCUUAGAUUUUGCAAAGAAGGCAAUUGGGCAGCAAAAUUCUUUGGAGCAAAGAAGCUGCAAUUUGAUAUGGAAAAAAGAGACAAUUUUCUUAGCUGAGGGAAGUUGAUGAUGUCAUCUGUGGUGAGUGCAUCUCCUUUUCCCCUGUAAAAUAUUUGCUUUAAAUUGCCAGCAUCUCUAAUCAUUAUCUCUUCCAGGUUCCCAAGACUUGGAGACACACAGUCAGGGAAGACAUGUUCCAAUUUACCACAUUCAGAUAUGAAGAUAGUUUUUAAUUUUGGGAAGCGAAGAGGCUCUGAAAUUAUUUCCCUUUCAUCAUCUUCUUCUCUGAUAAUAUGCUUCAAUUCACCGCAACUGAGUAUCAGUAAUUUUUCUAGAUGAAAAAGACUCUGAGCGAGGGACGGUGUGAAAAUAAAUGUCAGUUUGUGAAGAGAUUGCAACUCCAGAUGAAUAAGACUUUUAAGGCUGACAUGUCUGGUGGGCCCCUUCCAUAUACAUUUGAGCUCAGGUAACCAUUGCAGAUGUAACCUUGUUAAAGAUGACAGCAGCGGCAGCUCCUUCUCCUCGUUAAUUCCUUCAUCAGCCACACCCAAUUCAAAUACCUCUUCCAAUGAUUGGCAGUCUUCAUUUUGCUGGAAACAGAGUGCGAAUAUCCCCACAUCCAUUCACUUCAACAUGUUCUAAUCUUUUUAACAACUGCUCAAAUGUCUUUGCAUUUAAGGAUGUGGCGCUUGUCUUAUCCAAAUAUAAUACUGUCGAGGUUGGGUAUAUUGUUACUGGUACUUGUAACCCAUCCCCUAAUAGUAUAUCAUAUUUGAGCAAGCUGGGAAAAACAAAAUCUCUGGGAAUGCGUUCAACCUUCGGUAUCUUCAAUGAUAAUACAGCUAAAUGAGACAGCGAAUUUAGUUCUGUUAGACUUGCAUUCAUUCCUCCUGCGCUUGUCCCAACAACAUCCCAUGCCGUGAAGCUGUGAUGCCCGAUCAGCAGUUCUUCUAACAUCUUCAACCUUCCAAUCAAAUUCACAGGAAUCCUUGCUAGGUAUAUACAACCUGUCAAAUCCAACAACCUUAAGUCUUUGAGCUCCCCAAUUUCAUCAGGUAAUUCUUUAAUGGAGUCGCACCACAUGAAAACAAGAAUCUUAAGUCUUUGCAGCUUUCUCAACCGAAUGAGGUCCUUGCAUUCACACCCGAUCAACAGCAACGCUUGAAGGUUCGUUGAGAGUUCAAGUGAUUGCAAUGACAAACACCCUCCCUUUAGAGACAAAACUUCAAUUGCUUUCAUCCCUUCAAAAAACCUCUUUGGAACAUUCAAACCAUCAUCCAGUCCUAAUAAUAGAAUUUUGAGCCGUGGACACACCAACCCCUCAGGAAGUUCUGUUAGUUUAUUGCCCAUUAACGAAAUUGUUGUACAGGCUUCAAAGCUUUUAUUGCUCAUUGGCCACUCCUUCAACCCACUGCCAGCCUCUACCAUGAAUCCAUAUUCUUCUGAUGAUGCUAUCUGAAUAGCAACAUCACGAAACAAGUCAUGUAUUUUCACAUGUUCUGCAGUUUCAGUGCCCAACAACAUACAACAAGCUUUGAGGUAUUCGAUUUCCAUAUAAACUCGUUUCCUUGCACCUUCAAUGGACUUCACAUCUUGAUUUAACCCGUAGCCAACUGCAUAUCUCGUCAACUCCUCGAUUGGAAUGUCAUAAUCUUCUGGAAAUAAACAGCAUAUGCAUUUCUUCGGUCAUCAAAUUUUUCCAUGUGCCGAGAUUGAGAUUUUUUGAGUUCUUCAGAUGCUACUUCCCACUCAUUUUUAGAUUUAUCUAUUAGAGCCUUUCCCACUGCCACAAGUGCUAUAGGCAAGCCUUGGCAUUCUCUCGCAACCUCCUUUGCCACUCUGUUCAAGUCAGAGUCCUCAUCACGUAAACCUGCAUUGAUUUUGAAUAAAGUCCAUGCUUCAUUUUCAGAUAGGACUCUUAAAAACACUUUUUCCUGGCAAUCCAUAGAAGAACAUAUGUUUUCAAGACGUGUUGUUAGAAGAAUUUUACAACCCCUGUGAGCAUCACCAAAUGGGAUCCCUAUCUCUUUUAAGUUAAUAACUUUCCAAACAUCAUCCAGGACUAUAAGCAUCUUCUUCUCUGUCUUCAGUCUCUGCCAUAAUCGAUCUGCUCUCCCUUCUUUGGUCUUUUCGUCAAAAUGUAGACCUAAGCGAUCUGCCAUUCGAUCCUGAAUGUCUAUGACAUUUGGAUUCUGGGACAGUGUAGCCAUCAAAACUUCAUCCAACAGCUGCAACUCUUUGGCUCUCCUACCUACUUCUUUCCUAGGGUGGUUUUACCCACCCCUCCCAUGCCGUAUAGUCCGAUCAUAUUGGCAGUGUUAUCUUUGAGAGCUUUCAUAAUUUGUUCGAAAGCUUCUUUUGAGGAUUUCGAGGGUGUGAAUCCCUCUGAUGGAAGAAAUUCUAUGUCUUGAAGAGGUGCUUUGUGGGACACUUUUGGAAACUUUCUGCUAUUCCCUUCAAGUUUUCUCAAAGUCUCCGUCUUCUUUGCCAGUGCCUUGCUUAACUUGAAUUGUCGCAUCCAAUUUGGACACCAAGUAAAGCAUUUGCCAUUUUUUCCCUUUUCAUUUUCCAAACGAUUCACACCUUCAAUUUCGUUUUUUGCAUCUUCCAGCCAUUUGUUGACAUCAAUCUCAAUUUCUUCAGCAUUCCUUUUAGCAACGUCGACAGCAUCUUGCAGACGAUAAAGUGCCAAAGCCAGGCUCAUCAUUUGUUCAUUGACUUCUUGAACAAAAUUGUUGAAACAGAACAUGUAACGGAACUGCCUUAUUGCUGGUUCCACCAAGAGUUCUGCUAUCUUAGAUACAAUGGAUCCACCAGCACUUUCGAUAGCCAUUUUCCCUUAAUUUGUGAAAAUAUAUGCGGAAAGCUCUGGUACUGACUGCUCAAUAAUAAAAUAUAGAGGAACAAAAGGAAAAAGGCCUUUAGCUCUGUAUGGAAGCCAGCUUCAAAAGCAACAAGACAAGGUAAAAGUAGAACGAUAAACAAUUAAUCCCUUGUCCUAACACAACAAUUAUUUACACAAUAGUUCAUAGAUCAUUGUAAUCCCUUUGUCCCCUCAUCAAUAUAUCUAUCCACGCCAUGUGUUAAAAUUCACACUUACCCUAACAAUUAUUUACACACUAGUUCAUAGAUCUCUGUGCCUUUCCAUAAAAAAAGAUAGAAAUACAUUUUUUUUUCUCAAAACCAAUAAAAAUAUUUAUAAAAGAAUUUCAUUAGUGAAAGAUAGCAUAUCAUCAAUCUAAUGAAAAUAUUUAUAAAAGAACGACUUUACGUUAAAAAGAGGAGAAGUAUUAAAACAAAAUAGUUUACAUGGAUUCUAACUUGCGAGUUAGAGCAGCAAUUCCCAUAAACAAAUGCAAUUUGAUGACAUAAUUAAGAUACUAGGCAUAAUAUUAUAUAAAGAUAAUGAUAAACAAAUAGAAUAAUAAUUCUUACAAGUACUCACCUAGCAAAGAGAGAAAUGAAUGGAAGGUUGAUGAUGAUCACUUUGACACGAUACUACCUCCUCAUCGCUUCCAAUAAUUAAUCUAUAAGCUAUGAUCGGUCAAUGUUUUUUUCUUUUGUUUUUUUUUUUGUAAAAUUAUGAAUAAGGAGAUAAAAAAAGACUUGCAAGGAAGUAUAAUUAAUGGAACGAACUCAACAAAAUCUGUAAUGACUAUCUCUGCAACACCCACUCAAGAAAGUAAAAAGAAAAAGGAAGGAAAGAAACAAAGAUUGAAGGUCAACCACGGUUCUUUUUUCAAUGUUCAAGAAAACAAAGAAACGUAAAACAGGAGUUUUUUAAAACCCAGCUAAGUAUAUGGCUUAUUAUAUUAUGAAAUUUUUUGUUAAUUAAGAUUAUAUAACAGUUGAGUUGUAGAGCUGUAACUAAAAUUUUGUGUUAUAUGUAAAUUUUUGCAGAAUUGAAAAAUUUAUGAAAAUAUUGCUUAUACAAACAGAUUUGUACCCUAUAAAUAUAUACUCUUAAACCCAUAUUUGAAUUCUAUAUUCCUAAAUGAAGGAACAAUAAAGAUUAUUGCAUGUACAUAUUCUCCUUCAAAAAACAAAUAAUAAAGUCCUAUAUGUCAAUGAAGAUUUAAUUAUAACUUAGCGCUGUUAUUAAAAUUAAUUAUUUAAUCCUUGUAGUACUAUCAUAUAUAAUUAAACAUCUCAUUAACUAGUGUUAACCACCCUCAAUUUACUAUAUAUAUAAAAUACCUUCCUUCCUUAUGAAAUUUCCCCAACUGCCUGCUUCUCUUUUCCUUUUUUCUAUUUUUCAAGAAGGAAGAAAAAAAAAAUACUUGGAAAGGAACUUGAAAUUGACAGUACUAAACUAUAUAUAACUAAAAAUAUAAGAAUCAAACAUAUAGUUAUUGAAAUUAUGGAAUUGAUUAAUUAGUUUUUAUCAAGACUAAAUUAUUAUUUGUUAAGUGUGCUUUCUAAUAAAAAAAUUAAAUCGAGUAAGGGUUAACUCGAUAUGACCCGGUCAACUUAACAGGUCUAAAAAUAAAUUAGACAACCAUUUAAAAUAUAGUUUGACUAAAUAAAUUCAAGAGAAGAUGUUUUUUUAAAAAAAUAUUGAGACAAAAAUAUAUUGGAUCGACUUAGGUUAACUCGGGUUAACUUGCCAAAUCCACAACUCAGAUCAUGAGACCGGGAUAACCUCAUAAAAAGUAAAUCAAAACCAAAUAUGAAACUCAAUCCCUAAUUAAAUCAAUGUUGAAGGAUGAAAUUAAAAAAAAAACAAUUAAAAAAGAGACAAAAAAACUGGGUCAUGUGACUGAAAUAACUCCAUAGAAUGCAAUUGAAACAAAUUAUGAAACUUAAUCCCCAAUUAAUCAAAUGUUGAAGGAUGAAAUUGAAAAAAAUAUUAAUUAAAAAAUGACAAAAAAAGACCGGAGGCAACCCAAGUUAAUCUGGCAAACUUGUAACCCAAGUAAUGAGAUUGGAAUAACCUCAUAAAAAGAAAUAAAAUAAGAUAAAUAUGACAUCUGAUUCCAAACCAAUCAAAUAUUGAAAGAUGAAAUUGAAAAAAAUAUCAAUUAAAAAAUGAUAAAAAAAAAAGAAUCGAGGCAACCCAAGUUGAUAUGGCAAACUCGUAACCCAAGUUAUGAGAUUGGAAUAACUUCAUAGAAAGAAAUAAAAUAAGAUAAAAUAUGACAUCUGAUUCCAAACCAACCAAAUAUUGAAAGAUAAAAUUGAGAAAAAAAAAAGCCAACUAAAAAAUGGACAAAAAAAAGCUGAGUUAACCCGCGACUCAGGAUAAGCAAAUCCAACGUUGAAGAAUAAAAUUAACAAAGAUAAGAGAGAGAGAGAGAGAGAGAGAGAGAGACUAGAUUCAACUCAGGUUAACUCGCUAAACUUGUGACCUGGGUAAUGAGAUUCGGAUAACUAUAUAGAAAGUAAACAAAAAAAAAUAACGUGAGUCAACUUAGGUUAAACUGUCAAACUCGCGACCAAGGUCAUGAAUUGUGAUAAUCCUAUAGAAAGUAAAUUAAAAUAAAUUAUGAAGCUCAAUUUUUAAUAAACUUAUUGUGAAAGGUUGAAAUUAAAAAAAAAUCAAUCGAAAAACAUUAUACAAUAAGAAGACUUGAGCCUACAUGGCUUAACUCGCAAAACACUUGACCUGAGUCAUAAAACCAAGAUAACCUCAUAGAAAACAAACCAAAAUAAAUCAUGAAGCCUAAUUUAUAAUCAACUCAAUGUUGAAUGAUGAAAUUGAAAAAAAUACCAAUUAAAAAAGACAAAAAAAAAAUCUAACCCAUCAAACUCGUAAUACGAUUUAUGAAACUGAGCUAAUCAUGUAUAAAGCAAACCACGAUAAAUUAUUCAGCUCAAUCUUCAAUAAACUAAAUGUUGAAGUAUGAAAUUAGAAAAAAAAAACAAAAAAAAACACUAUUAAAAUGAAUAGUGUUUUGUGAGGUGGUAAAUAGUAAUUAAAUUCACCUCCUCUUUUGGUUUAUAGUGUAAAGAGACUGGGCUAACCAUAUAUAAAGUAAACCAUAAUAAAUUAUGAAACUCAAUCUCUAAUAAACUAAAAGUUGAAGUAUGAAAUUAGAGAAAAAAAUAUAGAUUUAGAAAAAGAGAAAACCAAGUAAAAAAACACACUAUUGACGAUACAAUUUCUUUUAAAAUUUAAGAUUUUGGUCAUUGACUUGAGAUAAAAAAAUAUUAAAAAGAAAUGAAAAAAAAAGACCUGGGUCAAACUUGGUAAACCUGUUGAAUCCAUGAUCUGAGACAUAAUAUCAUGAUAACUCUAUAGAAAAAAAUAAAAAUAAAUAAAGAAUACCAAUUUAAAAAUAAUAAUAAUAAAAAAUUCUUUUAAUUUUAAAAAAAUUCCUUUUAAAGAAGCGAAAUUUAACAAAGACCGGAAAAAGAACUCUGAGGCAGCCCUUGUUAUUUUAAAAAGAAAGAUAGAUACUAUAGAAAGAGAGUAAAAAAGAAUGUUAAAGGUUGAAAUAUGAAAAAAAAAAGUGCUAAAAAAAAGAAACAAAAACCAAAGAAGCCCGAGUGAACCUUGUAAACUCGGGAUAAACUCUUAAAUCCGCAAUCCAUUAAUUUCUUGACCUGGGCUCAAUGCAGGAGCUCAACACCUAAAAAAUUAAAUAUUCAAGGAUGAAAUCAAUCAAUUUAAUUCAAUUUAAAAAUAAAAUUUCUUCAUAAAAACUAAAUUUAACAAAAACAAACCAAGGCAACCUGUGUUAUUUUCAAAAAGACUAAAAAAAUACCAUAUAAAGUGAAUUAAAAAAUAAUAAAAUGCUGGAGGAUGGAAAAAAGGAAAAAAAACAGGGGUCAAUAUUUUAAACCCGCAAACCAUUAAAUUCUAGACCCGGACUCAACUAAAAAGCUAAAGACCCAGCUAAUUAAAUUUUAGAGGAUGAAAUAAUAAAAAAAUCAAUCUAAAAAAAAUCUUGCAAGGUAAAAAAAAAUACAAUAAUAAAAAAGGAUUAGAUUUGACAAGAAAAAAACUAAAGAAUAAUGAAAUUUUAAAAAUAAAAACAAUUAUAAAAACCAUCUAAAAUUGAAAACAAUUUUUAAUUUGAUAAACUAUUUUAAAUAUAAAAAAAUCCAGCAAAGAGAACAAGGAUAAAAUUGAAAAAACCACAUAAGUUCAUAAAGUAUUCUAAAUUUAAAAAAUUGUAAUAAAGAUAAUAGGGAUGAAAUCAUAAAUACAACAAACUUUAGGGACUGAUUGAUUUUUUAAUUCCAACAUGAAAAUUGAGUAGGAGAGAGGGGAAAAGAAAAAAAAAAGGCUACACAUGCCACACUAGCUGCUAUAGUGCUACAUGCGCCGCUGAUUCAUGGAGGGUACAUCAAGAUCCUUUAGAAGACGCCUUGGAAUCAUGGUUUUGGCUAUCGGAUGGCGUCGCACACGCCGUUUGAAGAUGGCAAACAUUGUUCACCCAUUUUUUUUAAUUUCAUUUCCUUAUUUAUCAAAUUAUAUUAUUGUCUCCAAUGACACCCAAUAACUACCAAAUGACCACUUCUAAAUGACAAAACAAGCCUUAGUGUCAGACAAUUGUUUUAAAUUUUCAAGAGCAAUGAAGGAACUUGUUGAAAAAUCAUGUCAAGGACUAAAAAGACCCUAGACCCAAGUGAUUUUUUUUUUGUUUUCCAAGGAUAAUUAAUAAAUCAUAUUGUGCAAAGAAAAUGCAAAAAUACCAUCUAAUCCCUCUCUUUUAAGUAAUGACCAAUGUGUCCCAUGAAAAAGAUCAGCAUGCCCCUAGAUCCAAGGCAUGCUACUUUGCCCAUCAAAAGGUAAAAUCAACCUUUUACCAUGUGAAUCUACAGUAAAAGGCUGAUCUUUUUUAAUAUAGAGUAUAAUAUCAAGGAAAAACUCUUUUUUUUUUCUUUUUCUAAACAAGAGUAAUUGAAUUCUAGCUUAACAAAAACACCGAACUUAUUUACUCGAUUGAGAGCCUUUAUCGGAUAAGCCAUUAAGCUGCUAAGUACUUGUUAGGCUUUUACAAAGACAUAUUGAGUGCAUUGUUUUAAAACCUGACAUAGGUUGACUCAUGAUUUAGGUAAUUUGGGGUUUAAGUCGGGCUAAGUUUAAUUCAAUAAAAAUAGAAAAAAAAAUUAAUCUCGUGUUAACUCGAUUAAAAACUCGAGGUGACCCGAUCAUUCUAGAAAAACUCAAUCAAAACUUAUUUAUGAAUACACCUGUUUGAGUAUCAAUGACAUAAUCUAAAUCCUAAUCAAGUAUAGGUCCGAAUUCUUUGUACGUUGUCUAAAUUUGAAAAGGAGUUUCAAUUCAUUUAAUAACAUAUAUACAUGGUUCAACUGUUGGAUCGUUUGUGUUUAUUAAUAAGAAGCUUAUGCUGUAUAGGACAUUGCCAAUUUUAUGGGUAAGAAUAUGAAGCAUACUAUAAGCUAAAUUUAAGUUAUAUAGGGUAUUAAUUACUUUUAUAAUUUGAUGUAAGUUAUUUUUCAAUUGUUUACUUAAAAAAAAUUAUAAGUAUGUUUAGUUGGAAAUCAGAAGGUUAUUCCAAAUUUGAAUAAAAAAGUUAAUAUUUUUUAACUUUUAACCUAUCAGUUAUAACUCAUGUUACAUUUUUCAUUAAAACAAGUUAAUUUAAAUCAUUUUUACCAAACAUCUUUAUAACUUGAAGUUAUUUUUUUUCAUAAGUUAUUUAUGAAAAAUAAUUUUUGGAUUAUGACAUAAACCAAAAAAAAAAUCAUAAUUUAAAAAUCUUACCGAACAGACUUCUUAUUUCCAACACAGAACAAAAUGCUUAUGAAAAAAACCAAUAGCAUGAAGAGAGAUAGGGACUAGUAAUAAGCUGGUUGGGGGGUGUGAUUAGUACUUAAAAGUGUAUUUUUAUCAAGGUUUUAUAUCAUCACUUUGCACUUAAAGUAUCAAUAACUCCUUAACUAGAGCAUGUUUUAUAAUAACAAGUCUGAUAAUAUAAGAUACCUUUAAUUUAUGGUAAAUGCUCAUUUUAAACGCAGGCAUAUCUCACAAUUCAAAGGAUUGAUUGUUGUGAUUAACUAUUGAAAGUGAAAGGACAAAGAAAAGGCUAAGCUGAGAAAGGAGAUGCCGAUAGGCUAAGCUUAGAAAGGAGAUGUCGAUUCAAUUAAAAUUCGAACAUUGUUCAGUCAUUUGGUAAUAUCUAGAGCUAUAGAUCUUGGAUUUCAGUUUGGUUUAUAUGGCUGGAAAGAUAGAAAUAGGCCUACAACUUUCAUGAAUAGGGAAAGACCCAAAUUUUCCGUUUUCAAAUUCAAAGUUUGGCCACAAAAGAGAAGUCAGAAUCUGUCCUGCAAUCCAGCCUAGACAAUGCUCAGAAUUUUACCCAUAGCUGGAGUUCUAGAAGGCCAAAUAAAGUGAAAUUUGGUGGGUGGAAGGAAAAGACAAUUUCAAAUAACUUUCAUGAGGAAAACCUGCUCAAAGUCUAAUGGUAGAAAUGACAUUUCAUCCAGACAAGAGCUUGAGGGCUAUUCACCACGUCCACCAGCAGCACUACUCUGUAUUUUAGACAUAUCUUGAGCUGUAAUGUUCCAAAUGCUCUGAUAUUUGGUGGGUGGAAGGAUAAGAUGAUUUACAACAACUUUUAUGAAGAAUACCGUGCCAAAUUCUGAUUGCAUCAAUGCCAUUUCAUCCAACCAAAAUGCUUGAGUGCUGCUGUCCACCAAGUCCACUAAAUCAAUAGUUGGCCACUACAUCAAUAAUCAAUUACCAAAUGAAUAGUUCUGAAUUUUAGCCUAUAAAAGGAGAUAUUUGCCAUUCAUUUAAGCAUCUUGGUUUUCAGAUCAAGAUCAUGUUCUUGCUCUCUUUGUAUUUUGUAGUGUUCAAGUUUUAUUCCAUGUUAUAUUUUCCUUAAUCUCUUGUUUAUGCUUUUCAUUUCCUUUACUAUACUUAUAUAAUUAUGUUCUUAUUUUGUUUAUUUAUUUCUUCUUCAUAAUGUCUAGCUAAGUUAAUUAUGUCAAGGUGAAAAGGUUUCAGUAAUGGUGUUAGGAUAAGUAUAAUAUAAACUCAAUAUGGACUUUAAUGCUUAUAUCCUAAACAACUUGCUAUUAACAUGUCUUAUCAUUUGUAUCUUAUUAAUUAUUAAUACCUUGCUUGUUAAAUGGUUAAUCGAGAUUUGUGUUGUAUAACACCUGGUACAUCAAAUGCUUGAUCCUUCAUAGUCUUCGGCCAACAUCGUUGUUAUGAGAGGAACUUGAUUUGUUGUCAACAUAAGUUAGCAUCAUAAAUAUCUAAUAAAAUUUAUAAGUAUAGUGUUAUGUAAAUAAGAUGAUUAAUAUGAUCAUGUUGAUAAUUUAUAAAGAGUUUAUACUUUACUUAUCUUUAAUACUAUUACUGGAUCCUCUAACCUUGAUAUUUGUUUUUAUCAUUGUUUAAACCUCAUAUUAAUCUUACAUCUCAAAGUCAUCUUUAACUCAUCAUCACCACCAUCAUCAUCAUUGUUGUUCUUAUUAUUAUUAUUAUUAUAAAUUAUUUAUAAUUUAUAUAGUUAACCUCCCUGUGGUUCGACCCCGGUCUUGCCGGGUUAUUUAUUACUUUGAUACUCCUGCACUUGGGAUAAGACAUCAACUCUUUGAUUGUAUCAAAUUGUCAUGACCAAAAAUGGUCACACUCAGAUAACCGGAUACAGUGAUUCAGAUUGGGUUGGCAAUGCUAUUGAUCGCAAGUCAACCAUUGGCUAUUGUAUGUUUGUUGGUGGUAAUCUUGUCUCUUAGCGUAGCAAGAAACAACAUGCCAUUGCACGUUCUAGUGUCGAAGCUGAAUAUUGUGUCAUGGCAUCAGCUGCUUGUGAGUUAAUUUGGCUUAAAGGUCUCCUAUCUGAACUGGGUUUUAUAAGUAGCAUCCUUAUGACCUUGUUUUUUGACAACCAAGCUGCCAUGCAUAUUGCAGCCAAUCCUGUGUUUCACGAAAGAACAAAACAAAUUGAAGUUGAUUGUCAUUUUAUUCGUCAACAAGUUCAGUCUCAGAUUAUCCAAACUCAUUACGUCCGCAGUCAUGAUCAACUAGCUGAUGUGUUCACAAAAUCCCUGACCUCUGCUCAUUUUCACCUACUGUUGUCCAAGCUUGGAUCAAUUAAUCCCCUUGAUCCAGCUUGAGGGAGAGUAUUGGAAGAAGGUUAAAUAUUAGCCGAUUCUUUAGCAACAGUUGAUACGUAAAUGAUUAAUUAUAACAAUGCUUUUAGGAGAAAGAUAUGCAGUCCUUAUAAGAUAAAGAUUGUCUGUUAGAUUGUUAGUUUUCUUUAUAAUCAUAGACUUCUAUUCCACUUUUACUCACGCCUCUGCUGCGUUGUCUAUAUAUAUAUAUAUAUGAUACAUUACAUAAUAAAGAUUACACUGCAUUCCAAAGCAGCAGCUCUGUUCUCAAUAUUGUUGAUUCUCUAUUCUUUCUUUUCUUCAUUUCAAGAAUUCAAGUACACAGGACUUGACUAGUUCUCCUCUUUUAGGAAUCUUGAAACAUGAUUACAGAAUCAAAGUGAAGCAUUGAGGUCAAUUCUGGGCUUCUUUGUAACUAAUGGAGAUGGAACAGUGAAGUUGCAACUAGGGCACUUGGGAUUUGUCUUCAAUGUAAUCACAUAUAGCAAGCAACCAGGGCAAGCAGCAGCAAAUACUCCUGUUGAAGAGAAUGUAGUGCUAAUCUCAUCUUCUUUAAUGUCACUGGCUGGUGGGGUUGGUGGUGGUCUCUCUCUGCUCUUUGCAAAGCAGAAUUAACCUUAUCAAGAGUGCAAACACUUUCACAAUGACUUGAAGGUACAAGUUUUAAUUCCAAGCAGCUUUCUUCCAAGAACCUCAAUGGCGGAGACUUGGAAUCUUGAACCUCUGAUUCUUGGGUGGUUCUCUGUUUGUGAUGAUGCUUCGUGAUGUUAAGGGAUGGUAAUGACGAGCUUACAGAAUUGCAUCUCUGCGAGUAUACCUUCUCUGUAGACUGCAAGAACAUCCCAAUUCAUCAACAAUAUUAUUUGACUACAGCCAAAAACAAGAACACUCAGUUCUUCUACACUAAAAAAUAAAAGAUUUAUGUUUCGCGGCUACUGAAAAAUAUGUAUUUAAUCGAAAUGAUGACCAGAAGCCUAAAUUCUGUACAAAAACUGUUCAUCAAUAUGAGAGAAACUAUCAAGAUUGUUUCUUGGCUAUAAAAAAGAUUGGGGAUAAAACCAUAUAUACCUUUAAAUUAACAGGCACAUCCCAAGUUUUUGUGGAGCAGUUGCCAGCCGAUGCACAGUUCUAUAUCGACUUUGAUCUUCAAGUGCUUAUGAAACUUGACCAUGUUUCAUAACAAUCAUAGUUAUACCACGUGUAAUCUUUAAAAAUCAUUUACCAUGAGAGAAGACACAUUUUUUAAGUUUUUGCAUCAAUUUUUUUUAUGCGAUGAAUCCAUUCUAAAAUCAAAUGCAUAGAUAUUAAACAAUGGUUUGAUAAUUUAUCUACACAUAACUUAGUUUAAACUAAGUUUUAUUUUAAAUUGAUUUAUAAAUAAAUCUAAAUAAAUUUAAAUUGAUUUGGUUAAAUCUAAACAAUUUAAUUUAAUUAGACUUGAUUGGUUUAAAUUAUCUUUAAUUUUUUUAAAGAUUGUUUUUUAUGUCUAAAACUAUAUUAUUUUAUUAAAUACUAAAACAACACUAUUUUAAGUUUAAUUUCAUAACUAAAAUUUUCAUCAGCAAACUUUGAAAAGUAAUCGGUGGUUAUUAUUAUUUUUUAAAAUGCUUUUCACCUAAAAAUAUAAUAAAAUAAUAUAUUUUUUAUUUUAUAAAAUCUAAUUUUAACAUAAAAAGAUUAAAAACAUAAAUAAAUAAUUUAAAAAUAAAAAAAUAAAUUUCCACAAAUCUUUGGCUUAACAGCACUGCUAAUCAGGUGUAAAUUACCCUAAGAGUCUAUCUGGGAGUGUGAUUGCGGUUAUUUUUCAAAGUAUUUUUUACUUAGAAAUAUAUAAAAAUAAUAUUUUUUUUAUUUUAAAAAAAUAUUUUUAAUAUUAACACAUUAAAAUAUUUAAAAACAUAAAAAAAAAACCAAACAAAAAAAAUUAAAAAACUAAGCUCGGAAAUGCUAAAUGAAUAAGGAUAAAAUAGACUUCUUUACUAGGUGGUCGUGCCGUCGUGGUAGCUCACAAGGUCUUUGGAGACGAAAGAGAUGAAUGAAUAAGAAGCAGAGGUCUCUUUAAUGGCAGCCAUUCAAUGCAUUUUGUUCUCUUCUCUCACUACAUGCGCGUGCUUCUACGCAAUUCUUUCUCUUAUUUUAAAAGAUCUACACUCGUGAAACGCACGAGUAGCUAGCUGGUUGAGGGUUAUUACGAAAGUGGACACACCUCUGUCCUCCCAUUCAUUAAAGAUUAGAGUCGUAGUACAGGUUAUUCACAUGGAAUCAGGAAUUUCAUCAUUGCCGGCAUUAAUGAUCUCAUUUAUAAUUAUAGGGUUUCACCUAUAAUUAUUUUUCAUACACAGAAUCAUAAUUUUCGAGAAUUCAAGUACAUAGGACUUGACUAGUUCUCCUCUUUUAGGAAUCUUGAAACAUGAUUACAGAAUCAAAGUGAAGCAUUGAGGUCAAUUCUGUGCUUCUUUGUAACUAAUGGAGAUGGAACAGUACUGAAGUUGCAAGUAGGGCACUUGGGAUUUGUCUUCAAUGUAAUCACAUAUAGCAAGCAGCCAGGACAAGCAGCAGCAAAUACUCCUGUUGAAGAGAAUGUAGUGCUAAGCUCAUCUUCUUUAAUGUCACUGGCUGGUGGGGUUGGCGGUGGUGGUGGUGAUCUCUUCUUAGUCAUGGUCUCUUUCUCUGCUCUUUGCAAAGCAGACUUAACCUUAUCACUUUCAAUUUACAAAACGACGUGCAGCUCAAUCAAUGCCUUUAUUGCCUCCAGCCUUCAAAAAAUCAACUCAUUAGUUAGUUUCGCCCUUGGCUCGCGUACAAAUACAUCCACUUUAAAUGACAGCCACCGAGAUGUUUGACCUGUGGCACAUGAGCUUAGAAAAAGAAUUAUGUGUUGGAAUUUGAUAUUUUUUUUUUAGUUACAGUGGCUAUGGCUAAUAUGUAGCAUUAGGGUAUGUUUGAGUGUGUGGUUGUGAUUGUUUUUUAAAUAAUUUUUAUGCUGAAAUGUAUUAAAAUGAUUUUUUUUUAUUUUUAAAAAAUUAUUUUUAAAAUCAGCACGUCAAAAAUAUUUUUAAUUUUUUAGGAAUGCUGUUUGCACCGCGAACCGGUAAACCAAAGUAAUAGACUGUUACUUGUAAAAAGUUAUUUUUAGUAGAUAUGAGGAUUUUUAAAUGUUUAAGUAUCUACUUAGAGAGGUGAUAUUUUAGAAAAAUAAACUUUGAAAAUAUAUAUACUAAAAAUAUUAAAAAUAAAAAGAUUAUAAACCUUAAACUUUAAGUAUUCAUGGAGUAUUUAUAACUUAUAAAUUUUGUUUUUUUAUAAAGAGAAGUUAAAAAAUAAUUUUAUCUUUGUGAUAUAUUAAAUUAUAUUUCAUUUAAAAUAAUAUAUAUUAAAUUUAUAAAAUAUUGAAGAAUAUCCGUGAAGUCUUGAAAAAAAUUUGAAUGGAGUGUUGAGUUUAAUUGAGUUGCUUGAGCUUAUUAAAAAUAAAAAAUAAAUUAACACAUGCUACCUGAUCCAAAUAAAUUGUACCCAAGAUGCACACUCGAGCCCAUAAAAAUACUGGGAUGCAUGCCCAACAAGGUAAAUGGGUAAAGGCAACGCUUGGACCCAACCAAGAGCAGUUAGGCUUUUGGAAGUUUCAAAUUUUGGUUUAAAGCAAAUAGAAAGCAAUUAAAUUUCUAUUCAUUAGUCUUUUUCUUUCAUUGACUCGGUUUCUGGAGGUGCUGACUAGUUAUUUAUGGUGAAGUGAUUCUUUUCUUCUACUGAAAUUCUUGAUGUUUAGGCUGGGAAUAAAUUUAGCUCCUCUUGUCUACCUAGAAAAUUGAGGGAGGGAAAGUAGCUGAAACCAUUUAAGAUUUUUGUCAGUGUAGUUUAUUCGUUCACUUUCGUGUAGUUUCUGAGAUAGGCAGCGCUUGGACCCACCCCAAAGCAGUUAGGCAUUUGCGAGUUUUUUUUUAGCCAAUUAAAUUUUGGUCUAAAGCAAAUAGAAAGCUAUUGUUCUGUUGAUUGAUUUCUAUUCAUUAGUCUUUUUCUUUCAUUGACUCAGUUUCUCUAGGUGCUGACUAGUUAUUUAUGGUGAAGUGAUAAUCUCUUCUUUUCUUCUACUGAAAUUCUUGAUGUUUAGGCUGGGAUUAAAUUUAGCUCCUCUUGUCCACCUAGAAAAUUGAGGGAAAGUAGCUGAAAUAAUUUGAAAGCAUUUAAGAUUUUUGUCAGUUUAGUUUAUUCGUUUCACUUUCGUGUAGUUUCUGAGAUAGUACCAAAACAUUGUUAUGUGUUGAAUAAAUAAUUAACCACCAAUUAAAGCAGAAGUAACAUUUGUGUUUGAAUCCUGAGAAAAUUGAGUAGGAAAAUUUUGCAUUUUAUGAAGUUUUUUUGCUUAGUUGUGAUGAUUUAUUUUUUUGGAGGUCCCUAAAAGUGGAAUAAUGGUCCCUAACAGUGCCUUUUUGAAACUGCUCAAUUACUUGUUCUCUACUUGUCCGUUCAAUUGACUUCCUACAACCACAUGCCUGUAUUAGAGCUUUCUCUACUAGUGAAGAUAGCAUCAAAUGAUGAGCUUGUUAUUGUUGUUGAUUAGAGCUCUAUCUUCCAAAGUUCAAUCUUCGAAUCUUCUUCUAAAUUCUUUAAUUUUGCUCUCAUAUUGAAUUUAUAAAAAUGUUAUUAUUCACAGAAUUCAUAAAAAUAAUUACCUUUUUUAAAUUAUUGAGAAAGGAAUGCCUUUGGCUUUCUUCAUAAGUAAACCAAACAUGAAGCAAGGAAUGCCUUUUCUAUUCUUUGUAUAUAUAUAUAUAUGUGUGUGUGUGUGUGUGUGUGUGUGUGUGUGUGUGUGUGUGGGCAAAUCAUAUUCCUUGAGUGGGAUUAGAGGGACAAUCAUAUAGCUCGAGUUUCAUUCUUGGAAGUGGCAGAGAGUAUUCCUCAUUUAAUUAAUUAUUGUCUUCUUUUCAGGUCCUUUCGUUUUUUUUACCCCAAUCAUCAUAAUUAUAGGAACACUACAUCCAUUAAGGAUUAUAUUUGUGGUUGCAAUCUAUUGAUAGAGAGGCUGUGGGUGUCUAAGUGAUCGUGAACCUUUCAUUCGUUCCGGUCUCUGCUAUAUAAGGUGUGUGUAUUUUAACUAAUUCUUGUAUUAUUAAUUUGUUUUUGUCUUUAUAUUAUAUUGUUAUGCAUAUAUUAUGUGUUCAUACAUGUUUGCAAGUAUGAUCCAUGAAGAAAGAAAGUGAAAUACUUGUUCAAUUUAAUCCUUAUUCUCUCCUACUAGACUCAAUCAAUCUCUAUAUAUACAAGUUUAUAUGUAAGUCUAUAUAUCUCGUUGUAGGGUUGAAUAAUUGUAAAUACAGAUCAAACACCCAUUAUUAAAAAGAUUAUGGUGUUUUAAUUUAUUAGUCAAUUAGAAAACUAAUUAGUUUUAAAAUCUUCUUAAUAAUACAUAUAUAAAAUUAAAUUAAGACUUUAAUCUUGAUAGCUAACAUUUUGAACUUUUACCUUAAAUUUGAUAUGGAUGUAAAAUCUACAAAUUCACAAGACUAAAAUUUCUCUGUGUUUGGUGAAUUAAAGUAGGGUAAUGGUCUAAAUAAUAUUACUCUUGUAAAAGUUGGAUCUCCUUCAAUUUUCAACCUCAUCUUUCUAUUAUAGUGAAAGUAAAAAUGAAGAACAUUCUAAUUAACUAUAAUGUUUGGAUUUAAUAGUGCAUGGCUAGCUUUCACCACCAUAAUUUGAUCUUGACACCAUCAUUCCUUUUCUUUUUCAUUUUUUUUAUUAUAUCACUCAUUUUGUUUUAUAUUGGAAAGCCCCAAAAUCCACGUAGUAAGAGCAGACCUUCCCAUUACUUAAUAAUUGAGGAAAUUAGAUUCAUUUUAAUCAAAUCAUCUUCAAUAGAUAAAGCUAUUAUGUAAUUAUUUGCUAGGCUAAACGUAUUUGUAUAUUCAUAGUUCCUGUUAAAUUCUAAAUACUAUAAAUCUACAAGGAUUUCUAUGAUGUUAAGAGAAAUAUCCCCUUUUAGCCAACACUAGAUAAUUAAAUACUAUAUAUACUAGAUUGACUUGGAUUUACGAGAAUCAACUCAGGUUAACCUGCCAAGUUCCUGACCUGAGUUAUAAGACCUUAAUAACCCUAUAAAAGAUAACUAAGAAAAAAUAUUAAGCCUAAUUUUCAGUGAACAUAAUAUUGCAAAAUAAAAUUGAAAAAAAACUUAAUUAAAAAAAUGACACAAAAAACCACCCUAGUCAACCCAAGUUAACCAACCAAACUCGUAACCUAUAUCAUGAGGUUAGGAGAAUCUCAAAGAAAACAAAAUAAAAUAAAUUAUGAAGCCUAAUAAUCAACUCCAAAUUAAAAAAUAAAAUUGAAAAAAAAAUAUUCAAUUGAAAAAGGAUAAAAAAAAAACUAAGACAACUAGGCUAACCUGCAAUAGAAUCAUGAGACCGUGAUAAACCUAUAGAAAGUAAAUAAAAAAAUUAUAAAACUCAACUCUUAAUUAAUACAUUAUUGAAUGAAUAAAUUAAAUAAAAUCAAUUAAAAAAUAUCUCAGGUCAACUCGGAUUAACCUGUUAAAUUUGAGUUUUAAUAUCAAAAUAAAUCUAUAAAAAGAAAAAAAAAACAAUUAUGAAGUGAAAGCCUUGAUAGCUAACAUUUUGAACUUUCACCUUAAAUUGAAACGGAUGUAAAAGCUACAAAUUCACAACAGUAAAAUUUCAAUCUGUUUGGUGAAUUAAAAUAGGGUAAUGGUCUAAAUAAUAGUACUCUUGUAAGAGAUGGAUCUCCUUCAAUUUUUAUAACCUUAUCUUUCUAUUUUAAUGAAAAUAAAAGUGAAGAGGAUAAAAUUGGAAAAAAAAAGUUUAAACUUAAAAAAAACAACUUGAGAACUAAAGUGAAAAAGACUAAAGCAUUUCAUUAGUCAUUGCUACAAUGAAAUACCAAGUUCUCUUAAUAUAUGUUAAUUAUUCAAUUGUAUGGUUAGUCUAUAAAAAAUAAAAUUCUUAUAAAUUCCUUAGUUAAGCAAAAUAGAGUGUAGGAUUUUUUUAACAAUAUAUAAAAUAUUACACAAGAAUCUUGACCAUGAAAUAAAAAUUAAUCCAAACAUUUUAAUAAAUUAUUCUAAAACACAAUAAUUUAUAUAUCUCUAUCUAUCUACAAAUCCAAAUAGAUUAUUGUUUAUUAUGUCUAAAUCAAAUGACCUAUAUCUUUACAAUAAUUUUAUUUAUGGUUAGGGUCAUAGGAUUGUUUGGCUUUAACAGAGUAAUUUUUCAAAUACUUUUGGUUCCUUUUAAGUUGGUAAACUAAACAUCUUUUGUUAAAAAGAUAUCUUGGGCUUCAAAGUACAUUUUCUAAUUCUUAGAGCCUUUUGUGAAGUUAGCUAGUAUUUUGUGAAUUUAGCUAGUAUUGUAUUCAACUUAUCAAACUUUUCUUGGAAGGAUUUAUUUUCUUCUUCAAGUUGAUUAACCUUUUUAUUUUCAUCAAUGUCGCACGUGUGCAGCAUCGCGGCGAAAACAUUCACCCUCAAAAUAUCUAUCUAAAUGUGGCAAAUAUGUGUGGGGAGACAAGGAAUUCUUGUCUUUUACAUGUGAAAAGCAGGAAUGGAGAGUCGCCACCUAGUAUUUUGAUCACUAGGAACCCUAACUGGUCUUAAAGAUCGGGUACAGGGACUGGUUGCGCAAAGGGAGGUAUUAGCACCCCAAAUACGCCCUACCUAAGGUAAGCUACAUUGUUUUAUUGUCUGAUAAAAUCUAAGGUCUUGUCGUGUUUUUUAGUUGUUGGUCCGUCUAUGGUUCAAGAAAAGUCAUCUUCGGUAAAGAGAUCCUUAUCUUAUUAGGUAAAACCUAACCGUUCUAAUGUCAACAAAAGAAUUUAAUAUCUGGAAUAUGUCUUACGUAUAAGGUCGUAACCCUAGAUACUAAAAGAAAACAAAAUAAUGUUUUUUAUAAUUUUUAAAAUAUUGGCCUAGUUCUCGUUACUUUAAUAAACUAGUUAUUAAAGCCAAAAUGCAUGUUGAUAUAUAUUUUUGAAAUUUUCUUUGUUGUACGAAAAUACAAUUUUUUUUAAUUAUUAUUAUUGAGAGACUUGGCCGUAUGCAUCAAAACAAAAUAUUUUUUAUUUUUUUUAAUGUUUUGACGAAAACGAAGUAUUUUAAUACCGGAUUUGUAUCUUUAUAGUAUAAAAAUACAAACCAGUAUUGAUCAAAAUACAGUAAAAAAAUACACGGGGAAAUCACAAAUUUUCCAAAAAUAUAUUUUUAAAAUUUUUUCCUUUUAGGCCGGGCCGGACCCGGCUCACCCAUUUUGGGCUAGGCCGGCACUGCCUGGCCCAGUAAACAAAAACAAACAGUGGAGAACUCUCCACUGUUCACUUGCAACGUGAACAAUGGAGCAGCCCGGGCGAGGAAGAAGAAGAAGAAGAGAAGUGGAGGCUUACCUGGCGGUCGUCCGUUCUUGCGGGAGCUGGAGCUGCCGGUUCUAUGCUGUUGGACGACGGUUCUGUUCCUUCUCUGUUCUAUUUUUUCUGUGUUCCUUCUUCUCCCCGCUUCUGUCUCCUGUUUCUCUUUUUCUUCUUCUGUUUCUAAUAGUGGUGGUGUCGUUGUUGAUGGUGGCGCUGGUGGCUGCAGACGGUGGCUCUUCUCUGCGGUGGCGGGCAGUGUUUGCUGCUGUUCUUCCCGUCUGUGCAGAGGCGCAGGCUUCUUCUUCUUCUUCACGGGUGUUGCAGCAGGGGGAGGAAGAUGGUGAGAGGCUGAUGGUGGCGCUGCUCCAAACGGCGGAGAGAGAGAGAGAGACCGAAGAGAUUGAGGUUACUGUUAUUCUCUUCUCCUCUGUGUUCUUGUUUUUCUGUUCCUUUCCAUCUCCCUCAGAUCAAACUCUUUUCCUCGUCUCCUCUGUUUCUCGUUUUUUACUCCCUCCUAUGUCGUCUUCUUCGUUCUCUCCUGCCUCUGUUUUUUUUCUUUCCUCUGUCCUGUUCUCCCCCCCCCCCCUGUUCUCUCUUUCUCUUCCAAGUGCGGCAAUCUACCCUGUUGUCCUGGCUCUUUGAGAUGAAGGAAUGAAGACGAUGGUGAUGCCUGUUGUCAGUGGUCUUUUUCUGCGUGGUUCUUAUUUUUCUGCUUGUCUCUGUUCUCCUUUUGUGCCCACUGUUUCCUCUGGUUCUAUCCCCCUCGUCUUCUCUUUGCCUCUGUUCUUAAAGAAAAGAGAAUCACCCUGGUUCCUGGAACCUGCUGCUUGCAGUUGCAGACGAAGACGACAGUGUGGAAGGGGGCUGUUCCACCAACACUGCUUCCUCUCCUCCUGUUUUUUCCCCUGUCUCCCCCCUCUAGUUCGUUCUCCUCCCUGACUUUUUAUAGCCAAAACUACAUGCGUUUUUUUUCUUUUAUAAUAAAGACAUUCGCGAUAUUAUUGCAGUGGUAACGGUCGGCGGUGUGCAGAGAGAUUGUAGCUGUGAAACGUUCCCCAUAACUGAAGCAAUCUGCGGCAUGUUAUUGCUGAAACUGUUGCUGAGGAGAAGACGAUGAACAGUUCAUGAAACGUCUCUGUUUCUCCAAUUCAAAUGGCCAUUUUGAUUUGGUCCUUGUGGUUUCACAAUUUUGUAAUCAAACUCUUGGACAAAUUAUAAUUGGAUCCCUGAACUUUAAUUUCUUCCAAAUAAAGCCCAAAUUGACUUAAAAACAUUUUUUCUUGCAAUCAAACCCUCCAUAAAUUCAAUUAAACCUUCAAUAAAAUUUAAUUGAGUCCAUAAAUAUUUGAUUUUGAACUUUUGUUUUCAAAAAUUGAAUUUUUCUUAUCAACAGGGCUGAUAUACUAUUAAAUUUCAAUUUUUGUAUUUUUAAACCUCCUCAACCAAUUUUUGGUCAUUUUAUGGGCAUUCCAGCAUCAUUUUCUCGCUUCUAUUAUUUUUUGGAUUUCUUCUGAAUAUUUUUUGAUAUAUUGUUUUUGUAUUUUUUUUAUUUUUUGUGUGGGAACCCAAAAAUAGAUAACAACAAUCAAUAACAAUGCAAUCUUUAUUUUCUAGAGUUUCUUUUUCCAGCAAACAAGUAUGCAUAAUUCUAUUUCAAUAAACUAUAUUUUAAACCUAAUUUUUUAAAUUCAUCAUAUAAAGAUUCAAGAGCAUCAUGCAACUCAUCAGAGGUAGAGUCAGAUUCAUCAUCCAAAUACUGUACCUCAUUUUCACUUUUGAUAGAAAACUUCUUAAUCACCUUGUAAUUAAGGCAAUGUCCUCUUCAAUGCUUUCUUGAUCAUCAUCAUCAUCCUCAAUGUGGUGAACGGUUUCAAAUGCCAAAGAGUAUUCAUUUUUAUUCCCUCACCAAUACCAUGAGUUUUUACUUAACUCUCAUAGGUUUACAAGUAUGGUUUUGUUUACAACAAACUCUUUCAUAGAGUGAAUGAUAUAAAUAAAGUUCUAGUAUCUCCAUAACUCACUAAAUAGCACUUAUAGGAUUUAAAAGUGUUUAAGUAUAGUUCGAAUGAAAAUGUAUACUCUUUGUUCUAGAAUAUAAAGGUUUAAAUCCACUAGUUAGAGUAUAAUCAAUAAUUUAUAAUUUUAUUGUUAUUUUGAUCUUAGAGUAUGUUGUUUAUCAUAUAUGUCCGGAAUCCCUUACUAAUUUUACAAUUAGACAAGCUAUAUAAUUGUUUCUAAGAAAAACUAGUCAUUGGAACCCCAUUAAUAACUAAAACGAUCGAUUGGUUCAAAUUGAUCAAGCCAAUCAAUCAACCGGUUCCUACAAAAUUCCCAAGUUUUCAUCACUGAUAAACAAGUGAGCGCCUGAUUCAUGCAGAAUUCUCAAAUGUUUUCAUCAUUAAUGAACAAAUGGUGGUUCGUUUCAUGUAGAAUUACAUAUUUAAUAGUUUUAAACUAGGUGAAUUCCUAGAGCCAUCCAUCUUAGAUCAUCUUUUAUAUCAAUCCUAAAUGUAUGUAAAGUAGUGUGUGUGAGUUUAUUUUAAUUAUACCAUCAAGUAAGAUGUAAAGAUUUAUAAAUUAAACACUAAAAUGAAUACUUGAACUUUUUGAUUAAUUUUUUAUGAAAUCCUUCAUGUUUAUUAAUGUGAUCUUAAUAUGAAACAUGUUUAAAACUUAUUCUCAACUAGACAUAUUAUUAGUCUAUGUUCUUUUUUUUUUUUGUUAUCAUCAAAAUAUAAAAAAAUAUGAAUGUGUGACUCUAAAGGUCAAUAAAAUCAUCACCAUUUAGAGUAAAAAUAUAUCUAGACUAGGAUUUGCUAUCAUUAAUAUCUAAUUUAAAUCUAGCAUUUGAAUAUCCAUAAACUUCUAGUUUAUCUCCUUUAUAGAUCAUAAAGAAAUUCUUAGUUCUUUUUAACUACUUCUUAGAUUCAAAACCUUUAGGUAGUGUAAUAUACAUAUCUUUAUGAAUUUUCCUAUAUAGAAAAGCAUUUUUUAUAUCUAUUUGCUAAAAUUCAUAAUAUUAGCAUGUAGCUAUAGCAAGAAGGUUUUUACAUAACUACUAAUAAAAAGGUUUCAUCAAAGUCAAUUCUUUUUCUUUGCUUGUAACCACUGUCAACUAUUCUGGUUUUGUACAUCUAUACAUUGCCAUUAAUAUUAAUUUGUUUCUUAAAGAUCCAUUUACAUUCAGUGAGUUUUACCCUUUUAGGUUGAUAGUCAAGUUAUAUUUAAUCCAUUUAGAAUUUUACAUCCUUGAUUCAUUUUAUGGAAUUAAUAUUAGAUAUUGCUUUCAUGUAAUUGGUAGGCAUAUUAAAUGUAAGUAACUCAUCAUUUUUAGCUUCUAUAAAAAAUCCAUAUCUCAUUAGUGUAUGACAUCUUCUAUUAGAUCUAUGAAGUUAUUGUGUUUCUUGAGCUUUAAGUUGAGUAUCUAAUGUUAUAUAUUCUAGCUCAUGUUCUAAUUAGAUGUCAGUUUAUGGUUCUUGAAUUUCUCCAAAUUUUAUUUUUCUUUCACUACUUCUUUCAAGAAUAAAUUCUUUUUAAAAAUAUAGCAUGUUUGGAGACAAAUAACUUUUGCUCAAUGGAAUGGUAGAAAUAUUAUCCAAUAGUUUUUUUAAGAUAUCCUAUAAACUUAAAUUUAUUUGAUUUAGCUCAUAACUUUCAUAUAUGAUAUGCUUUACAUAAAUAUCACAUCCCCAAAUCUUCAAGUAUAAUAAGUUAAGUCUCCUAUCUUUUCAUAUCUUAUAUGAAGUCUUAUUACUAAAUUUUGUUGGAACUUUAUUUUAAAACUAAGCAACAAUUUUUUAGGCCAUAUCCCUAUAGCUCAUAAUGGAUCGUACCAUACCCAAUAGGGUACGAUUUGUCCUUUUGGAAACUCUAUAAUAUUAUGGUAAAUGUCAUAAUUAUUGAAUCUUUGGAUGAGAUUUGAAACUCAUCUUACACAUGAAUUUUAUAAUUAAUACUAUUUAAAAACAAAUAAAACAUUUUUUUUUCUUCUAAAUUCACCUAUAAUGAUGAUACCUAUCUUAAUCAUAUAGUUUCUAUUAUACCAAAUAUAUAUUCACUUAUUACUUUUGAUUAAAGCAACAUAUUGUUAGGAUUGAAAAAUAACAGUUGCAAUAUCAACCAACUAUUUCAACUACUAUCUCCUUCUCACCACCACCACUAACAUCUUUUCUUUAUCCACCACAACCAUCUCACCACCACCUCUUCUUGUAUCAUCACCACCACCACCACUACUUUUAUCAUUUCACAACCACUACCACUUCACCACAAUCUCUUUCACCACCAUUGUCAUCUCACCACCACCUCUUUCACCAUCAUUGUCAUCUCACCACCUCCAUCACCACCAUUAUUAAAAAUUAUUUUACAUGUAAAAUAUUUAACGGUAAAGUAUUUUUCAAGCCAAACAUUGAAUUUAAAAGUAAACCAUUUUUUAUUUGUAAAAUAUUUUAUGCAAAACAAACAUACUCUUAACAUAUAAUUUUAUCUCUUCUAGAAAAUUCAAUAAAAAAAUUCAUUUUUUCAUGUUUACCUAAGGUUAGCCUUCACAAUUAUAAUUCCGUUAUCUAUCUCUUUAUUGGGAUAUUUUCAGUUAGAAAUAAUUUCCAUUCUAUAAUUCUCUUUUAGGAUAUCUCAUUUAGGAUGUUAAUUUUUAUAGUGUUUUAUAUUUUUUUAAAAACUUUCUUCGUACUGAACCGUUAUUGCUUUAAAUUCCCUCAUGUAUACAUAACAUGAUUAAUGAGCUGUACCAAAUUUUUAUUUUGAUCUUCUAAGAACAUUCCAAAAGUGUCAUUUGAAAAUGAAUUUAAUCAAACUUCUAUACAUUUUAUCCUUGUUGAAUAUGUCAUCUUUUUCUUCAUCUUUUAAACAUUUUUUAUUUUAUUUUGAAAUCAUCCUCACCAUGUUAUUUCAUACAUUUUCUAUUUUUCUUAUAUAAUCUUUUUAAUUUGAAGUUGUCUUUAAUUUUUUGAUUCUCUACUUAGUAACAAUAUAAUCUUCAUCGUCUUCAAUUAUGUAAAAAAAAUUAAAAAUUGUUAUAGAAAUCUGCCUUUCUUAUAUAGCUAGGAAAGUUAAAUUUUAUUCAAAUAAAUGAAUUUUAAUGCAAUUGUAUAUAAGAAAAUACACUCUUAGAAAUGUAUAAAGAUAUCAAAGGAAGAAAAAAUCUUAAAGAACUAAGAAGGGAAAGAUAUUAAUAAUCUAUAUCUUUUUUUUUAUUAACGUGGGUGUCCGGGUUAGCUUGCGCGCACCUCAACUAAUCUUACAGACCCUGAAGUUAACAACAAUAUAAGUCUCCAAUGACCCUGAGGUUUGUGAGACUCAAACUGGUGACUUUUAGAAAGUAAACCUAAAAUUUGACUAGUUGAGCUACACUUCUAUAGAGUGUAUUUUCUAUAUUCUAUAGAGUUUAAUGUAUAGAGUUUUUUGAUUAACAAUACAACCAUAUCAAUAUUCUAUAUUUUAUUAACAACACUGUGACAAUUUAAAAUUAAUAACAAAUUAAUUUAAAGAUAUUAUAGUCUUCAACAAAAGAUAACACCCUAACUUUUGUAGAUGGCAUAGAUAGAUAUAGAUAAGGGGACAAGGAAUUAAUUGUUCAUUGGUAUACUUAUACCUUGCCUUGUUGCUUUUGAAGCUUGAUUCCAUACAGAGCUAAAGGCCUUCUCGUUUUGUUCCUCGCUGAGCAAUCAACACCAGUGCUUUUCGCGCAUAUUUUCACAAAUUCAGGUAAUAAAAUUCCUAUUCUCAUUCUCUCAAUGCCUAUUUUACUUGUAGUGAACUCCUCUCACAGUCAGCAUCCUUAUUUCUCUGAUUUUCAGACUGGUGGAAAAUGGCUAUCGAAAGUGUUGGUGGAUCCAUUUUAUCUAAGAUAGCAGAACUCUUGGUGGAACCAACAAUAAGGCAGUUCCGUUACAUGUUCUGUUUCAACAAUUUUGUUCAAGAAUUCAAUGAACAGAAGAAGAACCUGGCUUUGACUCUUGAUCGUUUGCAAAACGCUGUCGAAGUUGCUGAAAGAAAUGCUGAAGAAAUUGAGAAGGAUGUCAACAAAUGGUUGGAAGAUGCAAAAAACGAAAUUGAAGGUGUUAAUCGUUUGGAAAAUGAAAAGGGAAAAAAUAGCAAAUGCUUUAAUUGGUGUCCAAAUUGGAUACCACAAUUCAAGUUAAGCAAGGCCCUGGCAAAAAAGAUAGAGACUUUGAAAAAACUUGAAGAAAAUAGCAGAAAGUUUCCAAAAGUGUCCCACAAAGCACCUCUUCAAGACACAGAGUUUCUUCCAUCAAAGGGAUUCACACCCUCAGAAUCGUCAAAAGAAGCUUUUGAACAAAUUAUGAAAGCUCUCAAAGAUGACAAUGUCAAUAUGAUCGGACUGUACGGCAUGGGAGGGGUGGGUAAAACCACCCUGGUGAAAGAAGUAGGCAGGAAAGCCAAAGAGUUGCAGCUUUUUAAUGAAGUUUUGAUGGCUACGGUGUCCCAGAAUCCACAUGUCACAGACAUGCAGGAUCAAAUGGCAGAUAGUUUAGGUCUGCAUUUUGACGAGAAAAGUAAAGAAGGGAGAGCAGGUCGGUUAUGGCAGAGACUGCAGGGAAAGAAGAUGCUUAUAAUCCUAGAUGAUGUUUGGAAAGAUAUUGACUUGAAAGAGAUAGGGAUCCCAUUUGGUGACGCUCACAGGAGUUGUAAAAUUGUUAUAACAACACGUCUUGAAAACAUAUGUUCUUAUAUGGAGUGCCAGCAAAAAGUGUUUUUAAGAGUCUUAUCUGAAGAGGAAGCAUGGGCUUUAUUCAAAAUCAAUGCAGGUUUACGUGAUGAGGACUCUGACUUGAACAGAGUGGCAAAGGAGGUUGCGAGAGAAUGCCAAGGCUUGCCUUUAGCACUUGUGGCAGUGGGAAAGGCUCUAAAAGAUAAAUCUGAACAUGAGUGGGAAGUAGCAUCUGAAGAGCUCAAAAAAUCUCAAUCUCGGCACGUGGAAACAUUUGAUGACCGAAGAAAUGCAUAUGCAUGUCUUAAAUUGAGCUAUGAUUAUUUGAAGCACGAGGAAACCAAGCUAUGUUUCUUGCUAUGCUGUUUAUUUUCAGAAGAUUACAACAUUCCAAUCGAGGAGUUGACGAGAUAUGCAGUUGGCUACGGGUUAUAUCAAGAUGUGAAGUUCAUUGAAGGUGCAAGGAAACGAGUUUAUAUGGAAAUCGAAAACCUCAAAGCUUGUUGUAUGCUGUUAGGAACUGAAACUGAAGAAUAUGUGCAAAUGCAUGACUUGGUUCGUGAUGUUGCUAUUCAGAUAGCAUCAUCAGAAAAAUACAGAUUCAUGGUAAAGGCUGGCUUUGGGUUGAAGGAGUGGCCAAUGAGCAAUAGAAGAUUUGAAGGUUGUACAGUAAUUUCGUUAAUGGGCAAUAAACUAGCAGAACUUCCUCAAGGAUUGGUUUGUCCACAGCUCAAAGUUCUAUUAUUAGAACUGGAUGAUGGUCUGAAUGUUCCAGAGAGGUUUUUUGAAGGAAUGAAAGAAAUUGAAGUUUUGUCUCUGAAGGGAGGGUGCUUGUCAUUGCAAUCACUUGAAUUCUCAACAAACCUUCAAUCAUUGCUGUUAGUCAAAUGUAUAUGCAAGGACCUCGUUUCAUUGAGAAAGCUGCAAAGACUUAAGAUUCUUGUUUUCAUGUGGUGCGACUCCAUUAAAGAAUUACCUGAGGAAAUGGGGGAGCUCAAGGAGUUAAGAUUGUUGGAUGUGACAGGUUGUAUGUACGUUGCAAGCAUUCCUGUGAAUUUGAUUGGAAGGUUGAAGAUGUUAGAAGAACUAUUGAUCUGGGAUGGCAGCUUCACGGGAUGGGACAGCACAGGAGGAAUGAAUGCAAGAGUAACAGAACUAAAUUCGCUGUCUCAUUUGGCCGUAUUAUCAUUGACGAUACCGAAGGUUGAAUGCAUUCCCAGAGAUUUUGUUUUUCCCAGGUUGCUCAAAUAUGAUAUAGUGUUAGGGAAUGGGUAUUCAAUAACAGCAUACCCAAUCUCGAAAAGAUUAUAUUUGGGUGAUAUCAGCGCCACAUCCUUAAAUGCAAAGACAUUUGAGCAGUUGUUUCCUACUGUGUCUCAAAUUGGUUUUAGCAACGUUGAGGGUUUAGAAAAUAUAGUAUUGUCCUCUGAUCAGAUGACCACCCAUGGCCAUGGGUCGCAAAAGGACUUCUUACAAAGAUUAGAACAUGUAGAAGUGGCUGCAUGUGGGGAUAUUCGCACUCUGUUUCCAGCAAAAUGGCGGCAAGCUUUGAAAAAUCUAAGGAGUGUGGAAAUUAAUCACUGCAAUUCAUUGGAAGAGAUAUUUGAAUUGGGUGAGGCUGAUGAAGGAAGCAGUGAGGAAAAGGAGCUGCCGCUGCUAUCAUCUUUAACGGAGUUACAGCUGUCCUGGUUACCUGAGCUCAAAUGGAUAUGGAAGGGGCCCAGUAGACAUGUCAGCCUCCAAAGUCUUAAUCAUCUGGAGUUGUGGUAUCUUAGCAAACUAACAUUUAUCUUCACGCCGUCCCUGGCUCAAAGUCUUAUUCAUCUAGAAACACUACGGAUAGAAUAUUGCCGUGGAUUGAAGCAUCUUAUCAGAGAAAAGGAUGACGAAAGGGAAAUCAUUCCAGAGUCUCUUCGCUUCCCAAAGUUAAAAACUCUCUCUAUAAGUGACUGUGAUAAACUGGAACAUGUCUUCCCUGUCUCCGUGUCUCCAAGUCUUCUGAACCUGGAACAGAUAAAGAUUACUUUUGCUGACAAUUUAAAGCAAAUAUUUUACAGUGGAGAAGGAGAUGCACUCACCAGAGAUGGCAUCAUCAACUUCCCUCGGCUAAGAGAAUUGUCUCUUUCAUGUUGCAGCUUUUUUGGUCCAAAGAAUUUUACUGCCCAAUUGCCUUCUUUGCAAGAGUUAACCAUUAAAGGCCACCAAGAAUUGAGUAAUUUGUUGACACAGCUCCAUGUACGUCCUUUAUAUUUCUCCACUUAUUUUUUCCUUUUUAAUUUAAAUUGUCAAAUGCAAUACAUUGAUCAAAUUUCUUAUUUCUUCCUCCAGAUAAAGUAUUUUUAUUUUAUAUAUAAGAAGUUUUACUAAUAUGUAAAAUUAAAAUUAUUUUCUUUUAUAUAUGUUUUUUUGUUAAUGUCAUAAUUUGUUUUAUUGUAAAUAGAAUAUAAAAUGAUUUAUUUUUUUUAUUUAAUAAGUAUAAUUUUUUCAUGAUUGCUUUUAAUUUAACUAAUAUGAAAUAAUAAUUUAUAUUUAGAUUAUUAUAAAUAUGAAAAAUUACGAUUUCAUAUUCCCAUGCCCUAUUGCUCUGUCUAUUUAUAUCUUUUUGUUGAUAAGUAUUUAGGUAUUCGGGAUAAUUGGUUCAUCACCAAAAUUAUAUAAUAGUUACAGAGUGUACAAAAAUUAAUAGGAAUUAUAUCUAAAAAAUCGGUACCCUUGUUUUCUUUUGAUGCAGGGGCUUACAAAUUUGAGAGGAAUAUAUAUUACAGACUGCAAAGGAGCACAAGAUUUAAUGCAGGUUGGAAGUUUUUUAACUAAUAGAAGAACUGGGCAUGAACUUUCACUCUUGAGUUUGGAAACAUUACACGUAGACUCCUUCCCUGACAUGAAGUGUAUAUGGAAGGGUCUCUUGCUGAGUCAUUUGACUACUUUGAUGGUGAGGAAAUGUCAAAGACUAGCACAUGUAUUUACAAGCAGCAUGAUUGCUAGUCUAGUUCAACUGAAAGUUCUAGACAUAUCAACCUGUGAGGAAUUGGAGCAAAUAAUUGCUAAGGAUAAUGAUGACGAAAAGCUUCAGAUAUUGUCAAGAAGUGAUCUCCAAUCUUUAUGCUUCCCUAAUUUGUGUCGGCUUGAAAUCGAAAGAUGCAACAAGUUGAAGAGUCUCUUCCCAGUAGCCAUGGCUUCAGGUCUCCCAAAGCUCCAAAUACUAAAAGUAAGCCAAUGCUCUCAGCUAUUGGGAGUAUUUGGGCAGGACGAUCAUGCUUCACCUUUCAAUGUUGAGAAGGAGAUGGUGCUCCCUGAUAUGCUGGAGCUGUUGCUAGAAAAUUUACCAGGUAUAGUUUGCUUCAGUCCUGGAUGUUAUGAUUUCUUAUUCCCUCGUCUGAAGACGUUGAAGGUGUAUGAAUGCCCGAAGCUGACCACAAAAUUUUCUACUACAACAAAUGGUUCAAUGAGUGCUCAAUCAGAGGUGCUGCUUAUUGGACUUGAUUUCUUGCCUCUCUUUUAGUGUUUGUGUUUCUUUUUUCACUCAAUAACAAGACUCGGAAGUUAGAAUGUGUAUGCCAUGCUUGAAUUUGGUUUUGUAGGUAUCUCAAGUAGUUGAGGAUUCAAGCACCGGUUGCUACGUGCUAACCAGCACUUGUAGAAUGUGGACCCGGAAUAAUGGGUGGUGGGAAGAGGAAAAAGAGGAAGAGGAAUGGGAAGAGGAAGAGGAAGAGGAAUGGGAGGAGGAGGAGGAAGAGGAGGAGGAAGAGGAAGAGGAAGAGGAAUGGGAGGAGGAGGAGGAGGAGGAGGAGGAAGGGGAAGAGGAAGAGGAAAAGGAUGAGGAUGGAGGUGGUCAUGAGGAUUACGUCAAAUGAUAAGUUUGGCAUUGGAAUUUGAAAAACAUGCUAAUAAUUAAUUCUUGCAGGUAAUAUGACUGCAAUUAUUUAUCAUCUUCUAUCCUUUUCCUUCAACUUUAAAUGGUUGAAUUAAAUCAACAUAUGCGAUAUGUCUGAAUGGUCUUUGUUCUUCAUGUUUGCAUCAGGCAAGGUUGGUUACCUGUUACAUGUUCACCUCAACAUUAGGUGAUUUCUCGGAGAUUUAUGUCUUUGAGCUGUGGUGCUGUGAAUGUUUUUUAAUUUGUGGAAUUGAUUUCAACUGUUUCAUUGGCAAUGGCAUACAAUUUGGCUUUGUAUUGUAAUUUUAUAGAACUCCCAAAAGAACAAUAUUGACUUAUCUAUCUAUGUGUUUGCUGUGUGAACUUCCAGAAAUAACGGAAUCUCCAGAAAUAAGGGCGUAUGCUUGCUUGCCCAUUUGUGUUUCUUUUCAAGUGUUUGAACCUUCAAAAACAAGGACAUAAUGUUUACUUGUGUGUGUUUAUUGUUUAACUAGUUAGAUGACCCGCGCGAUGCUGCGGGUCAAUUUUUUUUUGCAUAAAAAAUAUCAAAAAAGCUAAGAUUUUAAAAGUGUUAGGUCUUUCUGCAAGACUAUACCUAAGAGUUUUGGGUUUGGCUGCAACGUCUGACCCAAGAGUAAUAUUUAUAAUAUUAAUAAUAAUAUUAAACUUGCAUGACCCAAGUUUAAAUGGGUUUGGCUGUAAUACCAGACCCAAUAACCUUGGAUGUGGAUCUGGCUGCAAGGUUGUAUCAUAAAAGUAUGAUAAUUAAAUAGAUUAAGUAAAAAGAAAAAAAUAUAGAAAAAAAAAACCAACAUGAAGAAAAUAACUAAUGAAGAAAAAGAAAAAAAUCCGAAUUAACUGGGUCAACUCUUCAAACCAGGUUAACCCGUCAAGCAUUGGAUUUGUGUCGUGAAAGUUUGAUAACUAAAUAGAAAAAAAACAAUUGACGGGUUACCCCAGAAUUAACUGGGCUAACCCGUCAAACCCAGGAUCCAUGUUAUAAAAGUCUGAUAAUUAAAUAGAAAAAAAUUAAUAUUAAGAAAGUAAAUUAAAACAAAUAAUUAAAAAAGAAAAAAAAGAAAAAAGCCAGAAAAAAACUAAAAGCAUCAGCUUUUUCACUGUGGACUGCACUGUGCAGUCCACAAUAAAAUGCUUAAAAAGGAAAAGAAAAAGGGAAAAAAAACAAAGGCAUACCCACGGGUUAAUUUUUUUUCUUGCAUAAAAAAUAUAAAAAAGGCUAAGAUCUAAGAGUGUUAGGUCUUUCUGCAAAGAUAUACCCAAAAACCUUGGGUCUAAAUGCAACGCUUGACCCAAGAGUAAUAUUUAUAAUAUUAAUAAUAAUAUUAAACUUACAUAACUCAAGUUUAAGUGAGUCUGACUGCAACACCAGAUCCAAGAGCCUUGGAUGUGGGUCUGGCUGCAAGAUCGUGUCAUAAAAGUAUGAUAAUUAAAUAGAUUAAUUAAAAAGAAAAAAACAAAGAAAAAAAUCCAACAUGAAGAAAAAAAUUAAUAAAGACAAAGAAAAAACAUCUGAAUUAACUGGGUUAACCCUUCAAACCAGGUUAACCCAUCAAACUUGGAAUUCAUGUCAUGAAAGUUUGAUAACUAAAUAGAAAAAAAAAAGUUGAUGGGUUAACCAAGAAUUAACUCAAUUAACCCGUGAAACCAGGUUAACCAGUCAAACCCGGGAUAUGUGUCAUGAAAGUCUGAUAAUUAAAUAGAAAGAAAUUUAACAUUAACAGACUAAAUUAAACAAAAAAAAUUAAUUAAAAAGAAAAAAAAACUUCGGGUUACCUUGUCAAACCAGGUUAACCCGUUAAACCCGGGAUCCAUGUCAUAAAAGUCUGAUAAUUAAAUAAAAAAAUUUAACAUUAACAAAAGAAAAAAAACAAAUAAAAAUGGACGGGUUAACCCAGAAUUAACUGGGUUAACCCGCAAAACCAGGUUAACUCGUCAGACCUGGGAUAUGUGUCAUGAAAGUCUGAUAACUAAAUAGAAAGAAAUUUAACAUUAACAAACUAAAGUAAACAAAAAAAAUUAAUUAAAAAGAAAAAAAAACAAAAAAAAAAACUCCGGGUUAACUCGUCAAAGCAGAUUAACCUGUUAAACCUGGGAUCCUUGUCAUGAAAGUCUGAUAGCUAAAUAAAAAAAAUUUAAUAUUAACAAAAUAAAAAAACAAAAAAAAAUGGACGGGUUAAUCCAGAAUUAACUGGGUUAACCCGUGAAACCAAGUUAACCCGUGAAACCUGAGAUAUGUGUCAUGAAAGUCUGAUAACUAAAUAGAAAGAAAUUUAACAUUAACAAACUAAAGUAAACGAAAAAAAUUAAUUAAAAAAAAAAUCCGGGUUAACUCGUGAAAUCAAGUUAACCUGUUAAACCCGGGAUCAAUGUCAUAAAAGUUUGAUAACUAAAUUAAAAAAAAUAUUAACAUUAACAAACUAAAUUAAACAAAACAAAAUUUAUUAAAAGAAAAAAAACAAAGAAAGAAAGAAAAAAGCUAAAGGCAUCAAAAAUGAAAAAAUGAAAAAAAAUAGCUUAAACUAAAUUAAACAAAACAAAAUUUAUUAAAAGAAAAAAAACAAAGAAAGAAAGAAAAAAAGCUAAAGGCAUAAAAAAAAUGAAAAAAUGAAGAAAAAUAGCUUAAAAAAUGAAAAAAAAAAGAAAAAAAAAAGAAACAGGUCAGCCUUUCACUGUGGAUUGCUAGAGUGAAAGGCUGAGCAGGAAAAAAAAUCUGGGUUAACUCGUGAAACCAAGUUAACCUAUUAAACCCGGGAUCAAUGUCAUAAAAGUUUGAUAACUAAAUUAAAAAAAUAUUAACAUUAACAAACUAAAUUAAACAAAACAAAAUUUAUUAAAAGAAAAAAAAACAAAGAAAGAAAAAAAAAGCUAAAGGCAUCAAAAAAUAAAAAAUAAAAAAAAUAAAAAAAUAGCUUAAACUAAAUUAAAUAAAAGAAAAUUUAUUAAAAGAAAAAAAAUAAAGAAAGAAAAAAAGAAGAAGCUAAAAGCAUAAAAAAAAAUAAAAGAAAAAUGAAGAAAAAUAGCUUAAAAAAUGAAAAUAAAAAAAAAGAAAGAGCUAAGCCUCCUUUCACUGUGGAUUGCUACAAUGAAAGGCUUAACAGUUUUAGUAUAUUUCUAAUGUUCUGUUUUUUAUUUGUGCUGAGUAAACCUUAACCAACUAGAUUAAGCCCACAAUGCAUCCAGUAAAUUUAGACUGUUGUAAUAAAUCCAACAUCAUCAGCCAGACCCAUAAUUAAACCAAAAUAGGAAUCCAAAGCAAGAGCCCAAUAACAGAACAGAACGUAUCAACUUAACCAAGCUAGCAUAUAUAUAUAUAUAUAUAUAUAUAUAUAAAACCUUAGGCAACUUCAGCAUAGCAAAGAGAAAGUGAGGAACAAGUGACUCAUGCGAUUCACCUCCUAAGGGACAAAGCUAGCACAAUGGUGAAAUUUCAUGAUGUAAAAAAAAGAUAUAAAAAUAAUUCAUAAUAUAUUUUAUUUGGUAUGAUAAAAAUAUUUUUUUCUUUCUAGAAAUUAAAAAACAAAAAAACAACACUAGUUAUAGCAAAAGCUAUUGUUAUGCCAAGCCAACUAUUAAUGUUAUCACAGUGGAAUCAACCAUCAAUACUAUCAAUAUGUACUAGUAAAAUCAAGAAAAUUUAAGUGUAUUUUGUGAUUAACAUACAUUGAUUGAUUAUGUGUCAACACAUUUAAAUUUUAAUCAUUCAUAUUUUAUCACAUAUUAGAAAACUAAUACAUAAAUUGGGGUUUUUUUUUACUACAUAUGCAGAUAAAAAGAAGAAAAAAAAAUAAACAUUGAUACCAAAUUGAAAAGGAGAAAGUAGGAGAAAAACUUUUCAACUAGAAACUUUGAAUUGUAAUUUCUUAGCAUAAACUUAUCAUUAAAUAAUUUUUACUUAAAUCAAUUGAAAGCUUUGUCAUAAUCCAAUUCUAUGUUAUUUCCCAAAACUUAUCUUUUUCAAAACAAAAAUAAAAAAAUAAAAGAAAAUAAUGUUGUCAUUUUGCAGAAAAUUCAAGACCUAAUUGUACCCCAUUAUGCAAAAACAAAUACAAAUUCAAGGUCAAAUUAAAUUAUUAUUGAAUGAAUUUACAUAAAAAUUAAGUCCAAAGACAUAAUUUAAUUUUUAUUAGGCCAAUUUGAUUUAAUCAUGAGCCAAAUUGAAUUUUAAUUAUGUUUGAAAAAUAAUUUGGGUCCAAUUGAAGGAUUUAAUCAAGUGCAAGGACUUAAUUAUACUUUAAAUGGUUCAAAAUAAUUUUAUUAUGGGCUUAAUUAGAAAAAAAUUAAGUUUGAGAACCCAUUUGGACUUAAAUGAAAAGAUUUGAAUUUUAAGAGACCAAAUUUAAUUUUUAUCAAAUUAUUUGAUUGAAAUUAGGAGCAAAAUUACAAUAAAAAUAAAAUUUUGGGGUCAAUUAGGAGUUAAAUUGAUAAUUUUCACAAUCAAUGACCAUUUUAUAAAAAACAUCAAACUAUGGGAACCUAAUUGGCAAAAAUCGGGGUUGAAAUUGAAGAGAAAUUAAAAUUUUCAAAGUAAUUAGGGGUGAAAUUGACCUAAAUGAACUAUACCAAAACGACGCUGUUUUGGUUACUAUUCAUCUUCAUCUUCAAUUUUCUCUAAAGUAACAACUCAGGGAGGUUAGUUUGUAGGUGCAUUUAAUGCCUCUAACCGUCAUCAAAUUUGGCAACUUUUAAAUCAAAAUGAUCACCUGACAACCCCUUAUCCCUAGGCAUGACAUGUUCAGUUCUCCUGACACUAAUGCAUCCCCGGUGUCGGCCUAAAUUGAACAACUCAGGCAACCACGAAUUGUCAAAUUUGACAGUUCAUGGUGUCUACUUUGAACCAAUGAUUGAGAUUCUUCCCAACCGAAUCAAGAGCUGAAAUUCUUGUCCAGUGUAUACAAGAUUACCCUCUUUCAUCUUCUAUAAAUAAGGGUGGGGGGGGGGGAGGGGUAUGAAAAUCACAAAAAAAAAUAGCUUAUUCCCUAGUUUCCACCACAUUUUUCUCUCUCCUCUUUCUCUCUUCGUCGUGGCCUUCAACCACCACCAUUUUCACCGCCGACUUGACCACCAUCCUCUCCACCAUACUUCUCCCUCUCCACCGAUUGUUUCUCCGUUUUCCUUCACAACGGCAGUAGCCCAUCAACAUCGUCAUCUUCAUUUUCUUCCUUCUUCAGCAUUGGUAGUAACAACAUCAAUAUCAACCUCCACCGUUGCAACAACCAACAAAAACACCAUUCUCUCCAUCAGCAUGACCGCAGAACCUCACCACCUCAGGUGGUCCUUCAUCCUUGCCUUGCAUCAACCUUCCAUGAGAUUUCUAUUGCGAUCGCUGCAUGCAUAAUUCGUUCUACAUGCAACACCAAUAAUUAACCAAAAAUUAAGGUCGACCUCAACCCAGUUUAUAUGGGUCGAGUAUUGCUCCCCCCUUCUGUUUUUAUAUCGAGUCGCUGCCUAGGUCAUAUGGAUCCAAUCUCGGCCCUAUCUUCCUUCAAGGCGGAGUCAUGGCCCAAUUCAUAUGAGUCUAGUCUCGACCCUAGCUUCCUUCUGAACCGAGUCGUAGCCCAAGUCAUAUAGGUCUUGUCUCGGCCUCAUCUUCCUUUAGGGCCGAGCCGCGACCCAAUUCAUAUGGGUUUUCUCUCGGGCCAAACUUCCUUUUGGGCCGAGUCGCGACCCAUUUCAUAUGGGUUUGGUCUUGGGCCCAACUUCCUUUUGGGCCCAGUCAAAGUCCAGGUUAUAUGGGUCCAGUUUUAACCCCAGCUUCAUUCAGGUUCGAGUCGUGGCCUAGGUCACAUGGAUCCGGUCUCGACCCCAACUUCCUUUAGAGCCGAGUCACAGCCCACUUUAUAUGGCUCUCUUCCCCUUGAUCACUUCAGAGCCGAGUCGCGGCCCAGAUCAUAUAGGUCCCAUCUCAGCCCCUAGCUUCCUUAAGGACCGAGUCACAGCCCAGCUCCUUCCUAAGCCAGUUUCAUCCUAAAUUUCUUUAGGUCGAUAUAAACCUAGCCCAGUUAUUUGGGUCGUCCAGCCCACAUGUUUUUAUAAUAUUUAAUUAAUAUAUAUAAUAUAUAAUAUUAUUGUAAACCCACGUAAAAAAAAACAUAGGAUCGAAGUAAUGAGGUCUCGAUGAGUAAUGGAGAUUCGAUAUGAAAUAAAUGAAUAAAUAGUAAGAAUGAUAAUAAAUGUGUCAUGUGAGAGAGAGAAUAAUCUCCAUAAACAUAUUUAAAGGUAUCAUUGAAGUCGAAAUGAGAGUUAUGAUUUUUAGUUUAAAACUCGUAACGUUGGCGAAACCAGUGACAAGUUUCAUUGGAUAAAAGAAUAAGAAAAACGAGAAGAUAUUAAACCUUGAUAAAAAAAAAACUUAUUUUGACAAAUUAGUGAUAAAUGUGGUAAUAUUGAAUUUAUUGAGCAUAAAUUAAGGGGAAAUGCCAUGAGAAUCUAUGUAAAUAAAGUAAUGCAUGAAAUUCAGAUUUUAGUGUAAAAGACAUUGAUUGUCUAGUUUUAAGGUAUCGAUAAUAUAUCUCAAUCCGACCGUUGGAUUGGACUGAAAUUUUAUAAGAAAUCUCCAGACUUAUUGUUUUAUCUUAGGUUACAAUUGCAUGUCAAUCGGAGUUCGGAAAGGCUUUACGAGAGUACUCAAAAUCAGGUAAAUUGAAGAAGAUGACACAGGGGGCAUUAAUAAGGGUAUUUUGGUAAUUUUAUAUGAAACAUCAUUCCCCUCUCCUCCUUUAAACACAGCUCAUGUCCUCUUCAAAAGGAGAAAACAUGAGGGAGACUAUUUUUCUCCUAUUUUCUUCAUCUUCUCUCCAUUUCUUCAAGUUAAAUAAAAAAGGAGCGUUAUUGGGAGGAUUAUAUCCAAGAAAACAAAUUAAAUGACUAUACUUAGAGAGUUAUAAAGCUUGGAAGAAACAAAGAGUAAGAGCUGGAACUUGAAAGAGGAGGACAUGAGUUUUGUAGAUUUUUGCAAGAAUUCAUUGAAAUAAGUUAUGGUAGCAAAGGUAAGCAACAUACCCUUUUUUAGAUUGAUUUUUUUUAUUAUUAUGUCAUCCUCCAACAUUUAAUUAGCCAGGUCUUUAGCUUCUUAGUUGAGUCCGGGUCUAAAAUUUAACGGUUUGUUGGUUUAAGAGAUUGACCCCAAUUUCUUUGUUUUUUUUUUCUUCUUUUUCCAUCCCCCAACAUUUUGUUAUAUUUUAAUUCACUUUAUAUGGUAUUUUUUAGUUUUUUUGAAAAUAAUGCACGUUGCCUUAGUUUUUUUUUUUUUUUUGUCUUUGUUGAAUUUAGUUUUUAUGAAAGAAUUUUAUUUUUAAAUUGAAUUAAAUUGAUUGAUUUAAUCUUCCAACAUUUAUAUUUUUAGGUGUUGAGCUCCUGCAUUAAGCCUGAGUCAAGAAUUAAUUGGAUUGCGUGUUUGAGAGUUUAACCCGAGUUUAUAAGGUUCACUCCGACUUCUUUGGUGUUUUGUUUCUUUUUUAAGCUCUUUUCUUUUUUCAUAUUUCAACCUCUAACAUUCUUUUUUACUCUCUUUCUAUAUAAUUUAUCUUUCUUUUUAAAAUAACAAGGGUUGCCUCAAAGUUUUCUAUUUUCGAUCUUCGUUAAAUUUUGCUUCUUUAAAAGGAAUUUUCUUAAUUAAAUUUAAUUUUUUUUAUUUCAUCCUCUUGCAAUUAAUUUGAGGCAAUACAUGAGAGAAUUUUGCUUUUUUAAUUAAGGUUUUUAAAAAUUGGUAUUUGUUUUUCUACUUUUUUUCUAUAGAGUUAUCUUGAUAUUAUGUCUCAAGUCAUGGAUUCAAUAUAUUUACCAAGUUUGACUCAGGUUUUUUUUUCAUUUUUUUUAAUCUCGAGUCAAUGAUCAAAAUCUUAAAUUUUUUUAAAAAUUGCAUCAUCAAUAGUGUUUUUUUUACUUGUUUUUUUUUCCUAAAUCUAUAUUUCUUUCUCUACUUUCAUACUUCAAUAUUUAGUUUAUUGGAGACCGGAUUUAAUAAUUUAUUGUGGUUUACUUUAUAUAUGGUUAGCUCAGUCUCUUUACACUAUAAACUAAAAGAGGUGGUGAAUUUACUAUUUACCGCCUCACAAAACACUAUUUAUUCCAAUAAUGUUUUUUGUUUUCUAAAUCUAUAUUCCUUUCUCUAAUUUCAUAUUUUUACAUUUAGUUUAUUGGAGACCGGGCUUAAUAAUUUAUCAUAGUUUGCUUUAUAUAUGGUUAGCUAAGUCUAAUAACUCGUAUUACGGGUUUGACGAGUUAGCUCAAUUUUUUUUUAUCUUUUUAUAAUUGGUAUUUUUUUAAUUUUAUCAUCCAACAUUGGGUUGAUUAUGAAUUAAGCUUUUGAUUUAUAUUGGUUUGCUUUUUAUGAGGUUAUCCUAGUUUUAUGACUCAGGUCACGUGUUUUGCAAGUUAAGUCGUGUAGACUCGGGUCUUUUAUUGUCUAAUAUUUUUAGAUUGAUUUUUUUUUUCAAUUUCAACCUUUAAGAAUAAGUUUAUUGAAAUUUGAAAUUUGAGAUUUAUAAUUUGUUUUGAUUUACUUUUUAUAAUGUUAUCACAAUCUCAUGACCUUGAUUGCGGGUUUGGCAAGUUAAUCUAGGUUGAGACUCAUGCUAUUUUUUUUUGUUUACUUUCUAUGAAAAAUCAAAAUAGUUUAGUAAUAAAAUUAAUAUAAAAAAUAAAUUGGGUGCAAAAUUGAUAACACCCAUAUAGUUUAAUGGUAUAUUUUUUAAAAAAGCUAUUAUUUUGAAAGUUUGAUUAAAAGUCAAGUCAUGUUUUUACCAAUCAUUAAGAUUGUAUUUUGAUUCGUAAAAUCAAUCAAUUUAAUUAAAAUUAACUUUUACAUGAUUUAAUUAAAAACUUGAGUUAGAUAAAAAAACUAAAUUACAAAAUUACAAAAUUAACUUAUUAAAUCAAUAAUAUAAUUAAAAGAUUGUUCAUACUUUUAAUAUUUUUUUACAUUUAAAAAAUUUAUCCAAUGAAUAACGGUUCAAUAAACUAGUAGAAGUUAGAUCACGAGACACUAACGUCAGCUGAACUACUUCAUGAUUGAUAAGCUUUAAAUGAGCAAUUAAAAUAUCAAAGGAUUUCUGGGACACUCCCAGGAUGUUUAAUUAUUGAUAAGCUUUAAUUAAUUAUUACACAUCUUUGUAUUUUUGAACCUCCUCAACCAAAUUCUAAUCAUUUUCCGGGCACUCCGGUAUCCAUUUCUUACUGCUAUUAUUUUUUUUGGAUAUCUUCCGACUAUAUUUUUUUUUCUUCCUUUCUUUGUGCGGGACCUAAAAAUAGGUUACAACAUCCCGUAUACAUCAAAACAAGACAUUGUUUUUAUAUAUCUUCUUGCAACAUUUCAACGAAAACCAGGUAUUUUAAUACCGGAUUUGUAACUUUACGAUAUAAAAAUACAAACCAAUAUUAAGAAAAAUUGACAAAAAAAUACGCGAGAAAAAUCACAAAUUUUGAAAAGAUUUUUUUUAAAAUUUUUUUCAAAAAUUUGUUUUGGACUGGGCCACACUUAGCCCAACCAUUUUGGUCUGGGCCAGCGCUUUCUAGCCCAUUAAACAGUGGAGGAUCUCUCCACUGUUCACUUUGUCGAUCAAUAGAGACGGGGUAAUGAAACUGAAGAAGAAGAAGAGCAGGAAGCUGACCUAUGGUGGCUCAUGGUGACGUUCGCUAGUGGUGGCGUUGCGAUUGCGAACUGGGGAGCAGCUCGGCCAAUGGUUCUUCUUCCUUUCUCUGUGUUUUUUGUAUUUCUUCUUCUCCCUGCUUAUAUUCUCCCACUUCUCUGUUUCAUUUCUGACGUGUUGUUGAUGAUGGCUCGAGCUGGCGAUGUUGCGGACUACAGACGGUGACGUUGCGGUGGUUCUUUUGGUGAAUAAGGCUCUUUCUUCAUCCGUCCUCCUUUCCAAAAAUCCCCUUCUGUUUAAUCUUUUUUGUCUGGUAUUUAUAAGUAGAAGGAGAGGGAGCCACCCUGCCCUGUCCUGUCUUGGGGACAGGGUAGAGUGGUUGGGGCAACCUUUAUGCAAUCACCCCAGAGCAGCCCACAGGGCAUGGCUCCCCUGCCCCUUCCAUGAUGGUGGUAGGCCAUGCAGCGUGGGCUAUGUCAGUUUUCUUGCAAUUAGGGAGGGAGAGAAAGAGAGAGAAAAGCAUGAAAAGAAGAUUUUAAAAAACAGCUUGUCCUUCCCCUACUGCACGUCCAAGGGAAGAAGAAUAGUGUCAUUCAAAACGACAUCGUUCUAUGAUUCUGUCUCUUUUUUUUUUUGUGAAAAAAGAAAUGAAUUUGGGGAAUAAAAAAAAAUGAAUUAUAAUAGUUGCCCCCUCUUUACAAUGCUUACAAAGCAAAGACUUUAUGUAGUAAGUUUUGUAAAAAUAAAUUAAACUGAACUUUUAAAACUGAUUUUCUCAAAGCUUGGUUGAUCUAAAGCUCUAUCUUUGCAGCAAAUCUCUUCAACCAUGAACUAACAAUCAAAACUGUGUAUAACUUGGUCAUUCUGAGAUCUCGAUCUGACGAUCCUCUAAAUUCUGUCUUUGAUUGGGUUAACCUGAAAUCUCAUCUGACGAUUCUCUAUAACCAGAACCUAGAAAAAAUGUUCUUCCUGAUGGCAGGGUUUGAACUUUCUCUUCUCUUUUUUUUUUUUGAGAAUUUCCUAAUGGUAGGGUUCUUCUCACUUUUCUUCCAAUGUUAAGAUGAUGUUGGUAGCUCGGUCAACCUGAGAUCCCAUCUGGUGAUCUCCUUUAACCAGAACCAAAAUUCUGAGUGCAGCUCGGUCAACUUGAAAUCUCAUCUGACGACUCCCUUUAACUAAAGCUAAAUUUCAUGUAUGGUUGGAUUAACCUGAGAUCCUAUCUGGCGACCUCCUUUAACCAGAACCAAAAUUCUGUGUGUAGCUUGAUUAACUUGAAAUCUCAUCUGGUGACACAGGCCCAACACUCUUCCAGGCUGAUGUGGGCCUAACACCUUUGGGCCACCCGCCCCCUGUCUUGGGCCGAUGUUUUGGGCCGACCUUGAUCCAAUUUCUUCUAGGCCAAUUUCAACCUAACAAGGAUGGGCUCAACCCAUAAUUUGGGCCAGCCCAUCCCAAUGUUUUUUUUUAUUAUAUAUUUAUAAUAAUAUAUAAUAUAAUAUUAUAUAUUAAAAAGAGGAGACAAAAUUCUGAAAAAUUUCAAAAUCUUUUCAAAAACAAUUUAUGGCUUUCUCGUGUAUUUUUCUACCAAUUUUGAUUAAUAUUAGUUUGUAUUUUUAUAUUGUAAAAAUACAAAUUCGGUAUUUGUUUUGGUAUGAAAAUAUGAUAUGAAAUUUCUUAUAUUUUUUAGUCGUAUGCAUGAAAAGAAGAUAUUUUUUUUUUGUUUUUCCAUAUAUUUUUUUUUGCAACAUUUUGGAGAAAACUAAGAAUUUCAAAAUUCAAAAAAUAUGUAUUAGCAUGCAUUUUGAGCUUUAAUAGCCAGUUUAUUAAAGCCAUGAGAACUAGGCCAAUAUUUUAAAAAUACAAAAAAAAUUAUUUCCUUUCCUUUUAAUAUCUAAGAUUACAAACUUAUACGUAAGAUGUAUUUCUAAUAUUAAAUAAGAGUUAGUUUUCCUUUUUAUCGAUAUUAAAACGGUUAGAUUUUACCAGAUAAGAUAGGCAUCGCCUUACCGAGAAUUACUUUUUUAAAACCUUAGACGUACCAAUCAUUAGAAAACACGACAAUACCUUAGUUUAUAUCAGACAAUUAAACAAUGCAUCUUACCUUAGAUAUGACGUAUUUAGGGUGCUAAUGCAUUGCCUUUAUGCAACCAGUUCCCAUACCCGAUCUCUAAGACCAAUUAGGGUUUCUAUUAACCAAAAUAUUAAGUGACGACUAUCAUUCUUUCUUUCCACUGAUAAAAAAACAAAAAUUUCUUAUCUUACCUAUUUUUCAAAUACAUACCAGAGUAAACGACCACCGCGACACCGCAUACUAGCUACUCUUCUUCUGUAAUUUCGUUUGGCUUUUUAGCUAGUAGCUCCUCAAUUAUUUUGUUAUUAUUAUUAUUAUUAUUAUUAUUAUUAUUAUUAUUAUUUAUUUUUGCUGGCAACUUCACCAACAUUGACUUUUUGAGGAGCAUUAACAUUGAUACACUGACUUCUAGCUAGGGGUGUGCAAAAAAACCGGAAAAUCGAAUAAACCGAUAAAACCGAACCGAGAAAAAAAAACCGAUUAAACCGAUUAGAAUAGUUAGAAAAAAUCCCGGUUCGGUUCGGUUUUUGGUUUUGUAAUGCAAGAACCGGUUAACCCGGACCGAACCGAAUCGGUUCAAAAAAAGACUAUAAAUAGAAAAAUUUAUCCCUCCACCCCCCAGUAACCCUAGCCAUCAGCAGCCCCUCUCGCCUCUUUCUCUCCCUCUCCCUCUUUCUCUCCCUCUCCCUUCCUCUAGACUUAGAAGCAGCCCCCUCUCGCGCUCUUGAUCCUAGGAUGAAUCCGGGUGUAGAGGAUCUUGCUAGGCUUGGGUGCGAGAGGAUGUUGAUCUUUGUAGCUAAGGAAGACUAUUUAACUGUUGCAGCUAAGAAUUAUUAUGAGAAGUUGACAAGGAGUAGAUGGAAGGGAACUGUUGAACUUGUCGAGAAUGAAAAGGAAGACCAUUGCUUCCAUUUGCUUCUGGGUAUUCUUUAAAAUGCAGGAAAGAUAAGAUUUAUCUGUAUAAGAAGAUUUGGGGUUUUGAUUUUAAAAAAUCGGGUUUGGAUUUUUGGCAUUUGGGUAUUUGAAAAAUAUAGGAAAAACCAUGUUUAUUUUGCAAGAAAUUUAGGGUUUUGAUUUAUAGCAGAGUUUUGGAUUUAGAAUGUUGAUUUUAUUUUUAUUUUUUAAUUGAAAUCAGUUUUAUUCUUUCAACGAUUUUAAAAAAUAAGAACUAUAACUUAUAAGUAAAAAAAGUUAAAAGAUGAUAAAAUUAAAAUAAAAUUUUAAUUUUAUAAAUUAUUUUAAAUAAAAUAAGUAACAAUAAAAAAAUAAAAAUUAAAUUUAAAUAGAUAAAAAAAAUUUAAUUAAAAAACAAUAAAAAAAACAAAUAACAAUUAAUAGAAUAAGAACUAAAGUGAUAUAACAAAUAAAAAUUAAUAGAAUAAGAACUAAAGUGAUAUAAAAAUAAAAUUGAAUCAAAUUGUAAAGGAUAAAAUUGAAAUAAUAAUAAAACAAAUUCAUAAUAAAAUAUAUAGUAAUAAAAAAUUUAAUAACUAGAUUACAAGUGAAAAAUUUUAAAGAUGAUAAAAUUAAAACAAAAUUCUAAUUUUAUAAAUUAUCUCAAAUAAAAUAAAUAACAAUAAAAAAAUAAGAAUCAAAUUUAAAUAGAUAAAAAAAAUUAAUUAAAAAACAAAUAACAAUUAAUAGAAUAAGAACUAAAGUGAUAUAAAAAUAAAAUUGAAUCAAAUUGUAAAGGAUAAAAUUGAAAUAAUAAUAAUAAUAAUAAUAAUAAUUCAUAAUAAAAUAUAUAGUAAUAAAAAAUUUAAUAACUAGAUUUGAUAUAAUUAACAAAUAACAUUAUAUUUUUGAAUUGUUUCAACUUUUAAAAAGUGUAAUACAAAAUAAAAAAAAAUACCUUUUUGGAAAACAACCAAAUUUUUCCACAAAGUAAAAACUGUUUUUCUUUUAUCAAUUUUUUAAUAAUAAAUAAAUAUUAAAAAAUAUAAAAAUUAUUUUUCAUGAACCACAAAAAUAGUCAAAAUCAAAUCUUUAUAUGAGUUUUACAGAUGAGUUAACCAGAUAAGUUACUCCCGGUUUGACUAUAUCAAUGUUUUGAAAGCAAACUCAGGUUUUUGUUUUUUUUUUAAUGUAACAUUCUACAUGUGAAUGAUUUAGUUGUAAAAACUUAAAACUUUUAUAAAGAUUAAAGAAUAAUAAAAAAAAAAAACACAAGCGAUGAGUAGUUUUUGGAGAACAGGAAGGAAGAGGCGAGUCAUUCCACCUCUUAAUUAUAGUCCUUGCAAAUCAACUCAAUGCCCACUCCACUCAUUAUUAAAAUCCAUUUGAUUUUAAUCUACCUAAGUUAAUUUACCUGAAUCAUGAUUCACAUCUUGCACUGAGUUGACUCAGUCAAAAGCGUGCAAUUCUGCAAGUCUUCGACUCAGGAGGGAGGCCCAUUGCCUUAAGAGUAAUGAAAGUUGGAAAUAUAAUAAAGGCCCAAAGUGAAGAUAUAUCGUCAAGUCCAUUAAAAAUGAUUUAGACAUCACGCCAAUGGCCUUCAACCUUGUCCACUGUCCAUUAAAAAUGAGGAAAAUGGAUCAAUCGAUCGAUAUUCUCGUAUGGAUUGGACAAGUUAAUUUUCAACAAGUUCAUAUAUUUUAAACCAUGCCAUGUUAAAUUACUGACCCUAAAAUUAUUACUGACCCUAAAAUUGUAAGAGUAAACUUUAAACUAAGUAAAAAAGAUAGGUAGAAAUCUCUCUCUCUCUCCCCCUCUCUCGUGCACACGCACACAGAGGAGGAGAUAAGGUCAGAAUUAGAACAUACACACACAGAGGAGGGGAUAAGGUCAGAAUUAGAAAAUUUAAGUCCUUUUCCUUCCUUCACCCAAAGGAAAGGUUGCUGGCCUUGGUUUUUGUGUUGUUGAAAUGUUAUAAUCUAUAGCCUCAUCCUAAGAGAUAGAUGUUUAUUACACUAUUGACUUAGUAUUCUCAUAUUUAUAAUUUGUUAUGAGUGUUUCUUUCAGAAAUGGCUUUGAACAGCCAUAUUGACCUUUUCUUAUAUUAAAAAAAAAAAACUAAGUUAGUUGGUGGUAGGUAAGUUUCAUUAAUGUCCAAUGUUAGAAGAACAUAAACCUACUACCCGUGCAGUGAGUCCAAUUGAUAUGCACUUGUAAUUAAGAAUAUACUUAGAGUAUACACGGGACCAACCUACAUCGGAUAUUUAAUAAUACUGAAGAUAGGUAUUUUACUAUUGAAACAAUGAUAUUCCGACGAAAAUAAAGCUAAAAAAAUAGCGUAACCGGUUUAUAAUUAUCCAUUAGAAUUUGAUUAAAAUGUCGAAAAAAAAUUUUCAAUUUUUUUUUUAGAGUCCAGAUGUAGACUUUAAUAUCUGUUGAGUGUAAAAUUAUACGAUAAAGUACAUUCUCGAGUGUUAAAGAUACAAGGCAAAAAAUAAAUGCGAUGCUAAUUUUUUUAUUUUAGAAUGGUUAGGAUUUAACCCGAUAAAAUAGAGACUCUCUCAUGAAGAGAGAUCUACUUUGAACCUUAAACGUAACCAACGAAUAGAAACCUGACCUAGAAACAAUAAAAAAAUAAUGCAGCUUACCUUAAGUAGGGUGCACUGGGGAUGAUGUGUCUUUCCCUGGCACAACCAAUGUCUUUUCCUGGCACAACCAGUCUCUUACCCAGACUCUCGCAGACUAUAGAUUCCUAGUAACCAUAAUACUAGGUGGCAACUCCUAAACAUUAAACAUAAUUUUAUGAUUAAAUCCAAAAAUCUUUCCAAAACAACACCUUACAUAGGAGGCAUGACAAAAGCCUCUGUCGUUGUCAAAUGACGUUGCGGUGCGACCCCGCGACACCUAUAAACAUGCUUGAAAAGUAUAUUGAGUUCCAUUUAGAUUUUCUUAUUUGGUUGAUUUUUAUUUUUUUUGAAUGAUUUUGGAAUUUUUUUUUUGGUAUAUGAAGGUAUUGGCAUAAGCUGAUCCAAUAUAUUGUUGUUUUAAUAUCUUAAAAAAAAGUUUCUUCUUGAAGUUUUUUUAAAAGUCAAACCAUGUUUUCAUUGGUUUUCUAAGUUGUUUUUAAACAAGCUUAGUCGAUUGGGUUAUAUUGGGACAACUCCUAAAUAAUUUGAUUUGAAGCUCAAGUUAGACAAAAAGUCCGGUUAAGAUAUUUCAAGAUUAACCCGUUAGAUCGAGUUUAAUAACACUAUUAAUAAAUUUUCCAUUACCUAAACAUUAUUUUUUUUACAUUAAUUUUUUUUAUCCAACCAGCAACAUAACAUUGCUAUUUAUCUAAUUGUAUUUCUUUUCAUUGAAGGACAACACUUUUCUAUGGAAAAAGUUACUAGAAAAUUCAUAUUCAAAGGCAAAACUAGAAUUUUCUGUGUUGCAAAUAAACAAACUUUAUUUGCAGGUCUUUGAGAUCUCAAAAGUCCACACUUUACAUUUAUCAUUGUUGAAAGAGCUAGUAUUAAAAUUAUUAUUUCAAUGUUAUCAUCAAUUUUGUUUUAUCAAUUUUAUCAUUAAACUUUCAGAAGUUUUAUCAUUAAAUUUUAUCAAAUUCUUGUUUUUUUUCUCCUUAUUCAUAAUUUUCCAAAAAAAAAAAAACAAAAACAUUGACCGAUCAUAGCUUAUAGAUUAAUUAUUGGAAGCGAUGAGGAGCUAGUAUCGUGUCAAAGUGAUCAUCAUCAACCUUCCAUUCAUUUCUCUCUUUGCUAGGUGAGUACUUGUAAAAAUUAUUAUUCUAUUUGUUUAUCAUUAUCUUUAUAUAAUAUUAUGCCUAGUAUCUUAAUUAUGUCAUCAAAUUGCAUUUUUUUAAUGGGUCAGGUACACAAGCCCAUGCGCCUGGCAUCUUAUGCUUUCUUUUUUCCUCUUACAUUUUAAACUUUAAUCAUUCUAAAAGAUUGGUUAAAAAACAAUUUGAUUUUUUUUUUAUCGGAUACCAUUGAAAUUUCAAAUUUUUUUUUUUUUAAGAUUGUAACCUUUUUUCAUAUUAUUUUAGCAAGUGCUAUUUCUUUACACCCCAUCAUGGUGUUUUGUGCUUUUUUUACAUAUAAAAAGUUUAUUUAAUUGAUAAAAUAUUUUUGUUUGUUGUUUGAUUAAAUACCAUUUGAUUUUUUAUUUUUUAUAACAUUUAAAGGCACUUUUUUUUUUACAAACCUCCACUGUGGUUUUCUUUACUUGAACUUUAUUACGUAGCUUUCCUUUGCAUGUUAGCUUUUAUUAUCUUAAAGUUCGAAAAAAAAUCCAAAAAAUAAAGUUAUUGAACCCAUCUGUACCCAUCGCUCAGUUUACGGGUUGACAACUUAACUCGAGAUAAUCCAAGUCAAUACAAAGUAUUGUCAUCUUAGUGUAUAAAAAGAAAACUUAAAAAGACAUUCACUUGAUUUUUUUCCCUUAAUACCAAACUAGAUUUUAACUAGUUCACAUCCUGUAGGCUCCUGCCCAAUUUAAUUUGAAAUCCAAUCCAUGUAAGGGCUUGGUUUGGGAGGUCUCUUAACUUCUCAACUUGAUGUUUUAUUAGUGUUAACAACUCUUUUAAAUGUUUAAUUAUAUCUUUAAUACUCCAUAUCUUAAAUAGAUGUGAUACAUUUUUGACUUAUUGUCAAUAACCUAAUUUUUACCUCGUUUAAAAAACACAUAAAUUGUGCAUCAGACAAUUUUGUAGACAAAACUGGACAUAUUUAAAAAAAAACAGUUGUUGAAAACAUUCAAAAAAUCACAAAAUAAAAAUUAUGAUUUGGGAUGAAAUCAAACAAAUAAUAAAAUUUUAGAAGCAAAAAGUGGUCUAAAACAAGUACAAGCAAGCCAACUAUAGUUUUGAGGAACAAUUAGGAGUUUGUUUGAAAAGAAAAUUGAAGAAAAAAGUUGAAUUUGACCAAAUUUGCUUAAGAGAGAGGUUGGAGAGAGAAAUCAUGUUUUAGAUAAAGAAAUGAGGUUUGUAAGAAAGUUAUGUAGACUUACAUUUAUUAUAUAUCAAGAAAAAAAUAUUUUUUUGUUUAAUUUGAUUUUUCCUGUUGAUCACGAAGGCAAACAAUAAUUUAUAAAAUCUUAGAUUGAAAACAAAAAAUAGACUAAAAGUACAGGAGUGCUUUUAUAAUUAUCCUUAAAAUUUAUUAAGGAAAGAAAGAAAAAAUUCAACAAUAGAGUACCAAAGUAUAAAAUAUAGAGAAAUCCAAUGAUCAAUCUUAAAUUUGUUAGAAAAAGUCAUGUUUAGCUCACUUACUUUCCUUUUUUUACUCUACAAUUUCUUUAGUUUUUACAAAUUUAAUUUUAGUUCAAAAAUUCAUUUUCAUAACAUUUUCAGUCAUUGAGUUUAAUAAAUAAAAGAGAAAGUCGUUUGAAAAUAGUGAAAGAGUAAUAAAGUUGGUGAAUAAGCACUUUUUAGAGACAAAACUCAUCAUUCUUGAUACCAACAAGUUUUAUUAUAGGAGAAAAAAUUUGAUGGUGGUGGUUUCUUCCUAUAAACACGCCUGAAAAGUAGAUUGAGUUCCUUUUAAUUUUUUAAUUUGGUUGAUUUUUAUUAUUUGAAUAAUUUUGGGAUUUUGUUUUUGGUACAUAGAGGUUUUUAUGGUAUUUUUAUAUGCAAAUGGAUUUAAAAAUAGGUUCUUAGGUUUGACUUAUUGACUUUUUUUUAUCCAUUUCCAUUACAUGUUUCUAUUAAAUUAGCUCUAUUUUUUAAAUAGUAAUUAAUUUUUUUUAUAUGUUUUUAGUUGCAUGAUAUUUCAAAGAAAUUAGUUUAAUUUGUCCUAAACAAGAUUAAAAUACAAAGAACAAUCAAUGUAUCGAUAUUUUAUUUCUACUAUAAAGACUAUCUUCAUGUUUUAAUAUUAAAUUAGUGACAACAACUCCUUUUAGAUUAAUUUUAUGUGUUAUUGGAAGCGAUGAGGAGCUAGCAUCAUUCGUGCAAGUGUCAAAGUGAUCAUCAUCAACCUUCCAUUCCUUUCUCUCUUUGCUAGGUGAGUACUUGUACAGAUUAUUCUUAUUUGUUCAUAAUUAUUUCAUAAAAUUGAAUUUUUGUGGGAAUUGAUGCUUUAAACUCAUAAGUCUAAACUAUUUUGUUUCAAUGUAUUCGUUAGAUCGGUGGUAUGCUAUCUUUCACUAAUGAAAUUCUUUUUGUUGGUUUUGAGAAGAAAAAAAAAAGUAUUUCUAUCUUUGUUUUAUGGAAAAAGCACAUAGAUCUAUGAACUAGAUAUAAAAAAAGAAAGGAUAGAUAUUCCCAUUACUUAAUAAUCGUGGCAUCUUAAUUAUGUCAAAUUAGAUAAAGCUGCUCUAACUCGCGGCAUAGAUGGAUAAAAAUAAUUAAAUAAGUGUAUGAUGCAGAGAUAGUCAUUACAGAUUUUAGUUGGCUAAGAUUGAUCCUUUGUUGAGUUCGUUCCAUUAAUUAUACUUCCUUGCAAGUCUUUUUUUCUCUUUAUUCAUAAUUUUUUUUUAAAAAAAAACAUUGACCGAUCAUAGCUUUAGAUUGAUUAAAUGUGUUAUUGGAAGCGAUGAGGAGCUAGUAUCAUUCGUGCAGGUGUCAAAGUGAUCAUCAUCAACCUUCCAUACAGAGACUGGUGGAAAAUGGCUAUCGAAUGUGUUGGUGGAUCCGUUGUAUCUAAGAUAGCAGAGCUCUUGGUGGAACCAGCAAUAAGGCAGUUCCGUUACAUGUUCUGCUUCAACAAUUUUGUUCGCGAAUUCAUUGAACGAAAGCAGAGCCUUGCUUUAGCGCUAGAUCGUCUACAAAAUGAGGUCAUAGUUGCUGAAAGGAAGGCUGAAGAAAUUGAGAAAGAUGUCAGUAAAUGGCUGGAAGAUGCAAACAACGAAAUUGAAGGUGUGAAUCCUUUGGAAAAUGAAAUAGGAAGAAAUGGAAAAUGCUUUACUUGGUGUCCAAAUUGGAUGCGACAAUUCAAGUUAAGCAAGGCACUGGCAAAGAAGACGGAGACUUUGAGAAAACUUGAAGAAAAUAGCAGAAAAUUUCCGAAAGUGUCCCACAAAACACCUCUUCAAGACAUAGAAUUUCUUCCAUCAGAGGGACUCACACCCUCGGAAUCAUCAAAAGAAGCUUUCGAACAGAUAAUGAAAGCUCUCAAAGAUGACACUGUCAAUAUGAUCGGACUGUACGGCAUGGGAGGGGUGGGUAAAACCACCCUGGUCAAAGAAGUAGGUAGGGGAGCCAAAGAGUUGCAGCUUGUUGAUGAAGUUUUGAUAGCCACGGUGUCCCAGAAUCCAAAUGUCACAGACAUGCAGGAUCAAAUGGCAGAUAGUUUAGGUCUGCAUUUUGACGGAAAGAGUGAAAAGGGGAGAGCAGGUCGGUUAUGGCAGAGACUUCAGGGAAAGAAGAUGCUUAUAAUCCUCGAUGAUGCUUGGAAAGAUAUUGACUUGAAAAAGAUAGGGAUCCCAUUUGGUGAUGCUCACAGGAGUUGUAAAAUUCUUAUAACAACACGCCUUGAAAACAUAUGUUCUUCUAUGAAGUGCCAGCAAAAAGUGUUUUUAAGAGUCUUAUCUGAAAAUGAAGCAUGGGCUUUAUUCAAAAUAAAUGCAGGUUUACGUGAUGAGGACUCUGACUUGAACAGAGUGGCAAAGAAGGUUGCGAGAGAAUGUAAAGGAUUGCCUAUAGCACUUGUGACAGUGGGAAGGGCUCUAAGAGAUAAAUCUGCAGUUGAGUGGGAAGUAGCAUUUGAUCAGCUAAAAAAGUCUCAAUUUCCGGACAUGGAACAAAUUGAUGAACAAAAAAAUGCAUAUGCAUGUCUUAAGUUGAGCUAUGAUUAUUUGAAGCACGAGAAAACCAAGUUAUGUUUCUUGCUAUGCUGUUUAUUUCCAGAAGAUUACAACAUUCCAAUUGAGGACUUGACAAGAUACGCAGUUGGCUAUGGGUUACAUCAAGAUGUGGAGUCCAUUGAAGAUGCAAGGAAACGAGUAUAUGUGGCAAUCAAAAACCUCAAAGCUUGUUGUAUGCUGUUAGGAAAUGAAACUGAAGAAUAUGUCAAAAUGCAUGACUUGGUUCGUGAUGUUGCUAUUCAGAUAGCAUCAUCAGAAAAAUACGGAUUCAUGGUAAAGGCUGGCUUUGGGUUGAAGGAGUGGCCAAUGAGGAAUAAAAGCUUUGAAGGUUGUACGGUAGUUUCGUUAAUGGGCAAUAAACUAGCAGAACUUCCUGAAGGAUUGGUGUGUCCACAGCUCAAAGUUCUAUUAUUAGAACUGGAUCGUGGUUUGAAUGUUCCAGAGAGGUUUUUUGAAGGGAUGAAAGAAAUUGAAGUUUUGUCUCUAAAGGGAGGGUGUUUUUCAUUGCAAUCACUUCAAUUCUCAACGAACCUUCAAUCGUUGCUGUUGAUGGAGUGUAAAUGCAAGGACCUCAUUUGGUUGAGAAAGCUGCAAAGACUUGAGAUUCUUGGUUUUAUAGGGCGCGACUCCAUUGAAGAAUUACCUGGUGAAAUGGGGGAGCUCAAGGAGUUGAGGUUGUUGGACGUGACAGGAUGUAGAAAUCUAGGAAGGAUUCCUGUGAAUUUGAUUGGAAGUUUGAAGAAGUUAGAAGAGCUGUUGAUCGGGCGAAAAAGCUUUAAGGAAUGGGAUGUCGUUGGGACAAGCAGGGGAGGAAUGAAUGCAAGCCUCACAGAACUAAAUUCGCUGUCUCAUUUAACUGUAUUAUCAUUGAAGAUACCGAAGGUUGAAACCAUUCCCAGAGAUUUUGUUUUUCCCAGGUUGCUCAAAUAUGAUAUAGUGUUAGGGAUUGAGUUACUCUAUAAAAAAUACCCAACUGCAAAGACAAGAUUAUAUUUGGGUGAAAUCAGCGCCACAUCCUUAAAUGCAAAGACAUUCGAGCAGUUGUUUCCUACUGUGUCUCAAAUUGUUUUCAUGAGAGUGAAGGGUUUAAGAAAUAUAGUAUUGUUCUCUGAUCAGAUGACCACCCAUGGCCAUGGGUCGCAAAAGGACCUCUUACGAAGAUUAGAACAUGUCAAAGUGGAAAAAUGUGGGGAUAUUCGCACUCUGUUUCCAGCAAAAUGGCGGCAAGCUUUGAAAAAUCUAACAAGUGUGGAUAUUAGUAACUGCAAAUCAUUGGAAGAGGUAUUUGAAUUGGGUGAGGCUGAUGAAGGAACUAAUUGGGGGAGGCUGCGGCUGCUGUCAUCUUUAACAACGUUACAGCUGCACCGGUUACCUGAGCUCAAAUGGAUAUGGAAGGGGCCCACUAGACAUGUCAGCCUCCAAAGUCUUAUUCAUCUGGAGUUGUCGUUUCUUGACAAACUGACAUUUAUCUUCACACCGUUACUUGCUCAAAGUCUUAUUCAUCUGGAAACACUACAGAUAAAACAUUGCGAUGAAUUGAAGCGUCUUAUCAGAGAGAAGGAUGACGAAGGGGAAAUAAUUCCGAAGUCUCUUUGCUUCCCAAGAUUAAAAAUUCUUCGUUUAAUUUAUUGUAUUAAACUUGAAUAUGUCUUCCCUGUCUCCGUGUCUCUAAGUCUUCAGAACCUGGAAGAGAUGAAGAUUCGUGAAGCUGCCAAUUUAAAGCAAGUAUUUUACAGUGGAGAAGGAGAUGACAUCAUCGUCAAGUCUAAAAUUAAAGAUGGCAUCAUCGACUUCCCUCAGCUAAGAAAAUUGUAUCUUUCAAAGUGCAGCUUUUUUGGUCCAAAGGAUUUUGCUGCCCAAUUGCCUUCUUUGCAAUGUCUAAGCAUCUCUGGCCACAACGAAUGGGGUAAUUUGUUGGCACAGCUUCAAGUACGUCCUUUAUAUUUCUCCAUUUUUUUUCUUUUCUAAUUUAAAUUGUCAACUUCAAUAAAUUGUGAUAAUUUGUUCUAUCUUCCUCCAAAUUUCGAAAACUAAAGUAAUUAUUAAGUUCUUUAACCAUCCACUACUGAAUUUAGUUGAUGAUUUAAAUUGGCUUAGGAAGUUAGACAUCAAUUACUGUAAUGUAAUUUCUUAUUUCUAAACCUAAAGUAAAUGGAUAAAUGCUAGCAAAUCCUUUAGCCAUCCACUGAAUUUUAAAGGAGUGAAAUUGAGGCUUUUCCGCCAAUUAAAGGAAAAUAUUUGGACCCGAUGAUAAAGCUUCGUCUGAGAAUAUUGAGUUUUUUUGUUUCAGUGCUGCAACUUAUGAACUGUUCAAAAAAUUAAUAAAGUUAGAGUCAAAAAAUGUAAAAAUUGAAACUUUCUUUUUAAAUACAAUAUUCCAAAUUUGUGUUGAAUUCAAAAAACAUAUUUUUUAAAUAUUUUUCAUGUUUUUGUUUCUACAAUUGUUUUCACUUUUUUAUGAAAAAAAUAAUUUAAAUGAUCAAUAAUCAAGCAUUUUUAUUAAAAAAAUUUACUAAUAUGUAAAAUUCAAAUUAUUUUCUUUUAUAUUUUUAUUUUUUGAUAAUGUGAUAUUUUUUUAUAAAUCGAAUAUAAAAAAUUAACUUUUAUGAGUUAAGAAGUGUAUUUUUUCAUGAUUGCUUUUAAUUUAACUAAUAUAAAAUAAUAGUUUAUAUUCAGUUUAUCAUAAAUACGAAAAAAUUUGAUUUUAUAUUCCCAUUGUUUUUUUUUAAGCAGGGAUUUAUGAAUUUGAAAGAAAUAUCUAUUGAAAAAUUGGAAGGAGUACAAGAUUUAAUGCAAGUUGGACGUUUGGUAACUAAUAGAAGAAGGGGGCAUGAACUUUCGCUCGUGAGUUUGGAAACAUUACACUUGAACUUAUUGCCUGACAUAAGGUGUAUAUGGAAGGGUCUCGUGCCGAGCAAUUUGACUACUUUGAAGGUGAAAAAGUGUGACAGACUAACACAUGUAUUCACAAACAGCAUGAUUGCUAGUCUAAUUCAACUGAAAUUUCUAGAUAUAUCAAAUUGUGAGGAAUUGGAGCAAAUUAUUUCUAAGGAUAAUGAUGAUGAAAAGGAUCAGAUAUUGUCAGGAAGUGAUCUCCAAUCUUCAUGCUUCCCUAAUCUGUGGCGACUUGAGAUCAGAGGAUGCAACAAGUUGAAGAGUCUCUUCCCAGUAGCCAUGGCUUCAGGUCUCAAAAAGCUUCGAAUACUUAGAGUAAGAGAAUCCCCUCAAUUAUUGGGAGUAUUUGGGCAAGGUGAUCAUGCUUCAGCUGUCAAUGUUGAGAAGGAGAUGGUGCUCCCUGAUCUGCAGGAGAUGUUGCUUGUACAAUUACCAAGUAUUUCCUGCUUCAGUCAUGGAUGUUAUGAUUUCAUAUUCCCUUGUUUGUUGAUGUGGGAGGUGCGUCAAUGUCCAAAGCUGACCACAAAAUUUGCUACUACAUCAAAUGGUUCAAUGAGUGCUCAAUCAGAGGUGCUGCAUAUUUGACAUGAUUUCUUGCCUCUCUUUUAGUGUUUUUAUUUCUUGUUUCCCUCAACAAUAAGACUAACAAGUUAGAAUGUGUAUGCCAUUCUUGAAUUGGCUUUGCAGGUAUCUCAAGUAGCUGAGGGUUCAAGCACUGGUUGCUCCGUGCCAACCAGCACUUGUAGAAACUGGACUCGAAAUAAAGGGUGGGAAGAGAAAGAGGAAGAGGAUGGAGUUGGUCAUGAUGAUUGAGUUAGAUGAUUAGUUUGGCAUUGGAAUUUGAAAAACAUGCUAAUAAUUAUUUCUUGCAGGUAAAAUGGAUGCAAUUAUUUAUUUUCUAUCCUUUUUUAAAUGGCUAAAUUAAAUCAACAUAUUACCUCGAUAUGCAUCAGGUUCGCUGGUUACCUAUUACAUGAACACCCAAUUAGGUGAUUUCACGAAGAUUCAUGUAUUUGAGUUGUGUUCAGCUGUUUCAUUAGCUAUGGGAUACAAUUUGGCUUCACAUUGUAAGAGUCUUAUUUACCAUAGAACUCCCAAAACAAGGUUUUUAACUUAUCUAUCUAUGUAUGAACCUCAAGAAAUAAGGGUUUCUGCUUGUUUGCCCAUUUGUGUUUCUUUUUCAAGUGUCUGAACCUUAAAAAACAAGGGCAUAAUGUUUGCUCAUUUGUGUGCUUAUUGUUUAAUAUGUGGAUUCUCAUUCUCC